AGUGAUAGUUGUUUUAUUUAUAAUAUGAUAAUAACAACCACCUAGUGGUAGCUGAUUUAUUUAUUACAUGCUAAUAACAACCAUGAGUUGAUAGUUGAUUUAUUUAUUAUAUGCUAAUAACAGCUAUCAGCUAGUGGUUGAUUUAUUUAUUAAUUGCAGUCUUGUUCAUUUACUUCAGUCUUUUUAUUUAAUUAUGUUAAAUCAUAUGUGAAUCCUAAUUUGUACUUGUACUCACAGAAAAUAAACCUAAGAAUUCAUCAAAGGAAAUAAAAGAUAAACGACAAUACAAAUAUUGCGUUUUGUUUUGUCUUAUUUUUUAAAAUUUUAUUUUCAAAUAUAUACGCAUGCAUGAUAAAGAUUCACAAUUAUAUAUAUAUAUAUAUAUAUAUAUAUAUAAUCCGUCGAGGUGUUUUAGUUGACUAGCUAGUAUAAACUACCAUCUACCAAAUCGUUAUUAGCUAACGAGCUAGUGUAAAUUUUCAUCUUGGAAGCUAGUAUAAACUAUCAUCUAUAAAAUUGUUAUUAGUAGAGGAACUACGAAUGUAAACUAUCGUCUAACAAACUGUAUUAGUUGAUGAGCUAGUGUAAAUUACUAUCAUUUACCAAAUAGUUAGAUAGACUGUUGGCUACAGUCAAAUGUGUUUUGGAUCAAUUCCUAUAUAUGUGUGUGUGUGAAAAAUUCAUGAAAAUCUAAAACUUAGUUGUUUUGGUACUAUUGAAUUGAUUUAUCUUUUCAUCUUUAUUUUUUUUUAAUUUACUACCCGACCCAAAUCUUUUCUCUUCUCGUAUCAAUAGUAAGUUUAAGAUUGGAUGAUAUUUUUGUCCCUUCAUUUUUUGUCAAUUGAGUCCUUAAAGUGGUCAAUUGAUGUCAAUUCUGUCUCUUUUCUCCAAAUUAACCCAAUUUCUUCUAAAUUGAAGUACAUGCUCGGCAUAUAUAUGCGAUUUAAGUUGGGGCAAAAAUGUCUCCUAACACAAUAAUAAUAAUAAUAAUAAUAAUAAUAAUAAUAAUAAUAAUUCAAAAUUAUCUAAUGAAAAGACAUAAUUUAAGCAGUACCAUCUUGUAAUUUAUGUAAUCACUUUAUUUAAUAUCACAAUAAACCAGCUAGUGAUAGUUGUUUUAUUUAUAAUAUGGUAAUAACAAGCACCUAGUGGUAGUUUGAUUUAUUUAUUACAUGCUAAUAACAACCAUGAGUUGAUAGUUGAUUUAUUUAUUAUAUGCUAAUAACAGCUAUCAGCUAGUGGUUGAUUUAUUUAUAUAUCGUGCUAAUAACAACCAUCAACUAGUAUAUAGUUUCUUGAUUUACUGUUGAUCGGAAGAUUACUGAUCGUUCAUUUAGGUGUUGGUGGGACUAAUGUUAACACCAUAGAUAACUAAACCUGUCUUCAUAGUCACGUUUUCAGUCCCGUCAAGAGCAAAUAUGAUAUCUCCAUAGUCAAACUUAUUGAAGAAUUCCCCAGCUUUGAGCGAAAAUGGUGUGUUUCUCGGAUAAUUCAUCAAUCCAUAUCCGUUCACUUGCGAGGAUCCAUUCGGAAGAGUAAGUGUAAGACUCACCGGACUUGCUAUGUUAAAGUUGUCUUUCAGCAGCACCACAAAAGAUACCUCAUAAGAUAAAUUUUCAAGCUUUUCUGUCAUAUAGUUUCCGUCAACAUGUAGGACUAAGCUACCAAUUAAUUCAGCACUGUCAGGACUGUACAAAAUGAUAGUAGAAUUAAAGUCAGAAACUUUUGAUAUAAGGAGCUUAAAUUCAUUAGGUGAUUUUAUUGAUUUAUUUAUUUUUUGCUGGAAUAUUUUUAAUGCGAGUCCUUCUAUCUAACUAGACUUCAAUAAAAUUUCUAUAGUCCUUCUAUCACUUUAAUUUAAUGACAAAGUUGCUUAUAUAUCCCUAUUUUUAACUGAAUAAAAUUCAGGUGUUUAAACACAAAUCUUGACCUUUGACGUCAAUUAAGUUAACUAAAUCUUAUUUCUACUUACGUAAACUUCCAGCCUGAAGGGUUGGCAUAAUUGAGUUUACUGGCAGGUACAUAAGCGCCAGAACUCUGAAUAAGACGAGAAAAAAAAAUUCAUAUCAUCCAUUACAAAAAAAUUUCACUUGCAAAAUUUACAAAUAUUAAGGAUUAUUUUUGUUCUAUAGCCAACUUUAGCUAUAUAUAUGAUGUUUGUUUACAAUUUCAGUAGACUUACCUUCUGGCCUAUUCCGCCGUUUUGGAGCAACUCCAUUUCCUUGGCUUGGGACAACAAUGCCUUGAGGUCAACCUCAUUAUGCCUCACUACUUGUGCCAUCUCCUCGAUCGAUCGAUAACUAUCCUUUAAUUCUGCUAUAUAUAUAUAUAUAUAUGUAUUUUCUGUUUCUAUUCUUGAUGUCUAUAUAUCUCUCUUCCAAAGGCUAGCUCUAUUUAUACUGGCACAAACAGAGGGUACUGCGAUUAUUAUAUCCCAUAAUAUCCUAUCUUCAAAUAUUCCUUCCCUUUUCAAAGUAGGGAUCCGAUCCUGAUAAGUUUAACAUCAUCAUCAUCAUCAUCAUCAUCAUCGCCAAGGAUAUAGAGCAGCAGAUUCUGUUUAAUAAUUUUGUUGGAAUAAUUCUUUUCCAUUUCCCAGUUCAAUAGUUCUUUCUUUAGCUUGUUGCGCAGGCAAAAUUCCAUGAAGGCGAAAGGCACGUAGGCAUACUAGUUGUGGGCAAGGAAAUUGUACCUUGCUAGGGUUAGGAUUUCGUGUUGGCUGAGGAGGAGAGAAAUUCACGAAGAGCACGGAAUUGAUUGGUUGAUUGAAGAGGGGAGAACGACAGGUGGGCGAUUACUCCAACGACGUGUGGCAGAACCCCUAGAAUCCAGGAACCGUGUUAGGGUAGUAGGGAUUCCAAGAGCCUUCUUGAGUCCUUCGUUCUUGAGAGAAUGUCUAAACCCCUUUUAGUGCUUUUAGGUGGAAUCUCCGAGCCUUUAAGUCACCAAAAAGGGUUCUUUGAUCUUCCGAGAGUCCAAGUCUUGAGUCUAAAGAGAAGUCUCUUUCCCAAUGGAAUGGAAGGGUAUUUAUAGGGUUUUCUGGAAAGUAGUCAUGUGCGAGGCACAUGCUUUCAGGGAAAUUCCAGAAAUGCCCUUUAGUCAUUAGAAUAAUGCCCAUGUUGCCCUGUCCUUCUAGCCACCAAUCCAAUCCCUCAAUUAAUUCCCACAUCGAGCCGCCUCCACGAGUCUUCUGCCUCGGGACACGUGGAGGCUUCUCCCGGGUCUAGCACAUUUAUUUAUGACUUUUUCAUCUUCAUUCCAUUCGGUUAUGCGAACACUAAUUUGCACAUUUAAUGAGGCCGUGGAACCCUAAUUGCGCAUUUAAUUCAAUUAGGUCAUGUGAACUCUAAUUUUACACUUUGGCCCACAUUUGCCCCCUGCGCGAGAGUCGCAUUUUCAAAUAGACGAUCGUGCAAGAAAACUGCAAGCCUUUGAAUGAUUUUGCGGGACUUCACUUUACAUGUCUUGAAGACAAUAGUCCUAGAAGAGGGAACUCCUAGGGAGCCAAACCCUUAGAGUUAAACCCUAGGAAGGCAAGACCUAGCGAGGCUCUUCCUUGGACAUAUUGAAAAAUCUUCUGAAAUCUUUCUGUAUUUUGCCCAAUAUUUAUUUCCAAUUCCGCAAGCAGAUCAACUGUCCGAGCAGCCUCAAUACGAACAGAAACAGAUUCCGAUAACUUGGAAUGGAAAAUAGAAUUAAGACCAGGCAAAACAUUGAAUAGAGCGAUGUAGAGAUCUAAAAUUUCAAACAACUUGAGAAACGAUGGACGGGUACUACUAACGCCUUCUGCAAAGUUAAUCAAGUGCAAGGCGGAUUCUUUAACUAUACCCAUAAAACACACAUCAAAUGUGGAGUUACCAAGUCCACUAAAGAUUUGUUCACAGAGUUUCUUCUCCUUUAUGAAGAGAUCUUCAAAACAAACACGAGAUGCUCGUAUCCACAAUUUGAUCUUUGGUGCCAACAUAUCCCACUCCAAACUCCGGAACUCACCGAUGCUAUAUUUACCGACGCCGAGGUGUCGAAAUUCUGCAUCCACAAUCAACUUCCUUGAAGUCCUGUAGAAUUCAACGCAGUCGCCAACAUUACCGGCUGAGUUCAAUCGUUCAAUGAUACUCCUAAAACCAUAAACUUCGUCAAUAUGUCCAUCAUCCUGUAAUUCAUAGCUAAAAGUAUCGGUUAUUGUACUUGAAAAAAUGGUAGAACUCCUAUCGGCCAAGAAAGCAUUGUGGACUCUGUUGGUUUGUCGGGUCAAUAUGACCCGAAACUCUAACGGAAGGGUUUCCAUGCCCGUUUAGAUCAUGUUUUGAUGCUUUCAGUUUGGGGAUCUGAGAUUAUUCUCGAUCGUCUGAAGCUCGUCAAAAGUACUGAUCAAUCUCAUGGCGGUCUCCGUCGAAGUCGAAGAUGAUGAAUUUAAUAAUUCCGCCCGAAUAUUUUGUGUUCUACCAAUUCCAUUCAGACAAUACAAAAGAGAUAUAUAUAUCUGCCUAAAAAUUGAAAACCGAAAAUCAUCUCUGAACAGCAGGCUUUGAAAAUUACUCCUACUAGUAGUUUAUAAAUAUAAAUACUUUGAAGAUUGUAAGAAGUUCAUAGCCAUCCACUAGUAAAAGUACUUACCAUUACUAAUUGAUGUCACGUUACCGCAAUUAGGACGGAGAGAGAAAGUCGGACCAACUCUUUUUUUUUUUCAAAUCAAACAUUAAUUUUUUAUUUCCAAAAUCAAAUCUUAAUUUUUAUUUUCAAAAUAAAAUCAAAUCUUAAUUUUUUAUUUCCAAAAUAAAAUCAAAUCUUAAUUUUUUAUUUCCAAAAUAAAAUCAAAUCUUUCUUAAUUUGAAAAGAGAUUUUUUUUUUUUGAAAAUGAAAUAAAAUAAAAUCUCUCUUUUUUUUUUUUGGCAAAUCAAAUCAAAUCAUUUUUUUUUAUCAUUCACGCAAAAGAUUUAAGUGCAUGAAUAAAAUAAAAUAAAAAUGCAUGAAUUUAAGAGUCAUAUAAUCUCACAGAUCUAAUGAAGGGGAAUUGCCACAUGCCUACGACAUUCUCUAUGAAAAAAAUGAUGAAUUAAGGCAAAACGAGAUCCAAUCAUGUAUUAUUUUUUUUUUGAAAAUAAAAUAAAUCUUAUUUUAUUAUCUUUCAAAAAAAUAAAAUAAAAUCUUAUUUUAUUAUUAUUAUUUUUUAAAAUAAAUAAAUAAAUAAAUAAAACAUUUACUUAUCUUAUUUUUAAGAAGUAAGGAGUCGAUGAGAAUGUCUUGUAUCCAUAUUGAAGCCUUUGAUAAUUCUUUGAGCAAAGAUGAUUAUAGCUUUUUGAUGAUUCUGACAUCUUUUAUAUGAGACAAGUCUUCACAUGCUUCCGAUUUUUAUUUGCCAUAAAGAAAGAAUCCAUUAAAGCUUCACAUGCCAGUUGCCACUCCUCUGUUAGCCAACAAAAAAAAAAAACAUUGUUUUGCUGCUUUAUUUGGGUGUUAUAGCCACAGGCAAGCCUCUUUCUAUCCACGCCGAACCCUACUGAUUCAAUUUUUUAUUAUUUUUUUUUUAUUAAAAAAAAUCAAGAACUUUUGGAACACUUAUAUUUAGAAGAAGCUUGUACGUAUGGGAAUUGAUGAUCCAAAAACCCACAACCCAAUUCUUAAUCUCAGUUUCUUUCUUGCUAAUCUUUCUCAGUUGAUGAACCCUUUGGAUAAUAUUAACGAUCCUCUUAGGAGGUUGCAAUAUUCAGAUCCCACUCAACUACUAGCCAAAAUCCAAAUUUUACAUAACCUAUUGCAGGCCAUAAAUGUGAGUCCUUCUUUCCCAAAUAUUAAAGUAGUAAACGUGAAUAAUCUCUUGGGAUCAUAUAAUUAUCUUAGCCAAUUUGAUGGAGUGAUCACGAGUGAAGCUAUCAACCCCAUGAUUAAUCCUAUCCCCAACAACCGGCCUUUAAUAUAUAUACUCCAAUCCCAAACUCAUUUGGAUUCUUUAGCCCACAAAUAUUUAACAAUGUUAAUAGCUUAAGUGGUGUUGCAUGCAAUAUUACUCAUCAAACUGAAAAUCAGCUUCCGGAAAGUUCCAAUACCAAGGAAAUGGACAGUAUGAAGCCUACAAACAUCCCCUCCGGUUCAACCAACUCUGACAAUAUCUUUGAGGUUUUGGAGAAAUUUGUUGAUUGUGAUCAAGCCAAUAGUACUUCCUUCUUGCUUCUUUUUUUUUUUUAUUCAGGUAACUCUAGUCUUUCUUUUGUCUUCCGAGCCCCAUUACCUUGAUCAUAUCUUGGUUUUUUCCCUCGGAUCAUAAAGAAAGAUUGGUAUUUUUUUUUUCUUGCAGGCCCUCCCUGUUGAACAUUCUGCAGACUUGGGAACAACCAAGGAGGCCCCGUUUCUCAAUAAUUGGGGAAGGGAUCCCCUCUUUUGGUCUUUCCGACGUCUUUUGAGAGCGAGUCUAGACUUAUAAUCGUACAACACUUCCUCCGCCAGAGAAGAAAGGCGUGUUUCUUUAUGUCGCGGCUUGCGGAGGUUUGGGUGACUUCCUCCCUUCCGAUCGCAUUCUCCGCAUGUGCAUAGAGAAACAAGAAUAGCCUUUCAGUCCCUUUCGCUUCCUGUCUGACUCAUCUGACCGCCUUCAAGGAUGGCAACAUUGGACCGACUUCCCGUUGUGUGCUCUUCUUCAUACACAUUCAUUACUACUUGGGGGGGAAUUCACCCCUAUUCUAGAGGAUGUCUCUGCCCUCCACCAGUAGGUCGUACUUCGGUUUGCCCCCUGCACGUGAGUCACACCUUUGGUGGGACAACCGUGCAUAAUUUCUCCAGCAUUGAAAUCUUGCUACAAAUUUCUUAAUGAUUCGCGGAGCACGAUGGUGCAAGCCUUGAACAUAAAAUCCCUAGGAGGGGAGACCUGUAGGGGGCGAGCCCUAGAGAAGCUCUCCCUGGCUAUCUUGGAAAAAAUCUUCUAUCUUAUCCUUCCGAAUAUUACUUUCUUUUGGAAGUUCUCUCAUUUUCAAAAUUAAGAAGUCAACGAGAAGGCACCGAGUGAACAUACUUCAAAUUGGGGUGAACAAGCGAUGAAGGAGAUCUUUCCUCUAGGUACCCGAAUCCUGAGCGGCUUCAUUCUGGAACAUUGAUUAACGAGCUAGGAGAAGUAAAAGGUAAGAGGGGAGAGCCUCUGUAGGUGUUUGAACCCCAGGGGCCGAACCCUAGAAGACUGCCUAUUCCUUCACUCUUUUUUUCCUUCUUCCUUUCACUUGAAUCUUGGUCGUGUCCUAGCUUGGUUCCCCAAUAUAGUUGAUCGGAUACAUCUUCAUAGGACCCUUCUCCAGAUUUUCUUGCUCGAUUGUCUUCUGAGACUUAUUCUCGAAAUGCACAUUCUCUCUCUAUUAUCUGUGAGCAGAAGACUUAGAGGUGUUUUAGUUGUGAAGUUGAUGACUUCUCGAUCCUUCUUGGGCCUUGACAUGUCUCCCUUCCGUGCUAAGCUGGAUCUCUUCACUUUCAGUUAUCAUGUCAUUGCACUUUGUUCGGAGGUCACUUCACGUCCUCAUGAGAAUGACUUUCUUUAUGUAAGGGCCUCAGGAGCUUCAGGACGUCAUGGAUAGAUUGAAGGCCAAGCUUCGGGAAAUUGAUUCAUCUGCCCAAGACCUUAAGGAACUGUUAGCCUGAAGUUCGAAAGGCUCGAGAUACUGCCAUUGUCGACUUGGAGGCUUUAGCUAUGCCCCCAGUUCAGUUUGAUGUAUCAUGACCUUUGGAUCAUGACUUCAUGUAGCUUUUAUUUCUUCCAUCACUUUUGAAGAUAAAGUGUAUUAUCGAGGAUUUCAGGGUCAAGUGUCUCAAUCACUUUUGAAGUUGAAAGUAUAACUCUUUUUUUUUUCUGGAUCGAGGGCUGAUUAAUCAGGUGCCUCAUUACUUUUGAAGUUGAAAGUAUAACUUUUUUGGGUCGAGGGCUGAUUAAUCAGGUGCCUCAUUACUUUUGAAGUAGAAAGUAUAACUUUUUCGAGUCGAGGGCUGAUUAAUCAGGUGCCUCAUUACUUUUGAAGUUGAAAGUAUUUUUUUUUUGGGUCGAGGGCUGAUUAAUCAGGUGCCUCAUUACUUUUGAAGUAGAAAGUAUAACUUUUUCGGGUCGAGGGCUGAUUAAUCAGGUGCCUCAUUACUUUUGAAGUUGAAAGUAUAACUUUUUUGGGUCGAGGGCUAAUUAAUCAGGUGCCUCAUUACUUUUGAAGUAGAAAGUAUAACUUUUUCGGGUCGAGGGCUGAUUAAUCAGGUGCCUCAUUACUUUUGAAGUUGAAACUAUAACUUUUAAGAAAUUUGCUCUGAUCAAAAUUUGAUGUAUUUAUUUAACGAUCAAGAUAUAAUACAUUUUUUUUUCAUUUUCUAGUCUGCUAGGGCAGUAGCUUAUUCAGCAUUAUGCUUCUUAUUAUAGUUCGAUUUCACCUGCCGCUAAUUUUUCAUGAUAAAUUCUCCUCAAAUUACGACAAUUCAUGAUGGAAUGUCCUGGGUAUUGAUGAUACACGCAAAAGUCUGAUCUCUUCUUCAUCUCCUCGGUCACAACAAAUCUGGGUUUUGGAGGCUUCACCAUUCCAUUUUCUACCCAUUUCUCAUACAAAUCUUUAAAUAUCUCCUCACCACAAGUGAUAGCUUCGGGCUCUAGCGAAUUUAUAUUCUUUUUGAUUCUUUCCCUCUUGCCCCCCUGUGGCUCUGACUGAGAGUCUGUCAAAGCCGUAGUAGCUGUCCUCUUACUCUUCCAGGUAGCAAUCGGAUGGUUCACAGAUACUGCCAUAAUUUCUCCAUGGUCCUGUGCAAAGGUGGAAAGUGUCGCAAAGGAAUCACAAGACUUAGUGAUCAAGUGGGGCUUGAAGGCGUCGAGGGCGCCGUUGUUGCAAAUACUCACUAAAUUCUUCUCUUCGAUUGGCUCCACACACUUCCGCGCCUGGGCCCGAAAGGUGGAAAGUGUCGCAAAGGAAUCACAAGACUUAGUGAUCAAGUGGGGCUUGAAGGCGUCGAGGGCGCCGUUAUUGCAAAUACUCACUAAAUUCUUCUCUUCGAUUGGCUCCACACACUUCCGCGCCUGGGCCCGAAAUCUGUCAACAUAAUCAGAUAACUCCUCAUUCGAAUUUUGUUGAAUUCUCAUAAGCUCUAUAAUUGACACUUCCUUCUGAACAUAAAAGAAUUUUUUGAAAAACUGGUGUUUCAUAUCAUCCCAAUCUCGAAUCGAACCCUUCUCCAAAUUGUAGUACCAGCUGAAGGCACCGUUAGUGAGCGUCUUGUUAAACUCCCUCAAUAGAAUAUUGUGGUUGCUCACUUCAUCUAUUCCCAACCACGAGGACAUCGACUCCACAAAUCUUGCAAUAUGCUCUCUCGCAUUCCCUUUCUCUCCACUAUACUUAGGGAACUGAAGUGGAUGUUCAAUGUACCCAGCAGGGUAUGGCUGUCUUCUCACAUGCGCCGGGUAUGGUGGGGUGAAAUCCAGUUCCGCAGGCCUGACUGUCUGUCUACGCAUCUGAUUGAUUACAUCCAUCAUGUCUUCCCUUGUCGCAUAUUGACUGGUUUCUGGAGCCUUUUGGGACGUCAUCGCAUACUGGUUUAUCUGAGGUGUAUGUGGAACACAUGUUGAUGCACACUUGCCUCAUGUAAGAUUGGUUGUACUUGCUGGAUUAUUGGUUGUAUAUGGCUUGGGAUGGUUGGUAUCUGCACUUGUGAAAAUGCUGGGAGUGUAAUCGGGAUGAUGUUUAGCUGAGGCUGGCUAGCUUCCAAUCUAAGUGGUGGUACAUCACCACUGUUCUGGGGCUCCAAGUUGAUGACUGGAAUCGGCUGACUCUCCAUUGCUGGAGGUAUAAUCUGAUUCUCUUUGUUGUUGUUGUUGUUGUCCUCCACUUCUCCUGCUCGUCCCCCUUGCGAACUUCCUGGGAACAUGGUCUUGAAAGUGGGGAUUUGCAUCAACUGCUGGCAAAAAUUCUCCAUUUCUUCUUGCUUUCUCUGCAUCUCUAGCAUCAUGGCCAUCAUCAUCCCUUGCCCUUCUCGUGCUUCUUUCAAUGCUUUAAGCAUCUCCAGUUGCACAGCAUUCGUCUGGUCUCCCCCUGCAUCUUCGCCUUGCCUUCUUGCAUUGGUUUGUUGUUGAUUGGCCAUAUGUGGUGAUGUCGAACUCCCUUCCAAAGCGUCUUCAAUAAUUGGUUGGUCAAAAUCCAGGUUUGCGCCUUGGAAAACUUGAGUUACUUGUCUUGGAACUGGAUCCGGUGACGUAAUGCUAUUUGUUGGUGAAGCAGCUCUUCCUGUAAUUCUCCCACUUCGAGUCGUGGGCAUACCCUUCACGAAUUAUACACCUCCCCAGCAGAGUCGCCAAAGAAAUGUGGGCAAGGAAAUUGUACCUUAGUAGGGUUAGGGUUUCGUGUUGGCUGAGGAGGAGAGAAAUCCACGAAGAGCACGGAAUUGAUUGGUUGAUUGAAGAGGGGAGAACGACAGGUGGGCGAUUACUCCAACGACGUGUGGCAGAACCCCUAGAAUACAGGAACCGUGUUAGGGUAGUAGGGUUUCCAAGAUCCUUCUUGAGUCCUUUGUUCUUGAGAGAAUGUCUAAACCCCUUUUAGUGCUUUUAGGUGGAAUCUCCGAGCCUUUAAGUCACCAAAAAGGGUCCUUUGAUCUUCCGAGAGUCCAAGUCUUGAGUCUAAAGAGAAGUCCCUUUCCCAAUGGAAUGGAAGGGGUAUUUAUAGGGUUUUCUGGAAAGUAGUCAUGUGCGAGGCACAUGCUUUCAGGGAAAUUCCAGAAAUGCCCUUUAGUCAUUAGAAUAAUGCCCAUGUUGCCCUGUCCUUCUAGCCACCAAUCCAAUCCCUCAAUCAAUUCCCACAUCGAGCCGCCUCCACGAGUCUUCUGCCUCGGGACACGUGGAGGCUUCUCCCAGGUCUAGCACAUUUAUUUAUGACUUUUUUGUCUUCAUUCCAUUCGGUUAUGCGAACCCUAAUUUGCACAUUUAAUGAGGUCGUGGAACCCUAAUUGCGCAUUUAAUUCAAUUAGGUCAUGUGAACUCUAAUUUUACACUUGGGCCCACACUAGUAAAUGAUGAUUUUCUUCUAACCAGAAGUAUGAGCAGGUUAAAAGUAGAAGAAUAAGCAUCUCGCAGGCCAAAAAUCAAUAAAAAAACGAAAAGAAGAAAAAGAAAAGAAGAAGACAGCAAUAGCAAGACCAUAUUUUUCUUCUUCUUUCUUUUUAUCUUUUCUUUCUUUCUUUUUUGUUUCUUUUUAGACGGAGGGUUUUAUUUCAUCUUUGAAAAUAAACCUAAGAAUUUAUCAAAGGAAAUAAAGGAUAAACGACAAUACAAAUAUAUAUUUUUAUUUUAUUUUCAAAUAUAUACGCAUGCAUGAUAAAGAUUCACAAUUAUACACACAUAUAUAAUAGGCUACAACCAACAAUCUACUAAACAAUUUGUAAACCAUCGAGGUGUUUUAGUGACAACCUACCGUCUACCAAAUCGUUAUUAGUUAACGAGUUAGUGUAAAUUUUCAUUUUGGAAGCUAGUAUAAACUAUCAUCUCUCAAAUUGUUAUUAGUAGAGGAGCUACGAAUGUAAACUAUCGUCUAACAAACUAUAUUAGCUGAUGAACUAGUGUAAACUAUCAUUUACUAGAUGUAUGAGCAUGUUAAGAGUAGAAGAAUAAGCAUCUCGCAGGUAAAAAAAUAGGAAAAGAAGAAGACAACAAUAACAAGGCCACAUUUUUCUUUUUCUUCCUUUUUAUCUUUUUUUUUCUUUUUUGUUUGUUUUUAGACGGAGGACUUCAUUUCAUCUUUGAAAAUGUGGGUAAAGAAAUUGUACCUUAGGUUUUCAUGUUGGCUGAGGAGGAGAGAAAUCCACGAAGAGUACGGGAUUGAUUGAUGAAUUAAAGAGGGCAGAAGAACAUGUGAUCAAUUACUCUAAUGACAUGUGACAAAACUUUUAGGAUCCGAGAACCUUCUUAGGGUGCCAAAGAUCCAGGGAGUCUUCUAGGGUGUGCUUCGGGUUGAGAGAGAAUCUCCAAGUCUUCAAUCUUUCGAAAAGCCCUCUUCUUCAUAGAAUAGAAGGAGUAUUUAUAGAGUUUCCUGGAAAGUGGUCACAUGACAGACAUAUGACCUCGAGCAAAUUCCAAAAAUACCCUUAGUCACCAGAGUAAUGCCCAGAUCGUCCUGUCUUUCUAGCCACCAAUCCAAUUCCUCAAUCAAUUCUCAAAAUGAGUUGCCUCCAUAAGCCUUUUACCAUGGAGGCUCUUCCUUGAUCUCAUGAUACAAAGCUCUUAUUGCUCAAACCAUGCUUACUUGCUCUUCCUUCUUUAUUUAAGAAUCUCGUCGCCAGAAAUCAUCGGAAGAACUCUGCGCAAGACCCGGGAAGCCGCGUGUUACAAACCAGUCCCACAUCGAAAGAUAUGGAAAAAAAUUAGUCUAUAUAUAAGGAAUUAUGUUACUACCAAUAAUAUACUUUUAAGUCAUGACCUUUUGGGUGAGCCUGUGGUGGGAUAAGAUGACCCAAUAAUAUACUAUUGGGUCAGUGGUUUAAGGCCUUGGGAUUCGGACUUGGGAUUUGACCCAAGAUUUGUUUUGGGCAAUUUUACUCAGGUUGUUACAUAUGGUAUUAGAGCCGACUCUCGAAAGCUCGGGUCGGAUCAUCCGAUCGGGUUGCCGGAAGUGGGGACACGAAACCAGCCGAUAUUAUCCCACAAUGGCUAAAGAGGCAAAGAUCUGUGGAACGUAUAUGUGAUCGAUUUUGAUGGAGAUGUCAAAAAUUUAAGUGGGGUAGUUUAUAACACCUCAGUCCCACAUUGAAAGAUAUGGGAAAUACUAUUGUGCAAUGAUUUAAGCUAUCCAGCUAUAUUGUUAUAGUUUGGAUAUAUUCCAGUAUGAGAAUUAACAAACCCUGAAAUGGGAUAUUUUUAUUGCACUCUGGGAGUGGUGACGUUGAACAUGGAAGUUGUUCUGGAUAAGAUAGUAUUGAUUAAUAAAGGGCAUAUAUAAAGGGCUGAUCAUCCAUCGUGCUCAUAAGAUAAGAUGGUUCACAAAUAAAUUUUUAAGAAAACCUUUUCAAGAAAAGAAAAAGCUUGUUCACGGUCUUAUGACCUCUCAGAUGUUCAAUAUUGAUAUGAUAUUCCAGGAAUAUGAAUGAUUCAAGAUUUAAUUGCUUUACAGUUUUGUUUCACUGUUAAAGCAUGUCUCAAAGAAAACAUUUAAUUAUUGUUAAGAUAUUAAAGAAUGCUAUUACUUAUUGAGCAAUUGAAUGCUCAUUCUUGUUUUGUUAUAAAUGUUUUCAGCUAAUCAGGCUCCAACGGAGGGGUCUAAUAGAGACAAAGGAAAAGGAAAAGCUACUGAGUAGUAGGUAUAUGUUGUAAUAAAUAGUUUAUAUGUUUGUAGAUAUUUAACUAUCAUGUAAUAAGCACUUAAUGGUUACGUACCUGGUAUUAGAAGAACUCUGAUAUAAUAAAUCUAUCAAGUUUGAUAUUAUAUUAUGUUGAAUGCUUGAUAUCUUGAAGCACUGAAUAAGGGUUUAAAAUACCCGAAUUUGGGGGCGUCACACGCCCGAUUCGCCUCCUUUGCGUAUGUUUAACAUGCUCAUACAACUUGUCUAAUACUCCAUUGAUUAAUUCUAAGUAUCAUUAUAUUUCAUAACUUUCAUGUUUAAUAACUUAGAAUAACAUAUUUUAUCGUCAAAAGCAUCCACGUAGUACGAGCAUGCCCGACGCCCUCCGAUCGCCUCCGAUCGAAUGCACAAUAGUCCUAAAAAUAGCCAUUUUAGCCCCUUCUCCCGACCUCAAAUCUCAAAACUUAUAAAAUAAAAGUUUUAGGUCAACUUCUAAUAUUUUCGAAUCAUCUUGAAUCACCUCAAUCAGAGUUCGUAUAAAAAGGUUAUGCAUGUUUUACUAAAGAACGUCAAAGCUGACUUUCUGCACUUUUGGUUCAGCGCCCAUCCUAGGCCUAUUUCCAACGCCCCGGGGCUGGACGGCAGUACGUUCUCAGCCAAAAACUUCAAUUUUCAAAAAUCUUCAGUUUUGAAUGAUUUCAACAUGUCUACUUUGAAAUAUCAUAAAUUUCUCCUCCGAUAUCGAAAUGAGCUCGUUCUUAAUGGGUUGAAAAGCUUGCAACACCCUCUACAAAUUUCUCAGGACAAAAUAAUUUUCUGGAUUCUCUAACAAUCCUUUAAACUUUCUCAAAAGUCCAUCGAGACUAAGAUUUUUAUCAUUCAACAUACUUUACCAAAAUUUUCUGCCAUGACUUCGUUUUAACAUAUUUUUACUCCGUUCCAAUUAGAAUAUCUUCAUAAAUUCCUUAUCUAUAAAUCCUUAUUCCCGAAUUUUAUUUAUUACAACCCUAUCAACAAUAUUAAAAUCCAAUUUAAGUACUCUAAAUAAAUAAUGUCUAUCCUUUAAGCUUUGGCCUACGAUUCCAUUCUUGUUACCACUUCUUAUGCAAUUUAACAAGUUAUUUAUCAUGAUCAAAGCACACAUAACUUUAUUUACUCAAGGUCCUUCAUACUCUUUCAUUAAACAACCAUCGCCAACAACUAAUGAUUCAAGAAAGACUUCACAGAAAUGAAAAGAUGGAUGGUUCUUACCUUCUUAGUUAUUCUUCUUCUUCCUAGCUUAUGCUUUGUUAGCAUGAUAUACAUUGUUGGGCCCUCCAUCUACCAACUUAAGCUUUUAAGAUAAGUUGGUUACUUAACAUGGUAUCAAAGCUUUGGGUGUGCAAGGUCUUGGGUUCGAAUUUUUCCAGCUGCACAAUUAUCUUUCUAUUAAUUUAACAGUGCAAAUGCACUUUAAUUUCUCCCUUCUCUAUAAAAAAAAGUUGCGUUUGAGAGGGAGUGUUAGCAUGAUAUACAUUGUUGGGCCCACCAUGCAUCUAACAGCUUAAGCUUUUAGAUGAGUUGGUUACUUUGCUCUUCUUUCUCUUCUUAUUGGUAUUCGGCCUCUCUAUUUCUCUCUCUCUCUCACUCUCUUGUUUUCUUUCUCUUCUCUCUAGUUUGCCCUCUCUUCCUUUUUUUUUCUUGCAAAUGAAAUGAAUUGGCUAAGUGAAAAAUCCUCUAGAUCAAUUGAAUUCUCCACUAACUAACUCAACCAUACUUCUAAGGUUAGGUUAACUCGUGUAGGGUUAGGGAAUGAUAGGAUGACACUUGUAAGCUUAAUGUUUAAGGAUGACAAGAAGAUAUAAGCUAGCAUUAAAUUAAAUUUUCACCUUGCUAGAUGAGUCACACAUACUCUCCCUUUUGCUUCUUUAAUUGGUUGGAUCACCCCUCCCUUUCUUAGCUCAUAUUUUAAUUAUCCCAUGUGGGAUAAACAUCAAUCCUCUCCCUUAUCUUACUUUUUCACCCAACUUAUCUUUUAUGAGAUAACUACUAAGUCUCAUUCCUUAUCUUUUCUUCGAUAAGCCUUGUCAUUAAUCCUUAUCUCUUCCUUGUUUUCCUUCAACCCAAACUUACCAUAAAUAGAAAGUUUCCAUCUCACCUUCUCUCUUCUCCUUGUCCAUAUUCAAAUCCCCACAUGUUUAAUUCUAGCAAAUGACACUUGCCCUCUUAUAACUUUGGCUCCUAGUUUGGCUCACUUUUUGGCUCAAAGACCAAGCCAUGGCUCCUAUCCUUUGACUCUAAGCUUAAGCCACUCAAACCUUAGGCUCAACCCUUAGCUAAGCCCCUUUAAAUUCCUAACCAAGUCAUUUAAACCUUAGGUUUGGUUAGACUAGAAUUAAUUUAAUUUCUCUUUUUCUUUUAAAUUAGUUAGAUUUCCUAAUUUUUUAGUUACAUUUUUCGUAAUAUGCUUGGUUAGCUGACAAUCCGACUUUUGAUUUUCAAAAAUCCAAUUUCGCCACCAUUCCUUCUUUCCCGAAUAAACGCUAUGUAGUUCUUCGAAAUUUUAAAAAAAACGAAGUUGGGUUUUUAGCGUGAAUAGUUUUUUUUCAUACGACUUUUUCUAGAAAAAUAUUUUAUUAGAGAUUUCAUCUCGCCUUCUCAAAUAAACACUAUGAUGUAAUUCAAAAUUCUCGAAAAAGUAUGUUUAUUAGCGUUUUUCUGUGAUUUUAAAAAUAGUAACUUUUUCGUCUUUUUCUCGAAAAAAUUAUAUUCUCCCAAAACUCCCAACACUUAUACAUAAUCACGUAACACGUAAACUAGGUCAUUAAUCGACCUAAAUCAUGUAACACAUAAUAAUAUCUAUAAAAUUUUAUUUUAUUAGAUAUUCACAAAUAAAACCUAUUUUCAAGCCUAUCUGAAUUCUCGGGUCGUCACAUAGUAUUUAUAGAGUUUCAUGGAAAGUGUUCACAUGCCAGGAACAUGACCUCAUGGAAAUUCAAGAAAUACCCUUAGUCACCAGAGUUAUGCCUAGAUCAUCUUGUCCUUCUAACCACCAUGCAAUCCAAUCCCUCAAUCAAUUUCAAAAAUGAGUUGCCUCCAUAAGCCUUCUGCCUUGGGACCCAUGGAGGCUCCUCCUCGAUCUCAUGCUUCAAAGCAAUUGUUGCUCAAACCAUACUUUCUUACUAUUCCUUCUUUAUUUGAGAAUCUCGUCGAUGGAAAUCCUCGGAAGAACUCUGCGCAAGAACCAGGAGGCCGCGCCUUAGGGGGGCAAUCCUUAGGGGGCGGAACCCUAGGGAGCUGAACCCUAGGGGGGCCUCCUUCAGUUCUUUUCGUUCGUUUCAACCUUUCUUGGUCAGUUUUCAUCAUUUUCUCAUGAUUCUUGGUCCUGUAAGAAGCCUUUCUUGUCAUAGAGAUUAUAAGGCUAAUCAUUAUUUGGAGUUUCACAAGAUUUUAGUUUAUUUUUGUAGUCCAGGCUUAUUUCUUUGUCAUUGCAUCGAUGAAACCCCUUCUAGCAUGCCAAUCGAGAAAAUGAGGUAGCAUAUGCCCUAGGGUGCCGAACCCUAAGAGGUAAUUUAGAUUUCUUUUGUCCAUCUUUUGUCUGUUUUCCUUUUUUCAUUACGAUAGUUCCAACCAAAUCCAGUCGGAGAAGAAAUUGGUUUUAUCUUUUCUUUAAGGAGAAGUCAUCUUGGAGUGGUUGAACCAUAGGGUGGCCGAACCCUAAGGGGCCAAAAUCCUAGGAUUUUUCCCUUUUUGCUGAUUUAAUGCUUCGUUCAUUAAUUGAAGUCUUGUUCAUUUACUUUCGUCUUUUCAUUUAAUUCAAUUAAAUCAUAUGUAAACCCUAAUUUGUACUUGGGCUCACAGAAAAUAAACCUAAGAAUUCAUCAAAGGAAAUAAAAGAUAAAUGACAAUACAAAUAUUGCGUUUUGUUUUGUCUUAUUUUUUUAAUUUUAUUUUCAAAUAUAUACGCAUGCAUGAUAAAGAUUCACAAUUAUGUAUAUAUAUAUAUACAUAUAGAUACAUAAUAUGGUAAAUAAUAGGUGGUAGUUGUUUUAUUUAUAAUAUGGUAAAUAAUAGGUGGUAGUUGAUUUAUUUAUUACAUGCUAAUAACAGCCAUGAGUUGAUAGUUGAUUUAUUUAUUAUAUGCUAAUAACAGCUAUCAGUUAUUGGUUGAUUUAUUUAUAUAUCGUGCUAAUAACAACCAUCAACUUGUAUAUAGUUUCUUGAUUUACUGCUGAUCGGAAGAUUACUGAUCGUUCAUUUAGGCGUUGGUGGGACUAAUGUUAACACCAUAGAUAACUAAACCCGUCUUCAUAGUCACGCUUUCAGUCCCGUCAAGAGCAAAUUUGAUAUCUCCAUAGUCAAACUUAUUGAAGAAUUCCCCAGCUUUGAGCGAAAAUGGUGUGUUUCUCGGAUAAUUCAUCAAUCCAUAUCCGUUCACUUGCGAGGAUCCAUUCGGAAGAGUAAGUGUAAGACUCACCGGACUUGCUAUGUUAAAGUUGUCUUUCAGCAGCACCACAAAAGAUACCUCAUAAGAUAAAUUUUCAAGCUUUUCUGUCAUAUAGUUUCCGUCAACAUGUAGGACUAAGCUACCAAUUAAUUCAGCACUGUCAGGACUGUAAAAAAUGAUAGUAGAAUUAAAGUCAGAAACUUUUGAUAUAAGGAGCUUAAAUUCAUUAAUAUAGUACAAUUAAUGCGAGUCCUUCUAUCUAACUAGACUUCAAUAAAAUUUCUUUAGUCCUUCUAUCACUUUAAUUUAAUGACAAAGUUGCUUAUAUCCCUAUUUUUAACUGAAUAAAAUUCAGGUGUUUAAGCACAAAUCUUGACCUUUGACGUCAAUUAAGUUAACUAAAUCUUAUUUCUACUUACGUAAACUUCCAGCCCGAAGGGUUGAAAUAAUUGAGUUUCUCAGCAGGUAUAUAAGCGCCAGAACUUUGAAUAAGACAAGAAAAAAAAAUUCAUAUCAUCCAUUACAAAAAAAUCUCACUUGCAAAAUUUACAAAUAUUAAGGAUUAUUUUUGUUCUAUAACCAACUUUAGCUAUAUAUAUGAUGUUUGUUUACAAUUUCAGUAGACUUACCUUCUGCCCUAUUCCGUUGUUUUGGAGCAACUCCAUUUCCUUGGCUUGGGACAACAAUGCCUUGAGGUCAACCUCAUUAUGCCUCACUACUUGUGCCAUCUCCUCGAUCGAUCGAUAACUAUCCUUUAAUUCUGCUAUAUAUAUAUAUAUAUAUAUAUUUUCUGUUUCUAUUCUUGAUGUCUAUAUAUCUCUCUUCCAAAGGCUAGCUCUAUUUAUACUGGCACAAACAGAGGGUACUGCGAUUAUUAUAUUCCAUAAUAUCCUAUCUUCAAAUAUUCCUUCCCUUUUCACAGUAGGGAUCCGAUCCCGAUAAGUUUAACAUCAGCAUCAUCAUCAUCACCAAGGAUAUAGAGCAGCCGAUUCUGUUUGAUAAUUUUGUUGGAAUAAUUCUUUUCCAUUUCUCAGUUCAAUAAUUCUUUCUUUAGCUUGUUGCGCAGGCAAAAUUCCAUGAAGGCGAAAGGUACGUAGGCAUCCUAGUAAAUGAUGAUUUUCUUCUAACCAGAAGUAUGAGCAGGUUAAAAGUAGAAGAAUAAGCAUCUCGCAGGCCAAAAAUAAAAAAAAAAUCGAAAAGAAGAAAAAGAAAAGAAGCCACCAAUAGCAAGACCACAUUUUUCUUUUUCUUUCCUUUUUAUCUAUUCUUUCUUUGAUUCUUUUUUAUAAUUUUUUUUAGAUGGAGUCUUUGAAAAUAAGCAUAAGAAUUCAUUAAAGGAAAUAAAAGUGUUGAAAGUUGUCUUGCAUUAGUCUUCUCCAAAUUCUGUUCCCCUUAGACUUUAGAAUUUAGCCUUUCCCAAAAUUCUGUUCCCCUCAGAUUUCGGAAUUUUGCUUUCCUCAUUUCUUGUUCUCCUCUCCAGAUUUCUCCUAUAAAAGGGAGCUUUGGUGUAAGACCCCAACUUUUAUGAAUAAAGACGAAUUUUUCUAUAAAUAUAAUUUUUGAUUAUUAAGAUGUGAAUUUGAAAAAAUAUUAUAGUUGUGAGUAAUAUUUAAAAAUUUUACAAAGUAAACAAGGUGUUAUAAAAUAUUCGGUUGGUCGAGGAAUAUUCGUUUUAACAGGGAAUAUUCAUACGACGACACAAUCAUUGGUGGACCCCACAACGAAAGUAUUGUCGGAGUUAGAAAACGACAGAAAUAUCUUAUUAUGAAAAUAAUGGCGAAAAUUUUACCGUUAACUGUUGAAAUACCCGUUAGUAAAAGUACAGUAAUACGUAUGGUUGCAUAGUAGUACACGGUAUUAAUUAUUGAUGCUUACGUGAGAAGUCACUCAGUUAUACUCAAUUAUUGUUACAGUAAUUGUUGUAUCAUAUCUCUUAUAUUAUUGAUUCAAUUAUUGUCAGUAUCAUCUGCAUAAUAUUUUAUAUUAUUAAAUCAAUAAUUGAGACGAUAAAGUUAUUCAUAUUAUUAUUUACAAUAUUGACGAUGUCUAGAAGUUCUGUCAAGGAGAGGUUAGGUCAUUUAAUUGCGCGCCAAUAGGGAGAAAUCCUUAUCGGAAAGCCCCUCUUUCCUGAAAACGAUCUGGUUGUUAAUAUUGCGAGUUAUAAUAAUGAUGAAUAAAUUGAAGGAAUUUUAUGAAAUAUUUGUUGUAAGUUUUGCUUAUUAUAUGGACCCCCAUUUAACCAUUUUUCAAAAUAAUCGGUAAAAAAUUAUUCAGUAUUUUUUUUAAUAAAAAAGGUGGGGCCACAUGUGGGGCCCACUGAAAGAAAAAUGGGGGGGGGGAGAUGUUUAUGUUUGUCAUGGGUGAAGGUUUGAUUAUAUAUAUAUAUAUAUAUAUAUAUAUAUAUAUAUAUUAUAAUAAGUCUUUUUUUUAUGAAAAAUAGAAUAUAUUAAAUUUUAUUUGCAUAGUAUUUUACUAUGCAGUGCACAGUAAAGUUUUGUGAAUUAGAAAUUCGGCGCCCGUGAAAUUUUCGAUUGUUUUGUCCGUGAGAAUUUCAAACAGUACCCCUUCCAUCAUCCUAUAAAUAUGACGCUUAUUUUGAAUUGAAAAUCACACAAGAAUCAGAGAAUUUUUUUCUAUAAUAUUGAGUAUAUUUCUUUCGAGUUUUAGAAAGUUUUGAGUGUAGAAAACAGUGAAAGUUUUUUUCAAGAAUAUCCCCGCUAUACCAGUCGAAAUACUCUUCUUAGGAUGUUUUUUUGUUCAAUAUUCGUAUGAAAUAAUAUUUUCUUCCAUACUCUGUAGUAUGUAAAUAAUAUUAUUUCGUUUUAGAUUUCGAAUUCUAUAUCCAUUUUGUUAAAGUUUUGGCUCCUAUACUCCAUGAAAUUAGUAGAAUAUCCUUAAAAUUUGCGUUUCAUCCAGUAUCUUUUCAUGGAAAUAUUAUUCUGAGCAUUCUUGAUAAGUUUUAAUUUUUUCAUGCCAGAGUACUAUAUACGGGGUACUAUUCUCAAAUUACUAUUCACGGGGUACUAUUCACUCGGUUACUAUUCAUCCGAGGCACUAUUCAUGACAAAAAUUAAUUUUUUUUCGGUCCAAAUCAUUUUUGUUACAAUAUUAUUCGUGAAUUUUACUCCAUAAUGCAGUAUCAUAUUGACAAUUUGGACAUUAUUAAAUUAUGGAUAAAUUAAAUUAUAAAUCUUUAAAAAUUUAUCUUUUGCUUUCAUUUAAUUGAAUUCUUAUAUCAUUGUCAUCAUCCUGAUGCUUAUAUUAUAAUGAAAGUCAUUUGUGGCCCGUAGUGCAUAGAUGGACUUGGUAUGAUUAUGACCAGGGAUUAUUUGGUAUAAUCAUGACUGUAAUAUUACAAAUGAUGUGGUAAAAGUCCUCAUUGGCCCGUAGUGCAUUGAUGAACAGUUGUUUUCAUGAUCAUGACCAUUGAUGAAAACACGAAUAUCUUUGGCCCGUAGUGCAUGAAUAAUUUGUGGUUGUGAUACUAAAGAAUAUCCUUGGCCCGUAGUGUAUGGAUAAUUCAGUGAUGUGUAUUAUUUAUUAAGCUGAGUCUCAGCGAUACAAUUGAUGAUAAACCUUUUAAAUAAUAGAAGAUAGUAGAUUUUAUGCUCUACUUAACUCUUCUAAUAGAUUGCUUGUUCCUCUGCAAUUAAACUUGAUGUUUAUUAUAUUUUAUCAGUUUAACAUUGUUGAAGGCUAAUGAUAAUUUAUUCUGUGUUAUCUUAGUCAUAAUAUUUCUUACUGGCUAGUUGAGCUCACCCUUUACUUUCAUUGUUCUCUUCAGGAAAUGAGAAUAUAGCUGGGAUCGACUAGUCGGGGAACGGAGUGACGGUCCAAAUGAUAACAUUAGUAGUCCUCACUAUUCUGUGAAAUAGUGUGAUAAUAAAUGUAAUGAGGACUUAUUUUGAGUUUGAAUACUGUCUAGAAGACAAUAUUUGUAUUAAAACUCACAACUCAUGUUAUAUAUUUAAGUUUAUAUUUGUAUUCUGUACCAUGUAUUUAACGAUUCAAAAUGGGUGAUGUAUACCUAUUCUGGGGGCGUCACAGUUGGUAUCAAAGCUUGGGGAUAUGAUCCCUGGCUGAGAUGAGAGACUAGAACUAGGAGGGGAGAGUCAGGUAAUUCCUUUGCUAGUAUGACCUACCUAAGUUUAUUUGUUAUUUAAUUAGUCGGUCAGAAUAUAGGGAUAAUAUGUUGCAUGUCAAUUAACCCUUGUUUUGUGGCAGUAUUUGAAAAUGACAUCCGAGAAUGUUGAGAAUAGCAAUGGAGUACAUGAGACCGUUGAAUCACCAACGAUCAAUAACCAGGAUAAUGUGCAUCAGGAAGGCAAUAAUCCUCAUGCAAACAAUAACUCCAACAAAAUAAUGAACGACAAAAUGUUUAUGAGCUUUCUUCAAUUCAUGCAACAUCAGGCAAGAGAGACUCCUGUUCAAAAUGUAGGUGGAAAUACCGGCAACUCUCGAACGGUCACCGCUAAGCAAUUCAAGGAGCUGGGACCACCGAAGUUUUUGGGAAAGCCAAAACCACUUAAGGCGGAGACAUGGUUAAAGCAGAUCACUAAGAUAUUUGAUGUCUUUGGAUGCUCCGAGGAGCAAAAGGUUCCCUUUGCCACCUUCAUGUUGCGAGGAGAGGCAGAUCAUUGGUGGAAAUCUGUAAAAUGUACCCAGCUUGCCACAUUAAAGAUGUCUUGGGAGAAGUUUCAAGAACUGUUCAACGACAAGUACUUUUUCGAAAGUAUUCGUUAGAUGAAGGAGGUGGAGUUCAUCAGGUUGGAAUAAAACAAUAUGACCAAGACGCAGUACGAGGCUAAGUUUGCGGAGUUAUCCCGGUUUGCAUCUCAUUUGGUUGUUAAUGAGGAGAGAAUGACGCGGAUAUUUUUAAGAGGUUUGAAACCUGAGAUAUGUCAAUAUCUCAUUCUCACAAACUUUGCUUGUAUUCAGAUGUUGUGAAUAUUGUAAUAACUCGAUAUUUUCUAUAUAAUUAAAUCAGAAAUUUUACGUAUGAAUUUUUUUAUUUAAUUAUUAAAGUUGGAAAUAUGUGCCAGGUAAUGUGUAUAUGUAUAUAUGUGAUAAAUAAAAUAUAUUUAUUACAUGAAUAAUUACCAAUAGUUUUAUUUUAGAAUUAUUGCUCAUUAUAAAUUAUAUUAUAAUAAUAAUUAGUUUUAUACUAAAAAUGUUUUCAUUAAUUCUAUUCUAUGAAAAUAUGUUUAUAUAUUAUUUAAAAAUUAUAUGAAAUGAUUAUAUAAUUAUUAUAAUGAUUAUUCUAUUUUAUUAUAUGAAUUUAGUUCAGAUUAUUUAAGUUAAUUAUUUUAACUUAAUUAUUAUUGUUAUGUAUGCAAGAUAAAUCAGAUAUGGAAUCCAAACCCUAAUUUUGGAUUUUGAACAAGGAAUGAGAAUAUUAAUAUAAUAUUAAUUAUAUUUUUAUUUUUCAGUGCUAUAAAUAUAUAUGUUAUGUUUGUAAGGUUAAUCUGGGGAGCAAUUUUCUUAUGACCUGAUAAAACCCUAAUUUGAAAGUCAAUUACGACUGUAAAAUUUGUUAAGUCAUUGUGAUAUGUGGUCUAUGAUUUGUAUUAUAAGUAUUAAUGUUAAUUCUAUAAAACCCUAAUUAGUAAUUUAAAACUCUAUUUUUCUUAAAUUAGGAACCCUAAACAGUACUUAGCUAUCCGCUAAGUGAAAACCCUAAUUUAAAACUCAGCUAUGAGUCGAGACUGUUAUGUAACUGUAUUAUUAUGUUUAAGGUUAAGUAUUAUAGAAUUUUAUAUUAAUUAAAGAAACCCUAAUUAACAUUUAGAAAUUCUAAUUUCUAGAAACCCUAAUUUCUAAAUUAGUAACCCUAAUUUGCUAAAACAAAACUCUAAUUGUUAAUUUGGCACGCUUAAUGAUAAUUAGUAAAAUUUAAACCUAAUUUUCAAGUCUAUGUAAUGAGGAAACCAAAUUAAUUAUGAAACCUUAAUUUGUAUUUUUAGAAACUAAAAAUUUCAAUUUUUUUAAAAUUAGAAAUCCUAUAACACUUUGUGCUAACCCUAAGGGUCAAACCCUAAGGGUUUGAUAAGUUACUAGUUUGCCCUUAAAUUGAUUAGCCAAAUGACAAAAAUACCCCUCUUGCAUUAUUGGACAUAACUUGUAAGACUAGCCAAUUUUGAGUUGCUCAACAACUCUUACCAGCCCCAUGUGACUAAAAUGCCAGCAAUCAAGCUCUAGAUAUCAGCCAACUUGAUUUCAUGUUUUAUAUAUAUAGACAUCAAGAGAGAGAAAUUUCAUUUAUUAGCCACAUUUGUACACAAACUCCUUACCAACUCUCUCUCCCAAAACCCAUGAAAUGUUGUAGUAGAUCAGUCCCGUAUUGAAGCCCCACUAACACACUUAAGCAAAUCAGCAGCCAGAAUCAAGAAUUGAUGCUUAAAGGUAUAAAAUCCUAAGUCAAAUUUUGAUCUUGUAUGCUAUAUUGGAUUUGUGGUUUUAAUGUUUAAUCAUGUUGAAUAAGGUGUUAAUAGGUGAUCUGGGUUGGCACAUGUUAGAUCCAUAACAUCAAAGUGCUCGAAAUCUAAGUUUUUCAAAAUAUGGAAAUUUUUGUUUUUGUUGUCUGACAGCGAAUGUCAGGCCUUGUAGAUCUGUGCUUAUUUAUUAUUUUGAUGAUUUAAAUGUUUGAAGUGGUAGUCUGGUAUGAGGUCUUUCAUAUGAAAAUGGAAUCACUGUUAUUGGAUGUCUAGAUCGAAAAUUAUUGAUGGUCAAAGGUCGUUGACUGACCAUGACCGAGUAUGAAUCUGGGCAACCUUGAAAGCUUUUUCAGCGUCUGAAAAUGUUUUGGAAGGCUUAGAUCUGUCAGUGUGUAAAUGAUUUGAUGAUGUUAUAAUAUCCAGUUUAUAGCUUGUCAUAUGUAAUUUAUAUUUGUGGCUUUAUAUCCUUUAAACAAACAAUUGAUCGAACUUAGUGGAUGGUCAAACCUGGCCCCUCGGUCACGAUUUCAUUUCUGGGAAUUUCCAGAAAAUCGAAAGAACAGCCCUCUGACAGGGUUUGACCGAGUAAUAUCUUGUAGAUCUGUUGAUGUUAAACUGAUUUGUUGUUAUAUUAUUGUUCCUGGACAUAAGGACUACAUCUUUGAGGCAUUAGAUCACUUGAAUCAUGAACGGAACCUAGAUUAAAUCGAGGAUGAAAGUGACUGGUCGACCACCUGGGUUUCUGGAAAACCCAGGAAUGCUCUGACAACAUAUUUGCAAGCCUAGAUCUCCUUGUGUGUUUGUUGUAUGACCUAGAUAUUGAUUGCUAGUUAUAGUGUUGUAUAAUGACUUCAAUAUUGAUGCUUAAGUUUGCCCAAAAACGAAUUAGACAGAGAAUUAUUAGUGGUCAAAGUUGACCCCUCAAACACGAAGCUGUCAGUGUUCUUGAGCUCAAGAACACCAACAGCGACGCUUAGUGUCACUAAAGGCCAAUAGCGAUGGUUUCUAAUAUUUUUAAUUUCUGAUUUUCUAGAAAAUACUUAAAAAUAGAAAAUAAAUUAUAAAAAUUACAAAAAUGGUUUUAAAAAUUAUUUUAAAUUAUGAAAAUUAACUUUUAAUUAUUUGGGAUAUUUUUUAUUAAUAUUUAUAAUUAUUUGAAUAUUAUUAAUAUUUAAUUUAUUUAAUUAGUGUAUUAAAUAAAUUAGAGAAAAAUGAUUUUAAUGUUAUAAAAAUCAAUUUAAAUAAGAAUAAAGUGUUUAAAAAUAUUUUUGAGUUAUAUAUGUAACUUUUAAUAUUUUUGUGAUGAAUUUCAUUAAUUAAUUAAUAUUAAUGAUAAUUAAGUUAUUUAAUAAAUGUAUUAAAUAAAUUAUGAAAAAUAGAAAUUAUGAUUUAAAAAUCAUAUAAAAGUGAUUUAAAGAUUAUAAAAAAAUAUUUUAAGUUAUAAAAUAUAACUUUUGAUAUUUUGUCAUGAAAAAUAUUAAUAAUUUUAUAUUAAUAAUAUUAGAUUUAUUUAAUGAUUAUAUUAAAUAAUUUAGUUUAAAAUGAUUUUAUUAUUAUAAAAUUAUUUUAAAUGAAAAUAAAGUGUUUAAAGAUAUUUUAAGUUAUAAAAUAUAACUUUUAAUAUUUAAAGGAUAAUUUCAUUAAUAAUUUAAUAUUAAUGAUAUUAAUUUAAGAUUUAUUGAUAUUAAAUUUAUUCAAUAAUUAUAUUAAAUAAAUAGUUUUAAAAUGGUUUUAUUAGUUUAAAAAUUAUUUAAAAAGGAUAUAAAUGAAUUAAAAAUAUUUUAAGUUAGAAUUAAUAACGUUUAAUAUUUGGAUAAAUAGUAGAUUAAUAUUUUAAUAUUAAUGGUAAUUAUUUAAAAAUGAUUUUAAAUGUUUAAAAAAUUAUUUAAGGGUAAUAUUAGCACUUUAAAAAUAUUUUGAGUUAUUAUUAAUAACUUUAAUAUUUUGGCAAUGGUUUCAUUAAUAGUUUAAUAUUAAUUAAAUAUUAAUGAUAAUAUGAUUAUUUACUAUUUAAAUCAUUUAAUUAUGAUUCUAGUGUUUGAAAAUUCAUAAUAAAUUAUAAUAAAUGUUUAAAAAUUAUUAUAAGUCAUUUAAAAAUAAUAUGACUGAUAUUUGUAGAUAUUGAGAUACAGGAUAGAGUCUUAGACUCGAUAUUUACCUGAUAAAGCCGUCGGUAGACCGACAUGUUUCAAAAAUUGAUCUAGACUUAGAUAUUUUGACUGUAUUAAUAUUUGUUUGUGAUUCAAUGACUGUUGAAUAUGUGUGACAAUGUGAUUAGGUUAUAUGCUGACUGCAAUAAGCAGUGCUAUGUUAUUCUAAUCGAACGAAUGAUCUUAUUAAUGAUAGAUUUUGGUAUUAAAGAUAAAACUAAGUUGCGUAUUGUAAGCAGCAGACCAGGCAAGUAUCAUAUAUUUGCAUUUUGUUUAUGUGACGCCCCCAAAUCCGGGUUAUCUUUAACUCGGGUUUGGUGCUUACGAUUCUAGAAUACCCAUUCAUACUAAAAAUAAAACUGUCUUAUAUUACAUAAACAUUGAACUUAAAUCCCAGGUUCUAGAGACCUUUACAUACAAGCCAAAUAUUAUUACAUCAUAGUGCUACAGUAUUUAUUACAUGCACUACUUAGGUUCAUUUAAGCACAUGCGCUUAAUAAUUGACUACUCAACAACCUUGCCCUUUCCUUUGUCUUUUCCAGAUGGACCGGCAACCUCAAUUUUAACUGAAAACAUUAUAUUUAACGCAAGGGUGGGCAACAAGUUUGCCCAGCAAGGAAAUAAGCAGCUAAAUAUAAGAGAACAAAAAUAUUACAGUAAUGGGGAUAUCAUACAGAAGGUAUAGAACAAAGUAAUUCUUAAGAGUGUUGAGUCAAAAGUCAGGAUUUAUCAUGCUGUAAGGUCAAAUGACCAGUGAACACUAUACUAGAAUUUACAGUAAUAAUACUGCAAUCUAUGAAUACAAACAGUUAUAAAGCUGUUUUAUAUCCUAGACUCGUACUUCAGGGGAUCAGCCUAAGUACCCUAUAUUGUGCACAACAUAACAGUCUAAUAAAACUUUACAUGUCCUUCAGAAUCAUAUAUACGGUACAAUACGCCCCUAAAAAAGGGUUGUUCGUUCACAGCAUUAUAUAAGAAUCCAUACCACAAUAACAAAAUGGUUUGGAAAGAAUUAACUGAUAAAUUCAUAAACAAUAUCAAUAUAUCUCAACCUUUGUCCAAGCGAAGUAAUGGUAUUGACAUACUUUCAAUAUAACUUUUAUUCAAGAUAGAAAAGUUGAUAUACUAUUCUUUUGAAGCUGAUUGGAAUAAAAAGGCUAUUUAACCUUAUAUUAUUCAUAAAUAAGGACAAACAGUUCAGAAAUUAAAGAACCUGUCCACUGCAGAAUAUUUGCUCAAUAAAGAGUAAGGAUUAGAAACUUGCCUUGUUUGUAGUCUAUCGUUUAGGAUUUCAGCUUAAUUGAAGUAUUUCUCAAAGUCCUACACAGUUAUUUGUAUUAACAAGCAUGUUAAUCACAUAGCUAUGUUAUAUAGUUUGUAAGCUCACAUAUCACAUAAUUUCAGUGAUUAUGGUUGUAGUUAAAUUAUUAUUUUUGAUACAUUUUUCAAAUAUCUCAUCCAUGCUUUCAAGAGACAUUUUUCACUUUGAUGGGUUUCAACAAGCUUUCAACAAGUAAUAGAAAUCAUAUUACAGUCAUCAUUUGCAUUAACCAAGUAUGUUAGCCACAUAGCUAAGUCAUAUAUCAUGUAGUUUUAAUGGUCAUGGUUAGAUUUCCUAUAUUUGAUACAUUUUUCAAAUACCUCAUCCAUGCUUUCAAGAGACAUUUUUCACUUUAUUAGUGUUCAAUAUGCAAUACUUUACAACUACCAUCUCCAUUUCCUUAGUAACAUAGUAUAUAAUCAUUUUAUGUUUCCUUUACUUAAUUUCUAGCAUAUAAGGUGUUUUCAUAGCUUAUUGUCGGUUUUGAAGGUAUUUCUUAUAUGUAUGGUUAACCUAUAGUCUUCCUCAUAGUUUAUAGAUUCAUUUUGACACACCAGUGUAUCAAUUAUCACUGUUUUCACCUAUGAUGCUAAAACAGCCCUUUGAGGCUUUAAUUUUUUUAAACAUGACUUAAUGAUCCCAAUUUAGGUUUACUGUUUAUAUUAGAUUUCAUUUAGAAUUUUUCUCCUACACUUGCUUGCAUCAUAACUCUACUCAUUUAGAGAAACAUAAUCUAUCCUUUAUAGAUAAUCUGGUUACUAAAACUAAAUUUGGAUUCAAACAUGAAUUUUACAAAACAGUCAUUAUUGUAGCUGCUAUACCACAACUGUUGUUUCCCAUUCUACUUGUUGUGGCUAUUGGUAUCAGCUAUAUGCUGCCACUAUUAGGCAGUAAGUCACAUCACUCAUGCCCAAAAAUGCUUCUAAAUUAACCUUUUCAGCUGGCUUUGCAGGCUUUGCAGCCCUUAAUUGAGCCUUACAGCUCAAUAAUCUCUGUAACACAUUUCAGUUAUUAGUCUUAUCUUAUAACUUGCUAUUCCAUUAACAUUUUCUAUGUAUGAAUGCACUGCCAACUGCUACUGCUGGUGUUGCUGUUGCUGCCAAUGGGCAGCGACUAUUAUUUUCUUACCAUAAGCUGUUUGGUCUGUUUCAAGUGCUGCAGUCACAUGUCAUCAUGCUCCAUCAACUAGAGUAAACAAAAAUGCAUGAACUUAACUUACUAACUGCAGCCCAAGAAAAACAAACUCAGCUGUCAAAAUGACAGUGCAGUCAUCUACUUGAAGUUGCCAAGGACAACAGCUAUCCGAAGCUUUUUGCUACUGUCAUUAGCAGCCUCCCUUGCUCCUUAACCCAUUCCCAACAAUCCUCUAACCUCAGUUUUGCUAUAUUUCUAGGAAUAGGCCUCAUGGCUAUAAUCUUUUAGAGUUAUAAGGUUAUCCCAGUUGGCCUAUUAAGCUUUGGCUCCUUGGUUUAGUGACUGUUUCAACAGAGUAGGCAAAGGAGUUUGUCAAGCUAGAAUUACUUAGCCUAAAAACUGAACUAUGCUAAAAAUUUCUAUGCCAAAACAUUACAGUCAUCACAUAUGUUGGGUAAAUCAGGUAAAUAGUGUACUAGUUCUACUAUUCAGUUUCUUUUUACUAAAACAGUCCUCUUAGGUCUUUUAUCAAACAGUUGGUGGGCAUGGUUAUAAGCUACUAGUUCCAUAGCCAUUUGUUUAUAUUCCAACUCAUAUUUUCCCCUUAUUACUCCACAGCCCACUUAUCUCCUUGUGCUUAAAUUAUAACAAUAUCAUAAUGGCAUAACAAUCAAUGAAAUGUUACAACAGUUUAUAUAUAGCAGCUUAACACCCACAUAGCAGUCCUCAAAUCCAUACUAGGCCUUUUAGGCUAAAUGAUCAAAACAGUCCUUAAGUUUUUAACACAAGGAUUAAUAUAACAUGUACAUACUAUGUUUUAUGGUUUAAAGACCCCAAUACCAACCAUCCUGUCUUGACACUAUAACAGCUUUAGACUAGCAAUUUGGUCAUGGUUUAUCACACCAAACCAAUAGCAAGCACUGAUAUGUAUGCCUUUCUAACACUAAAACAUUUUACCUACCAUAUUUUCAUGGUUUAAAGCAUCUAGAGGCAAGGUCCUUAAGUUUAAAAUCAAAACAGCCUCUCAUAGGCUUUUAAAGUAAUAUAAGAUAGCAUGCUUGGGCAACAUGAAAACAAGGACUGCCUACUAUGAAUAUAUUAGAAGUAAGGCAUGAUCAUCAUAAUAAACUUCUAAUAACAGUCCACAUAAUGCAAUAACAGUUCAUAUAAGGCAAUAAUAAUUUAUAUAGCAACUAAAGUCCUUCUAACAGUCAUUUAUGCUUAUUCUAGUCACCACAACAAGUAUACUGUCUUAGUCCAUUCUGUAUACUAGUUCUGGGCAUGGUAAUAUAUUUUACAAUCAUAAAUAACCAACCAUCUUGGACUCCUUUCCAGCCACACUGUUUUGCCAUUAUAGCAGUUUUAGACUAGCACCUUAGGCACAGUUCAUCACAGCAAAACAGUAGCAACAUAGCAUAGCGUAUCAGUCCAGUUAUUACAAUAACAGUUGGUAUAUCACAAGGAUGAUGCUACAGCUAUUCAAGUCUCUUUUAGGCCAUUUUGGCAAGGUUUUAGUAAUAAGUUAUCAAAGCGGUCAUUAGUGUGCAAUACAAAGAUUAUUACCUCAUGUACAUGCUAUAGAAUAUAUGUUCAUGUUUUAAGAGCCUAUAUACAAGGUUUCUUGCUGUUAGUUCAUAACAAUCCCUUAUAGGCUUCAAUUUAAUACACGGAAGCAUGAUCUGAAAAAUUUAGUUAUCAAAAUAACAUGUUUAAACAUAAACAUAUACUCGAGGUAUUCUUUUUCUUUCUAUAUAAUCAAGUAGACAUGCUAUUAGGCUCUAUUUACAGCUAGCAUACCUUGAUACCAUAACAGUCCAAUUAGAGCAAUAUUUUAGGCAUGGUCUAUUACAACAAAAUGGUAGCAAGCACUGACAUGUUUUCCUUUCUAACACAGGCACCUUUUAUUUAUCAUAUAUUCAUGAUUUAAAACAUCUAAAGGCAAAAUCUCUUUGCUUUAAGCCAACACAGCCCUCUUUAGGACCCACUUUCCAAAAAUAACCAUGGUUUACCCUUAUGUUUACAAGGAUAACAUGGAUGUGCAACAUAGAAGUUUAGACUAUCUUCUUUAUAUGGUAUUUAAGAUGCAAAAAUAUAUUUGGAUGUCAUAGAAUGCCUUACCCCAUAUAUAUCAGUCCUUAUUAAGCCUCAAAUCUAGCAUACCAGUUUCUCAGAAUAGUGGCCAAGUCUUGGUUAAUUGCUUAGAUUACAUAUAUGCUAGUAUACAAUAGUUAUACCCAAUACAUCAUGCCACAUAUAACAUAUAAGCAGUCCUUUAUUAAUAAUCAUAGCAUAACAGUCCAUUUAACAUCAUAGCAAUUCAUAUGGUAACACAGAUCAUGCUAACCGAAAUCAUAAUAUCAUUAACUUUUUAGCAGCUCCUUAGCUUGACAAAUUAUCAAACACCUAGAGUGCAGUCUAUAUACUUGCACUUAAUACAUAAUUUCUAGCCCUCUGCCCCCAGCCGUAUGGCUUAAACAAUAUCAAGCAUAAGACCACACUUAUCAGUACCAAACCCAGCAGUUCAAAUAACAUGAAAGCAGUCAGUUAUCAUAACAGCCAUACACGUUUUUGGUCAUUGACAAUUCAUUUUACUAAUUAAUUUAAUAGCCAUCCUAAUCAUUUAUCAAUUCAGUUGUUACCCGGAAUGAAUGGAAAGAUUAGAAAGGCCAGAAUUGGCUUACCUUGCUGAUUCGAAGGUAUCAAGUGGUUGAGCUGCUUAAUUCCUUUUCCCCUCUAGCCGAACUCUUCACUCUUACUCUAUAUGACCGUUGCUGCUAAUUCUUUUGGACUCAGUUAAGUGAUGAGGCUAAUUGAUUUUGGGUAAUAACCUGGCCUUUUUAUGGCUGAGCUUAGCUUCCUUACAGUUGAUCGCAUCACCUUCUACUUGCCCCCUAACAUAUAAUCUAUUACCUCUAGCAGUUAGACUGCUCUGCAGCCACCCUACAAGACCCUAGUCUCUCUGCCAUGCCUUAUCUGUUGCUAACCUGUCUACUAACUAAUAACUGACUAACUUAUAGACUAACUACUGCUAACAACAGAACAGCCUCAGCUCCUAAGUUUACCCCUGUGGGCUGUUGGAAAAAAUCCUAAGGCAAGGCUGGGCAGUGGUUUCAUUUUGGGCCUAGUCCCUUUAACCCAAAGUUUUACUUGUUAAUUUGCUAUACUCCAAUGGGUUUACAGGAUUGGGUUUUGGACAUCCAUUUCACUCUUUAACACUUGGAGCUGCCGAAUUGGGCUAGCAAAUAGACUACAUGCAACGAUCAUGGCAAAAUUAUUAAGGCCCAAUAUUUUAAUAUGGACUCUUGUUACAUUAAAACACAUGGACUAUUAUUUUCUCUAGCAACAAUAGUUAUAACAUAUAUCAUUAAAAUGACUAUUCUAUGUAAUCUUAAAUAAUUCAUGAUGGCACAUAAUUUCUUUGCCCUUUAUAACUCAAGAUGCUAAACGAACUAUUAAAUAAAUAAUAUUUUUAUCACAAUGAGAAUUAACAUAUCAUAAAAAAAAAUUUAUACUCAAAAAUUGACAUUACAAUAAUUAAAUAUUACAUAGGAUGAACUACAGGCCAAUGAGGACUUUUACCACAUCAUUCGUCACAUUACGGUCAUUAUUAUACCGAAUCAUCCCUGGUCAUAAUCAUACCAAGUCCAUCUAUGCACGUAAGCCAAAGAUGACUUUCAUCACAAUAUAAGCAUGAGGAUGAUGACAAUAAUAUAAGCAUUAAUCAAACGAAAAUAAUGAUAAAUUUUAAAGACUUUAAAUUUAUCCAAAUGUUUAUCAAUCACUUAAUAAACUCAUAAUCUAAUAUUAUUAAUAUUAUAACAAUAUUUUAAUCACUUCUUGAACUUAUAAACAAUUUAUUCUAAUUGUUUACACUUUCCCAAAUAAUACAUUUUAAUCAUUCAAAAAUACCAUACUCAUAAGAUUUCAUCACCAAUGAUCAAAUCCCUUAUCAAAAAUCUGCAUAUACCUUAUAUAGGAUUUCCAAGCCAUAAAAUCCAUUUUACCAAUUUUUCAACUUCACAUAACAUAUUUAAUUCAUAUGUUCGUAACUAAACUAUUUUCAUGAAAAAUACCAAAUCAGUCCAAAAAAUUAUUCUUUUUUGGGAUUUAGCAGAAUAUAGUCCCAUAUUGAACAUAUAUUUUUCUCAUAAUUUUUAAAAUUCAUUUACUAUUUUUCAUAUGGCCAAAACUGCCGAAUAUUUAGACAUUUAUCAUAAAUUGUACUUUUGUCCAAAAAUUCCGAAAUUUACAAGGUAUACUCCUAUUAUAUAUGUGUACUCCCAAUAAAAAUUUAACCAAUUUUGGAGUUAACCACAAGGAGUUAUAAGGGUUUACUUUUAAAAUAGUUUUUUCCCAUAAAAUUCAUAACUCCUAAUCUAUACAUCCAAAAAUUGCCAUUUUUGGACACAAUCUAGAAAUCUCAACAAACUAUCAUUUCAAAUGUUUCCAAAAUUUUUGAGGGUCAGAAAAAUUACGAAACUGCAAAUAGAUUUUCACCCGUCAUUCGGUAAUCCAGGUAGACAGAUCAUUUCCACAAUUUAAUAAGGAAUGAAUACAAAGGAUCAUUCACCAUGCAUGCGGUAAUCCACAUAGACAGGUUAUUCCAACAGAAUAAUAAAAAAUAGAAUAACAACAGAAUUCACCAGGCAUACGGUAAUCCGCGUAUACAGGUUAUUCCAAUAGAAUAAUAAAUAAUGGAACCAGGUCAUGCGUAAUCCGCAUAGACAGGAUAUUCCAACAGAAUAAUAAAGAAUGGAAUAACAACAGAAAUUCACCAAGCAUACGGUAAUCCGCGUAUACAGGUAAUUCUAACAGAAUAAUAAAGAAUGGAAUAACAAUAGAAUUCACCAGGCAUACGAUAAUCCGCGUAUACAGGUUAUUCCAACAGAAUAAUAAAGAAUGGAAUAAUAGAAAAUUUUCACCACGUAUGCGGUACUUCGCAUAGACAGGUUACUCCAAUAUAAUAAUAAAGAAUGAAAUAACAAAAGAAUUUCACCAUGUAUGCGAUACUUCGCAUAAACAGGUUAUUCCAACAUAAUAAUAAAGAAUGGAAUAACAACAGCUCUCUUCAUGAAUACGAAAGAAAUAAUAAUACCCCUUACCUUAGAAGAAACUGGAUACUGGAAUAGUGAGGUAGCAGGCUUCUCUUCUUCUUUCUCUCUAUAAUUUCUCUCUAUAAUAAUUGCUCUAUAGCUUUAGUGAAUUGGUGAGAAAUGAAGGAAGAAUGAGCUUCUGUUUAUAGGAAAACAUAGUUUCAAUAAUUGCACAUUUUGGGGCUCGAAAUAUUACAUUAUAAUACCUUCCUCUUUUUCUUUAUUUUUAAUUUAGCCCUGCAAGUAUUAUCAAACUUGCACCACCUCCUCUAAUAGUAAAUCAUGUGAAUUAAUAGUAAAUCAUGUGAAUCAAUAGUUCUAGACAUGUGAAAAUACGAAUUACAGUAUAGUACCUCCAUCUAUACCUCUAUUUUUAACUUAGUCAUGCAAGUAUUAUCAAUCUUGCACCAACUCCCCUAAUAGUACCAUAAUGUGAAUCAAUAGUACACACAUGUGAACAAAUAGUUAUAAUCAUAUGAAUUAAUAGCAAUUAAAAGCUCAUUUAUCCGGAUAAUUACCCGAUUGGUCAAUAUAACCUCCAGACAUCAAUUAUCAUCGAAAUAAAUGUCGAUUCCCACUAACACUAAUAAUUCCAACACAAUGGAACUAUCAAUUUCAUCUUUAAUCAACACAAAUUUAUUCAUCAUUAAUAUUAUAACUCAUAAUAUUUAACAACAAGAUCGUUCCCAGGAAAGAGGGGGCCUUCCGGUAAGGAUUUCUCCUCACUGGUGCGCAAUUACCUAACCUCUCCUUGACAGAACUUCUAGACAUUGUCAAUAUUGCAAUUUAAUAAUAUUAAUAAGUUUACCAUCUUAAUUAUUUAUUUAAUAAUAUAACAUAUUAUGCAGAUGAUACUGUGACAAUAAUUGAAUCAAUAAUAUGAGAGAUAUGAUGUAAUAAUUACUGUAGCAAUAAUUGAGUAUAACUGAGUGACUUCUUACGUAAGCAUUAAUAAUCAAUACCGUGUGCUACUCAAUUCGUCAGCUACCACGUUCGCUCUUUCAUGAUGAUAUUGAAUGGUACGAUCGUAAUCUUCUACAGCUCAAGCCAACGUCUUUGGCACAUUAUACGAUUAUUUUAGGUAAAGAAAUAUUUGAGGGUUUUAGAAAUGAGUUUUGUACUUGGGUCAAUACAAAAUAUGAUUUCACGCUCUGGGGUAGGCAAGGAAGUUCUUCGAGAAUACGUCAGAAUAUUUAUUAACAAUAGAAAUAUCAUUUAAAAACUGUGACUCUCAUCCAAGACUUGGACAACACAUGAAAUGAAGGUUUCUACUAACGAAGUUUCAACCAAUAAGUCAAAGUCUAACUUCUCUGGGGUCAAAUUUAAAUGUUGAGCGCAAGCAAGAGAGAUAAAAGAAUGGGUAGAACCGGUAUCUAAUAAGGUAUAGACUUCGCAAAAAUUUAUAAUUAACUAACCCGUGCUAACUUCGUUCGGGUUACUCGCUUUUUGAGAAGUCAUGAAAAACGCUCUUCCUGAAACCACCGACUUUGUUUUGUCCAUAUCCGCCUUUGGUGCCACCGUCCCAGCUGGACUUGACUUUGGUGCACGACAAAAUCGGGCUAAGUGUCCUUUUCCAUAAUUAUAACAUGUUUUGGACUGCAUCACGCAGUUUGGACUGAUAUGUCCCUCCCCUCCGCAUUUGAAGCAUACAAUUGGUGGUCGUUCUCCUUCCUUGAAAACGGGUGUUGGUGCUGCUGUCUUUGCAUCUUUGUUGAACCUUCUCUUCUUGAAAUUUCCACUCCUAUUAUCUUGGUCAUGAUUACCACCGAAGUGGUUACCAUUCUUGGUGUAAGACCCCAACUUUUAUGAAUAAAAAAUGAAUUUUCUAUAAAUAUCAUUUUUGAAUAUUAUGGAGUAAAUUUGAUAUAAUGUUAUAGUUGUGGGUAAUAUUUAUAAAUUUUGAAAAGUACGCAAGUUGUUAUAUAAUAUUCGUUUGGUCGGAAAAUAUUCUUUUUGUCGGGAAUAUCCGUACGACGACACAAUCAUUGGUGGACCCCCACAACGGAAGUAUUGUCGUAGUAAGAAAACGACAGAAUUAUCUUUUUAUAAAAAUAACGGCUAAAGUUUUACCGUUAAAACUGUUGAACUACUCGGUAGUAAAAGUACAGUAAUACGUGUGGUUGCAUAGUAGCACACGAUAUUGAUUAUUAAUACUUACGUGAGAAGUCACUCAGUUAUACUCAAUUAUUGCUAUAGUAAUUGUUGCAUCAUAUCUCUCAUAUUAUUGAUUCAUUUAUUGUCACAGUAUUAUCUGCAUAAUAUGUUAUAUUAUUAAAUCAAUAAUUGAGACGACAAAGUUAUUAAUAUUAUUAAAUUGCAAUAUUGACAAUGUCUAGAAGUUCUGUCAAGGAGAGGUUAGGUAAUUGCGCGCCAAUGAGGAGAAAUCCUUACCGGAAGGCCCCCUCUUUCCUGGGAACGAUCUUGUUGUUAAAUAUUAUGAGUUAUAAUAUUAAUGAUGAAUAAGUUUUGUUGAUUAAAGAUGAAAUUGAUAGUUCCAUUGUGUUGGGAUUAUUAGCGUUAGUGGAAAUCGACAUUUAUUUUGAUGAUAGUUGAUGUCUGGGGGUUAUAUUGAUAAAUCGGGUAAUUUAUCGGAUAAAUGAGCAAUUAAUUGCUACUAAUUCACAUGUUUAUAUAACUAUUUGUUCACAUGUGUGUACUAUUGAUUCACAUUCUGGUACUAUUAGGGGAGUUGGUGCAAGAUUGAUAAUACUUGCAUGACUAAGUUAAAAAUUGAGGUAUAGAUGGAUGUACUAUACUGUAAUUCGUAUUUUCACAUAUCUAGAACUAUUGAGUCACAUGAUUUACUAUUAAUUCACAUGAUUUACUAUUAGGGGAGUUGGUGCAAGAUUGAUAAUACUUGCAGGACUAAAUUAAAGAUAAAGAAAAAGAGGAAGGUAUUAUACUGUAAUAUUUUGAGCCCCAAAACGUGCAAUUAUCAAAACUAUAUUUUCCUAUAAAUAGAAGCUCAUUCCUUCAUUAUUUUUCACUAAUUCACUAAAGCUAUAGAGCAUUUAUUAUAGAGAGAAAUUAUAGAGAGAAAGAAGAAGAAAAGUCUACACUUCACUACUCCAGUAUCCAAUCUUCUUUGAGGUAAGGGGUAUUAUUCUUUCGUAUUCAUGAAGAGAGUUAUUUUUUUUCAAUACUCGUUAUUCCAUUCCUUAUUAUUAUGUUGGAAUAACAUGUCUAUGCGAAGUACCGCAUACAUGGUGAAAUUCUUCUAUUAUUCCAUUCUUUAAUAUUCUGUUGAAAUAUCUUGUUUGUGCGUUUUACGCAAGACCUGGUUCCAUUAUAUAUUAUUCUGUCAGAAUAUCUUGUCUGUGCUUUACGCAUGACCUGGUUCCAUUAUUUAUUAUUCAGUUUGAAUAACAUGUAUACGCGGAUUACCGUAUACCUGGUGAAUUUUGUUGUUAUUACAUUCUUUAUUAUACUCAGUUGGUUAAAGUUUUGGCUUUUAUACUCUAUGAAAUUAGUGGAAUAUCCUUGAUAUUUGCGCUUCAUCCAAUAUCUUUUCAUGGAAAUAUUCUUCUGAGCAUUCUUGAAUUUUACAUCACAAAGCAGUAUCAUGUUGACAUUUUGGACGUUAUUGGUUCCUGGAUAAAUUAAUUCUUGAACUUGUUUUAUUGAAUUCUUAUAUCAUUAUCAUCAUCCUCAUGUUUAUAUUCUGUUGAGAGUCAUCUGUGGCCUGUAGUGCAUAGAUGGACUUGGUAUGAUUAUGACCAGGGAUUAUUCGGUAUAAUCAUGACUGUAAUAUUACAAAUAAUAUGGUAAAAGUCCUCAUUGGCCGUAGUGCAUUGUUGGACAAUUGUUGGUAUGAUCAUGACCAUUGAUGAAUACACGAAUAUCCUUGGUCGUAGUGCAGGGAUGAUGUUGAUUAUUUAUUAACCUGAGUCUCAGCGAUGAAAAUGAUGAAAAACCUUUUUAAAUCAUAGAAGAUAAUAGAUUUUAUGCUCUAUUUGACUCUUUUAAUGGAUUGCUUAUUUUCGCUGCAGUUUUUGAUCUAAAACUUGUUGUUUAUUAUAUUCUAUCAGUUGUUAUACUGUUGAAGGCUAAGGAUAAUUUAUUCUGCAUUAACUUAGUCAUAAUAUUUCUUACUGGGCUUGUUGAGCUCACCCUUUUCUUUCAUGGUUCUCUUCAGGAAAUGAGAACGUAGCUGAGACUAGUCAGGGAACAGAGUGACGGCCCAGAUGUUUGCAUUAAUUGUCCUCACUAUUCUGUGAAAUAGUGUGAUAAUAAAUGUAAUGAGGACUCCAUUGAGUGUGGAUAUUGUCUAGAUGACAAUAUUCUUCUUAAAACUCUUAGAUUAUGUUUUGUCGUAUUUUACACGACUGUUGUAUAAUUAAGUUGUAUUUGAAUUUUGUACCAUAUAUCCGGCGACUCAAGAUGGGUGAUGUAUACCUAUUUUGAGGGCAUCAUAGUUGGUAUCAAAGCUUAGGGAUAUGAUCCCUGGUUGAGAUGUGAGAUAAGAACUAGGAGGGGAGAGACGGGGAAUUCCUUUGUUAGUAUAACCUACCUAAGUUUAUUUGGUAUUUAAUUGGUCGGUCACAAUAUAUGGAUAAUAUGUGACAUGUCAAUUAACCCUUGUUUUGUGACAGUAUUUGAAAAUGGCAUCCGAAAAUGUUGAGAAUAGCAAUGGAGCACAGGAGACCGUUGAGUCACCAUAGAUUAAUACCCAGGAUAAUGUGUAACAGGAAGAAAAUAAUCCUCAGGUAAACAAUAACACCGAUGAAAUGGGGAACGAUGGGAUGUUCAGAGGCUUUAUGCAAUUCAUGCAACAUCAGGCGAGGGCGGCUCCUGUCCAAAAUGCAGGUGGAAACACUGACAACUCUCGGACGGUCACCGCUAAGCAGUUCAAGGAGCUGGGACCACCGGAGUUUUUUGGAGAGCCAAAACCACUUAAGACAGAGACGUGGAUAAAGAAGAUCAACAGGAUAUUUGAUGUCUUGGGAUGCUCCGAGGAACAAAAGGUUCCUUUUGUCACCUUCAUGUUGCGAGCAGAGGCAGAUUACUGGUGGGAAUCCGUAAAGCGUACUCAACUUGCCGCACUGAAAAUGUCUUGGGAGAAGUUCCAAGAACUGUUCAACGAAAAGUACUUUCCCGAAAGUAUUCGUCAAAUGAAAGAGGUAGAGUUCAUCAAGCUUGAGCAAAAAAAUAUGACUGUGGCGCAGUACAAAGCUAAGUUUGUCGAGUUAUCUCGGUUUGCGUCCCACUUGAUUGAUAAUAAGGAGAGAAUGACGCGGAUGUUUUCAAAGAGGUUUGAAACCCGAGAUACGUCAAUACCUAAUUUCUCACAAACCGUGUUUGUAUUCAGAUGUUGUGAAUAGGGCUCAGUUAUUGGAGCGCGAUAAUGAAUCAACCCAACCAAGAGAGAGCAGCCGACAAGUCGAUAAUACCAGUGGUAGCAGUCAUCGAAGCGGUGACAACAAGCGUGGAGGGAAUCAACAUGCCAAAAAUGGUAAUCACUUCGGUGGUAAUCAUGGCCAUGACAAUAAGAGUGGACAUUUCAAGAAGACGAGAUUCAACAAUGAUGGAAAGACGUCAGCACCAGCACCUGUUGUUAAGGAAGGAGAACAAUCGCCGGUCGUAUAUUAUAAAUGCGGAGGGGAGGGACAUAUCAGUCCAAACUGCGUGAUGCAGUCCAAAGCAUGUUACAAUUGUGGAAGAGAAGGUCACCUAGGCUGAUUUUUUCGUGCACCAAAGUCAAGUCCAGCUGGGAUGGAGGCAUCAAAGGCCGUCCCAGACAAGACAAAACCGGUAGUUCAACGGAGAGCGUUUGUCGUAACCUCCCAAAAAGUGAGGAAUCCGAAUGAGGUGAUCACGGGUAAGCUAAUCAUAAACUCUAGCAAAGUCUAUACCUUAUUUGAUACCGGCUCUACCCAUUCUUUUAUUUCUCCUAUUUGCGCUCAACGUUUAAAUUUGACUCCGAAGAAGUUAGACUUUGACUUAUCGGUUAAAACUCCAUUGGGAGAAACCUUCAUUACAUCCACUAUUUAUAAGUCUUGUUUGAUUCAAAUCGGUAACCGUACAUUACCUGUCGAUCUUUUUUCUUUGAAAAUACUUGCAUUUGAUGUGAUUUUAGAGAUUAAUUGGUUAACUACUCAUCAUGCUAAAAUCGAUUGUUUUCGUAAGGUUGUUAGCUUUCAUAUUCCUAACCAACCUAUUAUGCGAAUUCAAGCAACCAAACAACUAAAAUCAAUCACUAUCAUAUCAAGCCAUAAAGCUAUUCAUUUAUUAAAAAAUGGAUGUCAAGCUUUCUUAGCCCAUGUCACGGAUUUAAAUAAAAAUACGUCAGAUUUGAAUGAUAUUUCUAUUGUUCAUAAAUUUCCUGACGUAUUCCUUGAAGAAAUUCCUGGCCUACCCCUAGAGUGUGAAAUUGAAUUUUGUAUCGACCUUGAAUGUGGUACAAAACCCAUUUCCAAAGCCCCAUAUCGAAUGGCUCCUAUUGAACUUCAGGAGUUAAAAACCUAACUACAGGAAUUAUUAGACAUCAGUUUCAUUCGUCCUAGUACAUCUCCUUGGGGUGCUCCUGUUCUAUUCGUGAAGAAGAAAGAUGGAAGUAUGCAACUUUGUAUUGAUUAUCGGGAGUUGAAUCAUGUCACCAUCAAAAAUAGGUACCCGUUGCCUCGCAUUAAUGACCUGUUUGACCAGUUGCAAGGAGCUAAAUUCUUUUCAAAGAUUGAUCUUCGUUCCGGAUAUCAUCAGUUGAAGAUUAAAACUGAUGACAUUCCAAAGACUGAUUUCAGAACUCGGUAAGGGCAUUAUGAAUUUCUAGUCAUGUCUUUUGGAUUGACUAAUGCUCCUGCUGCCUUCAUGGACAUGAUGAACCGAGUAUUCAAGGAAUAUUUGGAUCACUUUGUGGUCGUCUUUAUUGAUGACAUCCUCAUAUACUCCAAAAGCCGUGAAGACCAUGAUCAACACUUGAGGCUGAUACUUCAAAAACUUCGUGAGAACAAGCUUUAUGCCUAGUUAAAGAAAUGUGAGUUCUGGCUUGAGGAAGUUGCAUUCCUUGGGCACGUGAUAUCAAAUCAUGGAAUAUCUGUUGAACCAGCAAAGAUUGAAGGAAUCCAAAGCUAGGAGCAACCAAAGUCAGUGACUGAAAUACGUAGCUUUCUUGGCUUAGUUGGUUAUUAUCGGAGAUUCGUGGAAGGAUUUUCUCGAAUCGCUACUCCAUUAACUCAGCUGACUCGAAAAGAUACAAAGUUCAGUUGGAGCGAGAAAUGUGAGAAGAGUUUUCAAGAACUCAAGAGAAGACUCAUUUCAGCACAUGUUCUGACAAUACCAUCUGGCUCGGAGGGAUUUGUCAUCUACAGUGAUGCUUCAGGCAAAGGGGUUAGGAUGUGUUCUCAUGCAACAUGGAAAAGUCAUAGCCUAUGCCUCACGACAACUCAAAGAAUAUGAGAGGAAUUAUCCUACUCAUGAUCUAAAGUUGGCAGCAGUCGUUUUUGCGCUUAAGAUUUGGAGGCAUUACCUGUAUGGAGAGAAGGUGGAGAUCUAUACGGAUCAUAAAAGCCUCAAAUAUUUCUUCACUCAAAAGGAACUCAACAUGCGGCAAUGACGAUGGCUUGAGCUGUUAAAAGAUUAUGAUCAUACCAUCCAAUACCAUCCUGGAAAAGCGAACGUAGUAGCUGACGCAUUGAGUAGAAGAUCAUAUGCGGGUACGAGUGCAAUAUUGUCAACGCUAAGACCCAUUUUGUAUGACUAACGAAGGAUGGAGAUAGAGUUAAAAACUCCAGGGACCCAUGUGAUAAUGACGGAUAUACGAGUAGAACCGACUUUAAUCAAUAAAGUUAAAGCUGCUCAAGCUACAGACCUGGAGCUGAUGCAUAUGAGGAAGAAAGUGCAAGAAGGUGCUAUUCCAGAAGCAAGAAUCGAUGAAGAAAGAAUACUUCGAGUCAACUCCAGACUUUGUGUUCCUAACGAUUUUGACUUGAAGUAUAAAAUCAUGAUGGAGGCAAACAACACACCGUUUGCAAUCCAUCACGGGAGUACCAAAAUGUAUCGUGAUCUUCGACAUACAUUUUGGUGGAGCAAUAUGAAGAGAGAGAUAGCGGGGUUUAUCUCAAGGUGUCUAACUUUUCAACGAGUCAAGGCGGAGCAUCAAGUGCCAAAAGGUCCAUUGCAACCACUUGAAAUUCCAGAAUGGAAGUGGGAGCACAUUACCAUGGAUUUCGUUACUGGUCUUCCCAAGGUUUCCCAAGGCGUAGAUGCGAUUUCGGUCAUUGUUGAUAGAUUGACCAAGUCUACUCAUUUCUUACCGAUACGAGAAACUUAUACACUUGAACGUCUUGCUAGUAUGUACAUAAAUGAGAUUGUAAGAUUGCAUGGCAUGCCAGUAUCCAUAGUUUCUGAUCGAGACCCAAGAUUCACUUCAAGAUUUUGGGUUAGUGUGACGCCCCCAAAAUAGGUCCACACGAACCAUUCUGAGUCGCCAGAUAUCACACUAUAAAAAUCAAAUACAAACUUUAUUUAUACAACUGUUGAACUGUCGUGCAGAGUACGACAACAGUUAACUGUGAGUUUUAAUACAAAUAUUGUCAUCGUAGACAGUAUCCAAACUCAAAUUGUUACAAUGCCAUAUAAAAUACAGCAGCAAAUAUUUUAAGACCCCAAAGAAGAACGAGAAGAUUACUAUCAUAUUCAUUCUAAUGAGGUGCACUUUUGACGCUUUCAAAGUCGGGUUCUCAUCACCCUUAUUGUUGUUCACCAACAUCAAUUAUUAAGUGACGUAUAAAAUACAACACACACAUCUUAGGUCUUUAAUACAAUUAUCGGUUGCAUAUCAUGCCGUUUUAUAAUGUAUUGAGAAAUUUCGACAGUCUCGGACCAUCACACUAUUUUCCUGUUAUCCCCGCUCGACCCAGCUACACUCUUAUUACCUAAAAGGAAUUGUGAAGCAAAAGGGUGAGCACAAUUAGCCCAGUAAGGAAUAUCAUGGCUAAGAUAAUUAAUUUAUCAACAGCCUUUAUCAGAAUAAAUCAGAGAUUUAGAACAUAUGGUAGAUAAUAAAACGUUUCAACCAUAGUUGCAGCGGAACGAGUAAUCCAUUAGAUGAGUCAAGUAGAACAUAAUGUCUACUAUCUCCUCUAGAUUAAAAGUCCAUCGUUGAUAUUUUAUUCCUGUAAUACUCAUCAACAGUUCUUUGUUAUACUUAAGACAAAUAAAACUUUCAACACUUGUCUUCACCUGAACCACCAAAGAUGUUAGUUAAAUUCACAAUUCAUAUUUAUAAUAAUGUGAAUUAACAGUUCCUUCUUUCCACCAAGACUUAAUAGAAUGUUUACUCAAUAUCUUUACCCCAAAGGCUGAAGGUAUUCAAAUGUAAUAACAAUGAUCAUACCAAUCAGUUGUCUAUCUUUGCAUUACGGGCCAAAGAUAUUCAACUAUAGAACCAAUGGUCAUGAUCAUACCAAUCACAUCAUUGAAUUAUCCAUGCACUACGGCCAAGGAUAUUCGUUAGUAUCACUAGUGGUCAUGAUCAUGUCAUACACCUGUCCAUCUUCACACUACGGGUCAAAGCUAUCAAAUAACAGAUCAUCUUUGCACUACAGGCCAAAAAUAUUCAACAACAUAUCGUCUUUGCACUACAGGUCAAAGACAUACUACUGUAAAACCAAUAACCAACAAUAUAAUAAAGAAUGGAAUAAUAAAAGAAUUUCACCAUGCGUGCGUAAUCCGCACAGAAAGGUUAUUCCAACAUAAUAAUAAAGAAUGGAACCAGGUCAUGCGUAAAUGCACAGACAGGAUAUUCCAACAGAAUAAUAAAGAAUUGAAUAACAACAGACUUCACCAAGUAUACGGUAAUCCGCGUAUACAGGUUAUUCCAACAGAAUAAUAAAGAAUUGAAUAACAACAGACUUCACCAGGUAUACGGUAAUCCACGUAUACAGGUUAUUCCAACAGAAUAAUAAAGAAUUGAAUAACAACAGACUUCACCAGGUAUAUGGUAAUCCGCGUAUACAGGUUAUUCCAACAGAAUAAUCAAGAAUGGAAUAACAACAGACAUCACCAGGUAUACGGUAAUUCGCGUAUACAGGUUAUUCCAACAGAAUAAUAAAUGGAACCAGGUCAGGAGAAAUUCGCACCGACAGGAUAUUCCGACAGAAUAAUAAAGAAUAAAAUAAUAGAAGAAUUUCACCAUGUAUGCGGUACUUCGCAUAAACAGGUUAUUCCAACAUAAUAAUAAAUAAUGUAAUACAUAAGGAUUUCACCAAGUAAAGGGUAUGACGCUUAUACAGUUUAUGUAUAGGGUAUGCCUCAUAUACAGGUUAUUCCAACAGAAUAAUAAAGAAUGGAAUAACAGAAGUUCUCUUCAUGAAUAAGAAAGAAUAACACCCCUUACUAUAAUAAUAUUAUCCCUUACCGUAAAAAAACUGAAAAUAGAGGUAGUGAAGUAGCAGAAUAGUCUUCUUCUUUCUUUCUAUAAUUUCUCUCUCUAGAGUUUCAGUGAAUUCGUAAGAAAAUAAUGAAGGAAUGAGCUUCUAUUUAUAGAAGAAUGGAUUGCAUAGUAACUAACUCAUGAACGGUCCAAAUUGAUUUACUUUAAUCUGACGGUCCAUAUUUAAAGCAAAAUCUUUUAAAUAAAAUAUAAUAUAUUCUAUUUAUAAUCUAAUAAAAUAAAUAACUUUAUGUAAAUACUAUGCAGGCACUAUGCAAAUACUAUGCAUAAUAAAAUAUAAUAUAAUCUAAUUAUUGUCUAAUAAAACGAAUAACUUUAGAAAAGUAUUAUGUUUUAUAUAAAAAGAUUUUACUAUUAGUCUAAUAAAAUGAAUAACUUUAUAAAAGUAUUCUGUUUUAUAUAAAAAGUUUUUCUGUUUUAUUACGUUAAUAAUACGAAUAAAACAAAACUUCAUCAUCGCUUACUUUGAAAAUUUUUCAAAUGUCACCCUUAACUUUAAACUUUUAUCAAUUUAAUCAUUUACCAAAAUAGAAAAAUUGAAUACUUUUAUUUCAUAAAAUUCGGGGUCUCACAGUUAGUUUGCAAAAAGCUAUGGGCACGGAUUUACGAUUUAGUUCGGCAUAUCAUCCUCAAACGGAUGGGCAGUCGGAAAGGACUAUUCAAACUCUUGAGGAUUUAUUAAGAUUAUGUGUCCUUGACUUCAAGGGAAGUUGGGACAAGUUCUUACCAUUGGUGGAGUUUUCCUACAACAAUAGUUAUCAAGCAAGUAUUGGCAUGACUCCAUUUGAAGCGUUGUAUGGAAGAAAGUGUCGUUCUCCAGUAUGCUGGGAUGAGGUGGGUGAAGCAACGUUGUUGGGACUGGAGUUGGUACGUAUGACUACGAAAAAGAUUCAAACGAUCCGACAACGUAUAAAAACCUCACAAGAUNNNNNNNNNNNNNNNNNNNNNNNNNNNNNNNNNNNNNNNNNNNNNNNNNNNNNNNNNNNNNNNNNNNNNNNNNNNNNNNNNNNNNNNNNNNNNNNNNNNNUAUAUAUAUAUAUAUAUAUAUAUAUAUAUAUAUAUAUAUAUAUAUAUAUAUAUUGUCCAAAAUUAAUUUUUAGUUUUUGAGAUGGCAUGUAACCAUCACAUAUAUAUUUCUCCUUAAUGUGAUUGCAUUUAAGCCAUAACAAAGAAAAAAGUUUAAAAUAAUCUUUGGUGACAGCCAAGACCAUCACGAAAAGAAAACCACAUGUGAUGGACCUUUAUGAUUACAUUUAAAGUAAUCUCAACAAAUGGUAUUAUAUGAUGGACUUUUUCAACAAUCACAAAAUAAUAAUAUACAUGACGGCUCCUAGUAGUGGUUAUUUUUUCCAUCACCAUAAACUAUUUGUGACGGACAAGACAAUCACUAAAAAACAAGCAUAUAUGAACAACAAAUAUAUUAGGCGAGGAAUUUACUAGCAAUCACAAAAUAGUAGUAUAUAUGGUAGAUGUUACUCAAUGUCUAAUUGUGCCAUUAUUAUUAAAUAUUUAAGACAAUCAUUACAAUCACUAAAUUUUUCGCGUAAAUUGUACAUCUCUUUUUUAAGUCCCCAUUAAUCUUUAUUUUGCUUUGUUCUCUUUGUAAACUCAUUGUUUUUAUUGUGAAUUCAAAGGAUUUAGAGUUUAUCUCGUUUUUAUAUAACUAACUAUUUACGUUUGUUCUCUUUGUCUCGGUUGGUAUAUAUCUACUUCUUUCUAUGCAAGAAGUCUAGAGUCCAAAUCUCCACCCAAAAAAGAAACAGUGCAAAUGAUGGAGCAAAAUUCUUGCUGUUGGGGAAGAGCAGAUGGACUAAUUGAUGUAACCUUCAAAUUGGUGGGAAGAAAUCUGAAAUGGAAGGAGCAGUAAGCAGGAUUUUUUUUUUUACUAAAUUUAAAUUGUAUUAAAGGAGAAAGAAUGUACAAAAAUCAUGGGAAAACCCAAUCAGAAUAUAGUAUAUACAUCACCUCAAUCAGAAUAUAACAUAGACAUCAUAGGACAUGCCAUAUGAUGUCAUGACUAAAAAAGAAAAUAAGGCCAGAUGCCCAAACAAAAGAGAAACAAUCUCAACAUUCAUGAGAAUACAAUGCAUAGAAAUCAGACACAAAACCAAGAAAAACCUCAUCCAAAGUAGCAGCAGCCCACAAUAGCAGCAAAAGAAAAAUCAGUCCAAAGACCAAAAGGCAUCAUCCAUAACAGAACCGAAAGAGCCUACUGCAGACUAGCAGCACAAUAGAGCACAAGGCCCAACAAGAGAAGCCAACAACAGUUUAGCAAAGCAAAACAGCAGACAGGACAUGGAAAGCAAGAGCAACAAACCCCAAGAGCCCAAUGGCAGCCAUAGAAGUGCAGCAGCUGCAGCCGACAUCAAAUAAAACAGCAGUAAACGAUAGCAGCCAUAAGUACAGCACCACCCCCCAAAUCUGCAGCAUCAAGACAUAGAAAUAGUCACAAUACUGCAGACCAAAACACGCAAACAAUGCAGCAUAAGCAACAAACAGAGCAGCAAAUAGGUCUAUUUUCCUGCUUGUUUUCAAGGUUGUGUAGUAUUUAUUGUCAUUUUAGUAUUUUACAUAUAUGUCCAUUAUGGGUAAAAUAAGUUGUUUGGCAUGGGCAAUGAUGCCAGUGAAGGUUUUCUUUCUUCAGUGCUUGAUGGAAGCUCUCGAGCUGUAGUCACUACAAAGAUGAGGAGAUGCUGAAACCAUUUUCGAGCACAGUGAGAUAUAAUAGUUACAUAUAUGAAUAUGCCAUCUCAGAUGAUCAUGUUGGUGUAACACAGAAGCAUGUCUUCCAUGUGCUGGUACCAUUUCUCCUUCCUUUUCUGACAGUAGGCCUAUGAUUUCUUCUGGGAGUGCUGAGAAAGAGACUGCUAGACUAGAAUAUUGUAUACGGCACUAGAAAUAGGGCAGUCUUUCUGUAAACUGCAGAGCUAUGGUUCCUUGGAAUGAUCAUUGCUUUACAACGCAUUGAGUUUUUUUUUUCUACAUUUCUUUUUCCUGGAAAAGCCUAUUUGAGGGAGGAAAUAGGAGAAGUAGAAAUUUGUUGUGGGUAGAGAUGUUUUGGAUUUGUCCUUGGUUUCAGUAAUUAAACAUCUGCCAUUUUUAUUUGCGAUUAUAUCCGGAGGAAGCUUUUAUAUACUAGAUUCAUAAAUCAAGAAGUUCAAUAUAGGGAGCACCAGCUGCAACAGCAGCAGAGCAUGAGCAGCAACAUUAAUGUAGGUGGAAGCAUUGAAAGGACGUUCUAUUUGUUCAUGCCAUUUAAUCAUGGCAAUCAUUCUAUUUAUUCAUGGUAAUCAUUUUAUUUGUAUAUGCUUGUUCUUAUAUAGCUUAUAUUGACAGAAAAUUUAAAUGGAAGCUAUGAGAACCACAUUUUAUCAAGUCUUUCAGGUGGGUUAGCCUCUGCAUAGCUCUUACUAUUUCUUGCAGCUCGAGGAGCUAAAGCUUCCUAAAGUAUAGAAAUCACAAAACCAAGCAAAUAAGUUUAAAAAAAAAAAAGAACUAAAGAUAGAGUCGCAUGUCUUUCAAAUAUGUUUCAAAAAAAAAACACAUUCUCUAAAACACUGGUAACAGAGCUUCUCUAAAACUGAAUUUCAUGUCCAAGUUCAUGUUAUCAACUUAUAGUCUUAUAUGUAAUCAACAUAACUCAAACGACUUCCUCUUUUUCUAAUAAUUAAUAACAGGGAAAAAAUUUAAAAAUAUGGGUGAAUUGGAGAAAUAUAUCUUACAAUAACAAAGAAAAAGGGAAUCCUAGUCCAGAAACUUGUGCGCGCUCUCACGAAAGAUGUCUCAUGAGUAAGCCUGAAUCUUGACGGAUCUGCAUGUUCAUUGUAGGAGAAAUUUAACAUAAAGAGAUAGCCUCAUGUACACAAAUAUUAAAAUGAAUACUAAAUUCAAACUACAGAAUGAUAAAUAGUCAUUUCUUGAUCGUGCAGCGACAUAACAAUGGAAAACUCGGUCCUGAGAGGCAGUUUCCUGCUCCCAGACCUUCCAGCCACGAAUCUGUACAAGUUAAAAACUUAUUAGCAUUAUAUGUAGAAUCAAUCAGGUGAUAAUAUGAAGAGUGAUAGUGUUUUAUAGAAAAUGAAAAUAUUCGAAAAUUGUUUCGAACAUAUAUUAAAAUAAAUUAUUGUCCUUUUAUUUUAUUAAAUAAAAUAUUAAAAAAAUCAUUGUCUUCUUUAAUGCAGUUUAUAAAGAAACACGGGAAAAUGAAUAUAGGCCAAGUUAGUGAUAAAAGAAAGUGAAUGACAGACUUGGCAGGAACUCUAUUACUGUAGAAAAAUAAAGCAACAAUUGAAAGGAUUCUUAUUUCGAUAAUGAAAGGAAAUAAUAAUCGACUGAUAAUUAUCUGGAACAUGCCAACUACUAUAUAUAUAGGAAAACAUAACUAAAAAACUCAGCUACGUAGGCCUAAAUAUCAUCAUCUUCUUCUUCUUCUUCGAAAUAUUCAUCAUCAUUAAAAUAUUCAUUAUCAUCUUCAUCUUCAUCACUACAUUCUCUAUCUUCAUUUUCUGCUUCCGCUAAUGAUGGAUCCACUUCCGCCCACAUUAGGAUUACUCGUCAAUGGUUGAUCAAAUUUGAUAGAUUCGCCUUCUGAAACAAGAAGUUCUGGCCCUGGAGGGAUAAUAUCAACCACUUGACGUCCAUCCGAUGCAUCCGUUAUGGUUAUUUCGUAACCCCCCUUUUCUUUUCGUAUUAUUUUGCCUACUAUACCUGCUGCUGUAGCAUUAUAAACCGUAUUGUUACUCUUGCUCCCGUCGGGAUAAAUCUGACCCCUUCCCCUGUUUCCGCCUACGUAUAUAGGAUAUUUUAAGAAGUGAACAUCUUUCUUAGUAGCGGGGUCCGGGGAAAGAAUAGGAAAGGUGAUUUCACUAUAUUUUUGACCAGGAACAGGGCCUAUCACAAGAAUAUUUUUUUUAGUGGGGCGAUAGCUCUGAAAAGAAAGAUUGCCUAUCCUUUCUUUCAUCUCGGGAGAAAUCCGAUCAACAGGAGCUAAUUCAAAACCCUCCGGUAAAAUAAGAACAGCCCCUACAUUCAAAGCCCCCUUUUUACCAUUAGCAAGAACUUGUUUUAGUUGCAUAUCAUAAGGGAUUCGAACAACUGCUUCAAAUACAGUAUCAGGAAGUACGGCUUGUGGAACUUCAAUAUCCACGGGCUUAUUAGCUAAAUGGCAAUUGGCACAUACAAUACGCCCAGUCGCUUCUCGUGGAUUUUCAUAACCCUGCUGUGCAAAAAUGGGAUAUGCACUUGAAAUGGAUGUCCGAGUUAUGAUAUAUAUCAUGAGCGAUGCGGAAAUGGAUCGAGUAAUCUGUUCCUUUAUCCAAGAAAAAGUCUUUCUAGUUUGCAUGGUCCAACCAUUGAUCCCGAAAAUUUCUACAAUAAAUUGGGUAGGUCGCUAAUAUAGUUCCCUAUCCGCGAUUCUGCUAUUUACUGGAAUAAUAUAUNNNNNNNNNNNNNNNNNNNNNNNNNNNNNNNNNNNNNNNNNNNNNNNNNNNNNNNNNNNNNNNNNNNNNNNNNNNNNNNNNNNNNNNNNNNNNNNNNNNNGAGAAUCAUCAAGCAAUAUCAAAUUCUGAGUUUGCUCCUCAAUAUUAUAUAAGUCAAAAUCAUGAAACUCUUCCUCUUGAUAUGUCUCUUCAUUACUAUUUUCGGCAACAUCAUAUGUGUUUCUUGCUUUUGUUGUGAUUACAGUAGACCAACCUUUAGCUUUAGUCGACACUGGAUUAGCAUAGAACACUUGUACAACUUGUGAUGCAAUAACAAAUGGCUCAUACGGCUUGUGCCUUGAAUUUGUAUCAAUUGUAGUUAUCCCGUACUUGUUAAUAACUACCCUUUUUUCAGAAUCAUACCAUUCACAUUGGAACAAAAAUACUGAAUUCUCUUCUCCAUAGUAUUCUAGUUCAACUACUUUAAUUAAUUGUCCAUAAUAGUCUCGUUCUUGGCCUUCAAAAGUACAUCCCUAGACUAAAACACCACUAUUUUGAGUUACCUUUCUUGACUCCAAUUCUUUUGUAUGGAACCUAAAGCCAUUGACAAUGAAUCCAUCAUAACAUGUUACCUCUCUAGACGGACCCAUAGCGAGCGCUUUUAGACGCGUAUCAACGACAUCAUCAUUCUUGACUCUCUUUUCAAACCAUUUUAUAAAUGUCGAAUUAUGUUCCUUUUAUAGCACUUUAUCCGACAUGUUUGGACGUAAUUCUUUCAAUAAAUGCUUGUGCUCCCUAGAAGUAAUGAAAUAAAUUAGUAGAUAUAGAGUAAUGAUUUACAUAUCUAAAAGUAAUAAACUUUAUAAGAAUUAAAAUGUCAUACUCGAUGAAAUCAAAGACUUCCUCAUAAUUAGACAAGAUGUAUAAGGUUGCUGCCUCGAGUUCUUUAUCAGAUAGAUCUUCACGUUUUCGUUUUCCUCCAAUUGGACGACCAGGCCUAGGGUGGCUAAAUAUUGAUAACUUUCCAUUAGUUUCAGCUUGACCGCCAUCGUCAUUUCGAUCAGCUCGGUUGAACUUGGUUUGCACCCUAAGAUCAAAAUAUCGAGAAGAAAAGUAAACUAGUUCGUCUAUUAUGUAUGCCUCAGCUAUUGAACCCUCGGGGCAAGCCUUGUUACGCACCCUUUUCUUCAAAGAACACAUGCACCUAUAAUUAUAUUGAAGUUAGGUAAUCACUUUAACUAUAAAAAAGCCUUGGCAAGAAAAGAGAUAUAAUUUAUUAAAACAUCACCUCUCGAAAGGGUACAUCCAACGAUAUUGUACUGGCCCUCCGACCUUGGCUUUAUAUGCCAAAUGAACAAGUAGAUGCUCCAUUGAAUCAAAGAAAGAUGGUGGAAAAAUCAUCUCAAGAUUGCAUAAUAUUUCAGCAAUAAAUAGCUCAAGCUUCUCUAACUCAGCUAACUUAUACACCUUAGAGCAUAUGUCUCGAAAGAAUUUGCACAAAGCAUUUAUUGGUUCCCAUAUAGAGUUUGGUAAGAAAUCACGAAAGGCCAAUGGCAAGAAUCUCUGCAUGAGAACAUGGCAAUCAUGGCUCUUUAGCCCAAUUAUUUUGCAAUUGUCAAGGUUAAUACAAUGAGAGAUAUUUGAAGCAUAACCGUCUGGAACUUUCAACGAUUUAAGCCACUUGCAAACUUGCUUGACUUCUUCGCUUUUUAAAGAAUAUUUAGCUUUUGGCAAUUUAAAUUUCCCAUUACCACUCUCUUCAGGAUGUAAUUCAAAUCUUAUACCAAGCUCUUGCAAAUCUAAACGAGCUUUAAGGUGGUCUUUUGAUUUUCUAGUAAUGUUCAUCACAGUGUAAAAUAAAUUAUCAAAAAUAUUUUUCUCAAUAUGCAUCACGUCUAAGAAAUGUCUUAUUAGAAGCAAACUCCAAUAAGGCAAUUCAAAGAAGAUACUUUUCUUUGUCUAGUUAUGCUCGAUUCCAAACCCAGGAGUCUUAUCGGUACUAUUGUUUUUAUCCUUUCCAAAGAUGACCGAACUAAAUUGAGAUACAAAAUUUAACUCCUCAACACCUGUUAGUCGAGGCGGGGGAUUUCUCCGUUCGGUUUUAUUAUUGAACUUACUCUUCUCAGCUCGAUAUUUAUGAUUACGCUUCAACCAACGACGAUGGCAUCCAAAAUAACUCGGCUUCCUCCCAUGUUUAAGGUUAAAAGCUACACUUGGAUCCAUACAAGGACAUGACAAGGCCCCAUGUGUACUCCAACCCUUCAAUAUGCCUAGCGCAGGAAAGUCACUGAUUGUCCAUAUUACAGCUGCUUUCAUAUAAAAAUUUUGCUUUGAGAAAGCAUCAUAUGUAUCAACUCCAACAUCCCACAAAGUCUUUAGUUCUUCUAUAAGAGGUCGCAAAUACACAUCAAUCUCUCUUCCAGGUCCAUGUGGACCUGGAAUAAGCAGUGACAUAAACAUGUACUCCUCUUUCAUACACAUCCAAGGGGGGAGAUUGUAUGGAACAAGGAAAACUGGCCAUGUCGAAUGAGGUUUGCUAGAAUGCCCAAAAGGAUUAAAUCCAUCAGUAGCUAAGCCAAGUCUUAUACUACGAGCAUCUUCAGCAAAAGAUGGGUAAUUGAGGUCAAAAUAUUUCCAAGCCUCACUAUCAGCAGGGUGCCUUAGCUCACCUGGAAUAUCACAUCAUUUUUCUUUGUGCCACCUCAUAGGCUCGGCCGUUUUUGAUGACAAAUAAAGCCUUUGAAGCCUUGGUAUAAUUGGUAAAAAAACUUAAGACCUUCCUUGCUAUUGGUUUAUUCUUUUUCCCUUUAACACUGCCAUGGUUUUUAUACCUAGAUUCGUUACAAAUUGGGCAAGCAUCUAAAUCUGCAUAUUCUCCUCGAAACAAGAUACAAUCAUUAUUACAUGCAUGUAUUUUUUGUAGAGGUUGCCCAAGGUCCUUCAUUAAGGCCUUGCAGUGAUAAAAUGACUCGGGUAAUUUAUUCUUUUUAGGCAACAUUUCCUUGAAAGCUGAAAGAAAAGCAUCAAAUCCAGCAUUAGACAAACAAUACUUGGAUUUUAGGUGCAACAACAAAGUUACGGCUAAUAACUUGGUGUGAUUUUGACAACCAUCCCACAAGGGCUCGUCUGCAGCCUUUAGAAGGUCAUAGAACUUCUUUGAUUCGCUAUUAGGAUCCUCAUCAAAUUUAGGGCUAAUGCAGCUUGUAAUAUCCCUUAACAUGUCUUUAGGCCAAUUUGCAAUUCCCUCAUCAAUAUCGUCAUCUUAAUUCCCUACUUUCUUAAGUGACUCCCCAUGCUCCGUCCAUGUAGUGUAGUUUGGUACAAAUCCAUGCUUAUAAAGACACAUUUCUACAUCUUCACGUGAUUUAUAGUUUAUGAAAUCACACUUGGCACAAGGACACCGAAUCAUGCCAUCAUCUACGCACUCAGGAUUAGAAAAUGCAAAAUCAAGAAAUGUAUUGACCCCACUCAUAAAUUCAUGUAUAUGUUUAGACUUUUUCCCAACAUGCCUAUACAUCCAACUUCGAUCAUCCAUCUACCAUUUGUAAUUCAAAUAAUUGAAAAAUGUUCAUUUAUGGUGAUAAUUAACCCUUUUAUGAAAUAGAAAAGAAAAAAAAAACUGUACUGACUUUACAACUUAUUUUCUAGCACACUGUUCUUAACAUGGUCACAACUUAUAAUUAAAGAAAACAACAUAUACUACCUGAAUUCAAGAUAAUAUUGGUUAUGAGGUAGUAAAUCAAACAGAGAAAGCGUAAUCAGAGAAAGCAUAUUAGAUUUUCUAAUUAAUGUUCCUAAUUAGUUUUAUAUUAGAUUUUUUACAUGCUACACAGGAAUUGGGGCCAAAUUCGAACAGAGAAAGCAUAAUCAAAAUUCUAAAAUAAUUGGGGCCAAAUUGGAACAGAGAAAGUAAAGAGGGAGACAAUAAACACCCAAGGAAGAGAGGAUUUACCUUCAAAAUCACAAAGCUUAACUUGGAUCACAACUUUGGUACGUAGAAGAAAGGGAGAUGGUUUUAGUUACCGUCUAUGGAGAAGAUGGGAAGAGUUGUUUAGAGCCGCAGAGAGCACUGGGCAGAGGCCGUCGACUGAGAGGGAGUAGUCGACUGUCGACUUUGUCAAGAAAGAGGCAAGCAAGUAGCAACUGAAGCAAUCAAACAAAGAGUGAAGAAGGAGAACUGAAGAUAAGGGCUAGGGCAAAUGUCAAAUGUGAAAGUGAAAUCAGAAAUGGACCGCCGACUCGGUCACUUAGGAUUAUAGAUAGGAGUGAGAUAUAAUAAUAUUAUAAAAUUGUUUUUUUUAAGAAUUACGGUUCGGUUAUUCGGGUAUCCAAAUAACCAGUUUUUGAACACCGAAUCUGUAAUCGAAUACUAAAUAAUAAUUCGGAUAUAACUGAAAUUGUAAAAAAACCGAAAAACCGAAAUAAUUCGGUUAAAAAAUUUCGAUUCGGUUCGGUAAUUCGGUUUUAUUCGUUUUUUGCUCACUCCUAGUCACUGGACAUUUAAUUUUUGUUGGCUUGUUGUUGCUGACUUGCUGUAUUUUGGACAGUUAAUUAGGCUUGCAUUAUUAAGUCAUAAAUUUCAUGUUGGCUUGUUGUUGCUGCUGGACAAGUAAGUUAACAGUUGCUGCCUGCUGGGCAGUUAAUUUGCUAAAUAGUUAACAGGGAAUUUAUGUUGUAUGAUAUUUCGGUUAUUACCCGAAUAUCCGAAAUUACAAUUCGGUAUUCGGUAAUUCGGUUAUUUUCACAUUUCGAUUAGAAUUUUGGAUAGUGGAAUUGUCAUUAAUUCGGUUUUCGGUUAUAACCGAAUAGCUUAUUCGGUUCGGUUAUAACCGAAUGAUCACUCCUACUAAUAACUUGGUAUUUUGAAUCAAAUAUCGGCAUCGACACAUAAGGCUGUAAAAUGAGCAAACAGUUCGGGGUCGAUUCGUACUCGCUCGACUAAAAGUUCAAUUCGAGCUCGACUCUAAAUAUAAAUGAGUCAAAUAUGAGCAAAUUUUAAAGUUCUAUAAAUUACUCGAACCUCCUCAAAUUAUAAUUUUCUAUUGAUACUCGGAUCAUAUUCGUUCGAAAAGUUCAAACUGUUCAGGCUCGAUUCGGAAUCGUACUCGACUCGAUAGCUAAAUGAUCCUCAAUCAAACCUUAUAAUAUACUUGAUAAAAUUUGUGAACCAAAUCUGAUAGAAAUACAUUACGAAAAUUUAAAAAGAUUAUAAAAUGAGUUUUAGUUUUAGUUGGACCAGAUUAAGUAAUCUCAAGUACAUGAAAUUAAAAAUAAAAUAAAAUUAACAAAUUGAAAAAAACAACAACUAGUAGACUCGGGCGUAAAUUAACUUUUAAGGGUUUAAUACACUAUUUGUACGUUCCAAAUUUUAUAUUUGACUUUGUACCAUUGACAUUUAUUUUUUCGUGGGCAUAUAUUUUUAUUAUUAUUAGUUAUUGUCAAUUUUGGUGGAUAAAUUAUUUAAUGUUUGAAGACUAUUUGGGGGAUAUUAAAUAUAUCAUUACUCAUAAUGAUAUUAAAUAUAGUGGGUGCAGAUGAUAGUAAUGUUAUAAAAAAAUUUCAGGCUUCACAAAGAAGAAUAUAAGUUAUUGUAUUAAGCUUCAAUACUUUUUGUAAGAGUAAUAAUUGAUAUUAAAACAUCAUUUUUAUUAAUAAUAUUAUUUUAAAAUAAUAAAAGAGAGGAGACUUAAUUUGUAGCUUAAUCUAAAGAAAGUAUAUAAAUUUUUAAUAUUAUUUUAAUUUAUUUUACUUUUUUGAAUAACAAAUUUGUACUUAAUUACUAGUGGAUCAAUUAAUUCAUAUCUCACAAAUUUACUAAAAAUAAUAAUUAAAUGAUACUCUUUUUUUUGUAGAACAAAGGGUAUAUCAAAAGAUAAUUAAAUCAAAAGAAAUUUAAGCUAAUUAAAUUUAAUUAAAAGAUAAUUAAAAUUUAAACAAACAAAAAUAGACUAAUUUAGUGGCAUAUUCCACUCAUUUUGAAGAAAUGGCGGGAUCUCUGUUUCUAUCUUUAAUUUCAAGUACCAUUGUAUAAACUUCCCCAUCUUUUCCAUAGGCAGCAAACUGAAACCCUACAUCCAUCUUCUACCAAAAUUGUGAUCCCAGUUAAGGUUGUGAUUUCAAAGGUAAGUCCUCUCUUUGGGUGUUUAUUCUCUCCAUCUUUCCUUUCUCUGUUCUAAUUUGUCCCCAAUUCUUAUUUUAGAAUUGUGAUUAUGCUUUCUCUUUUCGAAUUUGGCCCCAAUUCCUGUUUUUAUAGAGAUGUUUUACGAACUGUUAUUGACAAUUUGAUUGUUCAUGUGUUUGUGGAGAUUUAAUAUAUAUAUAUAUAUAUAUAUAUAUAUAUAUGAUUUUGAUAGCGUAUUUACUAAUUUUAANNNNNNNNNNNNNNNNNNNNNNNNNNNNNNNNNNNNNNNNNNNNNNNNNNNNNNNNNNNNNNNNNNNNNNNNNNNNNNNNNNNNNNNNNNNNNNNNNNNNNNNNNNNNNNNNNNNNNNNNNNNNNNNNNNNNNNNNNNNNNNNNNNNNNNNNNNNNNNNNNNNNNNNNNNNNNNNNNNNNNNNNNNNNNNNNNNNNNNNNNNNNNNNNNNNNNNNNNNNNNNNNNNNNNNNNNNNNNNNNNNNNNNNNNNNNNNNNNNNNNNNNNNNNNNNNNNNNNNNNNNNNNNNNNNNNNNNNNNNNNNNNNNNNNNNNNNNNNNNNNNNNNNNNNNNNNNNNNNNNNNNNNNNNNNNNNNNNNNNNNNNNNNNNNNNNNNNNNNNNNNNNNNNNNNNNNNNNNNNNNNNNNNNNNNNNNNAUAUAUAUAUAUAUAUAUCCCUCGAUUUAUAUAUGUAUGUUAAUUAGGUACGUAUAUGUAUGCAUGAAUAUAUAUGAAACUUUGUUAGUUAAUUACUUUGGUUGAGAAUGGAUUGUAGUUUGUAAACAAAUCUAAUAUGAAACUGAUUAGGAAAAGACUUAAAUUGGAAUUCUUCUUUUGGUUGAAUGGAAGGGUUACUCAUUACUUCAUUAAUUUGACAUUAAUUUUGUAUUAUUUUGUUUAAUUAUGUUUUGGUUGGUUAUGUUUUUCAUUUAUUUUAUUCUAUUCCAAGUCAUUAAGAGCACAUGAUGUUUUAGGUAAAACACUGAUUCUACUGGACAGAUGAUUCAUGUACAAAACCAAAGUUAGUGCACACACCCUAUUAUUUAAUAUUCAAAACAUUGGGUUGCUGUUGGGGUGGGUCUGUAGGAGGGCAGGGGUGGAGUUGCAGGGGAGGCGAAUGGAAGAGGGCAAAAGUGCUGGAUGAAGGAGGGACGUUGGCAUGUUCUUGAAUGAUGGUAACCCAUUCUUUAUACAUUUUGAAUGAGAGUGGUUAAUUGCAAAAAAGCACUUGCAAUAGCUACAUUGAAAUUGGUUCCAUUUAUGAGGGACAAGAAAAGCAGCAGUGGGCAGUAAGGAACUGCUAUAACAGUUUUGGGUAUAUCAUUCUAGCUCUAGAAUCUAGUUUGAAGACUUAACCAUAGAGUUUUAGUUUUAGUUGGAGCUGUACAUUCUUUACCAUUAAUGAUUAGUGAUUCUAUUCAAAGUUACCAUGCUUUUUUAAGUUCUCACUUGGGUUUUUGUAAAUGGGUCAAGCUUUGCUUAUUGUGUGCAAGAAAAUCUGAUAUCGCUGUGAAAUCUAUAGUAAGAAAAUUAAAAAUGGUCACUUUGAUAUACUUGCACUUAAUUGAUGCCCACAAUUGUCGUCUUUAAUUGUACUAAUCCAUCAAAGGAGCAUGUCAAUAUUGUUCUAUUCAGCAGUACUAUGAUUUAAUUGAUGCCCUCAUAGUAUCCAUCAAAAGAACAUUUAAUCUUGAUGUAACCAGCAUGCCACGGAACCUGACAUGUGUAGCAAAAAAGCUUUUUACAGUUCAGACAUAUUAGAAAUGAUUGUUCCAUUGAAAUGAUUGUUUGGCAUAUUAGAGGAUCUAACAAGUGAUUACAGUCCAAAGUGGACGACAUUUAAUGCUGGCUACAUUGUCUUCAACUUUUACUUCGAUGUACUUGGUGAAGCAAUCCACACAAAAAGGAUGAAAACAUUCAUCAUUCUUCUUGAAAACAUUCAAUGCAUAUCUCACAAGUGAAAGUUGAACUCUCUUCUUCACCUGAUUUAUCCUCUUCUGUUUUCGCCAAACUCACCUCUUGUUUUUAGCUGUGUGUUCCCCAUUGUUUGUUCUGUUUCUGUUGCAAAAAAAUCAUCAGCUCAUGUGAGAAACAAUUAGAGAAAGUGGAAUUGUACAACAGAAACAUGCAUGAAGUUGUAUAUUAUUGCAAAAUAAAUGGCAACUCUUUCUACAAUUACAAAGAAAAUGCCAAACACAUUUUGAAUUUGCAGCUACAACUAUUACAUGUGUUAUACAAGAGAUGAGAAUACAUUUUGAACAUGCAUGUGUCAAUUUGUGAUCUACAACACAUUUUGAAAAUGCCUAACACAUUUUGAACAUGCAUGUGUUCUACAAUUACAUGAAUUAAUUUGCAUGUGUUGUACUUUGUGUUGUGCAUAUAGUAAUAGGUUCAAUUAAAUGUUGUGUCAAGUGAUAGUGCUAAUUUAUUUAUUUUUUGAUAAAAAAAUGUACAUGCUUGUGGUAUAAUUUCAAACUAGUUUUCCAAUGAGUCAUGAUUAAUUAUUGCUGAUUAAUAUGUUGGGUAUAUAAAUUGUUCUUUGUACGGUUGAAUGUUAUUGUCUUGACAGGUAAGAUGCUAAUUGAUUUUGGAGCUAGUAGAGUAGUGAAUAAUUUUGAAAUUGUAUUACAACAUCAUCUUGAAUAAUUUCUUUUAUUUAUCCUAUAUUUAAUUAUAAGUUUUUUUUCUUCUCCAGCUAUGGUGAGAACUAGAGGUGGGAGUAGUCUUUCCGGUAGGAGAUCAACUCUUCCUCAUAAUAGUGGCGAGACUGUUAACAUGAACAGAAUGAGAGAUGAGCCUAUUGUAUCUCAUGAUAGUGGUGAGAGUAUUGAUAGGGCUACACCGAAUACUACACAAGCCGAAAGGUUAUCUCGUAAGAAAAGGGGGCCAACUCUAGGGAUAAUAAAGCCUAAAACAGGCCAAACAAAGAUGCUUGUUAAUAUCAUUGGACAAAAGUAAGUUUUUACUAAUCUACUCGUGCUUGUCAAUAUGCAAGUUACAUACAAUCAAUUCUGGAUACGUUAAAGAUUCAUUUUCUGACACAUAAUAUAACGUCCGUUUUAACUAUAACAGGGUAAUCUAUGUAGCACAAUGUAAUCCAAAGAACAUAAAAGCAACUAAUCAUAUCAUGUUACUAUAAAAAGCAAUUAAUAGGGGUUCCAUUUAACAAGAUUUGAUUAAUCCUAUUGUGACAACUUUGUUUCUACUUUUCAUUAUUGUUGUACUAAUCAUAUCAUGCUAUGUUACCAUAUCUUGUAAUUAGCUUCCUUGAACCUGAAGCUCGAAGCAAGACUCACAUAUUAUUUCAAAAACGUUUUAAAGAAGCUCGAACCAAAUUCGAGCAAUGGCCAAAACAUGAAAUUGAACUUCUUUGGGGAGAAUAUUUGGUAUGUUUUAAUGAACACACAUUUUAAUUGUAGAAAAAAGUUUAUCAAAAAGUGUAUUAUUCAUUAUAUAUUAAUUAUUAUUUUUACUUGUGGAUGGUGUUAUAGAAAUAUUUUCGUUUCUCUUCAUCGAAGGAGGAGGGAAGGGGUCGAAUCAUAUGGGAGGAAAAUGCACGAAAAAGCUACCCAAACUAUUUAUGGAGAUGGAAAGAUGAUGCCAUUAAGAAGUUUGGCUCCAUUGAGGAAGCAAGGGAUAAAAAGCCUAAUUGGACAACUCUUGAUGUGUGGCAGGAGAUGUGUGAUUAUUGACUGAGUAAAGACUUUUUAGACUCUAGUGAGCUACAAAAAAAGAACAGAAACAUAACUACGUAUGUUCCUCACACAUCAGGCUCCAUAUCGUACGCCGUUAGGAGGGAACAAGAGGUAAAUUAUAAGUUGAUAAAAUCAAAUUAAUAAUAUGCGUAGUCGAUAAAUGCACAUGAUAAUGGUAAAAGAUUCAUAUCAUGAUGCUCUGUUUGGAGUUUUUAAGUGUUCAUGUGGUAUGUAUUGCUUAUUUUUAAUAUUAAUGUUUAUAAUUAAAAUAAUUAUUAUUUUGCUUGUUUUGUCUUAGAAACAAAGACUGCAUCGUCCGCCAACGCAAUAUGAGUUAUAUAAACAAACUCAUAUGAGGAAGGAGAAGGGUAGCGAGGAAAAAACGUGGGUUUGUGAUGAAGCAAAGAGGAAUUUGGUAUGAUUUUCUCUUGUAAAAUUAUAAACUUUGUUUACUCAUGCGAAAGUGAAGAUUGUUGUUCGUUCUUUUCAUAAUUAGUUAUGAGUAUUGUUAAUUAUAUAUACAUAUUUUAUGCAUUGUAUAGGAUGAUUAUGAGAGAAGACUCUUAGCCAAACAUGGUGAUACAGAUAAGCCCGUGAAUGAGUUAGAUGAUCCAAAUUUGGAGACAUGGCAGAAAACUGUUGGAGGCGUCAAAAAGGGUAGACUUGUUGGUCGACCAGGGGAAAAAUGGAGUUCUCGUCGUGGUUCGUAUUGUCCAUCUUUGGUUGCAGAUGAGAACUAUAUUAAAUUAAAGAAAAUGGAAAGCUACAUGACUUAUAUUCAUCAAUACACAAAAAAUAUGGCCGAAACACUUGCACUUGAUCCUCCUAUAGACUUUUGUGAUUUGUUUGCUUCAUCAAAUGCAUCAGCUGAUAUUCCAACGAAUAACUCAACCACGCAUGCUGAGAAUGACAACGGAGAUGAUGACGACUCUCAAGAAAACUUCAUGGAGAAUUCAGGAUGAUUUAGCUCUGCUUUACUUAUCAAUUUUAUUAGUUUAGGGUUCUUUGAUAGAUGUUGGGUUUGUUAAUUGUUUGAUGAACCUAUGACAUGUAGUUACCUAUUUAAGUAGUUGGUAAUGAAUUUAUUUUUAAUUAAAUGGAUCAGAUUUCUUCAUUUUAAUAAAUUUGUAUGAUUUUACGUUUCAAAUUUAUUGUAAUUUAUGUCAUUUAUAAAUUUGAAAUAUAAAAUUGGCAAUUAAAUAUAUUUUAAUAUAGGAAUUUGGUGAUGGCUUUACUAUCACCAAAACGUAUAAAAAGGUUACAAAAAUAGGAAUAAUUGUGAUUGCUUUAGCCAUCACAAGAGACUUAUGCCAUCACAAAAGAAUGUGAUUGUUUUGGCCAUCACAAAUAAUUGGUGAUUGUUUUGGCCAUCACAAAAAGAUGUGAUUGCUUUGGCCAUCACAAAUAAUUGGUGAUUGUUUUGACCAUCACACAAAGAUGUGAUUGCUUUAGCCAUCACAAAUAAUUGGUGAUUGUUUUUACCAUCACAAAAAGAUGUGAUUGCUUCGGCCAUCACAAAUAAUUGGUGAUUGUUUUGACCAUCACAAAAGAUGUGAUUGCUUUGACCAUCACAAAUAACUACUAUGCUAUCGAGAUUACUUUCGCCAUCACAAAUAACUUGUGUGAUUUCGUGAUGGUCAAACUAAUCACAAAAUACAUGUGCGCUAAUGUGACUGAUUUAGUCAUCACAAAAGGAUCGAAUGUUUUGGUGAUUGCCAAAACCAUCACGUAAAACCUUUCAUGAUGGACGUAUACAAAACGGCCAUCGUGAUGCUUAAAAUCAUCACGUAAACCUUUCGUGAUGGUUUUUUUAGUUUUUGUGAUGGAUUUUUGCCAUCACAAAUGACCAUUUUUUUAGUAGUGAUCGAAAGGACGUGGAAUUUAAUAUUGGAGAUCACGUGUUGUUACGUGUUGCUCCAUGGAAAGGAGUUACGAGAUUUGGAAAGAGAGAAGCUCAAUCCUCGAUUCAUUGACCCAUUUUUAAUCCUCGAGCGAGUAGGAACUAUGGCCUAUAGACUCGCCUUACCGCAAAGUAUGUCUCGUGUUCAUAACGUUUUUCACAUAUCUAUGUUACAUAAAUAUGUGAAAGACCCGAACCACAUUAUUGAAUUAGAACCAGACAAGAUAGAGGAAGAUUUAACAUAUGAAGAGUUACCUAUUAAAAUCUUGGAUAAGAAGGAUCAUAUUCUACGCUCCAAGGUUAUACCUCAAGUCAAAGUUUUAUAAGAGAAACCACGAUGUGGAGGAAAUGACCUGGGAGUUAGAAUCUGAGAUGAAGUCAAGAUAUCCUCGUCUCUUCGAUAUACCAGGUACGUACCCUAGUUUCGAGGAUGAAAUUUCAUAAGAAGGGGAGGUAGUAAGACCCCAACUUUUAUGAAUAAAGAAUAAUUUUCUCAAAAUAUAUUUUUGAAUAUUAUGGUGUGGAUUUGAUAUAAUGUUAUAGUUGUGGGUAUUAUUUACAAAUUUUGCAAAGUAAGCAAGUGGUUAUAUAAUAUUCGAUUGGUCGGGGAAUAUUCGUUUUAACAGGGAAUAUUCGUACGACGGUACAAUCAUUGGUGGACCCCACAAAGAAAGUAUUGUUGUAGUUAAAAAACGACAGAAUUAUCUUUUUAUAAAAAUAAUGGCGAAAGUGUUGCCGUUAAAACUGUUGAACUAACCGGUAAUAAAAGUACAGUAAUACGCGUGGUUGCAUAGUAGUACACAGUAUUGAUUAUUGAUGUUUACGUGAGAAGUCACUCAGUUAUACUCAAUUAUUACUAUAGUAAUUGUUGCAUCAUAUCUCUCAUAUUAUUGAUUCAAUUAUUGUCACAGUAUCAUCUGCAUAAUAUGUUAUAUUAUCAAAUCAAUAAUUGAGACGACAAAGUUAUUAAUAUUAUUAAAUUACAAUAUUGACAAUGUCUUGAAGUUCUGUCAAGGAGAGGUUAGAUAAUCUAAUUGCGCGCCAAUAGGGAGAAAUCCUCAUCGGAAAGCCCCCUCUUUCCUGGAAACUACCUGGUUGUUAAAUAUUAUGAGUUAUAAUAUUAAUGAUGAAUAAGUUUGUGUUGAUCAAAGAUGAAAUUAAUAGUUCCAUUGUAUGGAAAUUAUUAGUGUUAGUUGAAAAUCGACAUUUAUUUCGAUAAUAAUUGAUGUCUGGAGGUUUUAUUGACCAAUCGGGUAAUUAACCGGAUAAAUGAGCAAUUAAUUGCUAUUUAUUCACAUGCUUAUAACUAUGUGUUCACAUGUGUGUACUAUUGAUUCACAUGCAUGUACUGUUAGGGGAGUUGGUGCAAGAUUGAUAAUACUUGCAUGACUAAAUUAAAAAUUGAGGUAUAGAUGAAGGUACUAUACUAUACUUAAUUUUUUCACAUGUUUAGAACUAUUGAGUCACAAGAUUUACUAUUGAUUCACAUGAAUUACUAUUAGGGGAGGUGGUGCAAGUUUGAUAAUACUUGCAGGACUAAAUUAAAAAUAAAAAAAAAGAGGAAGGUAUUAUACUGUAAUAUUUUGAGCCCCAAAAUGUGCAAUUAUUGAAACUAUAUUUUCCUAUAAAUAGAAGCUCAUUCUUCCUUCAUUUCUUACCAAUUCACUAAAGCUAUAGAACAAUUAUUAUAGAGAGAAAUUAUAGAGAGAAAGAAGAAGAGAAGUAUGCUACCUCACUACUCCAGUAUCCAGUUUUCUUCUAAGGUAAGGGGUAUUAUUUCUUUCGUAUUCAUGAAGAGAGUUAUUUCUUUCAAUACUCGUAAGGGUUGUUAUUCCAUUCUUUAUUAUUCUGUUGGAAUAACCUGUAUAGGUGGAUUACCGAAUGCGGUGUGAAAUUCUUCUGUUAUUCCAUUCUUUAUUAUUAUGUUAGAAUAACCUGUCUGUGCAGAUUAUGCACGCCUGGUGAAUUCUUUUGUUAUUCCAUUCUUUAUUAUUUUGUCGGAAUAACCUGUCUGUGCGGACUACGCACGCCUGGUGAAUUCUUCUGUUAUUCCAUUUUUUAUUAUUCUGUUGGAAUAACCUGUCUGUGCGGUCUAUCGCAUGCCUAGUGAAUUCUUUUGUUAUUCCAUUCUUUAUUAUUUUGUUGGAAUAACCUGUCUGUGCGGUCUAUCGCAUGCAUGGUGAAUUCUUCUGUUAUUCCAUUCUUUAUUAUUCUGUUGGAAUAACCUGUCUAUGUGGAUUACCGCAUGCAUGGUGAAUGAUCCUUUGUAUUCAUUCCUUAUUAAAUUGUGGAAAUGAUAUGUCUACGUGGAUUACCGCAUGGCGGGCAAAAAUCCAUUUGCAAUUUUAUAUAUUCUAUUAUACUCAGUUGCUUAAAGUUUUGGCUUCUAUACUCCAUGAAAUUAGUAGAAUAUCCUGGAUAUUUGCGCUUCAUCCAAUAUCUUUUCAUGGACAUAUUCUUCUGAGCAUUCUUGAAUUUUACUCCACAAAGCAGUAUUAUGUUGACAAAUUGGAUGUUAUUAAUUUCUGGAUAAAUUAAAUUAUAAAUCUUUAAUAUUUAUCCUUGAACUUGUUUUAUUGAAUUAUUAUGUCAUUGUCAUCAUCCUCAUGCUUAUAUUGUGAUGAAAGUCAUCUUUGGCUUACGUGCAUAGAUGGAUUUGGUAUAAUUAUGACCAGGAAUUAUUCGGUAUAAUCAUGACUGUAAUGUGACGAAUGAUGUGGUGAAAGUCCUCAUUGGCCUGUAGUUCAUUGAUGGACAGUUGUUGGUAUGAUUAUGACCAGGGAUUAUUCGGUAUAAUUAUGACCAUUGAUGAUUACACGAGUAUCCUUGGCCAUAAUGCAUGGAUGAUUCGAUUUUAUUUAUUAAGCUGAGUCUCAGCGAUAAAGUUGAUGAAAAACUUUUUAAGUCAUAGAAGAUAGUAGAUUUUAUACUCUAUAAUUGACUCUUCUAAUGGAUUGCUUAUUCCGCUGUAGUUUUUUAUCUAAAACUUAUUGUCUAUUAUAUUCUUUCAGUUGUUAUACUGUUGAAGGCUAAGGAUAAUUUAUUUUGCAUUAUCUUAGUAAUAAUAUUUCUUACUGGGCUUGUUGAGCUCACCCUUUUCUUUCAUGGUUCUCUUCAAGAAAUGAGAACGUAGCUGGGACUAGUCGGGGAACAGAGUGACGGUCCAGAUGUUUGGAUUAGUAGUCCUCACUAUUCUGUGAAAUAGUGUGAUAAUAAAUGUAAUGAGGACUCCAUUGAGUGUGGAUAUUGUCUAGAUGACAAUAUUCUUAUUAAAACUCUUAGAUUAUGUUUUGUCGUAUUUUACACGACUGUUGUACAAUUAAGUUGUAUUUGAAUUUUGUACCAUGUAUCUGGCGACUCAAGAUGGCUGAUGUAUACCUAUUUUGGUGGCGUCACAUUAACCCUAUUGUUAUAUAUAUUAUAUCCGAUUAUUGUUUAUCAACAUAAUAUUAUACUAUAUAAUUCAGAUAUAUAUUCUGUUCAUUAAUUUCUAAAAAUGAUUAUACAAGUGUCUCCACCUGGAUAAUCAUUGUAUUUAAUCACAUGUUGAUAUAUAUAUAUAUAUAUAUAUAUAUAUAUAUAUAUAUAUAUAUAUACCUAUUGAACCCCAGUAUGUAUACAUUAAGUAAAAGUCGUCUAAGCUAUUCGACCAGCUAGACACAAAUUUAGUUAUAUCGUUUAAUAUGACAAAACUUUUUUGUAUCCAAUCAAAUUAUUUUGGUUCGGAUUCCAGACUAAGUAUGAACAUCCCGAACAUGAGAAAACUUUUAUGCGCCCAAGGCGGACAGAGUAAACGAUAAUAUCUUUCUUUCAUGCAGUAUUGAUCAAUACAGGGUCCAUGGGAUGUAUACCCUCGUGCCCGUAAGUUAUGACGGUUUGCAGAUGAAGUUCUGUUUAACCUUUUUGAAAAUAGAAAACAAUGUGUAUGUCACCCUAACCCUAUAUAUAGUCAAUACAUAGUUUCAAAAAUGUGAGAUAGAGUUGAUAUGUUAUUAUUAUCAGUUUAGUUUACUUCACAACUAUUGAAUCGUUGUAGAAGUAAUGUACAAAGAAAACAUUUAAUUCUUUCAGAUAAUUAUAUUUAUAAUUGUUAUUACUUGCUGGGCACUCAAAUGCUCAUCCUUGCUUAAUUUAAAUGUUUUCAGCUAAGCGUGAUCAACCUGAAGGUUUAGACAAUAAUAAGUGAAAAGGAAAGCAAACAGAAUAUGUUUAACGGUAUCUUUUGUAAUAGUUAAACUGUAUUAAGAUAAUGAUAUGUAUUAUCUAUCAUGUAAAGAAUUAUAGUAAAUGUUGCGUACUUGGGAUUAGACUAUGAUAUUUGUAAAUUAAGUUUGAUUUUUAUAUUAUUGUUAUUAUUAUUAUUAUUAUUAUUCUGCUCAUAAAAAUGGUAUCGUGAAGCACCGAGUUCGGGUUUCAAGUACCUAAAUUUGGGGGCGUCACAGUAUGGUAUUAGAGCUAUAGGUUAGAAACCUUAGGUGGGUUAAACCUUAGGCUAUAACCUUAGAACAGAGGGGAACGUUGAAAAUACAAAUAACUCAUAUAGAGUUUAUAAGGAGAUGAAUUUAAUAAAUUCAUCGUGAAACAAAAUAAAAGAUAACUAAUAAAACUAUUAUUUGCUAUGUGUUUAUACUUAGUGUUAAUCCGGAUAAUUUAUUUGUAUAGAUGUCAGAUAGAAAAAGAAUUAGAAUACCCUCAGAUCAUAAAGAAAGAGCAAAUCUCCAUGACCGAGCCAAUAUUAAAGCUAAUAGCUGAAAUAGAGGCACACAUUGAAAACUACCUCAAAGAGGAGGUUAUUUUGGAAAGUAUAAUACCAGAUCCAGAGACGAUAGUAUAACAGAUAGGUUGAGUGUAGUUAAAGAAUAUAUGGUGAAGCUUGAGUUCUUAAACUCAUUUAUUUGUGGUAAGUUCUUAAACUCAUAAUGUGUAGUAAGAAAAAGGGAAGUAUUUUAGAAUACCUCAUAUCAUUCUCGAAUUACUACUUCAUCUCCUCACCAGCUCUUGAACCCUUGACCUCUAGAAACUCAAUAAUCAAACGAGUACCAAAUGUCUACAAGGAGGACUAGUAUAGUUAUGUGUUAAUGGAUUAUUGAGGAUAAUAGAAUAUAUAGAAUGCUAAGCAAUUGAUCAUUAGUAAAGACGUAAGAAAUAGAUAGUGUUAGUAUUACUUGAAUAGGUAUGAUUCUAUGUGGUGUAAAUGAUAAGUAUGUCUGUGUAAGGAAAUAUUCUCAACUUUUGUAUAAGUUAUGGCUGCGAUUCCUGACUUGUGUGUUAUAAAGGAAUAGCGGAUGUUUAAAGCAGUAUGUGCUAUGGUAUGUCAAGUGAUAUGAAUAUGAGUCUAUGUUGGAUUAACGAAAUAAGUUGAUAUAAAGAUAGUAAUUAUUUAUCUGAACACUGGUUAAUACAGUAAACCGAAUUUUCAAAAUCUAAAAUUUUGAGUACAUGAUUAUUUGAAUAGAAAGUUUUGCGUUAUUUGAGAUGCAUGUACGAUAAGGCUUAGAAUGUAAGUUAAUAAGAAUAAUUUAUGAUAAUGCCAUCGAGAAGAAGAACCUGUCAAUAAAGCUAGAAGAUAACCAGACCCGCCAUAUAAUUUUGCGAAUGUGGACGCUCAAGCUAUGCAGAACGGAAUCCCAGCCGCGGGAAAUCGGCCAGAUAAUCGAUCGACAAACUUUAGAGACUUCAAGGCAAUCGUACUGCCAAGAUUUAGAAGAUCAACUGAUCCUGUUGACGCGUUUGUGAUAGUUAGGGUAACAUAGGGGCAAAAAGACAGCUUUUGCCACCUAUACGAUGAAAGGAGAUAGUUUUGAUAAUACCUGAAAUAAGCCAAGAGUGUGAUGGAAAGGAAAGUUUGUGUGUUGCAAAUGUGGACAGGAGGGAUAUAUCUCUCCUAACUCUCCCAAUCCAAAAGUGUAUAGUGGGUGUUUUAUUUGUGAGUUAAGGGAGCAUAAGGUGAAAGACUGUUUAAGAAAGAGAAGGGAGGCAAGGAAUGCGAAUACGAGGAGAGGCAGCAGGACAUUGACGACAACGAGACCAACUUCAACAAACAAACUGACGGAAUCAACCGCAAGAGUCAUCAACAUGACUGUUUAGGAUUCGGUAGCAGCCGGGGAUGCAACUCCAAGUAUUACUCGAACCAAUUUUAUUUUCUUAUAUAUGAUUUUCUUAUAUAUAUAGUAAAUUAUUUUAUAAAUUAUUUUGAAGGAGGAAUUUGAGUUCUUUUAGAAAUCAAAUUUCUGUUUAUGAAGAUAGAUAAGCUUUUUGCUGAAUAGUUAAAGAUCAGUUAGAUCAAUUAUGAUCGAGAUCUACUUGCAAUGAUUGUAUAGGUUAUGUACCCUUAUAUGUAUAGGUUUUAAAACGGUGAUUCCGGGGACGAAAUCUUUAUAAGGGAGGGUGAAUGUAAUAACCCGAUAUUUUCUAUAUAAUUAAAUCAGAAAUUUUGUGUAUGAAUUUAUUUAUUUAUUUAUUUAUUAAAGUUGGAAAUAUGUGCCAGGUAAUGUGUAUAUGUAUAUAUGUGAUAAAUAAAAUAUAUUUAUUGCAUGAAUAAUUACCAAUAGUUUUAUUUUAGAAUUAUUGCUCAUUAUAAAUUAUAUUAUAAUAAUAAUUAGUUUUAUAGUAGAAAUGUUUUUAUUAAUUCUAUUCUAUGAAAAUGUGUUUAUAUAUUAUUUAAAAAUUAUAUGAAAUGAUUAAAGACUUAUUAUAAUGAUUAUUCUGUUUUAUUAUAUGAAUUUUAGUUCAGAUUAUUUAAGUUAAUUAUUUUAACUUAAUUAUUAUUGUUAUGUAUGCAAGAUAAAUCAGAUAUGGAAUCCAAAUCCUAAUUUUGGAUUUUGAACAACGAAUGAGAAUAAUAAUAUAAUAUUAAUUAUAUUUUUAUUCUUCAGUGCUAUAAAUAUGUAUGUUAUGUUUGUAAGGUUAAUCUGGGGAGCAAUUUCCUUAUGACCUGAUAAAACCCUAAUUUGAAAGUCAAUUACGACUGUAAAAUCUGUUAAGUCAUUGUGAUAUGUGGUAUAUGAUUUGUAUUAUAAGUAUUAAUGUUAAUUAUAUAAAACCCUAAUUAGUAAUUUAAAACUCUAUUUUUCUUAUAUUAGAAACCCUAAACAGUAAUUAGCUAUCCGCUAAGUGGAAACCCUAAUUUAAAACUCAACUAUGAGUUUGAGACUAUUAUGUAACUGUGUUAUUAUGUUUAAGGUUAAGUAUUAUAGAAUUUUAUAUUAAUUAGAGAAACCCGAAUUAACAUUUAGAAAUCCUAAUUUCCAGAAACCCUAAUUUCUAAAUUAGUAAACCUAAUUUCUAAAUUAGUAACCCUAAUUUACUAAAAUAAAAUCCUAAUUGUUAAUUUAGCACGCUUAAUGAUAAUUAGUAAAAUCUAAACCUAAUUUUCAAGUCUAUGUAAUGAGGAAACCAAAUUAAUUACGAAACCUUAAUUUGUAUUUUUAGAAACUAAAAAUUUCAAUUUUUGUUUAAAUUAGAAAUCCUACAACACUUUGUGCUAAACCUUAUGGUCAAACCCUAAGGGUCAAACCCUAAGUGUUUGAUAAGUUACUAGUUUGCCCUUAAAUUGGUUAGCCAAAUGACAAAAAUACCCCUCUUGCAUUAUUGGACAUAACUUGUAAGACUAACCAAUUUUGAGUUGCUCAACAACUCUUACCAGCCCCAUUUGACUAAAAUGCCAGCAAUUAGCCAACUUGAUUUCAUGUUAUAUAUAGAGAGAUCAGGAAAGAGAAAUUUCAUUUAUUAGCCACAUUUGUACAAAAAACUCCUUACCAACUCUCUCUCUCCCAAAACCCACGAAAUGUUGUAGUAGAUCAGUCCCAUAUUAAAGCCCCACUAACACACUUAACCAAAUCAGCAGCCAGAAUCAAGAAUUGAUGUUUAAAGGUAUAAAAUCCUAAGUUAAAGUUUUGAUCUUGUAUGCUAUAUUGGAUUUAUGGUUUUUAUGUUUAAUCAUGUAGAAUAAGGUGUUAAUAGGUGAUCUGGGUUGGCACAUGUUAGAUCCAUAACAUCAAAGUGCUCGAAAUCUAAGUUUUUCAAAAUCUGGAAUUUUUUGUUUUUGUUGUCUGACAGCGAAUGUCAGGCCUUGUAGAUCUGUGCUUGUUUAUUGUUUUGAUGAUUUAAAGGUUUGAAGUGGUAGUUUGGUAUGAGGUCUUUCAUAUGAAAGUGGAAUCACUGUUAUUGGAUGUCUAGAUCGAAAGUUAUUGAUGGUCAAAAGUCGUUGACCAACCAUGACCGAGUGUAAAUCUGGGCAACCCAGAAAGCUUUUUCAGCGUCUGACAAUGUUUUGGAAGGCUUAGAUCUGUCAGUGUGUAAAUGAUUUGAUGAUGUUAUAAUAUACAGUUUAUAGCCUGUCAUAUGUACUUUAUAUUUGUGGCUUUAGAUCCUUUAAACAAACAAUUGAUCAAACUUAGUGGAUGGUCAAACUUGGCCCCUCGGUCACGAUUUCAUUUCUGGGAAUUUCCAGAAAAUCGGAAGAACAGCCCUCUGACAGGGUUUGACCAAGUUAUAUCUUGUAGAUCUGUUGAUGUUAAACUGAUUUGUUGUUAUAUUAUUGUUCCUGGACAUAAGGACUACAUCUUUGAGGCAUUAGAUCACUUGAAUCAUGAACGGAACCUAGAUUAAAUCGAGGAUGAAAGUGACUGGUCGACCACCUGGGUUUCUGGAAAACCCAGGAAUGCUCUGACAACAUAUUUGCAAGCCUAGAUCUCCUUGUGUGUUUGUUGUAUGACCUAGAUAUUGAUUGCUAGUUAUAGUGUUGUAUAAUGACUUCAAUAUUGAUGCUUAAGUUUGCCCAGAAACGAAUUAGACAGAGAAUUAUUAGUGGUCAAAGUUGACCCCUCAAACACAAAGCUAUAAGUGUUCUUGAGCUCAAGAACACCAACAGCGACGCUUACUGUCGCUAAAAGCCAAUAACGACGGUUUCUAAUACUUUUAAUUUCUGAUUUUUCGAAAAAUACUUAAAAAUAGAAAAUAAAUUAUAAAAAUUACAAAAAUGGUUUUAAAAAUUAUUUUCAAUUAUGAAAAAUAACUUUUAAUUAUUUGGGAUAUUUUUCAUUAAUAUUUAUAUAUUUUUUAAUAUUAAUAAUAUUUAAUUUAUUUAAUUAGUGUAUUAAAUAAACUAGAGAAAAAUGAUUUUAAUGUUAUAAAAAUCAAUUGAAAUAAGAAUAAAGUGUUUAAAAAUAUUUUUGAGUUAUAUAUGUAACUUUUAAUAUUUUUGUGAUGAAUUUCAUUAAUUAAUUAAUAUUGGUGAUAAUUAAGUAAUUUAAUAAAUGUAUUAAAUAAAUUAUGAAAAAUAGAAUUUGUGAUUUAAAAAUCAUAUAAAAGUGAUUUAAAGAUUAUAAAAAAAUAUUUAAAGUUAUAAAAUAUAACUUUUGAUAUUUUGUCAUGAAAAAUAUUAAUAAUUUAAUAUUAAUAAUAUUAGAUUUAUUUAAUGAUUAUAUUAAAUAAUUUAGUUUAAAAAUAAUUUUAUUAUUAUAAAAAUCAUUUUAAAUGAAAAUAAAGUGUUUAAAGAUAUUUUAAGUUAUAAAAUAUAACUUUUAAUAUUUAAAGGAUAAUUUCAUUAAUAAUUUAAUAUUAAUGAUAUUAAUUUAAGAUUUAUUGAUAUUAAAUUUAUUUAAUAAUUAUAUUAAAUAAAUAUUUUUAAAAUGGUUUUAUUAGUUUAAAAAUCAUUUAAAAGGAUAUAAUUGAAUUAAAAAUAUUUUAAGUUGGAAUUAAUGACGUUUAAUAUUUGGAUAAAUAGUAAAUUAAUAUUUUAAUAUUAAUGGUAAUUAUUUAAAAAUGAUUUUAAAUGUUUUAAAAAUCAUUUAAGGGUAGUAUUAGUACUUUAAAAAUAUUUUGAGUUAUUAUCAAUAACUUUAAUAUUUUGGUAAUGAUUAUAUUAAUAAUUUAAUAUUAAUUAAAUAUUAAUGAUAAUAUGAUUAUGUACUAUUUAAAUCAUUUAAUUAUGAUUCCAGUGUUUGAAAUUUCAUAAUAAAUUAUAAUAAAUGUUUAAAAAUUAUUAUAAGUCAUUUAAAAAUAAUAUGAUUGAUACUUGUAGAUAUUGAGAUACAAUAUAGAGUCUUAGACUCGAUAUUUACCCAAUAAAGCCGUCGGUAGACCGACAUAUUUUAAAAAUUGAUCUAGACUUAGAUAUUUGACUGUAUUAAUGUUUGUUUGUGAUUUAAUGAUUGUUGAAUAUGUGUGACAAUGUGAUUAGGUUAUGUCCUAACUGCAAUAAGAAGUGCUAUGUGUUAUAGUAUGUUAUUCUAAUCGAACAAAUGAUUUUAUUAAUGAUAGGUUUUGGUAUUAAAGAUAAAACUAAGUUGUGUAUUGUAAGUAGCAGACCAGACAAGUAUCCUAUCUUUGCAUUUUCAUUAUGCAAUGGACAUGAGUAAGAAGUUUAGAACUGUAUUACUACUGUAUCAGAUUAUUAACCCUAUUGUUAUAUAUGUUAUAUCCGAUUAUUGUUUAUCAACAUUGUGACGACCCCAAAAUAGUUAUACAACACCCAUUCUGAGUCGCCAUAAUACAUGGUACAGAAAGAAAACUACAACUUCACUAUUACAAUUGUCAUGCAAAAUACGACAACACAUACUGUGAGUUUAAAUACAAAUAUUGUCUUCUAGACAAUAUCCACAAUCAAAUAAGUCCUCAAUACAUUUAUUAAUACAUUAUUUUACAAAAAUAGUGAGGACUGCUAAAAUAACUAUCUUGAAUCAUCACUCCAUACCCCGGCUAGUCCCUGCUAUAUUCUCACCUCCUGAGAAGAAAAAUGGAACAACAAGAAAAAGGGUGAGUUCAACUAGCCCAGUAAAGAAUAUUAUGACUAAGAUAAUAUACAACAAAUUAUCAUUAGUCCUCAACAGGGAAAAAUCUGAUAGAAUAUAAUAGACAACAAGUUUUAGAUCAGCAAAUGCAGCGGAAACAACAAUCCAUUAGAAGAGUCACGUAGAGAAUGAGUUCUACUAUCUUCUAAGAUUUAAAAGUCCAUCAUCAAUAUUUUAUCCCUGUAACAACAAUCAAUAUACAUCUUUACACUACAGGCCAAAGAUAUUCAUUUAAAUCACCAGUCGGUCAUGUUCAUCUCAACACCUGUUCAUCUUUGCACUACGGGCCAAAGAUAUUCAUCAGUUUAUCAUUCAUCUUUGCACUACAGGCCAAAGAUAUUCAGUAAUAUCAUCAUUUAGGACUGAGGAUGAUGAAAAAUAUUUUUUUUUAAAGAAACGAAUCCAGUGAAACAAAAGGACAAGGAUUAAGAAUUCGUACUUUAGUUUGUCCAAAUUCAAAAAUACUCCAUAAUAAACAAUUAUGGGACAAAUUUUAAGAAUGAAGAUCAAAACAUGGAUAUAAUCAAAGCUAGUAUCAUAAUGGACAUUUUGGAUAAAAAGGAAAUUUUUUAUUUUUCGGUGAAUAAUGUCGUAUUCGUGAAUAGUGCUGUAUACGUGAAUAGUGCCGUAUACGUGAAUAGUAACCCCGACACAAAAAGUUCCAAAUUUGAUAAAAAGAUCAGAUCAAUAUUUCGACGUAAUGAUAUUGACGAAAAUAAUAUCAUUCAUGAAGAAAAUAAUAUUCCUUACCUCAAAGAAGCAGUACUUCGGAAUGAAAGGUCGGAAGUGAUGCUGAAUGAAACUUGUACUGAACAACAACUCUCAAAGUAUCUAAAUACUCACAAAAUACGCUCGAUAAUAUAGAGAGAAAGAGAGAAAGCUUAUGUUUCUUGUGUGAUUUUCAAUUCUAACUUAGCCAUCUAUUUAUAGAAAAAUGUUAACCCGCCGAAGCAGACUUGACCUGCUACCUGAUGGCUUUACCUGUUACUAUUGCCACCCACCACAUUUAAAAUUCAAUUUGAGCACAUUUCUCACCAACCACAAGUGGGGCCCAUUCAAUUCUAGAAUUUUCCACCAAAAUCAUUUAUAACCCUAAUUUCCGAAGCAGUCACCUCUUAAAAUUCAUAACAAAUCAUUCGUUCAUUUUUAACGGUUCAAAAUUUGUGGACAUAUACCCAACUUAUAUAUGUAUAACAUAACCAAAAAUCACAACAAUCCAACGGUCAGAGUAAAAAUUAUAACUCACGCAAUAUAUCGUAAAAAUACUGAUUUGAUUUUUAAUACCUCCAUUCCGACAAAAAUAUAGAUAAAACACCUCAACAUUAACUCCUUCAAUUAUAAUCACAUAAAAUAAACAAAUCCAUCAUUUAUAUAAAAUAAAUAUUUCCUUAUCAUAUAAAUCAAUAAUUAAUUAUUCACAAAUAAUAUUAUAGAAUCACAAUUAUGACAACCAAGCCGUUUCCAGGAAAGAGGGGGCUUUCCAAUAAGGAUUUCUCCUUACUGGCGCGCAAUUAGAUGACCUAACCUCUCCUUAACAGAACUUUCUAGACAUUGCCAAUAAUGCUAUCUAAUAAUAUUAUUAAAGCAAUAUGAAUUAUUGAUCUGAUAAUGGGAAAUACUGUGCAGUAACAAUAAUUGAAAUAAUAAUAAUAUAAAAUAUCAACGCAGCAAUUAUUGAAUCAAUAAAAUAAAAUAUUAAACAGUAACUACUGUAACAAUUAUUGAGUAGUGCCUUCUUACGUAAGAAUCAAUAAUUCAACUAUACUGUGUAAUACCGUGUGCUACUGUGCAACUACGCGUAUUACUGUAUUUUAACCACCAGGUAAUCCAACAGUGUUAACGGUAACAACUGCGCCGUUAUUUAUAAAAACACAUACUUGUCGUUUUCCUUCAUCCAACCAUUUUUCAUUAUGGGGCCCACAAAUGGCUGCGCCGUCGUACGAAUAUUCCCUGACAGCAAGAAUAUUCCACGACGAAACGAAUAUUCCCCGACAACAAUGAAUAUUUUAUAACCACUUGCUUAUUUUGCAAAAUUUGCUUAUCUCAUCCAUAACCAAAAUAUUAUAUCAAAUUAACACCUUAUUAUUCACAAUAAUAAUAAUUAGAGGAAAUUCAAUUUCAUUUAUAAAAAGUUGGGGUCUUACAAACAUGAUAUUAUAUUAUAUAAUUCAGAUAUAUAUUCUGUUCGUUAAUUUCUAAAAAUGAUUUAAUCACAUGUUGAUAUAUAUAUAUAUAUAUAUAUAUAUAUAUAUAUAUAUAUAUAUAUACCUAUUGAACCCCAGUAUGUAUACAUUAAGUAAAAGUCGUCUAAGCUAUUCAACUAGCUAGACACAGAUUUAGAUAUAUCAUUGAAUAUGAUAAAACUUUUUUGUAUCCAAUCAAAUUGUUUUGGUUCGGAUUCCAGACUAAGUAUGAACAUCCAGAACAUGGGAAAACUUUUAUGCACCUAAGACGGACAGAGUGAAUGAUAAUAUCGUUCUUGCAUGCAGUAUUGAUCAAUACAGGGUCCUUGGGAUGUACACCCUCGUGCCCAUAAGUUAUGACGGUUUGCAAAUGAAGUUCUACUUUACCUUUUUGAAAAUAGAAAAUAAUGUUCAUAAUAUGUCACCCUAACCCUAUAUAUAGUCAAUACGUAGUUUCAAAAAUGUGAGAUAGAGUUGUUAUGUUAUUAUUAUCGGUUUAGUUUACUUCACAACUAUUGAAUCGUUGUAGAAGUAAUGUACAAAGAAAACAUUUAAUUCUUUCAGAUAAUUAUAUUUAUAAUUGUUAUUACUUGCUGGGCACUCAAAUGCUCAUCCUUGCUUAAUUUAAAUGUUUUCAGCUAAGCGUGAUCAAUCUGAAGGUUUAGACAAUAAUAAGUGAAAAGGAAAGCAAACAGAAUAUGUUUAACGGUAUCUUUUGUAAUAGUUAAACUGUAUUAAGAUAAUGAUAUGUAUUAUCUAUCAUGUAAAGAAUUAUAGUAAAUGUUGCGUACUUGGGAUUAGACUAUGAUAUUUGUAAAUUAAGUUUGAUUUUUAUAUUAUUGUUAUUAUUAUUAUUAUUAUUAUUCUGCUCAUAAAAAUGGUAUCGUGAAGCACCGAGUUCGGGUUUCAAGUACCUAAAUUUGGGGGCGUCACAAAUAUGGCUCAGUUAUUGGAGCGCGAUAAUGAGUCAACCCAACCAAGAGAGAGUAGCCGACAAAAUGAUAAUACCAGUGGUAGCAGUCAUCGAAGCGGUGUCAACAAACGUGGAGGGAAUCAACAUGCUAGAAAUGGUAACCACUUCGGUAGUAAUCAUGGCGAAGAUAAUAAAAAUGGAAAUUUCAAGAAGAGGAGAAUCAACAAUGAUGGAAAGACGUCAGCACCAGAACCCGUUGGUAAGGAAGGAGAACGACCAGCGAUCGUAUGCUACAAAUGCGGAGGGGAGGGAUACAUCAGUCCAAACUGUGCGCAGCCGUCCAAAAUGUAUUAUAAUUAUGGAAGAGAAGGUCACCUAGCUCGAUUUUGUCUUGCAAGGAAGCCAAGUCAAGCUGGGAUGGAGGCACCAAAGGUCAUCCCAGAAAAGUCAAAACCAGUAGUUCAAGGGAGAGCGUUUUUCGUGACCUCCCAGAAAGCAAGGAACCUGAACGAGGUUAUCAUGGGUAAGCUAAUCAUAAACUCUAGCGAAGUAUAUACCUUAUUUGAUAACGGUUCUACCCAUUCUUUUAUUUUACUAUUGGCACUCAACGUUUAAAUUUAACUCUGGAGAAAUUAGACUUUGACUUAUCUGUUAAAACUCCGUUGGGAGAAACCUUCAUUACAUCCACUGUUUAUAAGUCUUGUUUAGUUCAAAUCGGUACCCUCACAUUACCUGUCGAUCUUAUUUCUUUAAAAAUACUUGCAUUUGAUGUGAUUUUAGGGAUUGAUUGGUUAACUACUCAUCAUGCAAAAAUUGAUUGUUUUCGUAAGGUUGUUAGCUUUCAUAUUCCUAACCAACCUAUUAUGCGAAUUCAAGCAACCAAACCACUAAAGUCAAUCACUGUCAUAUCAAGCCAUAAAGCUAUUCAUUUAUUGAAAAAUAGAUGUCAAGCUUUCUUAGCCCAUGUCACAAAUUUAAACAAAAAUACGUCAUAUUUGAAUGAUAUUUCUAUUGUUAAUAAAUUUCCAGAUGUAUUCCCUGAAGAACUUCCUGGCCUACCCCCAGAGCGUAAAAUUGAGUUUGUAUUGACCUCGAACUCGGUAAAAGACCCAUUUCCAAAGCCCCAUAUCGAAUGGCUCCUAUUGAACUUCAGGAGUUAAAAACCCAACUGCAGGAGUUGUUAGACAUCUGUUUCAUUUUUCCUAGUACGUCUCCUUGGGGUUCUCCUGUUCUAUUCGCAAAGAAGAAAGAUGGGAGUAUGCGACUUUGUAUUGACUAUCGGGAGUUAAAUCAUGUCACUAUCAAAAAUAGGUACUCGUUGCCUCGCAUUGAUUACCUGUUUGACCAGUUGUAAGGAGCCAAAUUCUUUUCAAAGAUCGAUCUUCGUUCUGGAUAUCACCAGUUAAAGAUUAAAACUGAUGACAUCCGAAAGACUGCUUUCAGAACUCGGUACAGGCAUUAUAUAUGAAUUCCUAGUCAUGCAUGUCCGUUGGAUUGACUAAUGCUCCUGCUGCUUUCAUGGAUAUGAUGAACCGAGUAUUCAAGGAAUAUUUGGAUCAUUUUGUGGUCAUUUUUAUUGAUGACAUCCUCAUAUACUCCAAAAUCCGUGAAGAUCAUGAGCAACACUUGAGGUUUAUACUUCAAAAGUUUCGUGAAAACAAGCUUUAUGCCAAGUUGAAGAAAUGCGAGUUCUGGCUUAAGGAAGUGGCAUUCCUUGGGAACGUGAUAUCAAUUCACGGAAUAUCUGUUGACCCAUUGAAGAUUAAAGCAAUUCAGAGCUGGGAGCAACCUAAGUCAGUGACCGAAGUACGUAGCUUUCUGGGCUUAGCUGGUUAUUAUCGGAGAUUCAUGGAUGGAUUUUCUCGAAUUGCUACUCUAUUAACUCAGCUGACUCGAAAAGAUACAAAAUUCGGUUGGAGCGAGGAAUGUGAGAAAAGUUUUCAAGAACUCAAGAGAAGACUCAUUUCAGCACCUGUUCUGAUAAUACCAUCUGGCUCGUAGGGAUUUAUCAUCUACAAUGAUGCUUCAGGCAAAGGGUUAGGAUGUGUUCUCAUGCAACAUGGGAAAGUCAUAGCCUAUGCAUCAUGACAACUCAAAGAAUAUGAGAGGAAUUAUCCUACUCAUGAUCUAGAGUUGGCAGCUGUCGUUUUUGCGCUUAAGAUUCGGAGGCAUUACCUGUAUGGAGAGAAUGUGGAGAUCUAUACGGAUCAUAAAAGCCUCAAAUAUUUCUUCACUCAAAAGGAGCUCAACAUGCGACAACGACGUUGGCUUGAGCUAUUGAAAGACUACGAUCAUACCAUUUAAUACCAUCUUGGAAAAGCGAACGUAGUAGCUGACGCAUUGAGUAGAAGAUCAUAUGCGGGUACGAGUGCGAUAUUGUUAACGCAAAGACCCAUUUUGUAUGACUUACAAAGGAUGGAAAUAGAGUUAAAGACUCUAGGGACCCAAGUGAUGAUGGCAAAUAUACGAUUAGAACCGACUUUAAUCGAUAAAGUUAAAGCUGCUCAACUUACGGACCUGGAGCUGAUGCGUAGUAGGAAGAAAGUACAAGGUGCUAUCCUGGAAGCAAGAAUCGAUGAAGAAGGAAUACUAUGAGUCAACUCUAGACUUUGUGUUCCUAACGACCCUAAUUUAAAGUAUAAAAUCAUGAUGGAGGCGCACAACACACCGUUUGCAAUCCAUCCUGGGAGUACCAAAAUGUAUCGUGAUCUUCGACAUAUAUUUUGGUGAAGUAAUAUAAAGAGAGAGAUAACAGAGUUUAUCUCAAGAUGUUUAACUUGUCAACGUGUCAAGGCGGAGCAUCAAGUGACAAAAGGUCCAUUGCAACCACUUGAAAUUCUAGAAUGGAAGAGGGAGCACAUUACCAUAGAUUUUGUUAUUGGUCUUCCCAAGGUUUCUCAAGGCAUAGUUGCAAUUUGGGUCAUUGUUGAUAGAUUGACCAAGUCUGCUCAUUACUUACCUAUACGAGAAACCUAUACACUUGAACGUCUUGCUCGUAUAUACAUAAACGAGAUUGUAAGACUGCAUGGUAUACCAGUAUCCAUAGUUUCUGAUCGAGACCUAAGAUUACUUCACGAUUUUGGGUCAGUUUGCAGAAAGCUAUGGGCACGGAUUUGCGAUUCAGUUCUUUGAUGCCCCCAAAAUAGGUAUACAUCACCCAUUUUGAGUCGCCAGAUACAUGGUACAAAAUUCAAAUACAACUUAAUUAUACAACAGUCGUGUAAAUACGACAAAACAUAAUCUAAGAGUUUUAAUAAGAAUAUUGUCCAUCUAACAAUAUCCACAAUCAAUGGAGUCCUCAUUACAUUUAUAAUCACACUAUUUCACAGAAUAGUGAGGACUACUAAUACAAACAUCUGGACCGUCACUCUGUUCCCCGACUAGACCCAGCUACGUUCUCAUUUCCUGAAGAGAACCAUGAAAGAAAAGGGUGAGCUCAACUAGCCCAGUAAGAAAUAUUAUGACUAAGAUAAUGCAAAAUAAAUUAUCCUUAGCCUUCAACAGUAUAACAACUGAUAGAAUAUAAUAGACAACAAGUUUUAGAUCAAAAACUGCAGCGAAAUAAGCAAUCCAUUAGAAGAGUCAAGUAGAGCAUAAAAUCUACUAUCUUCUAUGAUUUAAAAAGUUUUUCAAAAUUUUUAUCGCUGAGACUCAGCUUAAUAUAUAUAUAUAUAUAAAAGCAAUAAACGCACCGGAUGUAGACUUACAGUGGACUGCCAAAGUAGACUUCUUGGACUGCAAAUGGAUGAACACUCGUCUCUCGCCGGACUAAAAGUAGCUAUAUACGAGCUAACUAGUGUUUAAAGAAAAGGAAACACUCAAAAGAUGUGUAUGCAGAGCUAAACGGACAGGGCUUCCUCGCCUUUUUCCCUCUCUUCCUUCUCUCAAAUGGCUGACCCCCCCUCUAUAUUUAUAGACGGAUGGCCGCAGGUCUACCUGCGGCUGGUCGUGGUGGGCCCGGGCAUCGCGGGUCUCGUCGUCUUGUAGUACGUGCACUUGCGCACGGUAAUGUCCAAUCGAACUUUCAGAACUUCAAUCCUAGCAUCCAAACGAAGCGUGUCUGUACUUCUUCGGACCGCUGGUGUCGAGAGUUACGUAAUGACAUGGAUUAGAGGUUGUACGAAGUCAGGAAGCGGGGUAUAUGCCCAUGGUCUUCAGGCUUCAAAUUCUAUCCAAAGUAUUGUCACAGGUAAUAGUCACUCGGGAUUGUCAUUCCUCGGUUAUUUGGGACAUUGUUGUAUGUAUGUAUGUCUGAAAGGUUGAGACGACGUGCCAUUUGUUGGACGAACAAGAUGAUGUUUGACUCUUUGCCGGAGUUAUCGCCUGGUUGAGCUGAAAGUAACCGUUGCUCAGGUUACAUCUGAGAUUGGACUACUUGUUGGUAUGCUGCUAUAUCAUCUUGUUACGAGAUGACGUUGGUGACUCCUCACCGGGUUUAUCGCCGGUUUAAGCGGAAAGCAGACGUUGAUCAGGGUUACAGCUAAGAUUGGACCGCCUAUUUGUAUGCCUCACUGUCAUCUGUGAUUGAAGCUGAUUGCAUGUGUUUGCAACAAGCAAUUCUGGAGUUAUCGCCGGAACUGCGAUGGCAUCACUUGGGGUUAUCACCAAGGAUGGGACUACUACUCCCAAUGUUGUCUCUGGGACUGGAACUGAACGUCGCGGUGUCAUCACCGAGACAGGACUGUCCUCUCCGGUGUUGUUGCCGGUCUUUUGAUCUGCACAUCUCGGGGUUAUCUCCGAGAUUGGAAAUGACGUGCCCGGUGUGUGUUCCGGGUUUGGAACCGAUGCUCCCGGUUUGUGUUCCGGUUUGGAGCGAAACUUCCGGUAGUAUCUGGACUUGUUGUGAGCUGUCUUUCAGGGUUAUCUCCAAAAGACGAAUCUACCCUCCUGCAAUGUUAGUAAUAGGAGUGCAGAAAAUUUCGAGUGUCUACAACACCUAGCAACCCAGAUCAUCACUAUAGACUAAAAACAACAUAUUCUAACACCCAAACAUAACAUUUAACAACAUAUCAAAGGUCAGAUUUUUAGGUUUAGUGUUAUACCUUCUUGCUCAAUUUCUUGAUUUUAUGUUACUGAUUUGUUAUGGGAUUUCGUGGGGCUUGAAAAUGGGACAAAAAUGCUAUAGAUUUUCGUUGGUUCUAGUGAGAGAAGCUCUUGGUUGAGUGUUGUGCAAUUUUUAGUGAACAAAUGCAUUUUCUCUAUCCUUAAAUCUAUUUAUAGACAAAUUAGAUACAUGAAUGGCUGAGCUAGAACUUGUUGUUGUCAAUUUAGUGUCACAUGGCUACUCUAGGGUUAGCCAACCACUCCAUCUAGACCUAUUUCUACAAGCAAGCUUCAAUAAUACAAUAGGGCACAAAAGUCUUUUGGCUAGCAAUUUUAAGGGCAUUUUUAUAACUUGUCAAACCCUUAGGGUUUAACCCUUAGGGUUUAGCACAUAACACAAAUGAUUUUUAGCAACUUAGGGUUUGAAUAAAAUAAAAUUAUUUUAGCUUCUAAAAUUUGAAAAUCAAGAUUUGUUAAUUAGAUUAAGUUAGUAAUUAUAUUAUACAUGAACAUUAGGGUUUAGUACCACUAAUCAUAAUUAACCUUGCCAAAAUAGCAAUUAGGGUUUAAGAUUUUAAUAAUUAGGAUUUCUAAAACUCAAUUAGGAUUUUCUAAUUAUCCAAUUAGGGUUCUGAACAUUAGGGUUUUAAUUUAAUAAUUAUGUUUACCAUAAUUAGCAAUUAAAGUCUAUUGUACGUGUUAUUAAUCACAGUAACAUAAUUUUUGACAGAUAAAAUUCUUCAGUUUAAGUUUUGAUUUAGGGUUUCUAAUAUCAGAAAUUCAAAUCUAAUUAGGGUUUGACAUUUAUAAUUAGGGUUCCCUAAUUGGCAUAUCAUUAUGUAACACAACAUAUAACACAGUUAUAUAACAGUCUCAAAUUUCCCAUUUAAAUUGAAAAACAGGGUCAAACCAAUUAAUGCUAGGGUUUGGUCAAUAUACACCAUAAUUGACCAACCAUCAACAGUACGUACAUACAGUACAUAUUUAUGGCACUGAGAAAUUAAAAUAUUAUAAUAUUAUAUAUUAUUCUCAUGCCUUGAUCAAAACCCAAAAUUAGAGUUUGGAUUCCGUAUCUGAUUUAUCUGCCAUAAAUAACCUUAUUAAUUAAGUUAAAAUAAUUAACUUAAUAAUCUGAACAAAAUUCAUAUAAUAAAAUAAUUAUUAUAAUUAUUCUAACAUCAUUUCAUAUAUUACUUAUAUUUUCAAGGAAAAUAAUUAAUAAAACAUUUCUAAUAUAAAAUUAACUGUUAUAAGAAUAUAAUUUAUAAUAAUUAAUAUUUCUAAAAUAAAUCAAUUUGUAAUAAUUAAUGUAAUAAAUUUUAUUUAUCACACAUAUAAUUAUACACAUAUUACCUUGGCACAUAUCACCCAUAUUUAUUUUAAUAAAUAAUAAAAAAAAAAUUUAUACGCAAAAUUUAUGAUUUAUUUAUAUAGAAAAUAUCGGGUUGUCACAUUCUUCACAUUCAUCAGAUUCGGGUGUGUAGCUUGAGCGGCUUUAACUUUAUCGAUUAAAGUCGAUUCUGCUCGUAUAUUCGUUAUCUUCACGUGGGUCCUUAGAGUCUUUAACUCUAUCUUCAUCAUUUGUAAGUUAUACGAAAUGGGUAUUUGUGUUAACAACAUCGCACUUGUAAACACAUACGAUCUUCUACUCAAGGCGUCAGCUACUACGUUCGCUUUUCUACGAUGAUAUUGAAUGGUAUAGUCGUAAUCUUCAAUAGCCCGAGCCAACGUCUUUGGCGCAUGUUACGUUCGUUUUAAGUGAAGAAAUAUUUGAGGGUUUUAAAAAUGGGUUUUGUACUGGGGUCAAUACAAAAUUUGAUUUCACGCUCUAGGGGUAGGCUAAGAAGUCUUCAGGAAUACGUCAGGAAACUUAUUAACGAUAGAAAUAUCAUUCAAAACUGUGACUCUCAUCCCAAGACUUGGAUAGCCCGUCAUAUUGAUACCUAUCAACUUGCCACCGUUAUUCACGGCGUCCCCUACGGAUAGUCUGGCUUCGGUGUAUUCCAAGACUUGGAAGUCAUCAGCGAAAGGCUUAGGUCUCUUUACUUAUGGCUUGAUAUGACAAUGAUUGGCUUUAGUGGUUUGGUUGCUUGAAUUCGCAUAACAGGUUGGUUAGGAAUAUGAAAGCUAACAACCUUACGAAAAGCAUGAUGAGUAGUUAACCAAUCGACUCCUAAAAUCACAUCAAAGGCAAGUAAUUUCAAAGAGAUAAGAUCGACAGGUAACGUGAAAGUGUCGAUUUGAAUUAAACAAGAUUUAUAAACAGUGGAUGUAAUUAACGAAGGUUUCUCCUAACAUAGUUUCAACCGAUAAGUCAAAGUCUAAUUUCUCCGGAGUUAAGUUCAAACAUUGAACACAACUAGGUGAAAUAAAAGAGUGAGUAGAACCGGUAUCUAACAAGGUAUAGACUUCGCAAGAGUUUAUGAUUAACUUACCCGUGAUAACUUUAUUCAGGUUUCUCGUCACGAAAAACGCUCUCUCUUAAACUACUGAUUUUGACUUGUCUGGGACAUCCCAGUUGGACUUAACUUUGCUGUAGAGUACAUUCCACCCUUAAUUGCUUCAUCACAUUCCUGAUCCAUGAUUCGAAUCAUUACUCUCUGAUCCAUAUCGAAUUGGGGUUAACCGCUCUGCACAGGGUAAUUUCGAAUUCGAUGUUGGAUUCUCCCAAUUGUUGUCCAAAAAGCAAAAUCCAUUUCAUCUAUUUUAGCCUUAUUGGAUCUGACGUCUUUUUCUACAAUAUCUACACGUCGUGCGACUUUUACCCAUGCAUCAUCUAUUCUCAUUCGUUCAGUUGUUUUUUCUUUCAUCAGAACUUUGAUCAUAGCAUUCUUAAAUUCCAGCUCUAAUAUCUUAUACUCUGCCAAAGAGUGCUUCUGUUCGAGCAUCGUACAUCGGGUAACACAAUUUUGAAUUGCUACAUCUCUUUGCUCCACGACCGCCUGUCGUUCUUCAGCCUGCUCUUCUAGCUCAUGAAUACAAUUUUGUAAUUCUAAAUUUCGAUCAUAAAAUUCUUCUAAUAAAUUCACCUCAGGUUCCUCUUCUUCCUCACUCUCAGCUGCUACCUCUGCAACUAGCUCGAGUGCAACUAUUAGUUCUUCACUCACCAUGUAGAUAUCUCUAAUUUCUUCUUCGUUUGACAUCACAUUAACCUGGUUAGUGAUUAAAGGUGUCUCAACGAUCUCAUUCACUGCAUUGUUAAUAUUUUUAGCCGCCAUUUUUAAAUACUGUCAUAAAACAAGGGUGAAUUAACAUAUCACAUAUUAUCAAUAUAUUAUGACCGACCAAUUAAAUACCAAAUAAACUUAGGUAGGUCAUACUAGCAAAGGAAUUCCCCGUCUCUCCCCUCCUAGUUCUUGUCUCACAUCUCAGCCAGGGAUCAUAUCCCUAAGCUUUGAUACCAACUGUGACGCCCCCAAAACAGGUAUUCAUCACCCAUCUUGAGUCGCCAAAUACAUAGUACAAAAUUUAAAUACAACUUAAUUAUACAACAGUCGUGUAAAAUACGACAAAACAUAAUUUAAGAGUUUUAAUAAGAAUAUUGUCAUCUAGACAAUAUCCACACUCAAUGGAGUCCUCAUUACAUUUACUGUCACACUAUUUAACAGAAUAGUGAGGACUACUAAUGCUAACAUCUGGACCGUCACUCUGUUCCCCGACUCGUCCCAGCUAUAUUCUCAUUUUCUGAAGAGAACAGUGAAAGAAAGGGUGAGCUCAACUAGCCCAGUAAGAAAUAUUAUGACUAAGAUAAUGCAAAAUAAAUUAUCAUUAGCCUUCAAUAGUAUAACAACUGAUAGAAUAUAAUAGACAACAAGUUUUAGAUCAAAAACUGCAGCGGAAUAAGCAAUCCAUUAGAAGAGUCAAGUAGAGCAUAAAAUCUACUAUCUUCUAUGAUUUAAAAAGUUUUUCAUCAUUUUUAUCGCUAAGACUCAACUUAAUAAAUAAAAUUGAAUCAUCCCUGCACCACAGCGAAGUUUAUUCAUGUAAUCAUCAAUGGUCAUGACUAUACCGAAUAAUCCCUAGUCAUAAUCAUACCAACAACUGUCCACCAAUGAAUUACAUGCCAAUGAUGACUUUUACCACAUCAUUCGUCACAUUACAGUCAUGAUUAUACCGAAUAAUCCCUGGUCAUAAUCAUACCAAGUCCAUCUAUGCACGUAAGUCAAAGAUGACUAUCAUCACAAUAUAAGCAUGAAGAUGAUAACAAUGACAUAAUAAUUCAAUAAAACAAGUUCAAGGAUAAAUUUUAAAGAUUUAUAAUUUAAUUUAUCCAGGAAUCAAUAACGUCUAAUUUGUCAACAUGAUACUGCUUUGUGGAGUAAAAUUCAAGAAUGCUCAGAAGAAUAUUUCUAUGAAAAGAUACUGGAUGAAGUGCAAAUAUCUAGGAUAUUCUACUAAUUUUAUGGAGUAUAGAAGCCAAAACUUUAACCAACUGAGUAUAAUAGAAUAUAUGAAGCUGUAAAUGGAUUUUCGCCCGCCAUGCGGUAAUCCAUGUAGACAGAUCAUUUCCACAUUUUAAUAAGGAAUGAAUACGAAGGAUCAUUCACCAUGCAUGCGAUAAUCCACAUAGACAUGUUAUUCCAACAGAAUAACAAAGUAUGGAAUAACAGAAGAAUUCACCAUGCAUGCGAUAGACCACACAGACAGGUUAUUCCAACAGAAUAAUAAAGAAUGAAAUACUAAAAGAAUUCACCAGGUGUGCGUAGUCCGCACAGACAGGUUAUUCCAGCAGAAUAAUAAAGAAUAGAAUAACAGAAGAAUUUACCAGGCGUGCUUAAUCCGCACAGACAAGUUAUUCCAACAGAAUAAUAAAGAAUGGAAUAACAGAAGAAUUCUCCAGGCGUGCGUAAUCUGCACAGACAGGUUAUUCAACCAGAAUAAUAAAGAAUGGAAUAAUAGAAGAAUUUUGCCACGCAUACGGUAAUCCGUGUAUACAGGUUAUUCCAACAGAAUAAUAAAGAAUAGAAUAACAGAAGAAUUUCACCACACAUACGGUAAUCCGCGUAUACAUGUUAUUCCAACAGAAUAAUAAAGAAUGGAAUAACAACCCUGACAAGUAUUGAAAGAAAUAACUCUCUUAAUAAAUACGAAAGAAAUAAUACCCCUUACCUUAGAAGAAAACUAGAAUAGUGAGGUAGCAGACUUCUCUUCUUCUUUCUCUCUAUAAUUUCUCUCUAUAAUAAUUUCUCUAUAGCUUUAGUGAAUUGGUGAACAAUAAUGAAGGAAUGAGCUUCUAUUUAUAGAAAAAUAUAGUUUCAACAAUUGCACAUUUUGGGGCUCAAAAAAUUACAGUAUAAUAUCUUCUUCUUUUUCUUCAUUUUUAAUUUAGUCCUGCAAGUAUUAUCAAACUUGCACCACCUCCUCUUGGAAGUCCUUGAAUCAAUCAGCUCGAAACAAUCCUUCUUGGACUCAAAUUCUAGUUAAAAUUACCUUUUCUACGCGUACCCAAGCCCCAGCUUGGGUAUUGCCUUGUAAAUAGUAAGCCCCGGCUUGCUAUGCUUCUGAUUUUGAACUCAGGACCCCAAGCCCCGGCUUGGGUAUAAAGCUUAAAAGAGCAAGCCCCGACUUGGGUGCAAGCUGCUAAUAGUUUUUUCUGCUGCAGUGUCCUCAGGUAAAAUGGCCAUAACUUUUGAUCCGGGAGGAGUUACGGGGCCUGCCACCUAUCAAAUCAAAGAUAUCGACGAGAUCUACAACUUUCAUUCUUUGAGAAUUGAGUAAUAACGAACGAAUGAAGGUAGAAAUUGGACUAGAAAUGACUGUUAUGCAAAUGGCCACCCAAAAUAGCGAAGUUAUUCAACAGUCUCCUGUGCUCCAUUGAUAUUCUCAACAUUCUCGGUUGUCAUUUUCAAAUACUGCCACAAAACAAGGGUUAAAUAACAUCACAUAUUAUCUCUAUACUCUGACCGACCAAUUAAAUACCAAAUAAACUUAGGUAGGUCAUACUAGUUCCCCGUCUCUCCCCACCUAGUUCUUAUCUUACAUUUUAGUCAUGGAUCAUAUCCCUAAGCUUUGAUACCAACUGUGACGCCCCCAAAAUAAGUAUACAUCACCUAUUCUGAGUCGCCAAAUACAUGAUAUAAAAUACAAAUACAAUCUUAAAUAUACAACAUAAGUUGUGAGUUUUAAUACAAACAUUGUCUUCUAGACAGUAUUAAAACUCAAAAUAAGUCAUCAAUACAUUUAUUAACACACUAUUUCACAGAAUAGUGAGGACUACUAAUGCUAUCCUCUGGACCAUUACUCCAUUCCCCGACUCGUCCCAGCUAUAUUCUCAUUUCCUGAAGAGAACAAUGAAAGAAAGGGUGAGCUCAACUAGCCCAAUAAGAAAUAUUAUGACUAAGAUAAUGCAGAAUAAAUUAUCAUUAGUCUUCAACAAUGUUAAACUGAUAAAAUACAAUAACUGCAGCGAAAUAAGUAAUCCAUUAAAAGAGUCAAGUAGAGAAUAAAAUCUACUAUCUUUUAUGAUUUAAAAGGAUUUUCAUCACUUUUAUCGCUGAGACUCAGUUUAAUAAAUAAUCCACAUCAUCGAAUCACCCCUGCACUACGGCCAAGGAUAUUCUUUAGUAUUACAACCAUAAAUAUCCAUGCACUACGGGCCAAGGACAUUCGUGUAUUCAUUAAUGGUCAUGAUCAUGCCAAAAACUGUCCAACAAUACACUACGGUCAAUGAGGACUUUUACCACAUCAUUUGUAACAUUACGGUCGUAAUUAUACUGAAUAAUCCCUGGUUAUAAUCAUACCAAGUCCAUCUAUACACUACAGGCCACAGAUGACUUUCAACAGAAUAUAAACAUGAGGACGAUGACAAUGAUAUAUGAAUUCAAUAAAACAAGUUCAAGAAUUUAUUUGUCCAGGAACCAAUAACGUCCAAAUUGUCAACAAGAUACUGUUUUGUGGGAUAAAAUUCAAGAAUGCUCAGAAGAAUAUUUUCAUAAAAAGAUAUUGGAUGAAGCGCAAAUAUCAAGGAUAUUCCACUAAUUUCAUGGAGUAUAGAAGUCAAAACUUUAACCAACUGAGUAUAAUAAAGAAUGAAAUAACAAAAGAAAUCACCAUGCACGUGGUACUUCGCAUAGACUGGUUAUUCCAACAGAAUAAUAAAUAACGGAACCAGGUUAGGCAAAAUUCGCACCGAUAGGAUGUUCCAACUGAAUAAUAAAGAAUGGAAUAACAACAGAAAUCACCAUGCAUACGGUACUUCGCAUAGACAGGUUAUUCCAACAGAAUACUAAAUAACAGAACCAGGUCCGGCGUAAAACGCACAGACAGGAUAUUCCAACACAAUAAUAAAGGCGGAACCAGGUCCGGCGUAAAAGUCACAGACAUGAUAUUCCAACAGAAUAAUAAAUACGGAACCAGGUCCGGCGUAAAACGCACAGACAGGAUAUUCCAACAGAAUAAUAAAGAAGAAAAUAACAGAAGAAUUUCAUCAAAUAUAGGGUAGCCCGCGUAUACAGGUUAUUCCAACAGAAUAAUAAAGAAUGGAAUAACAGAAGUUCUCUUCAUGAAUACAAAAGAAAUAAUACCCCUUACAGUUACAACAAAUAAUAUCCAUUACCGUAAAAGAAACUGGAUAUAGGAAAAUAAAGUUAGCAGACUUCUCUUCUUCUUUCUCUCUAUAAUUUUCUCUCUUUAAAGUUUCAGUGAAUUCGUAAGAAAUAAUGAAGGAAUGAACUUCUAUUUAUAGAAGAAUGGACUGCAUAGUAACUAAUUCAUGAACGGUCCAGAUUGAUUUACUUUUAAUCGAACGAUCCAUAAUUAAAGCAAAGUUUUUUAAAUAAAAUAUAAUAUAUUAUAUAUAUAACAUGUGCAAGAAAAGAAAAAUCACGGGUGGAAGACCCGUGAAUUCAUCUUACUCCCUCUGUCCAUUUUUUCAAACUUACAUAUAUAUAAUAUAAUAUAAUAUAAUAUACAUAAUAAUACUCCUCCCGUCCAUUUCAUCCAUACCCCCCCACCCAAGACUUUUCAUCACAUAUAUAAUAUAAAACAUAUAUAUAUAUAUAUAUAUAUAUAUAUAUAUAAUACUCCCACUAACUUUUCCUUCAACCAACCCGUGACAAACAUAACAUUUCACCCAAGACUUUCCUCCACAAAUGGGCCCCACCCGUGGCCCUCCUAAAAUAACUUCUAUCGAUUAUUUUGAAAACUGGAUAAAUAGGGAUCCAUAAAAUACGUCAAAAUUCACAACAAUUACUAUAACAAUAAUUGAACAAAACUGAGUAGUUCAACAGUAUUAACGGUAAAACUUCCGCCGUUACUUUCAAUAAAAUAUUUUUGUCGUUUUCUCAAUCCGACAAUAAUUCUGUUGUGGGGUCCACCAAUGAUUGUACCGUCGUACGGAUAUUCCCUGACAAAAAGAAUAUUUCCCGACCAAUCGAAUAUAAUAUGACAACUUGCAUACUUUGCAAAAUUUAUAAAUAUUACCCACAAUUAUAAUAUUAUAUCAAAUUAUUCCAUAAUAUUCAAAAAUGAUAUUUAUUGAAAAUUCAUUUUUAUUCAUAAAAGUUGGGGUCUUACAGUAGUUAAAUUCUUAUUUUUGACAUUUUUCAAAUAUUUCAUCCAUGCUUUUACAAUAGACAUCUUUCACUUUGAUGGCGUUUGACAUGCUUACAACAAGUAAUAGAAAUCAUUUUACAGUCAUUAUUUGCAUUAAUCAAGCAUGUUAGUCACAUAGUCAAGUCGUAGUUUCAAUGGUAAUGAAUAGAUUUCUUAUAUGUAAUACAUUUUUCAAAUAUCUCAUCCAUGCUUUUAUCAUCACCAUUUUUCUCUUUGAUGGGGUGUAGUAUGAUAAUAACAUGCAACCAUACAUAUGUAUAGUUACACCAUAUUAAGAACUUAGUUACAUGAAGUUUUCAUGCUUUGCUUAGAGACUUCUAGCAUACAAGGUGCUUUUGUAACUUAUUUUAUGCCUUUGAAAAUAUUCACAACUUGGUUGAGUAAUUUAUAGUUCUUAUAACACUUUUUAGCUUUAUUCUUGUAUACAAAAGUGUAUCAUUCUUGAUUUUCCUCUCUUUCCCAAAAUAGUCCUAACAUGAUCUAUUUGGGGCAAUCAAGCUAGCUUCUCUUGACCAUUUGGGCUUAGUCAGGCUUGGGGUAGCCUAGAUUGGCCUUGCAGUCCCAAUUGGCCUCUAUCUAUGGCAUGAUUUUAUUAAUACCCUCUUCUAUUAAGGUUUACUCUCACCUAUAUCACCAUUUGAUUCUGUUAUUUAUAGGUGAGGAUUUCUUUGAACUGCUACAUGUUUGCUACUUACUUGAUUUUGUUUUCUUUCCGUUUGUAGCUAACUACUCACUAGUAGCAGCUCUCUACUUUAGAUACUAAAUUUACUAGCUUUUAAUCUCCCACUAAACUUUUGGGUCAGCAGCUAGGGGACACAACUCCCUAAUAAUAGAGCAUAUUGGUUAAUUAUCUUAAGCAAUAUAGUUGUAUUGUCUGAAGGUCUAAAGGACAAGUUCAUUACCCAGCUCAGCUACUGUUGCUAUUAGUUGUUAUUUUUCAGUAAUAGAUUGACAGUCUUCAAACUUACCAUGUUUCUUCUUUAAUAACUUUUGUCUAGAAAAUUUCUAUUGCACUAUGUGCACCUUUGAAUACUUGCUUAAAUAAGUAACAAUUACACUCUAUUUAAUUCUGCAGUUUGCAUUUCAAAUCCAAACUACGUUGCCUAUAGCAGUUUAUUGAGGAUGUUUAUUAUUGCCUUAUAGCAACAACCCCCCCUAUUUUGUAAAAUUUCCCAAAUCACAAUUUUAGAUUAACCUAGACUGCCCAAAACCAUUUUAGUAAUGGCUCAUAGCUACAGUUUUAAGCCAACUGUUGCUGCUCCUAGGUAGCAGCUACAUUUGAUUUUGUUUCAUGCCUUGAACUCUCCCUAAUUUUGGUUUACUUGCACUUUAUUUGAAAGUUAUAUAACUAACAUUUUCAACUAAUAGGGAAACUUUAAAUCAAUAGUGAAAUUAUAAUCUAUAUGAUCCAACAUGUUAGCUAAACUGACCCUAGCGAGUCCAGAACAAUGGUCUACAGUCUUCUUUUGUUUUUCUAUGCCAGCAACCAAGCUUGGCUUGGCCCUGUAAGGCUGAUCACCUAAGCUUGGUGUGGCCCUGCUUGGCCUCACGGUCCCUAAGUCAAAUCCAAAGUUGUUAUAGCAGCUGCUAUCUUGGCAACUGCUGCCAUCAAGGAAUAACAGCCCUGCCACUCUUCUUUAAUUCUUAUACUUGCAAACCCCAGAGGAAUGUUUAUACACUAACUUCAACCAUACAUCCUAGUUAGCUCUUAUAAAGUUAUAUUAAUUUGUUAAACAGACUGCCCAAAACUGCUUUAGCAGUCAUUCACUUGUCGACUGUCGCUGCUUGUUUCUAUAACCAGUAGGCAGCCGUCCCAAGUCUUAUGCCACUAAAAGCUUUUACCUCUUAGAUUGAUAUGAAAUCUUGGCAUGUUAUAGGUGAUUCAAAUUCUGAUUAUUUUUAGCUACCAACUAGACUAGGAGAAAAGCUUGCUAGUGCCACUAAAGGUUAAUAUUUCUGCUGCUGCGACAUGCUUUUUGCUGCUGCUUGCAGCUAAUUGCUGCUGCCAAUGGGCAGCUGCGCCCCUUACUUCAGGCCAUUUUUGGCUUCACAUCAAUUAGCCUAUUCACAACCCACUUUCAUUGAUCAAUAAAUGGUACACCUGCCUUCUAAGCUAACUUAGCAACUGUGGCCCAAAUGUACUAUAUGUAAAUCAAAAUGGUGUGCUAACCUUCCUGCUCGGCUCUGCAGAGCAGUGCAGCACAACGCUGGGCGUUUACUGCCAAUGCCUGCAGUAGCCUCAGCUAGCUUUGCCCAAGCUCAAACAUUUUUUUUUCUUAAAAUUUGUUUUUCUUUCCAUUAAUAUGUCAAAACAUAUUUCCUAAUCUUAUAUAAGACGUCCAUAUAUAACCCCAACUUUAAUUCCCUCUAGAAUUCUCUUUUUAGCCAAAACAGUCCACUUGGGACUUUUAACAAAUAUAUGGUGUGCACAGUUUUAAUUUACUCUUUCCAUAGCCAUUUACUUGUGUUAUAAUCUCAUGUUAGCCUCCUUAUUACUCCACAGCCACCUAUCUCCUUGUGCCUAAAUUACAUACAUCUAGCAUGCUAGUGAAUAACCUUUACAACAAUAAAAAAGUAAAAUAAAUGCUAUGUGACUUUACCAGGCCAUUCGGCCAUAACAGUCCAUCACAACUUGCACGAAAUAGUGUUAAACAAGAUAGUUUAUUACUUGAUAACUUUUCCUUAAAAGUUUGAUAUCACAACUUUUACAGAAGAUUACAAUUACCCAUGACAAGUAUAAUUUACUAACACAUCUACAUUACAACAUUAAUAAUACUAACAAUAUAGCAGCCCCUUCUUUUUUCUUUUCAGGCCAUUCGGCCACUGUAGAUUACUAGCAGCAAGAAACUAAAGUGGAAAAGGAUUGGAAAUCUUACCUUAUUGAUUCGAAGGAAACAAAGAAGUUAUACUGCCCAGCUUCUCCACCUACUCUUAGCCGAACUCUUCCACCCUCUCUCUAUAUGACCGAAUUGCUAUAGCUAUUUUGUCUCUACUAAGUGAUGAAGCUAAACUAGUUAAUAAGCUUGGCCCCUUUUUUAUGGCUGAGCUUGGUUCCUUCUACUGUUAACUGCAUCACCUCCUAGUUGGCCCCUACACAGUCAUCAUUCCUAACCUAGCUUCACAGCCACCCUAGCAGACUCUACUUACCUGCUAAGCCUUAUCUUCUGCAAGCUUAUCUAACAUAUUCUUUGUCUGUUAUACAAACUAACCUACCUGUUAACUAGAACCAACUUAGAAACCAUAUGCUUACAGCCUGACUAUGUACUCACGUUAUGCCACUGCUUUUCUUAUUUAGUCUGAAACAGUUAGCUUGUUAUACACCACUGGGUUUACAGGAUUGGUUUAGGUAGGAGUUUGAUAAAUACUUAAUUUGGGCUUAAACCAAUCCUCAAUGGUGGCUGCCGAAAUUGGGCUAGAAAAUGAGUUAGAAUUGGCUUUAUAUUAGACCCAAUACCAUAACCCUUAUUCCUACAUUAAUUAAAGGAGACUUGCAAACAUACAAUUGCAAAAAUUUAUUAUGGCCUAAUAUUUUAAUAUGGACUCUUGUUAAAUUAACACAUGGACUUUUAUAUAUUAUUUUCUCUAGCAACAAUAGUUAACACAUAUAUCAUUAAAAUGUCUAUUCCAUGUAAUCUUAAAUAAUUCAUGGUGGUACAAUAUUUCUUUAUCCUUCAUAAUUUAAGAUGUUUAAUAACCUAUUAAAUAAAUAAUAGUUUUGUCACAAUGAGAAAUAACAUAAUUAAAAUAAAAUAAAAAAUAUACUCACAAAUUGACAUUAUAAUAAUUAAAUAUUACAUAGGAUUUUUUGAGUCAUUACAUACGCGAUAACUCUGCCGUUCUGCAAAAGCACACAGCCUUGUCCUUUAUGCGAUGCAUCAUUGUAUACCACAAAAUUCCCUGUAUCAUCAGGCAAUGACAACACAGGUGUUGAACUCAACCUUUUCAUUAAUUCUUGAAAACUUUCCUCCCACUUCUCUGUCCAAACAAACUUAACCGUUUUCUAGUUAAAUUCGUCAACGGAGUUGCGAUCUUGAAAAAGUCUUGAAUGAAACGCCUAUAGUAACCCGCCAAUCCUAAGAAACUCCUUACUUCUGACGGUAUCUUCGGCUGAUCCCAGUUUAUUACAGCUUCAACCUUUGAUGGAUCUACCGAAAUUUCGUCCUUAUCAAUAACGUGUCCGAGAAACUGUACACGUUCCAACCAAAACUCACAUUUUGAAAAUUUUGCGUACAACUUUUCUUUUUUCAACGUCUCUAACGUCAAUCUCAAGUGUUCAACAUGUUCCUCUUUGGUCUUGGAAUAUACCAAUAUAUCAUCGAAUCAAAUCCAUGAUAUAUUGGUAUGAACAGGGUGUUUAUAUCAUUUGUCUAAGAAUGGUUUAAACACCUUGUUCAUCAAAUCCAUGAACGCUGCAGGUGCAUUGGUUAAACCAAAAGACAUAACCAGAAACUCAUAAUGACCAUACCGAGUUCUGAACGCUAUUUUUGGUACAUCCUCUGGCCUCACCUUUAACUGAUGAUAACCACUCCUCAAGUCUAUCUUUGAGAAAUAGCUUGUUCCCUUCAGUUGAUCGAACAUGUCAUCGAUUCUAGGUAAUGGAUACUUAUCUUUAAUCGUGAUCUUAUUCAAUUCUCGAUAGCAAUGCAGAGCCGUAUCGAUCCAUCUUUCUUCUUAACAAACAACAUCGGCGCUCCCCAUGGCGACACACUCAGUUGAAUAUACUUUUUGUCGAGUAAUUCUUGCAAUUAUACCAUCAACUCCUUCAUCUCUACUGGGGCCAUUCUAUAUGGUGCAUUAGAUAUCGGGGUCGUUCCUGGUAAUAAGUCAAUUACGAACUCGAUUUGUAGAUCCGGCGGAAGACUCGGCAAAUCGUCUGGAAAUACGUCUGCAAAAUCUCUUAUGAUUGGUAUCUCUUCUAACUUCGCACUCUUCUUUUGUGUAUCGACUAUGUAGGCUAAGUAUCCUACACAUUCUUGUCUCAACAACUUCUUGGCUUGCAUCACCGUUAGACAACUUGCUUGUCGAGGUGACUUGCUGCCGUAGAACACAACCUUUGAUGGAGUCAUAAGGUUAACACAUUUCCUUUCGCAAUCAAUUACUGCUCCGUAAUUGAAUAACCAAUCCAUUCCCAGUAUAACAUCAAACUCACAAAGUCUAAUUGGUAUCAAAUCUACCAUCAUCUCGUGACCUUUUAUAACCACCCUACAAUUCCUAUAUAUAAAUCUAACAGGAAUCACUUCCUUAUUCGCAAUCUCUAUGCUUAAGGGAAAUUCUAAUUCUUCCUGAGGCAAAUCUAAAUUUUGAGCAAAUUCAUUGGAUAUAAAUGAAUAAGUAGCACCCGAAUCAAAUAGUACAUAAGCAUUAAUACCAUUAAUCUAAAUGAUACCUGAGACCACAUCCUUAGACUAUAUAACAUCCUGCACGGUCAUAUUAAAAGUCCUCGCAGUAGGUCGACUUUGUGACGCCCCCAAAAUUAGGUAUACAUCACCCAUCUUGGGUCGCCACUUACAUGGUACAAAAUACAAAUACAACUUAAUUAUACAACAGUCGUGUAAGCUACGACAAAAUAUAAACAAUGAGUUUUAACUCGAAUAUUGUCAUCUAGACAUUAUUCAAACACAAAUAAGUCCUCAAUACAUUUAUUGUCACACUAUUUAACAAAAUAGUGAGGACUACUAAUGCUAUCAUCUGGACUGUCACUCCGUUCCCCGACUCGUCCCCGUUACGUUCUCAAUUCCUGAAGAGAAUAGUGAAAGAAAGGGUGAGCUCAACUAGCCCAACAAGAAAUAUUAUGACUAAGAUAAUGCAGAAUAAAUUAUCAUUAGUCUCCAACAAUGUUAAACUGAUAAAAUACAAUAGACAUCAAGUUUAACUGCAGCGGAACAAGCAAUCCAUUAAAAGAGUCAAGUAGAGAAUAAAACCUACUAUNNNNNNNNNNNNNNNNNNNNNNNNNNNNNNNNNNNNNNNNNNNNNNNNNNNNNNNNNNNNNNNNNNNNNNNNNNNNNNNNNNNNNNNNNNNNNNNNNNNNNNNNNNNNNNNNNNNNNNNNNNNNNNNNNNNNNNNNNNNNNNNNNNNNNNNNNNNNNNNNNNNNNNNNNNNNNNNNNNNNNNNNNNNNNNNNNNNNNNNNNNNNNNNNNNNNNNNNNNNNNNNNNNNNNNNNNNNNNNNNNNNNNNNNNNNNNNNNNNNNNNNNNNNNAAUAAUUAAAACGGAACCAGGUCCGGCGUAUAGCACAGACAGGAUAUUCCAACAGAAUAACUGAAUAAUUAAAACGGAACCAGGUCCGGCGUAGCACAGACAGGAUAUUCUAACAGAAUAACCGAAUAAUUAAAACGGAACCAGGUCCGGCGUAUAGCACAGACAGGAUAUUCCAACAAAAUAACUGAAUAAUUAAAACGGAACCAGGUCCGACGUAUAGCACAGACAGGAUAUUCCAACAGAAUAAUAAAGACAGAAUAAUAGAAGAAUGUCACCAAGUAUAGGGUUGCCCGCGUAUACAGGUUAUUCCAACAGAAUAAUAAAGAAAUGGAAUAACAGAAGUUCUCUUCUUGAAUACAAAAGAAUAAUAUUCCUUACCAGAAAAGAACUUAAUAUAAGAGUAGUUUCAGUAGCAGAAUACUUUUCUUCUUUCUCUCUUACAAUUUAUCUCUCUAGAGUUUCAAUGAAUUUGUAAGAAAAUAAUGAAGGAAUGAGCUUCUAUUUAUAGAAAAAUGGAAUGCAUAGUAACUAAUUCAUGAACGGUCCAGAUUGAUUUACUUUUAAUCGGACGGUCCAUAAAAUAUAUUAUAUAUAUAUAAUAUAUAUAUAUAUAUAUAAUAACAAUAAUACUCCCUCCGUAUAAACCAAAAAAAUAAUUUGACAACUUUGAAAAAAACUCCCAACCUUUCAAUUUUCAAUACCGUGGGCCCCACAUGUUCCCCUCCCCCCAACAUGUCAAUAUCACAAGGGUCUCAUUAUAUGUAAAUAACUUUCUAUCAAUAAUAUUGAAAAAUAGGUAAAUGGGGGUCUAAAUAAUACGCCAAAUUUACAACAACUACCUCAUAAAAAUCCCUUCAAUAUUUUUAACAAUAUUUAUCAUCUUUAUUACAAUUCACAAUAUUAAUCGACCAGGUCGUUCCCAGGAUAGAGGGGGCUUUCCAAUAAGGAUUUCUCUCUAUUGGCGCGCAAUUAGAUUAUCUAACCUCUCCUUGACAGAACUUCUAGACAUCGUUAAUAUUGCAAAUAAUAACAUUAAUAACUUUGUCGUCUCAAUUAUUGAUUUAAUAAUAUAAAGAAUAUCAACAAUAAUUGAAUCAAAUAACGUGAGAUACUAUGCAACAAUUACUAUAACAAUAAUUGAAUAAAACUGAAUGACUUCUCACGUAAGCAUAAAUAAUCAAUACCGUGUGCUACUAUGCAACCACGCGUAUUACUGUACUUUUACUACUGAGUAGUUCAACAGUAUCAACGGUAAAACUUCCGUCGUUAUUUUCAUAAAAAUAUUUUUGUCGUUUUCUCAAUCCGACAAUAAUUCUGUUGUGGGGUCCACUAAUGAUUGCGCCGUUGUACGAAUAUUUCCUGCUAAAACGAAUAUUCCCCAACCAAUCGAAUAUAAUAUAGCAACUUGCAUACUUUGCAAAACUUAUAAAUACUACCUUCAACUAUAACAUUAUAUUAAAUUUAUUGCAUAAUAUUCAAAAAUGAUAAUUAUAGAAAAUUUAUCUUUAUUCAAAAAGUUGGGGUCUUACAACCCCCCCUUCUUAAGAAAUUUCGCCCUCGAAAUUAGGGUACGUACCUGGUAUAUCGAAGAGGUAAGGAUACCUUGAUUUCAUUUUAGAUUCUAACUCCCAGGUCAUUUCCUCAACAUCGUGGUUUCUCCACAAAACUUUGACUUGAGGUAUAACCUUGGAGCGUAAAAUAUGUUCCUUGUUAUCCAAGAUUUGAACAGGAACCUCUUUAUACGUUAAAUCUUCCGCUAUUUCGUCUGGUUCUAGCUCAAUAAUGUGGUUCGGGUCUUCCACAUAUUUACGUAACAUGGAUAUGUGAAAAAUGUUAUGAACACCAGACAUACUAGGCGGUAAAGCGAGUCUAUAGGCCACAGUUCCUACUCGAUUGAGGAUUAAAAAUGGGCCAAUGAAUCGAGGAUUGAGCUUUCUUAUCUUUCCAAAUCUCGUAACACCUUUCCAUGGAGCAACAUGUAACAACACAUGAUCUCCAAUAUCGAAUUCCACGUCCUUUCGAUGAAGAUCAGCAUAACUCUUUUGUCGAUCUUGUGAGGUUUUUAUACGUUGUCGAAUCGUUUGAAUCUUUUCCGUAGUCAUACGUACCAACUCCGGUCCCAACAACGUUGCUUCACCCACCUCAUCCCAGCAUACUGGAGAACAACACUUUCUCCCAUACAACGCCUCAAAUGGAGCCAUGCCAAUACUUGCUUGAUAACUAUUGUUAUAGGAAAACUCCACCAAUGAUAAGAACUUAUCCCAACUUCCAUUGAAGUUAAGGACACAGAGUCUUAAUAAAUCUUCUAGAGUUUGAAUAGUCCUCUCUGAUUGUCCGUCCGUCUGAGGAUGAUAUGCUGAACUAAAUCGUAAAUCUGUGCCCAUAGCUUUUUGCAAACUAACCCAAAAUCAUGAAGUGAAUCUUGGGUCUCGAUCAGAAACUAUGGAUACUGGCAUACCAUGCAGUCUUACAAUCUCGUUUAUGUACAUACGAGCAAGACGUUCAAGUGUAUAAGUUUCUCGUAUAGGUAAGAAAUGAGCAGACUUGGUCAAUCUAUCAACAAUGACCCAAAUUGCAUCUAUGCCUUGAGAAACCUUGGGAAGACCAGUAACGAAAUCCAUGGUAAUGUGCUCCCACUUCCAUUCUGGAAUUUCAAGUGGUUGCAAUGGACCUUUUGGUACUUGAUGCUCCGCCUUGACUCGUUGACAAGUUAGACACCUUGAGAUAAACACCGCUAUCUCUCUCUUCAUAUUGCUCCACCAAAAUGUAUGUCGAAGAUCAUGAUACAUUUUGGUACUCCCAGGAUGGAUUGCAAACGGUGUGUUGUGCGCCUCCAUCAUGAUUUUAUACUUUAAAUCAGGGUCGUUAGGAACACAAAGUCUGGAGUUGACUCGAAGUAUUCCUUCUUCAUCGAUUCUUGCUUCCGACAUAACACCUUCUUGCACUUUCUUCCUCAUACGCAUCAGCUCCAGGUUUGUAGUUUGAGCAGCUUUAACUUUAUCAAUUAAAGUCGAUUAUACUCGUAUGUUCGCCAUCAUCACAUGGGUCCCUGGAGUCUUUAACUCCAUCUCCAUCCUUUGCAAGUCAUACAAAAUGGGCCUUUGUGUUGACAAUAUUGCACUCGUACCCACAUAUGAUCUUCUACUCAAUGCGUCAGCUACCACGUUCGUUUUUCUAGGAUGGUAUUGGAUGGUAUGAUCAUAAUCUUUCAACAGUUCAAGCCAACGUCGUUGUCGCAUGUUGAGUUCCUUUUGAGUGAAGAAAUAUUUAAGGCUUUUAUGAUCCGUAAAGAUCUCCACUUUCUCCCCAUACAAGUAAUGCCUCCAAAUCUUUAGUGCGAAGANNNNNNNNNNNNNNNNNNNNNNNNNNNNNNNNNNNNNNNNNNNNNNNNNNNNNNNNNNNNNNNNNNNNNNNNNNNNNNNNNNNNNNNNNNNNNNNNNNNNNNNNNNNNNNNNNNNNNNNNNNNNNNNNNNNNNNNNNNNNNNNNNNNNNNNNNNNNNNNNNNNNNNNNNNNNNNNNNNNNNNNNNNNNNNNNNNNNNNNNNNNNNNNNNNNNNNNNNNNNNNNNNNNNNNNNNNNNNNNNNNNNNNNNNNNNNNNNNNNNNNNNNNNNNNNNNNNNNNNNNNNNNNNNNNNNNNNNNNNNNNNNNNNNNNNNNNNNNNNNNNNNNNNNNNNNNNNNNNNNNNNNNNNNNNNNNNNNNNNNNNNNNNNNNNNNNNNNNNNNNNNNNNNNNNNNNNNNNNNNNNNNNNNNNNNNNNNNNNNNNNNNNNNNNNNNNNNNNNNNNNNNNNNNNNNNNNNNNNNNNNNNNNNNNNNNNNNNNNNNNNNNNNNNNNNNNNNNNNNNNNNNNNNNNNNNNNNNNNNNNNNNNNNNNNNNNNNNNNNNNNNNNNNNNNNNNNNNNNNNNNNNNNNNNNNNNNNNNNNNNNNNNNNNNNNNNNNNNNNNNNNNNNNNNNNNNNNNNNNNNNNNNNNNNNNNNNNNNNNNNNNNNNNNNNNNNNNNNNNNNNNNNNNNNNNNNNNNNNNNNNNNNNNNNNNNNNNNNNNNNNNNNUCAAAAUCCAAUUUCUCCGGAGUCAAAUUUAAACGUUGAGCGCAAGUAGGAGAAAUGAAAGAGUGGGUAGAACCAGUAUCAAAUAAAGUAUAAACUUCGCUAGAGUUUAUGAUAAGCUUACCCGUGAUGACCUCGUUCGGGUUCUUUACUUUUUGGGAGGUUACAACAAAUGCUCUUCCUUGCACUACCGACUUUGACUUUUCUGGGAUGGCCUUUGGUGACUCUAUCCUAACUGAACUUGUCUUCGGUGCACGACAAAAUCGAGCCAGGUGACCUUCUCUUCCACAGUUGUAACAUGCUUUGGAUGGCAUCGCACAGUUGGGACUGAUGUGUCCCUCUCCUCCACACUUGAAACAUAUGAUAGGUGGUCGUUCCCCUUCCUUAACGACAGGUGCUGAUGUUGACGUCUUUCCAUCAUUGUUGAAUCUCCUCUUUUUGAAAUGUCCAUUUUUAUUGUUUUGGCCAUGAUUACCACCGAAGUGGUUACCAUUUCUGGCCUUUUGAUUUCCUCCACGCUUGUUGUCACCGCUUUGAUGACUGUUCUCACUGGUAUUAUCAUUUUAUUGGCUGCUCUCUUUUGGUUGGCUUAACUCGUUAUCACGCUCCAAUAACUGAGCCCUAUUAACAACAUCCGAAUACAAACACAGUUUAUGAGAGAUAAGAUAUUGACGUAUCUCAGGUUUCAAACCUCUUAAAAACAUUCGCGUCAUUCUCUCCUCAUUAUCAACCAAAUGGGACGCAAACUGGGACAACUCGGCAAACUUGGCUUUGUACUGCGAUACUGUCAUGUUGUUUUGUUCCAGCCUGAUGAACUCUACCUCUUUCAUGUGACGAAUACUUUUGGGAAAGUACUUGUCGUUGAACAAUUCUUUGAACUUCUCCCAAGUCAUCUUCAGUGCGGCAGGUUGAGUACGCUUUACAGAUUCCCACCAGUAAUCUGCCUCUCCUCGCAACAUGAAGGUGGCAAAGGAAAUCUUUUGUUCCUCGGAGCAUCCCAAGACAUCAAAUAUCUUGGUAAUCUACUUUAUCCAUGUCUCCGCCUUAAGUGGUUUUGGUUCUCCAAUAAACUUCGGUGGUCCCAGCUCCUUGAACUGUUUGGCGGUGACCAUCCGAGAGUUGCUAGUGUUUUCACCUGCAUUUUGGACAGGAGCCGCUCCUGCCUGAUGUUGUAUGAAUUGCAUGAAUCCUCGAAACAUUUUGUUGUUCAAUAUUUGGUCAGUGUUGUUGUUUGCAUGAGGAUUUUUGCCUUCCUGAUGCACAUUGUCCUGAUUGUUGAUCUGUGGAGACUCAACGGUCUCCUGUGCUCCAUUGAUGUUCUCAACGUUCUCGGAUGCCAUUUUCAAAUACUGCCACAAAACAAGAGUUAAUUAACACAUCACAUAUUAUCCCUAUACUCUAACCAACCAAUUAAAUAACAAAUAAACUUAGGUAGGUCAUACUAGCGAAGGAAUUCCCCGUCUCUCCCCUCCUAGUUCUUAUCUCACAUCUUAGCCAGGGAUCAUAUCCCUAACCUCUGAUACCAACUGUGACGCCCCCAAUAUUAGGUAUACAUCACCCAUCUUGGGUAGCCACUUAUAUGGUACAAAAUACAAAUACAACUUAAUUAUACAACAGUCGUGUAAGAUACGACAAAAUAUAAACAAUGAGUUUUAACUCGAAUAUUGUCAUCUAGACAGUAUUCAAACACAAAUAAGUCCUCAAUACAUUUAUUGUCACACUAUCUAACAGAAUAGUGAGGACUACUAAUGCUAUCAUCUGGACUGUCACUCCAUUCCCCGACUCAUCCCCGCUACGUUCUCAAUUCCUGAAGAGAACAGUGAAAGAAAGGGUGAGCUCGACUAGCCCAGUAAGAAAUAUUAUGACUGAGAUAAUGCAGAAUAAAUUAUCAUUAGUCUCCAACAAUGUUAAACUGAUAAAAUACAAUAGACAUCAAGUUUAACUGCAGCGGAACAAGCAAUCCAUUAAAAGAGUCAAGUAGAGAAUAAAAUCUACUAUCUUUUAUGAUUUAAAAGGUUUUUCAUCACUUUUAUCGCUGGGACUCAGCUUAAUAAAUAAUCCACAUCAUCGAAUCACCCCUGCACUACGGCCAAGGAUAUUCUUUAGUAUCACGACCACAAUUAUCCAUGCACUACGGGCCAAGAAUAUUUGUGUAUUCAUUAAUGGUCAUGAUCAUGCCAACAACUGUCCAUCAAUGCACUACGGGCCAAUGAGGACUUUUUCCACAUCAUUUGUAACAUUACGGUCAUGAUUACACCGAAUAAUCCCUGGUCAUAAUCAUACCAAGUCCAUCUAUGCACUACAGGCCACAGAUGACUUUCAACAAAAUAAUAACAUGAGGAUGAUGACAAUGAUAUAAGAAUUCAAUAAAAUAACUUUCAAGAAUUAAUUUGUCCAGGAAUCAAUAACGUCCAAAUUGUCAAUAAGAUAUUGUUUUGUGGUGUAAAUUAUUCAAGAAUGCUCAGAAGAAUAUUUUCAUGAAAAGAUAUUGGAUGAAGUGCAAAUAUCAAGGAUAUUCCAUUAAUUUCAUGGAGUAUAAAAGUCAAAAUUUUAACCAACUGAGUAUAAUAACGAAUGGAAUAACAAAAGAAAUCACCACGCAUGCGGUACUUCGCAUAGACAGGUUAUUCCAACAGAAUAAUAAUAACGGAACUAGGUCAGGUGAGAUUCACACCGACAGGAUGUUCCAACAGAAUAAUAAAUAAUUAAAACGGAACCAGGUUCGGCGUUUAGCACAGACAGGAUAUUCCAACAGAAUAACUGAAUAAUUAAAACGGAACCAGGUCUAGCGUAUAGCACAGACAGGAUAUUCCAAAAAAAUAACUAAAUAAUUAAAACGGAACCAGGUCCGGCGUAUAGCACAAACAGGAUAUUCAAACAAAAUAAUAAAGACAGAAAAAUUGAAGAAUGUCACCAAGUAUAGGGUUGCCCGCGUAUACAGGUUAUUCCAACAGAAUAAUAAAGAAAUGGAAUAACAGAAGUUCUCUUUUUGAAUACAAAAGAAUAAUAUUCCUUACCGUAAAAGAACUUAAUAUAAGAGUAGUUUCAGUAGUAGAAUAAUUUUCUUCUUUCUCUCUUACAGUUUAUCUCUCUAGAGUUUCAAUGAAUUCGUAAGAAAAUAAUGAAGGAAUGAGCUUCUAUUUAUAGAAAAAUGGAAUGCAUAGUAACUAACUGAUGAACGGUCCAGAUUGAUUUACUUUUAAUCGGACGGUCCAUAUUUAAAGUAAAAUCUUUUAAAUAAAAUAUAUUAUAUAUAUAUAUAUAUAUAUAAACAAUAAUACUCCCUCCGUAUAAACCAAAAAAAUAAUUUGACAACUUUGAAAAAAACUCCCAACCUUUCAAUUUUCAAUACCGUGGGCCCCACAUGUUCCCCUCCCCCAACAUGUCAAUAUCACAAGGGUCCCAUUAUAUUUAAAUAACUUUCUAUCAAUAAUGUUGAAAAAUAGGUAAAUGGGGGUCUAAAUAAUACGCCAAAUUUACAACAACUACCUCAUAAAAAUCUCUUCAAUAUUUUUAACAACAUUUAUCAUCUUUAUUAAAAUUCACAAUAUUAAUCGACCAGGUCGUUCCCAGGAUAGAGGGGAUUUUCCAAUAAGGAUUUCUCCCUAUUGGCGCGCAAUUAGAUUAUCUAACCUCUCCUUGACAGAACUUCUAGACAUCAUUAAUAUUGCAAAUAAUAACAUUAAUAACAUUGUCGUCUCAAUUAUUGAUUUAAUAAUAUAAAGAAUAUCAACAAUAAUUGAAUCAAAUAACGUGAGAUACUAUGCAACAAUUACUAUAACAAUAAUUGAAUAAAACUGAAUGACUUCUCAUGUAAGCAUCAAUAAUCAAUAUCGUGUGCUACUAUGCAACCACGCGUAUUACUGUACUUUUACUACCGAGUAGUUCAACAGUAUCAACCGUAAAACUUCCGCCGUUAUUUUCAUAAAAAUAUUUUUGUCGUUUUCUCAAUCCAACAAUAAUUCUGUUGUGGGUUCCACCAAUGAUUGCGUCGUUGUACGAAUAUUCCCCGCUAAAACGAAUAUUCUCCGACCAAUCGAAUAUAAUAUAGCAACUUGCAUACUUUACAAAACUUAUAAAUACUACCCACAACUAUAACAUUAUAUUAAAUUUAUUCCAUAAUAUUCAAAAAUGAUAAUUAUAGAAAAUUCAUCUUUAUUCAAAAAGUUGGGGUCUUACAGACUUGACUGUGCUGAUCCAGAGAUAGUUAAUGUACCACCAACGUUGUUGUUUCCUUUUCCACCACUUGCACUUCCUGCUGGCUUCUUAGGGCAAUCACGAGCCAUGUGAUCCUACGAACCGCAGGUAAAACAUGCUCCUUUAUUUGGACUAAAACAGUUCAGUGUAAUGUGUCCCUCCUGACCACAGUUGAAACACACCCGCUUUCCCUUCAAACAUACUCCAUUAUGAUUGUUUCCAUAAGUCGCAUAAGCUUCAAACUUUUUCUUCUGCUGAUUUCCUUGUUGUCCUCCCGCAGUCGAAUUUUCACUCCACUUCCUCUUCUGAUUGUUAUUUCCAACGUUACUUCCACCAGCCUUAUUUUCAUUCUCAGUCUUCCUCUUCUUAUAUUCUUGGUUGUACUUGGUCAAGGCAUCGCUUUCACCUUCUGCGAUAAUUGCCUUUUCCAGUAUAACCGCAAAUGUAUUUAACUGAAAUAUUGAAACCUUGCUAUACAGCCAGGGUUUCAAUCCAUGUUCGAACCUUAUCGCCUUUCGUUCAUCAGUAUUGACUUAAUAAGUGGCAAACCUUGCCAAUUCAUUAAACUUCGCAGCAUAUUCUGGCACCGUCAUAGUUCCUUGUUUCAGUUCCAGAAAUUGCAUUUCCAACUUAUUCUGAGAACUCGCUGGAAAGUACAUUUCAAAAAAUAUCUCCUUAAAUCUAUCCCACGCUAUCACUCCUUGUCCCCCACGAACCUUAUUUGCCUGCCACCAGUAGCUAGCUUCAGACUUCAGCAUGAACGUUGUGAACGCAGUCUUCUGAUCCUCGUUGACUCUAGAAACGUUGAACACUUUCUCCAUUUCCAUGAUCUAGGUUUGGGCUUCUACUGGAUUCAUAGACCCUUGAAACUCUGGCGGUCCAACCGCUUUGAAUUCCUUAAAGGUCAUGACUUGAGCUUGCGGUUGAUUCGCAAGUGCACCUGUUAACAAGGUUACCAACUGCUGAACCGGGUUAGCAUUGGCCUCGUUAUUAUUUUUAGUAGACCCCUCAGGAGGUGGUUGUUGACGUGUUUUUCUUCUUCUAGGAGGCAUUUUCUGUUAAGAUAUACGCUCAUUAGUUCAUUACUCAACUUCUUGAUUAUUUGAAGUUUAACUUAAAUAUUCUAAGAUUAAAGUUAUAACACAUAACAUUUCAAAUAAACUCUGGUAUUUUAUUCAUUCAUAAUGUUUUAAAACAUAUUAAAGAUAGCAUAACCGCUAUUAACAUUCACUUUCCUGAACUAAGCAAGUUUUAGGAUUACAUAUUCAUACUACCCCUUUAUUUAUCUCAAAAUAAGGGAUUCACAGUUUAUAUACUCACUUACUUAACCACGUAUUAUUAUUCUCAUUCUUUCUAUCUAGACAUAUUAAGAUGUCGUAAGGCUUCUCUAUGUUCUUCCUCCAUAAUUCGAUACAUCGUUCUACGAUCCAUCAUGAACUACAACGAAUCUUCAAAUUGAGGUGGAUAAUAAAAGACUCGAUCCUGGGCCCUAUCAAUUGCAGAAUUAAAGGCAUAAUCCAUCCCAUUCAUCUUGGCCUUCUUCACUUGAACUUUAUCCUCGGCACGGUCUGCACGUUAAGUCACCUUUAUCCAAGCGUCCUCUGCUCUCGUACGUUUAGUUGAAUCCUCUUUCAAGUCAUCUUUUAACUUCUCCACAUCAGUCUUCAUCUUCUUGUUCACUGCCAACAAAUCUUCAUGCUGACCCUUGGUAUGAAAUAGGUCCCACUCCGUGUUUCCAAGUCUUGAGUCGAGUUCUUGAAUCUCCGCAUCCUUCUGCUCUAUCGUAGCGUGAUGCAUCUCAACCAACUCCUUCAGCUCCUGAACUUUGUCUUGUAAUUCUAUGUUACGAUCGUACAGAGCAUCAUACAUCUCAGCUGAUAUGGAGCUUUGUGGAAACGCCACAGGAUCCUCUUCCUCAUCAUCCAACUCUAUCUCUUCAGAACUAUCCUCCUCGGGAUCGGUCACAGGUUCAUCCUCCUGGAUCAACUGUUCACGCAUAACAUGAAUAUCCCGGGGUUCCUCAUCUCUAGGUAUCUGAGGUAUUACUUCCCUAGCUGGAAUGGAUCCUCCUUCAUUAGACAUCCUAACAACAAAAUAUUUUAAGUUUACUUAACAUUUUUCGAUACUCGCGAGCACAUAAGUUAUUACACAUAGCACAUAAUGUCUUUUAUUAUUUAUCUUCAAUGGAUAGCUUAAUCCAUUCAUUAAAACUCGAUAAGAGUUAGACACCUCUAUAUUUUCUGUCUUCUUAAAGGUUACUUCCUAAGGUUUCCCCACCUAAGGUUCAUAACCUAAAGCUCUGAUACCAACAUGUGACACCCCCAAAUCUGGGUAUUCCUUUUCCACAGGAUUUGGUGCUCACUAUCCAAAACCAUUACAUCUAACUACCCAUAACAAAGGAUAAAGACAUAAUUUAAAUAACUUAACAAUAAUCUUCCCAUUAAAGGGUUACAUCGUCAUAAAACAAUCCCAAAUAAUUUAAUCUUAAAUUAUUACAUAAGUUUGCGGAAUACAUCAUAAAAUAAAACAAGUCUUAUAACAUAAACAUUUAAAUAAACUUUCAUAAAUCUUCAACACUUGGACAUCUUUCCCUUUUCUUUGCUAGUAGAUGGCUCAUCGACUUUCUCAACUUUAGCUGCAGUGUUAAAUGCAAGAGUGAGCAAACAAUUGCUCACUGAUAUAGAGAGUAGUAAUGAUAACAACAUAAGAUUAAACAACGAAUGCUGAACAAUAAUGAAAUUGUUCUAUGAAUAAAAAAUAGAAAACAAGUUCAAAUUUAAUAUCUGAGGGUCUUAAGACCACGAACUAUGUCCCCGAUAUUUAGGUAUUAUUACCCAACCUUAACAGUCAUUUAGACUAUACAAACCCUUCUUAACGUACUUAGGGGGAUCAGCCCUUUGUACCAUGUAUUGUGCACAAACAUCUAAACGUUACACGUACAAAAUCCCCUAUGUUAGGGUUGUUCGUCUCAGCUUGAAUUUAGAAUUUCUGCACUAAAGAGAGUUUAGCUCGGAACUAACUUAUCAAUGGUUCUAGAAUUUUAGAACACUACUCAAUUAUAGACUAAUUCAAUCAAUAAGAGUUUGCUUGCUACUUGAAGAUUUAAUAUAACAAAAAUAGAAUUGAACAAGGCUAUCAAAGUCAAAGAUCGAAUAUCAACAAUAUACAGUUGAGCACUACAACAAAAAAGCUUAUCAGCGACCGCCUAUCAGCGACCGCCUGUGGUCGCUGAUAUCUAUCUGCGACCGUCUACUCGAGUAAACAUGAUAUACAUGCAAAGUACUAUAUCCAAAAGAGUUAGAAUAAUCUCCUUUGAAUCAAUGUAUUAGAACAAUAUAUUCUUUUGAAUAACAAUAUCAAGAUUUAGGAAAGUGAAACUCGCUCAAUGUAACAAACUAGAUUACAAGAGAUUGUACGAUACACGAGAUAGAAUCAAUAGGCUUGCUGAACUUUAAUGUAAAAUUUAGAAUUAGAAAGCUUGUUUGACAUAAAAGAUAACAUAGCUAUGAAACUUGCAUUCAUUAAUAAAAGAAUGAAGUUAGAAAACUUGCUCAAUAAAAGUUUAGGAUAAGAAACUUGCCUUGUAUGUAAGCUACACAAGUGUAAUAAUGUUCGCCAAUUACCCUACACAUAUCAUUGGAAUCGCAAUAACAAUUAGUUGUAUUAUUAUUAGCUUUAAGGGUUUAAACCACCAUUUAGGUCAUAACCUUAACUUAACAUCUAACCAUGUUGGUUAACACCUUUAACAAAUCUAAAAUCCCUCUAUAAACUAACAUAAACUUUAUCAUUCAUUUCUUACUUUCAUAAACAUUAUUUUUUUAUUCAUUACAUAACUUAAUUAAAUAAUCACUUAAAAUCUUCAUACUUUAUAUUACAUCACGUUGAAAUAUGUUAUUGUAGUUCACGUUAACAUGUAUGCCAAACUAGAUUAAGUCCAUUAAUCAUAACCUAUAAAUAAGCAGAAGUCAUUGCCUAGGCUCAGGGCACGGCGCAGCUGCGCUGUCCCAAGCCUUGGCAUCGGCACAGCUGCGCCGUACACGGACAGGAACUGCAGCAGCAGCUCUGUUACACAGCACACACCAAAACUCAAUCAAAUUUCACAGAAAUCAUAAAACUCAACAUCUAAAACUUUGUGAUAACAUUAAUAAUGAUGUUAUUCAUCAUUCUCACUACCUAAACAUUAUAUAUAUUAAAUUUUAAAAGAUCAAAACCCCAAUUUUUCCAAUUUCAUCAUUUUUUUACGCUUUUAGCGAAUUCGAUUGCUACGAAUUCAUUUCUUAAUCAAUUGACACAAUUCAAACUACGUUGUUUUCGUUUCUUAACAUACUAACACAUUCUAACAUCAAAUUACAGAUUAUAGCAAGUAUUGAUCAUGAAAUUUCGUACUUUCUAAAGCCAUUUUUCAAAAAUAAACACUAUUAUUAUAACUUCUUCCUUACAAAGCCAAUUCUCACAUGUUUGGAAAUCAAAUAGCACUCACAUAUAAUGAUUAACAGAUUAUAAACCAUAUAUACAUGUAUUUGUAUUAAUCCAUCGUAAUUAUCAAUAGAAAUUUCAAACAUAAAAGUUAGAAUUAGAGUUAUACCUUACUCCUUUGAUUGUUUGCUAGCAAAAAGAUGGUGACUAGGUUUAGAAAUCCCUCUCCUUGACAAUCAUAAAGAAUUCAAACUCACUGUGUUUUCCUCUCUUGCUCUCUCUCCAAGCUCUCUGUUCUUCACUAAUAUCUAGCCUUAGGGAAAGGAAUAAUACGCGUAAAAAAAUAUACUAACUCCCACUUUCCCCACUAAUGUCAGGUCACAAACCCAAAAGUUUGUGUCAGUUAGAAAUAAGCCAAAGGCCACAGGGCCUUGUUUGGCUAACCACAAUUUCUCCUCUACUAGAUUAUUUUUAUAUUAUUUUUAUUAUAUAGUUUUUAUUUGUCACACUUGCCACCAAUUUAAAUAGCUUACAAUAAUAAUUAUAAUAAUUAUAAUUUUUAUUAUAAUUAUUCUGAUGAUUAAUAAAUAAUUAUAUAUAUAUAAUUUAAUUAAUAAAUUUGACUUAAACAUUACUUUAUUUAAUUUACCUAUUUUCUUUAAUAUAAAAAAAAAUUUAAUUUAAUUUAAUUAUUUCAUUAAAUUAAAUCUUUCAAAUAAAAAAUAGCAUUAUUCAAUUUAAUUAACAUUAAUCAAUUUAGUCACUAAAUUAAUGCACCACAAUUCAUCAAUUAUUUAUUUUUCUCAAUAAAUAAAUUAUUUAAAAUAUUUAUUUAAUUCAAUAAAUAUUUAAAUUAAAUUACAAAUUUCUCGAUCGUUACACUAUUCAUUCGGUUAGUAUUUACCCGGGGUACUAUUCAUGACAAAAAUUGAUUUCUUUUAUGUCCAAAUUAUUUUUGAUACAAUAUUAUUCUUGAAUUUUACUCCACAAUUGGUGAUCAUGUUGACAAUUUAGAUAUUCUUAAACUCUGGAUAAAUUUAAUUAUAAAUAUUUAAUAUUUAUCCUUUAUCUCGUUUGAUUGAUUCUUUAUAUCAUUGUCAUGAUCCUCAUGCUUAUAUUGUGAUAAAAGUCAUCUUUGGCCCGUAGUGCAUAGAUGGACUAUUGGUUAUUGGUUUUACAGUUGUUUUUCUUUGGCCCGUAGUGCAAAGAAGAACUGUUGAUUGAUAUCUUUGGUCGUAGUGCAAAGAUGAAUUGUUGAUUGAUAGCUUUGGCUCGUAGUGCAAAGUUGGACAGGUGUAUGACAUGAUCAUGACCACUGGUGAUACUAACGAAUAUCCUUGGCCGUAGUGUAUGGAUAAUUCAAUGAUGUGAUUGGCAGGAUCAUGACCAUUAGUUAACAGUUGAAUGUCUUCGGCCGUAGUGCACUGACAGACAAUUGAUUGGUAUGAUCAUUGUUAUUACACUUGAAUGUCUUAGCCUUUGGGGUAAGGAUAUUGAGUAAACGUUCUAUUAAGCCUUUGUGGCAAGGAGAAACUGUUGAUUCACAUUAUUAUAAACAUGAAUUGUGAAUUUAUCUAAAAUCUUUGGUGGUUCAGGUGAAGACAGGUGAUGAAAUUUCUCUUUGUCUUGGUAUAAUAAAGAACUGUUAAUGGGUAUUAUAGGGAUAAAAUUGAUGAUAAACUUUUAAAUCAUAGAAGAUAGUAGAUAUCAUGCUCUACUUGACUCUUCUAAUAGAUUGCUUAUUCCACUGCAGUUGUUGAUCUAAAACUUGUUGUCUAUUAUAUUCUAGCAGUUGUUAUACUGUUGAAGGCUAAUGAUAAUUUAUUCUGCAUUAUCUUAGUCAUAAUAUUUCUUACUGGGCUAGUUGAGCUCACCCUUUUCUUUCAUUAUUCUCUUCAGAAAAUGAGAAUAUAGCUGGGACGAGUCGGGGAAUGGAGUGAUGAUCCAAGAUAAGUGGCUUUAGUAGUCUUCACUAUUCUGUGAAAUAGUGUGAUAAUAAUUGUAAUGAGGACUCCAUUGAGUUUGGAUAUUGUCUAGAAGACAAUAUUUGUGUUAAAACUCUCAGCUUAUAUUUUCUCGUAUUCUACACGACAGUUGUAUAAUUAAGUAGUAUUUGUAUUCUGUACCAUGUAUCUGGCGACCCAAGAUGGGUGAUGUAUACAUAUUUUGGGGGCGUCACAUCAACAACCACCACAAAUAUAAAACCUUUGAAGCCAAGCCUGUGAGACCCCAAAUUUUAUGAAUAAAGAUUUAAAUUUCUCGAAAUAUUUUUUUUGAAUAUUACGGUGUGGAUUUGAUAUAAUGUUAUAGUUGUGGGUAAUAUUUAUAAAUUUUACAAAGUAAACAAGUUGUUACAUAAUAUUCGUUUGGUCGGGGAAUAUUCUUUUUGUUGGGGAAUAUCCGUACGAUGGUGCAAUCAUUGGUGGACCCCACAACGGAAGUAUUGUCGUAGUAAGAAAAUGACAAAAUUAUCUUUUUAUAAAAAUAAUGGCGAAAGUGUUACCGUUAAAACUAUUGAACUACUCCGUAGUAAAAGUACAGUAAUACGUGUGGUUGCAUAGUAGCACACGAUAUUGAUUAUUAAUACUUACGUAAGAAGUCACUCAGUUAUACUUAAUUAUUGUUAUAGUAAUUGCUGCAUCUAUCUCUCAUAUUAUUGAUUCAAUUAUUGUCACAGUAUCAUCUGCAUAAUAUGUUAUAUUAUUAAAUCAAUAAUUGAGACGACAAAGUUAUUUAUAUUAUUAUUUGCAAUAUUGAGAAUGUCUAGAAGUUCUAUCAAGGAGAGGUUAGAUAAUCUAAUUGCGCGCCAAUAGGGAGAAAUCCUUAUCGGAAAGCCCCCUCUUUCUUGGAAACUACCUGGUUGUUAAAUAUUGUGAGUUAUAAUAUUAAUGAUGUAUAAGUUUGUGUUGAUUAAAGAUGAAAUUGAUAGUUCCAUUGUGUUGGGAUUAUUAGUGUUAGUGGAAAUCGACAUUUAUUUCGAUAAUAAUUGAUGUUUGGAAGUUAUAUUGACCAAUCGGGUAAUUAACCGGAUAAAUGAGCAAUUAAUUGCUAUUAAUUCACAUGCUUAUAACUAUGUGUUCACAUGUGUGUACUAUUGAUUCACAUGAUUUACUAUUAGGGGAGUUGGUGCAAGAUUGAUAAUACUUGCAUGACUAAAUUAAAAAUAGAGGUAUAGAUGAAGGUACUAUACUGUAAUUAUUUUUUUCACAUGUUUAGAACUAUUGAGUCACAUGAUUUACUAUUGAUUCACAUGAUUUACUAUUAGGGGAGGUGGUGCAAGUUUGAUAAUACUUGCAGGACUAAAUUAAAAAUGAAGAAAAAGAGGAAGGUAUUAUACUGUAAUAUUUCGAGCCCCAAAACGUGCAAUUAUCGAAACUAUAUUUUCCUAUAAAUAGAAGCUCAUUCUUCCUUCAUUUCUCACCAAUUCACUAAAGCUUUAGAGCAAUUAUUAUAGAGAGAAAUUAUAGAGAGAAAGAAGAAGAGAAGUCUGCUACCUCACUAUUUUAGUAUGCAGUUUCUUCUAAGGUAAGGGUAUUAUUUCUUUCGUAUUCAUGAAGAGAGUUAUUUCUUUCAAUACUCGUAAGGGUUGUUAUUCCAUUCUUUAUUAUUCUGUUGGAAUAACCUGUCUGUGCGGACUACACACGCCUGGUGAAUUCUUUUGUUAUUACAUUCUUUAUUAUUCUGUUGGAAUAACCUGUCUGUGCGGACUACGCACGCAUGGUGAAUUUUUUUUUAUUCUAUUCUUUAUUAUUCUGUUGGAAUAACCUGUCUACGCAGACUACCGCAUGCAUGGUGAAUGACCCUUCGUAUUCAUUCUUUAUUAAAUUAUGUAAAUGAUCUGUCUACGUAGAUUACCGCAUGACGGGUAAAAAUCCAUUUGCAGUUUCAUAUAUUCUAUUAUACUCAUAUGCGAUAUCAUUUCUUUUGUACUCGUCAUAUAAUAUCAUUUUCUUUGGAAUUUUUCUUUUACGAGUUACUAUUGACAGAUUACUAUUCACCUGAUUAUUAUUCACUCUAGUAUUAUUCACUCAGGUAUUCGGGGCACUUUUCGUGUCAGAGUAUUAUUCACGGGUUACUAUUCACCCGAUUACUAUUCACUCUAGUAUUAUUCACUCGGAUAUUUGGGACACUUUUCGUGUCGAGGUACUAUUCACGGAGUACUAUUCCUGAAGUACUAUUCAUGAAAUACUAUUCACCCAAAAAAUAUAUUUCUUUUCAGUCCAAAUUAUUUUUGGGUACAAUAUUAUUCUUGAAUUUUACUCCACAAAACAAUAUCAUGUUGACAAAUUGGACGUUAUUGAUUCUUGGAUAAAUUAAAUUAUAAAUCUUUAAAAUUUAUCCUUGAACUUUUUUUAUUGAAUUAUUAUGUCAUUGUCAUCAUCCUCAUGCUUAUAUUGUGAUGAAAGUCAUCUUUGGCUUACGUGCAUAGAUGGACUUGGUAUGAUUAUGACCAGGGAUUAUUCGGUAUAAUCAUGACCGUAAUGUGACGAAUGAUAUGGUGAAAGUCCUCAUUGGCCUGUAGUUCAUUGAUGGACAGUUGUUGGUAUGAUUAUGACCAGGGAUUAUUUGGUAUAAUCAUGAACAUUGAUGAUUACAUGAGUAUCAUUGGCCGAGAUGCAGGGAUGAUUCGAUUUUAUUUAUUAAGUUGAGUCUCAGCGAUAAAGUUGAUGAAAAACUUUUUAAAUCAUAGAAGAUAGUAGAUUUUAUGCUCUACUUGACUCUUCUAAUGGCUUGCUUAUUCCGCUGCAGUUGUUGAUCUAAAACUUGUUGUCUAUUAUAUUCUGUCAGUUGUUAUACUAUUGAAGGCUAAGGAUAAUUUAUUCUGCAUUAUCUUAGUCAUAAUAUUUCUUACUGGGCUAGUUGAGCUCACCCUUUCUUUCACUGUUCUCCUCAAGAAAUGAGAAUAUAGCUGGGACGAUUCGGGGAACGGAUUGACGGUCCAGAUGGUUGUUUUAGUUGUCCUCACUAUUCUGUGAAAUAAUAUGAUAAUAAUUGUAAUGAGGACUCCAUUGGGAGUGGAUAUUGUCUAGAAGGCAAUAUUCUUGUUUAAACUCUCAGUUAUGUUUUGUCGUAUAUUACCCGACAGUUGUAUAAUUAAGUUUGUAUUUGAUUUAUGUACCAUAUAGUUGGCGACUCAAGAUGGGUGAUGUAUACCUGUUUUUGGGGUGUCAAAGUUGGUAUCAAAGCUUAGGGAUAUGAUCUCUGGCUGAGAUAUGAGACAAGAACUAGGAGGGGAGAGACUGGGAAUUCCUUCGCUAGUAUAUAUGACCUACCUAAGUUUAUUUGGUAUUUAAUUGGUCGAUCAGAGUAUAGGAAUAAUAUGUGAUAUGUCAAUUAACCCUUGUUUUGUGACAGUGUUUGAAAAUAGCAUCUAAAAAUGUUGAGAUCAGCAAUGAAGCACAUGAGACCGUUGAGUCACCAACGAUUAAUACCUAGGAUAAUGUGCAACAGGAAGAUAAUAAUCCUCAGGUAAAUAACAACACCGAUUAGAUGAUGAACGAUGGGAUGUUCAGAGGCUUUAUGCAAUUCAUGCAACAUCAGACGAGAGAGACUCUUGUUCAAAAUGCAGGUGGAAACACUGUCAACUCUCGGAUGGUCACCGCUAAGCAGUUUAAGGAGUUGGGACCACCAGAGUUUUUGAGAGAGCCAGAACCACUUAAGGCGGAGACGUGGAUAAACAGAUCACCAAGAUAUUUGAUGUCUUGGAAUGCUCAGAGGAGCAAAAGGUUCCCUUUGCCACCUUCAUGUUGCGAGGAGAGGCAGAUUACUAGUGGGAAUCAGUAAAACGUACUCAGCCUGCCGCACUGAAGAUGUCUUGGGAGAUGUUCCAAGAACUGUUCAACAACAAGUACUUUCCUGAAAGUAUUCGUCAUGUGAAAGAGGUAGAGUUCAUCAAGCUUGAGUAAAACAAUAUGACCGUGGCGCAGUACGAAGCUAAGUUUGCCGAGUUAUCUCAGUUUGCGUCCCACUUGGUUGAUAAUGAAGAGAGAAUGACGCGGAUGUUUCUAAGAGGUUUGAAACCCGAGAUACGUCAAUAUCUAAUUUCUCACAAACUGUGUUUGUAUUCAGAUGUUAUGAAUAGGGCUCAAUUAUUGGAGUGUGAUAAUGAGUCAGCACAACCAAAAGGCAACGACCAACAACACGAUAAUAAUCAUACCGGUGGCAACGGCCAUCGGAACAAUGAUAACCAUCGUGGGGGAAAUUAUUAUGCCAAGAAUGGUAACCACUUCGGUGGUAAUCAUGGCCAAGUUAAUAGAAGCGGAAAUUUCAAGAAGAGAAGGUUCAAUAAUGAUGGAAAGACGUCAUCACCAGCACCCGUUGUUAAGGAAGGAGAACGACCGCCGGUCGUAUGUUACAAAUGCGGAGGGGAGGGACACAUAAGUCCAAACUAUUCACAGCCUUCCAAGGUAUGUUUUAGUUGUGGAAAAGAUGGUCACAUAGCUCGAUUUUUUUCUUGUAGCGAAAUCAAGUCCAGUUGGGACAGUGGCACCAAAGGCGGAUACGGACAAAACAAAGUCGGUGGUUUCAGGAAGAGCGGUUUUUAUGACUUCUCAAAAAGUGAGUAACCCGAACGAAGUUAACACGGGUUAGUUAAUUAUAAAUUCUUGCGAAGUCUAUACCUUAUUAGAUAUCGAUUCUACCCAUUCUUUUAUUUCUCUUGCUUGCGCUCAGCGUUUAAAUUUGACUCCAGAGAAAUUAGACUUUGACUUAUUGGUUGAAACUCUGUUAGGAGAAACCUUCGUUACACCCACUGUUUAUAAAUCUUGUUUUAUUCAAAUCGACACUUUCACGUUACCUGUCGAUCUUAUCUCUUUGAAAAUACUUGCCUUUGAUGUGAUUUUAGGAAUCGAUUGGUUAACUACUCAUCAUGCCAAAAUUGAUUAUUUUUGUAAGGUUGUUAGCUUUCAUAUUCCUAACCAACUUGUUAUGCGAAUUCAAGCAACCAAACCACUAAAGUCAAUCACUGUCAUAUCAAGCCAUAAGUAAAGAGCCCCGAGCCUUUCGUUGGUGACUUCCUUGUGUGGAAUGCAUCGAAGCCGAACUUUCUGUAGGGGACGUCGUGAAUAACAGUGGCAAGUUGAUAGGUAUCAAUGUGACGUGUUAUCCAAGUCUUGGGAUGAGAGUCACAGUUUUGAAUGAUAUUUCUAUUGUUAAUAAAUUUCCUAGCGUAUUCUUGAAGACUUCUUAGCCUACCCCUAGAGCGUGAAAUCGAAUUUUUUAUUGACCCCAAUACAAAACUCAUUUAUAAAACCCUCAAAUAUUUUCUUUACCCAAAACGAACGUAUAAUGUGCCAAUGACGUUGGCUCGAGCUGUUGAAGGUUACGACUAUACCAUUAAAUUCCAUCGUGGGAAAAGCGAACGUGGUAGCUGACACAUUAAGUAGAAGAUCGUAUGCGUUUACGAAGUGUGACGUUGUUAACACAAAAACCCAUUUCGUAUAACUUAUAAAUAAUGAAGAUGGAGUUAAUGACUCUAGAGACCCACGUGAAGAUAACGAAUAUACGAGUAAAAUCGACUUUAAUCGAUAAAGUUAAAGCCGCUCAAACUACACACUCGGAGCUAGUGAAUACGAAGAAGAAGGUUCAAGAAGGCGUUAUUCUAGAAGCAAGAGUCGAUGAAGAGAGAAAAUCUCAAUCCUCGAUUUAAUUGGGCCAUUUGAAAUCCUCGAUGGAGUAGGAACUGUGGCCUAUAGACUUGUUUUACCGCCAAGUAUGUCGCGUGUUCAUAACAUUUUUCAUGUAUCGAUGUUACGUAAAUAUGUGGACGACCCGAACCACAUUAUUAAAUUGGAACUAGACGAGAUAGCAGAAGAUUUAACAUAUGAGGAUAUACGUGUUAAAAUCUUGGAUAAGAAGGAUCGUAUUCGACACUCAAAUUUUAUACCUCAAGAGUUAGAAUCUGAAAUAAAGUCAAGGUAUCCUUAUCUCUUCGGCAUACCAGGUACGUACUUAAAUUUUGAGGGCGAAAUUUCAUAAGAAGGGAAGAUUGUGAGAUCCCAAAUUUUAUGAAUAAAGAUUUAAAUUUCUUGAAAUAUAUUUUUUGAAUAUUACGGUGUGGAUUUGAUAUAAUGUUAUAGUUGUGGGUAAUAUUUAUAAAUUUUGCAAAGUAAGCAAGUUGUUAUAUAAUAUUCGUUUGGUCGGGGAAUAUUCUUUUUGUCGGGGAAUAUCCGAACGACGACACGAUUAUUGGUGGACCCCACAACGGAAGUAUUGUCGUAGUAAGAUAAUGACAAAAUUAUCUUUUUAUAAAAAUAACGGCGAAAGUGUUACCGUUAAAACUGUUGAACUACUCGGUAGUAAAAGUAUAGUAAUACGCGAGGUUGUAUAGUAGCACACGGUAUUGAUUAUUGAUGCUUACGUAAGAAGUUACUCAGUUAUACUCAAUUAUUGCUACAGUAAUUGUUGCAUCAUAUCUCUCAUAUUAUUGAUUCAAUUAUUGUCACAGUAUCAUCUGCAUAAUAUGUUAUAUUAUUAAAUCAAUAAUUGAGAUGACAAAGUUAUUCAUAUUAUUAUUUGCAAUAUUGACAAUGUCUAGAAGUUCUAUCAAUGAGAGGUUAGAUAAUCUAAUUGUGCGCCAAUAGGGAGAAAUCCUUAUCGGAAAGCCCCCUCUUUCCUGGGAACGACCUGGUUGUUAAAUAUUAUGAGUUAUAAUACUACUGAUGAAUAAGUUUGUGUUGAUUAAAGAUGAAAUUAAUAGUUCCAUUGUGUUGAGAUUAUUAGUGUUAGUGGAAAUUGACAUUUAUUUUGAUAAUAAUUGAUGUCUGGAAGUUAUAUUGACCAAUCGGGUAAUUAACCGGAUAAAUGAGUAAUUAAUUGCUAUUAACUCACAUGCUUAUAACUAUGUGUUCACAUGUGUGUACUAUUGAUUCACAUAAUUUACUAUUAGGGGAGUUGCUACAAGAUUGAUAAUACUUGCAUGACUAAAUUAAAAAUGGAGGUAUAGAUGAAGGUACUAUACUAUAAUUAAUUUUUUCACAUGUUUAGAACUUUUAAGUCACAUGAUUUACUAUUGAUUCACAUGAUUUACUAUUAGGGGAGGUGGUGCAAGUUUGAUAAUACUUGCAAUUAAAAAUGAAGAAAAAGAGGAAGGUAUUAUACUGUAAUAUUUUGAGCCCCAAAACGUAUAAUUAUUGAAACUAUAUUUUUCUAUAAAUAGAAGCUCAUUCUUCUUUCAUUAUCACCAAUUCACUAAGCUAUAGAGCAAUUAUUAUAGGGAGAAAUUAUAGAGAGAAAGAAGAAGAUAAGUCUACUACUUCACUAUUCCAGUAUCCAGUUUCUUCUAAGGUAAUGGGUAUUAUUUCUUUCGUAUUCAUGAAGAGAGUUAUUUCUUUCAAUACUCGUAAGGGUUGUUAUUCCAUUCUUUAUUAUUCUGUUGGAAUAACCUGUCUGUGCGGACUACACACGCCUGGUGAAUUCUUUUGUUAUUAUAUUCUUUAUUAUUCUGUUGGAAUAACUUGUCUGUGCGGACUACGCACGCCUGAUGAAUUCUUCUAUUAUUCCAUUCUUUACUAUUCUGUUGGAAUAACCUGUCUACGCGGACUACCACAUGAUUGGUGAAUUCUUCUGUUAUUCCAUUCUUUAUUAUUCUGUUGGAAUAACCUGUCUACGCGGACUACCGCAUGCAUGGUGAAUGACCCUUCGUAUUCAUUCUUUAUUAAAUUAUAGAAAUGAUCUGUCUACGUAGAUUACCGCAUGGCGGGUGAAAAUCUAUUUGCAGUUUCGUAUAUUCUAUUAUACUCGUAUGAGAUAUCAUUUCUUUUGUAUUUGUCAUGGAAUAUCAUUUUUUUUGGUAUUUUUCUUUUACGAGUUACUAUUCACGGGUUAGUAUUCACCUGGUUACUAUUCACUGUAGUAUUGUUCACUCGGGUAUUCGGGACACUUUUUGUGUCGGAGUACUAUUCAUGGGUUAUACUAUUCACGGGUUACUAUUCACCCGAUUACUAUUCACUCUAGUAUUAUUCACUCGGGUAUUUGGGACACUUUUUGUGUCGGGGUAUUAUUCACAGGGUACUAUUCUCGAAGUACUAUUCACGGAGUACUAUUCACCAAAAAAAUAUAUUUCUUUUCGAUCCAAAUCAUUUUUGGGUACAAUAUUAUUCUUGAAUUUUACUCCACAAAAUAGUAUCAUGUUGACAAAUUGGACGUUAUUGAUUCCUAGAUAAAUUAAAUUAUAAAUCUUUAAAAUUUAUCCUUGACUUGGUAUGAUUAUGACCAGGAAUUAUUCGGUAUAAUCAUGACCGUAAUGUGACGAAUGAUGUGGUGAAAGUCCUCAUUGGCCUGUAGUUAAUUGAUGGACAGUUGUUGGUAUGAUUAUGACCAGGGAUUAUUCGGUAUAAUCAUGACCAUUGAUGAUUACAUGAGUAUCCUUGGCCGUGAUGCAGGGAUGAUUCGAUUUUAUUUAUUAAGUUGAGUCUCAGCGAUAAAGUUGAUGAAAAACUUUUUAAAUCAUAGAAGAUAGUAGAUUUUAUGCUCUACUUGACUCUUCUAAUGGAUUGCUUAUUCCGCUGCAGUUGUUGAUCUAAAACUGUUGUCUAUUAUAUUCUAUCAGUUGUUAUACUGUUGAAGGCUAAGGAUAAUUUAUUCUGUAUUAUCUUAUUCAUAAUAUUUUUUGCUGGGCUAGUUGAGCUCACCCUUUCUUUCACUGUUCUCUUCAGGAAAUGAGAAUAUAGCUGGGACGAGUCGGGGAACGGAUUGACGGUCCAAAUGGUUGUUUUUGUAGUCCUCACUAUUCUGUGAAAUAAUGUGAUAAUAAUUGUAAUGAGGACUCCAUUGGGAGUGGAUAUUGUCUAGAAAGCAAUAUUCUUGUUUAAACUCUCAAUUAUGUUUUGUCGUAUAUUACCCGACAGUUGUAUAAUUAAGUUUGUAUUUGAUUUAUGUACCAUAUAUUUGGCGACUCAAGAUGGGUGAUGUAUACCUAUUUUGGGGCCGUCACAAAGCCCAUACACUCCCAUUUUAGAUCAUAGCUCCUAUGCCCAGACCCAUUAAGAGCAUACCCAGCCCCUACUAAUAUGCACAAUCUAAGCUCCCAUGAUCUAAAGCCCCUGACUUUGCAAAUAUAGAUCGAUAGAUAGAUUUUCGGGAAGGAUCACAUUUUGGUAGAUAGAUGGUUUAAUUUGUUUAACUAUUUAUUAUAAAAUUGAGUAUAAUUUAAUAUAAUUAAUUAUUUAGCUUACCUUCUCUCUCCUUGUCUGCAUUGACACAUAGAUUUAUUGAUUGCCACGUCCUUCUUCUGUUAAAUGGUUAACAGACAUAGACGACAAAAUUAAUUUUUGUAAAUAAAGUAUAGUUCAAUGAGUUGACCGUAAAAAAAUUUAGUUUAGUGAUGCAUUUGUAAACCGAUGUUGAGUAGAGUGGAGAAAAGUGUAUUUAAUCCGCUCCAAAAGUCACCACUUUACAAGUCUCGUCAACAAUCAGCACCAUGUAAACACUCACCCUCUUUGGUGAACUUGAAGAGUUUGAAAAUCAACUUAGGAGGUAUGAUGAUGAAAAUGAGGCACCAAUAAAGAAGACAUUGACACUUCAAGCUGAGAGUAACAAUGAAUGUGAUAACGAAGAUUUUGAUAAAGAAAUUGAAAUGCUCUCAAGAAACUUGAGAGACUAUUUCAAAAGAAAAUAAAAAAGGUAGCUCAACUCCAGUGGGUAAGUUCAAAACAGAACAAGAAGAAGAAAUUGUCCAACUCUAUUUCAUAGGACUAGAAGAUGAUGAUCAACUUGAGGUAACAAAUUUUCAUGAAGCUUUUGAAAUAUCUAUGCCUGAUUAUAUUGCUUUACAAAAUGAAAAUCAACAACUCAAAAAAAAAACUGUUUAUUUUAAGAAUUGCGUAAAUGCUAAUGAAUGAAGUUAAGUCAUUUAUUAAAGAGAGAAAAGAAAAUGAAUAUCUUAAAAAUGAAAAUGAAGUUUUAAAAGAAAAUUUAAAAAUGAGAGAUGAAUGCAUAAAUGCUUUUAAUGAUGGAAAAAUGAUGAAUGUGCAACAUGAUGAUAAUGUCACAAAUGCAAAAAUAACAUCUUUAAAAAAUGAUCUUGCUAAAUUUGUGCAAUGAGAAGAGAACCUAAAUGUUAUGUUAGGGGCACAAAGGUCUAGUCUUGAUAAAUAAGAAAUUGGGUAUAAUCCUAUUAAAAUGUGAAAAAUAGAACUAAUAAUAAUAUUAUAAUGAUUAAUAGAAAACCAAUGCAUAAACCACUUUAUUGUUCACCGUUUGUUACUUGUAAAAAAUAUGGUUUUAAAGGUCAUUUUAAAAUGUGGCUUUAUUAGAAUAAAGCAAAUUUGGGUAAAGAAAUGUGAUUUAUAUGCUACUAACCUAAUAGGACCCAAGAAGAUUUGGGUACCAAAAUGGUAGAGACUAUUUGUUCAUUUUGUAGAUGUCUCAAGGUCAAAAAGGAGACAGAUAAUACUUAUAAAUUAUUUGGCAAAAUUCGCAAGUACCUUAUUUUUUUAAAUAGAUUUUUAAUUAGAUAUAUUAUGAAAACUCUAUGGAUUUCGUAUCAUAUGGCUUCAUAACAUCAUUUAUUAUAAAGUUUUUAUUGUGCUAAAUGCUCCAUAUUUAAUACAAACGACAAUCUUGAUGAGGAAUAAGUGAAUAUUAUUUUUGAUGAACUUAACCAUGAUCUGUUAAAGGAAGAGAAUGAGGUUUCUGCUGGAAAUGACUAUCUGAAUUGUGGAACCCAAACAGUUCAAUCCGGAUAGUCUAAGCCGUCUCUAUCAGAAGGAAAGAUAGAUGAAAUCAGACAAUUUGACCCGUCUGUUUUAGAAGAAAACUCAAAUUUACAAACACCUAAAUCCAAACAGAUCGAGUCGUCUACUUUAGAAGACAAAACAUAUGAAUAUUCGGAUGCAGUAACUUAUAUUCCAGAGGAUGAAUCUCAAAAGCAAAUGACUACUGCCAGGCUUCCUAAAUCUUCUAGAACUAUGGGAAAUCAUCAUCCAAGUCUGAUCAUCAGAAAUUUCAACAUUAGGAUGUCCACAAGAAGAGGUUUUGAAGAAAUUUGUUUGCUACACUAAGGAGCUUAUCUAUUAAGCUUAUUGUUGGUAACAAAAUUGUGGAUAUAUAGGUAACAAAUCACAAAGGUAUGGUCAUUUUAUUUAAUUGCUAUAUGUGAUAUUGUUAUAAGCUUGCUCCCGUGUCUUUAUUUUAUGAAUUAUUUUUUGUUUGUCACAAAUGGGAUAGAGAUAUAACUAAAUUGAUGAUUUUUUUUUUUUUGAUAAUAACAAAGGGGAGAAAUGUUUAGAAAAAUUGAUGAUUAUGAUAUCUGAUGGUUAUAUUGAUUAUAAUAUGUUUAGAUUUUUUUGAUAUCAUAUUGAUGAUAAUGGUUGGAUAUUUUGAUUCAUUAUCUGUUAUAGCUUAUCAUUAUGCAUUAUUUAUCAUAACAGUUAUGUGAUCUUUAUAUCUCCUAUAGGCAUAAAUUUAUGGGGAGCAUGAUUGCAAGGAAUAAUAUAUUGUCAUCAUCAAAAAAGAGGGAAAUUGUUAGUUUUAUUAUUUGUGAUUUUAAUAAUGACAAUAUAUUUGUAAAUAUAAUUUAUUUAAUGUAUUGAAUUAAUUUUGUAAUGGUUUGUUGAAUAUGAUAUAUAGUAAGUUUGGUUCAUGAUAAUUUAAUUUGGUUAUAAUUCAAAUUGUUAUUACGUGCAGGAUUGAAUUGAAAUAUUUUCUUCCAGGUUGUUAUUUUGUUAAAACAGGUUGUUUCAAUUUUGAAUUGGAAUAUGUUAAGGAGUUUGUUUAGCAGUGUAAUCUAUCUAUUAAAUAUAUUAAAAUGCAGUACAUGAUAUCAUAGCUUGACAUAUGUCAUUCUCACAAUUCAACACGUGUCCUGUCUAAUUAAUAUUCCUUAAGACCCUUAACAAAAGUGCCCAGCUAACAUAACAAAUGAGGAUGAAAACAAACUUUAAUUCAUUCCCCUAAAUUUUAGAUUUAUAAUCCCCUAAAUCAUGCUACAAAUCUAAACUAUUUUGAUAAUAUCAACUGUUUUGAUAUUAUCCUUUGUAAUUUAAUUAUUAUUUAAUAAAAUUACUUUUUUAUGCUAUUAAUUAAUUUUUUAGAUUUAUAAUCUUCUAAAUAACUACAAAUCUAAACAGUUAAUAACAUAAUGUCAUUCUCUUAAUUUUUUAAAUUUACAAUCCUCUAAAUCACUACAAAUCUAAACUGUUUUGAUAAUAUCAACUGUUUUGAUAUUAUCCUUUGUAAUUUAAUUAUUAUUUAAUAAAAUCAUUACUUUAUCUCAACACCACCCCCUACAAUGUAUAUUCAUUUGUUUUUCUGUGUAAAAUUUGAUCAUCGCACAACAAUCUACCAUCUUCUUAUUAUAUUUUAAUUUAUUAAUUAUACAUACAUAUUUAUUGAAUAAUUCCGCCCGCAACGCACGAGUUUGUAUCUAGUGUGGUCUAAUUUGGAGUCUUUAAAUUAACUGGUUUAGAUAUUUGUGUAGAGUAUGGGCUCUAUCUACUCGUUAAUUUUAGCCUAUGUUGAUUACGUAUCUUUGAUUUUCUAAUUUUGAGAAUAUUUUAAGCUGUUAGCUAUAUCUAUAGUUCUGAAAUAUCAAAUUCUCGAAAUGAAAGACCAAGUCAUGCUAACCAUUUCAUAUAGUCGUUGGACUGAGUUCUAUAUAUUUUCUUCAUGUUUGUCUAUAGUGAGCAGGACUCUUGAAGCUUAUAGCAGCCAUAUUACACAGAUUAAUCAAGAGCUUUUCAAAGUUAUUUUCAGCUACUCAUUAUAUUGUUAAUUUAUUUCAGUUAAAAAUUAAGAGUCUAUUAUAAUCUAUAUUUAUUGUAUUAAAUUUUAGUUCAAGUCUUGUUUGGCUUGAUCGAUCCAAUAGUGGAUAGGUUUGUUCGAAGAAAACUUUUAAGGUUGCAGAGGUGCAAAUGUCUCAGUGGUGAGAAAGGUUGCAAUGAUGCAAAGGGGCAGAGGUGUUCAUCGCAGUGGAAAAUUUUAUUUGAACAGGGAGUUCUUUUUAUUAUACUUAAUGGAGUCUUAAAAGUUUAAUAAAAAGAGUCCAAUACCGGUUGGUUUUGAACGUGGAUUAAGCCGUUAGAGUUUAAGGGCAGAACCACGUAAAAAUUCUUGUCUGUGGUUUGUUAAUUCUUCUGGGUUGAUAAUUUAUUUCUCACGUUGCAUCUAAUCUCAUUCAUAUUACAUUUUAUUGUUGGUAGGAAAAGUAUACUAAUCUAGACACUAUCUUCUGUCUUUAUAACAAAAGUAAAAUUGACUCUAAAGCAGACACUUUUAUUUGUCUGUUUUAAGUUUAGCAGCAAGUUCAGCAGCAGGAAAAUAAAAUUAGUCAUUGUUAGUGUGCUUAUUUAUAGAAUUACAUCCACAUCUGUAAUUCUACUGAGAUUUAAUGAAUGUUUAUUUUGCCGAUUAAAAAACAAAGGAAAAAGAAUAAAAGUAAUAAGAUGUUCGAAACAUUUGAUUGUAUUAUUAUAUUUUUGUGAGCCAAGGUGAAAGCAAAGCCACCUAGUGGUAGUUGUUUUAUUUAUAAUAUGGUAAUAACAACCAUGAACUGAUAGUUGAUUUAUUUAUUAUAUGCUAAUAACAGCUAUCAGCUAGUGGUUGAUUUAUUUAUUAUAUUCUAAUAAACAGCCAUCAACUAGUAUAUAGUUUCUUGAUCAACUGUUCAUAGGAAGAUUACUGAUCGUUCAUUUAGGCGUUGGGGGGACUAAUUUGAACACCAUAGAUAACUAAACCCGUCUCCAUAGUCGUGUUUUCACUCCCGUCGAGAGCAAAUUUGAAAUCUCCAGAGUCAAAGCUAUUCAAGAAUUCCCCAGCUUUGAGUGAAAUCGGUGUGUUCCUCGGACAAUCCAUCAACCUAUAUCCAUUCACUUGCGUGGACCCAUCCGGAGGAGUAAGUGUAAGACUCACCGGACUUUCUAUGUUAAGGUUGUCUUUCAGCAGCACCACAAAAGACACCUCAUAAGUUCAUUUUUCAAGAGUUUCUGUCGGAUAUUUUCCAUCAACAUGUAGGACUAAGCUACCAAUUAAUUCAGCACUGGCAUCACUGAAAAAAAAUGAUAGUAGAAUUAAAGUCAGAAACUUUUGAUAUAAGGAGCUUAAAUUCAUUAAGGUGAUUUUAUUGAUUUUUUUUUCUGGAAAAUUUUUAAUGUUAAGUCCUUCUAUCUGACUAGAGUCUAGACUUCAAUAAAAUUUCUAUAGUCCUUCUAUCACUUUAAUUUAAUGACAUAGUUGCUUAUAUAUCCCUAUUUUUAACUGAAUAAAAUUCAGGUGUUUAAACACAAAUCUUGACCUUUGACAUCAAUUAAGUUAACUAAGUCUUAUUUCUACUUACGUAAACUUCCAGCCUGAAGGGUUGGCAUAAUUGAGUUCCUUUGCAUGCACAAAAGCCCAACUGCUCUGAAUAAGUCAACAGAAAUUUACAUUAUUAUAUGGAUAGAUAAGGCAAACCAGCGGUGACCAAUAAAUGAUAUGUCGAUGCCUUUAUAAAUAUAUAUAUAUAUAUAUAUAUAUAUAUAUAUAUAUAUAGAAUAUUGACGGUUGACAUUGUCAAAAUAACAAUUAUAAAAGUGUUGCCAAAUGUAUAUUUACUCUGAUAGCGAUGACAUUAUCAACCACCUAUAUAUAAAUAGCAAAUGUUUCAUAGCAAAAGUUUAUUACAGAAUAUGUAUCACUCAAACCAUCUUAUAUCAAUCAUGCAUUACAACAUCAGAUAGAUGAGAUCUUAAAAUUUUUGAACACUCCGCGACAUUAUGUUGCAAAUGGUACCAAAUUUUAAAAAUCCCAAAGGUGUAAGAUGGUCUAAAUUUUGCAAAAAUGUAUCACUUGCAAAAUUUACAAAUAUUAAGGAUUAUUUUUGUUCUGUAGACAACUUUAGUGUGUAUAUAUAUUUGAUGUUUGUUUCCAAUUUCAGUGGACUUACCUUCUGGCCCGGGUCCUUUUUGAGCAACGCAUUUUCCUUAGCUUGAGACAACAAUGUCUUGAGGUCAACCUUGUGAUACCUCACUACUUGUGCCAUUUCGCCUUUAAUUCUGCUAUAUAUAUUUUUUGUUUUUGUUCUUGAUGUCUAUAUAUCUCUCUUCCAAAGGCUAGCUCUAUUUAUAGAUAGCACAAAAGAGGGUAUAUUCAAUAAUAACCUAUCUUCAAAUAUUCCUUCCUUUUUCACAGUGGGGAUCCUGAUAAGUUUAACAUCAUCAUCAUCAUCGCCAAGGAUAUAGAGCAUCAGAUUCUGUUUAAUAAUUUUGUUGGAAUAUUUCUUUUCCAUUUCUCAGUUCAAUAAUUCUUUCUUUAGCUUGUUGCGCUGGCAAAAUUCGAUGAAGGCGAAAGGUACGUAGGCAUUCAAGUAAGUGAUGAUUUUCUUCUAACCAGAAGUAUGAGCAGGUUGAUGAUACAUAUGUCAUGCCAACAUAACAAACUUUAGAGGAGCCGAGUUCGAAAAAGAGAGGGUACUGGUAUAAUUGCCUUAAUUCGAUCUUAUCACCCAAGCACGGGUGCCAUCUAUUUUGGUUCAAUAUAAUGGAGUAUAUAUUCAAAUCAACAAAACAAGGCAAGAACAAAAAAUAAAUUUAAAGUGCAUAUUUUAAUAGGAAUAUCUAUUAAUAUAUAUAGGUAUGUUACUCAAAUAUCUAUACCAUCUAUACCAAUUUAUAGCAAGAUAAAUACGAGUUAUUUAAGUUGGUCUUGAGCCAAUUUAGUAAUCCAAUUUUGGUGACUCCGUAACUCAAAAUGUUUUUUUUUUGUUUUUUUGUUUGAUUUUUAUGUAUUCUUGGUCAUAAAUUUUGAUAUUCCCAAAAGUCAACUAAAACACUCAAAAGUUAUAUAUUUUCACAAAAUUUUAGUACACAUUUAUUAUUAAAGAUGGAAUAUAUUAUCUAUCAUUAAGAAUUGAGUAAAUAUAUAAAAAUAAAAUAAAAUUAAUGAAAUAACUUUUGAGCUAUCAAGUCAUCAAAUUUGGAGAGCUGAGUUGACUUGAGUUAUAUUAAAAUGUCAUUCAAAAAUAUUAUAUAUAUAAUUUACCAAAUAAAUCGUUUUUAAACUUAUCCGUACUUCGUACGGAUUAUUAAUUUUGUUUGUAUUAAAAGUAGAAGUAUAAGCAUCUCGCAGGCCAAAAAUAAAAAAAGAAAAAAAAAAAGAAAAGAAGAGCAAGACUACUUCUUUUUCUUCCUUUUUAUCUCCUUUCUUUCUUUGUUUCUUUUUAGACGGAGGACUUCAUUUCAUCUUUGAAAAUAAACAUAAGAAUUUAUCAAAGGAAAUACAAGAUAGACGAUACAAAUAUUGAGAUCUAAUGGAACUUUUGUUGUCUAAUUAUUAUUAUUUUUUAUUUUCAAAUAUACGCAUACAUGAUAAAGAUUCACAAUUAUAUAUAAUAGGCUAAAAUCAACAAUCCGCUAAAAAAUUUGCGGUCUGUCAAAAUGUUUAGUUGUCGAGCUAGUAUAAAUUACCGUCUACCAAAUCGUUAUUAGUUAACAAACUAGUGUAAAAAUUUCACUUUGGAAGCUAAUAUAAACUAUCAUCUAUCAAAUUGUUAUUAAAUGGGGAGCUACGAAUGUAAACUAUCGUCUAACAAACUUUAUUAGCUGAUGAGCUAGUGUAAAAUAUCAUUUAUCAAACUGUUAGAUAGAGUGUUGGUUACAGUUAAAUGUGUCUUUGGAUCAAUUCCUAUACAGUCCGCUUCUCCAACGGACCGGUUUGUCAGCGAACCAACUAUAGUGACGGUUCAAUCCGUCGUUAUAGCAUAGAAAAAUGUUAACGCCAAGAUUCGUCCACGUGCAAAAACGAAAUCACACAGAGGAACUUGUCGGCUUGGGCCGCCAGGGGAUAGCUCUGGUAUAAGAAUAAGUACUGACUGAAUAAAGUUAACAAUGGAGGCUUAUAAUUUUAGUGCUGAAAAAAUAAUAAGAUAUUGUGUGCAUGUGAACCAGGGUAUAUAUAGCCUUGUAUUUAUAGUGAUCACACCUCUUUAAAACGCAUCAUCUCGUAUAGGAGUAGAAUUCCUCAUUAAGAUGGAUACCUUAAUGGGACAUGAUUGAAUCUCCUUAAAAAAAGAAAGUCGGAUACUAUCCUGACUCUUUCCUUAGAAGUUAGAAAUUAAAUAUAAUUAGGAAUCCUAGAUUCCUUAAAAUUCUCCCACUGCCCGUGGGGAGACUUCCUCCACGUGGACUAUGGCCCACCGAAUUCUGUGGUCCCAAAUAAUCAUGUUCCAACAUUGUCCCCCAUUGUAAUACCUAGAAAAAUAAUUAAAAAAAUAAAAAACAUUUAAGUUUAUAUUUUAAAAUAUAUUAGUUGGAUUUUAUUAUUUAUUUGGGUCAAAGUGGUCAUUAAUUUAUGUGGGCUAAUAAAUAUUAAUAAAUUAGGGAUAAAUUAAUUUGAUAAAAUUGAGCCUUAAAACUAAUUGGGUCUAAUUUAUAUUUGUGUAAUAAUAAAUCUUAUUAAAAUUUUAUUAAAAUUAAAAGAAUUAAUAAAACAUAUUAAUUAAUGAAUAAAUAACAAACCUAAUCUUACUUUUAUUAUACAAACUGAGGGAAAGAAAAAGAAGAGAAGUAGGUGAGGCGACUUAAGAGUGAAGAAUGAAAAUUUGUCACUCUUGAUAUUUGGCAAGACACAUUUAGUAAGUUGUUACUAUUUGUUUUUUAAAUUGUUAGAUCCAUCAUGUAGAAAGCCAGUGAUUCAUAAGAAAGUUAAAAUACAUUAUAUAUGAAGUAUACUUUUAGAAGUUUGAUACAUUAUUGGUUAAUGUGGAUAGCCUUUAAGGCAGAGUAUCCAUGUGAAUUGGAUAUCGUGAAUGGCAUACUAAAAUAAUAUACGCUUAGUAUAUGGCGUGAAUCAGAUAAGAUCAAAAGGUAUUUACUGAUUAAAUGUAUCUGAAUAUAUCUAAAUAUAUCUGAAUGUAUCUGAAUUGUAUGUUCUCCAAAAUCCUAGCACCCAUAUUUAUAGGCCAUAGAAAAAUCCAUAACCAAUUAAAUAGGAUUUUUAAUAUAAAAUUGAGUAUAGAUAGAAACGAUAACUUUUCUAAAACAGAUUCUAGGUAAUACCUAAACCCAAAUCCAAUAAGGAUUCAUGUUAUACCCAACAAAUGUCCACCUUGACUUGAAUCCUCCGAAUAUUGCACAAACAGUAAACUUUUUCCUCUUCUCAAAAUGCACAACUCAAGUGCAUCGAACACUAACCACGUCCAAGCAAUGUUUGAACUUGGUAUGUGUUAACGGCUUCGUUAACAUGUCAUAUGGAUUUUCUGCUGUACCAAUCUUCAAGACCUUAUUGUCACCAUCUUCAACAAUGUCUCGAACAAAAUGAUACCUGACAUCAAUAUGUUUCCCCCGAGGACAAUACUCACAGAAGUCAAACUUUAUUAUUUUUUGUAUAGACAACUCGCUAGAUUUCUUCGUCUCCUAAUCCGUAUCAGACAUAUCUACAGGCUUCAUUGGCUUCCCUACAAUGGCUUUCUUCAAGCCUUGCUGAGUAAAAACAGCCUUCAUCCGAACCUGCCAAAGACUGAAACUAAUUUUCCCAUCGAAUUUGUCAAUAGAAAAUUUUGUUGAUGAAGUCGAACUCAACGUCAUAGUAUAUAUCGAUAAUAACCAAGCUCUGAUACCAAUUUAUUAUGACAAACUAUGACAAACACAAUAAAUCAAUGCAGAAAGAUAAAGACAAUAACACAAGGUUUUACAUGAAAACUCAAAUUGGAAAAAAACUACGGAGAAGGCAAAAGAAAUCCACUAAAUAAAUAUCUGAAGAGUACAAGAUAAAAAAAGAGAAUACUAAAUUGAGUAUAGGUAAAAAAGAUAACUUUUCUAAACCAAAACAGAUUCUAGGUAAUACCUAAAUCCAAAUUCAAUAAGGAUUCAUGUUAUACCCAACAAAUCUCCACCUUGACUUGAUCAUUCCUCCAAAUAUUGCACAAAUAUUGAACUUUCUCUUCUUCUCAAAAUGCACAACUCAAGUGCAUCGAACACUAACCACAUCCAAGCAAUGUUUGAACUUGGUAUGUGUUAAUGGCUUCGUUAACAUGUCAUCUGGAUUGUCUACAGUACCAAUCUUCAAGAUAUUAAUGUUACCAUCUUCAACAAUUUCUUGAAAAAAAUGAUACCUGACAUCAAUAUGUUUUCCCCGGGACAAUGCUCACAGAAGUACAACUUUCUUACUUUCUGUCCAGAUAACUCGCUAGUUUUCUUCGUCUCCCAAUCCGUAUCAGAGAUAUUUACAGGAUUUAUUAGUUUCCAUACAAUGGCUUUCUUCAAGCCUUACUGAGUAAAAACAGCCUUCAUCCGAACCUACCAAAGACUGAAACUAAUAUUCCCAUCGAAUUUGUCAAUAUCAAAUUUCGUUGAUGAACUCGAACUCAACGCCAUAGUUUGGAUCGAUAAUAACCAAGCUUUGAUGUGACGCCCCCAAAACAGGUAUACAUCACCCAUCUUGGGUCGUCAAAUACAUGGUACAUAAUACAACUACAAACUUCUUUUAUACAACUGUCGUGUAAAAUACGACAAAACAUAGCUGAGAGCUCUCAAUGGAGUCCUCAGUACAUUUAUUAUCACACUAUUUCACAGAAUAGUGAGGACUACUAAAACAACCAUCUGGACCGUCAAUCCGUUUCCCAAUCAGUCCCAGCUAUAUUCUCAUUUCCUGAAGAGAACAGUGAAAGAAAAUGAUGAGCUCAACUAGCCCAGUAAGAAAUAUUAUGACUAAGAUAAUGCAGAAUAAAUUAUCCUUAGCCUUCAACAGUAUAACAACUGAUAGAAUACAAUAGACAACAAGUUCUAGAUCAACAAAUACAGCGGAAUAAGCAAUCCAUUAGAAAAGUCAAGUAGAACAUAAUGUCUACAAUCUUCUAUGAUUAAAAAGUUUAUCAUCAAUUUUAUCGCUGUAAUACCCAUCAACAGUUCUUUAUACCAAAGACAAAGAGAACUUUCAUCACCUGUCUUCACCUGAACCACCAAAGAUUUUAUUUAAAUUCACAAUUCAUGUUUAUAAUAAUGUGAAUCAACAGUUCCUCCCUGCCACAAAGGCUUAAUAGAACGUUUACUCAAUAUCCUUACCCAAAGGAUAAAGAUAUUCAAAUGUAAUAACAAUGAUCAUACCAAUCAGUUGUCUAUCUUUGCACUACGGGCCAAAGAUAUUCAACUAUAAAACCAUUAGUCAUGAUCAUACCAAUCAAUUGCAUGUCGGUGCACUACGACCAAAGACAUUCAACUGUUAACUAAUGAUCAUGAUCCUGCCAAUCACAUCAUCGAAUUAUCCCUGCACUACGGCCAAGGAUAUUCUUUAGUAUCACCAGUGGUCAUGAUCAUGUCAUACAGCUGUCCAUCUUUGCACUACGGGCCAAAGCUAUCAAUCAAUAGUUCAUCUUUGGAUUACGACCAAAGAUAUCAAUCAACAGUUCUUCUUUGCACUACAGGCCAAAGUCAUACAACUGUAAAACCAAUAACCAACAGUCCAUCUAUGCACUACGGGCCAAAGAUGACUUUUAACGCAAUAUAAGCAUGAGGAUCAUGACAAUGAUAUAAAGAAUCAGUCAAAUGAGAUAAAGGAUAAAUAUUAAACAUUUAUAAUAUAAUUUAUCCAGAGUUCAAGAAUAUCCAAAUGUUAUCAAUCACUUAAUAAUCUCAUAAUCUAAUAUCAUUAAUAUUAUAACAAUAUUUUAAUCAUUUCUUAAACUUAAUUAUAAACAAUUUAUUUUAAUUGUUUACACUUUACUAAUUAAUGCAUUUAAUCAGCCUAAAAUGCCAAACUCAUAAGAUUUCAUCACCAAUAACCAAAACUCUCAUAAAAAAUCUGCAUAUACCUUAUAUAGGAUUUUCAAGCCAUAAAAUCCUAUUUAUCAAUUUUUUAACUUCACAUAACUUAUUUAAUUUAUAUGUUCGUAACUAAACUAUUUUCAUGAAAAAUAUCAAAUCAGUCUAAAAAAGUUUUCUUUUCUGAGAUUUAGCAGAAUAUAGUCCCAUAUUGAACAUAUAUUUUUCUCGAAAUUUUUAAAAUUCAUUUACUAUUUUUCAUAUGGCCAAAAUUACCGAAUAUUUAAACAUUUAUCAUAAACUAUACUUUUGUCCAAAAAUUCCAAAAUUUACAGGGUAUACUCCUUUGAUAUAUAUGUACGCCCAAUAAAUUUUUUAUCAAUUUUGGAGUUAACCACAAGGAUUUAUAAAGGUUUACUUUUAAAAUAGUCUUUUCCCAUAAAAUUCAUAACUUCUAAUCUAUACAUCCAAAAAUCACCAUUUUUGGACACAAUCUAGAAAACUCAUCAAAUUAUCAUUUCAAAUUUUUCCAGAAUUUUUGACGGUUAGAAAAAUUACGAAACUGCAAAUGGAUUUUCACCCACCAUGCGGUAAUCCACGUAGACAGAUCAUUUCCACAAUUUAAUAAAGAAUGAAUACGAAGGGUAAUUCACCAUGCAUGCGGUAGUCUGCGUAGACAGGUUAUUCCAACAGAAUAAUAAAGAAUGGAAUAACAGAAGAAUUCACCAUGCAUGCGGUAGUCCGCGUAAACAGGUUAUUAAUUCCAAUAGAAUAAUAAAAAAUGGAAUAACAGAAGAAUUCACCAUGCAUGCGGUAGUCCGCGUAGACAUGUUAUUCCAAUAGAAUUAUAAAGAAUGGAACAACAGAAGAAUUCACCAUGCAUACGGUACUCCGCGUAGACAGGUUAUUCCAACAGAAUAAUAAAGAAUGGAAUAGCAAAAGAAUUCACCAUGCAUGCGGCAGUACGCGUAGACAAUUUAUUCCAACAGAAUAAUAAAGAAUGGAAUAACAACCCUUACGAGUAUUAAAAGAAAAUAACUCUUUUCAUGAAUACGAAAGAAAUAAUACCCCUUACCUUAGAAGAAAACUGGAUAAUAGUAAGGUAGCAGACUUCUCUUCUUCUUUCUCUCUAUAAUUUCUCUAUAUAAUAAUUGCUCUUGUGAGACUUAGUGAAUUAGUGAGAAAUGAAGGAAGAAUGAGCUUCUAUUUAUAGGAAAAUAUAGUUUCAAUAAUUGCACAUUUUGUGGCUUGAAAUAUUACAGUAUAAUACCUUCCUUUUUUUCUUCAUUUUAAUUUAGUCCUACAAGUAUUAUCAAACUUGCACCACCUCCCUAAUAGUAAAUCAUGUGAAUUAAUAGUUCAUUCAUGUGACUCAAUAGUAUAAUCAUGUGAAAAAAAAACUAAUUAUAGUAUAGUACCUCCAUCUAUACCUCCAUUUUUAAUUUAGUCAUGCAAGUAUUAUCAAUCUUGCACCACCUCCCCUAAUAGUACUUGCAUGUGAAUCAAUAGUACACACAUGUGAACAAAUAGUUAUAAGCAUGUGAAUUAAUAGCAAUUAAUUGCUCAUUUAUCCGAUUAAUAAUCCGAUUGGUCAAUAUAACAUCCAGACAUCAAUUAUUAUCGAAAUAAUUGUCGAUUUCCACUAACACUAACAAUCCCAACACAAUGGAAAUAUUUUUAUCAACAAAUUUAUUUUUGAAAUUUUGAAGUUUGACUUUUUCUGCAAAAGUCAAAUGUUGACUUUUUGACCAAAAAGUCAACCCCAGUAAAUUUUGUGUUUAUAGUCUAUUUUUACUAAUUUUAUCGUUCUGGACUCAAAUAUCACGUUCGCGUCUCCAAAUUUAAUUCUGAACUCAAAUUCUAGUUUUUAAUAACAUUCAUAAUUAAUAUUAUAACUCACAAUAUUAACAACCAGAUCGUUCCCAAGAAAGAGGGGGCUUUCCGAUAAGGAUUUCUCCCUAUUAGCGCGCAAUUAUAUUACCUAUCCUCUCCUUGACAGAACUUCUAGACAUCGUCAAUAUUGCAAAUAAUAAUAUGAAUAACUUUGACGUCUCAAUUAUUGAUUUAAUAAUAUAAAAUAUUAUACAUAUGAUACUGUGACAAUAAUUGAAUCAAUAAUAUGAGAGAUAUGAUGCAGCAAUUACUGUAGCAAUAAUUGAGUUUAACUAAGUGACUUCUUACAUAAGCAUCAAUAAUCAAUACCAUAUGGUACUAUGCAACCACGCGUAUUACUGUAUUUUUACCACCAAUUAUUAUAUGACAACUUACUUACUUUGAAAAAUUUUCACAUAUCACCCUUAACUUUAACAUUUUAUCAAUUUAACUAUUUACUAAAUAGAAUAAUAAUUAUAAAAAUUGAAUACUUUCAUUUCGUAAAAUUCGGGGUCUUACAAUCUCAUCUCCUUAUGAAAUUUUGUCCUCGAAAUUUACGUACCUAGUAGUUCGAAGAGAUGAGAAUACCUUGCUUUCUUUUUCGUUUUGUACCUUCCCGGUUAUUUCCUCUCUAUCAUGAUUUUCCCAUUUCUCAUCUCCUGUAUUUCAGAUAUCAUUCUAGAAUAUAGAUUCAAAAUAAGGGUUAAUUAACAUGCCACAUAUUAUCUCUAUAUUCUGACCAACCAAUUAAAUAACAAAUAAACUUAGGUAGGUCAUACUAGCGAAUGAAUUACCCGUCUCUCCCCUCCUAGUUCUAGCCUCACAUCUUAGCCAGGGAUCAUAUCCCUAAGCUUUGAUACUAAUUGUGACGCCCCCAAAACAGGUAUACAUCACCUAUUUUGAGUCGCCAAAUAUAUGGUACAUAAUACAACUACAAACUUCUUUUAUACAAUUGUCGUGUAAAAUACGACAAAACAUAGCUGAGAGUUUAAACAAGAAUAUUGCCUUCUAGACAAUAUCCACUCUCAAUGGAGUUCUCAUUACAUUUAUUAUCACACAAUUUCACAGAAUAGUGAGGACUACUAAAACAACCAUCUGGACCGUCAAUCUGUUUCCCGACCAGUCCCAGCUAUAUUCUCAUUUCCUGAAGAGAACAGUGAAAGAAAAGGGUGAGCUCAACUAGCCCAGUAAGAAAUAUUAUGACUAAGAUAAUGCAGAAUAAAUUAUUCUUAGCCUUCAACAGUAUAACAACUGAUAGAAUACAAUAGACAACAAGUUUUAGAUCAACAACUGCAGCGGAAUAAGCAAUCCAUUAGAAGAGUCAAGUAGAACAUAAUGUCUACUAUCUUCUAUGAUUAAAAAGUUUAUCAUCAAUUUUAUCGCUGUAAUAUCCAUCAACAGUUCUUUAUUAUACCAAAGACAAAGAGAACUUUCAUCACCUGUCUUCACCUGAACCACCAAAGAUUUUAUUUAAAUUCACAAUUCAUGUUUAUAAUAAUGUGAAUCAACAGUUCGUCCUUGCCACAAAGGAUUAAUAGAACGUUUACUCAAUAUCCUUACCCAUAAGGAUAAAGAUAUUCAAAUGUAAUAACAAUGAUCAUACCAAUCAGUUGUCUAUCUUUGCACUACGGGCCAAAGAUAUUCAACUAUAAAACCAAUGGUCAUGAUCAUACCAAUCAAUUGUAUGUCAGUGCACUACGGCCAAAGACAUUCAAUUUUUACCUAAUGGUCAUGAUCCUGCCACUCACAUCAUCGAAUUAUCCCUGCACUACGGCCAAGGAUAUUCUUUAGUAUCACCAGUGGUCAUGAUCAUGUCAUACACCUGUCCAUCUUUGCACUACGGGCCAAAGCUAUCAAUCAACAGUUCAUCUUUGGAUUACGACCAAAGAUAUCAAUUAACAGUUCUUCUUUGCACUACAGGUCAAAGACAUACAACUUUAAAACCAAUAUCCAACAGUCCAUCUAUGCACUACGGACCAAAGAUGACUUUUAACGCAAUAUAAGCAUGAGGAUCAUGACAAUGAUAUAAAGAAUCAGUCAAAUGAGAUAAAGGAUAAUUAUUAAAUAUUUAUAAUAUAAUUUAUCCAGAGUUCAAGAAUAUCUAAAUGUUAUCAAUCACUUAAUAAUCUCAUAAUCUAAUAACGUCCAAGUUGUCAACAUGAUACUUCUUUGUAGAGUAAAAUUCAAGAAUGCUCAGAAGAAUAUUUUCAUGAAAACAUACUAGAUGAAGCGCAAAUAUUAAGGAUAUUCCACUAAUUUCAUGGAGUAUAGAAGUCAAAACUUUAACCAAUGGAGUAUAAUAAAGAAUGAAAUAACAAAAAAAAUCACCAUGCAUGCGGUACUUCGCAUAAACAGGUAAUUCCAACAGAAUAAUAAUAACGGAACCAGGUCAGGCAUAAUACGCACCGACAGGAUAUUCUAACAGAAUAAUAAAGAAUGGAAUAACAACAAAAAUCACCAUGCAUGCGGUACGUCGCAUAGACAGGUUAUUCCAACAGAAUAACAAAUAAUGGAACCAGGUCUGACGUAAAACGCACAGACAGGAUAUUCCAACAGAAUAAUAAAGACGAAACCAGGUUCGACGUAAAACGCACAGACAAGAUAUUCCAACAAAAUAAUAAAGACGGAACCAGGUCUGACAUAAAAUGCACAGACAAGAUAUUCAAACAGAAUAAUAAAGAAUGGAAUAAUAACAGAAUUUCACCAUGUAUGCGGUACUUCGCAUAGACAUGUUAUUCCAGCAGAAUAAUAAAUAAUGGAAUAACAAAAGAAUUUCACCAAGUAUAGGGUAGUCCGCGUAUACAGGUUAUUCCAACAGAAUAAUAAAGAAUGGAAUAAUAGAAGUUCUCUUCAUGAAUACAAAAGAAAUAAUACCCCUUACAGGUACAACAAAUAAUAUCCCUUACCGUAAAAGAAACUUGAUAUCGGAGUAGUGAAGUAGCAGAAUACUUUUCUUCUUUCUCUCUAUAGUUUCUNNNNNNNNNNNNNNNNNNNNNNNNNNNNNNNNNNNNNNNNNNNNNNNNNNNNNNNNNNNNNNNNNNNNNNNNNNNNNNNNNNNNNNNNNNNNNNNNNNNNUAACUUUAUAAAAGUAUUCUGUUUUAUAUAAAAAGAUUUUACUAUUAGCCUAAUAAAACGAAUAACUUUAUAAAAGUAUUCUGUUUUAUAUAAAAAAAAAUUCUAUUUUAUUACAUUAAUAAUACUAAUAAAACAAAACUUAUAUAUAUAUAAUAUAUAUAACAAUCAACAAUAAUUGAAUCAAAUAACGUGAGAUACUAUGCAGCAACUACUGUAGCAAUAAUUGAACAAAACUGAGUGACUUCUCACGUAAACAUCAAUAAUUAAUAUCGUGUGCUACUAUGCAACCACGCGUAUUACUGUACUUUUACUACCGAGUAGUUCAACAGGUUUAAUGGUAAAACUUCCGCUGUUAUUUUCAUAAAAAUAUUUUUGUCGUUUUCUCAAUCCGACAAUAAUUCUGUUGUGGGGUCCACCAAUGAUUGUGCCGUCGUACGAAUAUUCCCUGUUAAAACAAAUAUUUCCCGACCAAUCGAAUAUUAUAUAACAACUUGCAUACUUUGCAAAAUUUAUAAAUACUACCCACAACUAUAACAUUAUCUCAAAUUCACACCAUAAUAUUCAAAAAAAUAUUUCGAGAAAAUUAAAUCUUUAUUCGUAAAAUUUGGGAUUUUACAUUGUCGGCUCACAAUCUCCAGAAGACUAAAAGCCUCCUAUAAUUUUUCAUUAUAAUGUGUUUUUACCCGGAGAUAACUUAACGAAAGAGCCAGCCAUAGUUCAGAAUACAUGGAUCAAUGAUAUUGGAUGGGGGAAGAAGGAAAGAUGCCCUGACCAUCGAUCCACUAACAUUGUGAAAUGUACAUUAUAUACAUUCUCCUUGCUAGCUUUUGUUGGUAACCAAACCUUCACACCAAGGUAACCAAACUGUCAUACCAAGGUAACCAAUCCACACCUCCAUACCAAGGUAACCAAACCUUCAUACCAAGGUAACCAAUCCACACCUGUAGUUUUUUCAUAAUGCAGUUGGUAACCAAACUUUCAUCUCAAGGUUACCAAACCUGCAGUUUUUUUAUAGUGCAGUUGGUAACAAAACUUUCAUACCAAGGUUAUCAAUCCACCUCCACACCUUCAGUUUUUCAUAGUGCAGUUGGUAACUAAACCUCCAUACCAAGGUAACCAAUCCACACUUGCAGUUUUUUCAUAGUGCAGUUGGUGACCAAAUAAACUAUCAUACCAAGGUUACCAAACCUGCAUACCAAGGUUACCAAUCCACCUCCACACCUGCAGUUUUUUCAUAGUUCAGUUGGUAACCAAACUUUCAUACCAAAGUAACUAAACUGUCAUACCAAGGUAACCAAUCCACUUCCACACCUUCAGUUUUUUCAUAGUGCAGUUGGUAACCAAACCUUCACACCAAGGUAACCAAACCUUCAUACCAAGGUAACAAACCUUCAUACCAAGGUAAUCAAACCACAUCCACACCUGCAGUUUGUUCAUAGUGCAGUAAUUGGUAGCCAAACAUUCAUACUAAGGUAACCAAUUCAGUGUUAUUAGGUUACCAAUUUAUUUUGAAUGUGAUGCAGUUGGUAGCCAAACCUUUAUGCAGUGGGUAGCCAAACAUUCAUACCAAGGUAACCAAUUCAGUUUUAUUAAGUUACUAAUUUAUUUUGAAUGUGAUGCAGUUGGUAGCCAAACCUUCAUGCAGUUGGUUGCCAAACUUUCAGUCCAAGGUAACCAAUUCAUACUGUAGGCGUUGAUGUAGAUUGGUUACCUUAGUAUAAAGGUUUGGUUACCUUGGUAUAAAAGUUUGGUUACCUUGGUACGAAGGUUUGGUUAUCAACAUUACAUUACACAUCACUCUCUUAUCUCUCUCUUUUCUAUUCAGAAAAUAAUUUUUUUUUAUAAAACUAGAACUGAAGGUGUUCCAGUACUAUUAUUAAGUAGCUAGCUAGCUUAUUACAUGAUGACACCAAUUAUGCCUUUAUCUCCGUUCAUGUCAUGAACUCUAAUUGCUCUCUGGUGCCAUGACAUUACUAAUGAUCUUCUCCUCUGCAGUAUCUCGUGAAUUUUCUUUUCUUACCGGAAAACGGUUGCUCCCGCCACCACUGCCCCACCCUCCACCUCCACCGUCUCUGUAACCACCACCUGAGCCACCACCGCCAACUCCNNNNNNNNNNNNNNNNNNNNNNNNNNNNNNNNNNNNNNNNNNNNNNNNNNNNNNNNNNNNNNNNNNNNNNNNNNNNNNNNNNNNNNNNNNNNNNNNNNNNNNNNNNNNNNNNNNNNNNNNNNNNNNNNNNNNNNNNNNNNNNNNNNNNNNNNNNNNNNNNNNNNNNNNNNNNNNNNNNNNNNNNNNNNNNNNNNNNNNNNNNNNNNNNNNNNNNNNNNNNNNNNNNNNNNNNNNNNNNNNNNNNNNNNNNNNNNNNNNNNNNNNNNNNNNNNNNNNNNNNNNNNNNNNNNNNNNNNNNNNNNNNNNNNNNNNNNNNNNNNNNNNNNNNNNNNNNNNNNNNNNNNNNNNNNNNNNNNNNNNNNNNNNNNNNNNNNNNNNNNNNNNNNNNNNNNNNNNNNNNNNNNNNNNNNNNNNNNNNNNNNNNNNNNNNNNNNNNNNNNNNNNNNNNNNNNNNNNNNNNNNNNNNNNNNNNNNNNNNNNNNNNNNNNNNNNNNNNNNNNNNNNNNNNNNNNNNNNNNNNNNNNNNNNNNNNNNNNNNNNNNNNNNNNNNNNNNNNNNNNNNNNNNNNNNNNNNNNNNNNNNNNNNNNNNNNNAGAGUGUUGGGAGAUAGCAUUAGAUAUACAUAAUAUUUUUACAUAUUUACUAAUACACAAAAUCAUUUUCUAAUUUCUCUUUCAUCUUUCAUUCUAAACUAGCUAUCAAAGCAAAACAAAAAAGAGAGAGGGAGAGCAUAGAUUUGAUAGCCUUAAGGAGGUAAAGGGGAAGAAUUUUAAUCUUCAUGCACCCUAAGUUCAUCAAUUACUUUGGUAAAAGAAGAAGAACAUCCCAAAGAACAAGGUAAAGACCCUAAAAAAUUUCAAGUUUUGUUACUUUCUUUUGAUAAGUUUUGAUGAAAUAAAGAGCUUGUGUUCUUGAACUUUAAAACUCUUGAUCUACAUGUGUAUGCUUUUUUCACAUGUAGGUCUAGUUAUUUUUGAAGUUAAAAGUUUUUAAAAAAAAGAAAAAAGAAGAAGAAAUGAAAGUAUGUUCAAAAGGGGCUAAACACCCUAAAUUAACUAUUUUUUUUAUUUAGUUUUUUUUGAUGAAAUGUAAAGAUGAUGUUUCUAAGUUCUAAAAUUUUUUAUCUUUAUGUUUUCUAGUGUUUCAUAUAAAGAUCUAACCAUUUUUUAUGUUAAAGGUUUGAUCAAAGGUAAGGAAAGGAAACUAGUUUUUUUUUAACGAAUAAAAACCCUAAAACUUUUUAUUCACUUUGAAAUGCUAUCAUUUAAAAUCUACAUCUCCUAUUUAUGAUCCGUCAAAGAUGGGUGCUAGAUAUAGGAGUUAGCUUUCAAACCUAAGUGGUAUCACUCAAAUAUGUUGAAUUUACAAGCUUUGGUGACUGUUUUAACAAAGCUAUCCAGAUUUUUAAAAGAGAAAAAUGGAACAAUCUCAUUAUACUACAAAACAAUAUUAUUAAGGUUUAUUUACACUAUUUUAAGAGAAGCUAGAAAUGAGUUGCUGUUUGUCCAUAAGCAACAGCCACAAAGGUACUGUCUGAGAGCCUAGGAAGAGCUCCCAGACACUGUUUGUAUGCCUACUGCUACUGCCGAGGCAGUAGCCCUGCACCAAGUUCACUUUUAGCAACUUCUGAUAUUCUACUUUGCUUAGGCUAAAUUUUUAGAGAUGGUAAAGGUACUAUAUUAGUCUCUUUUAGAAACCUACGAGGCUUAAAUUUCACGUUUAUUUACUGUCCAAAAACAAUUGUCAAAGUGACUUAACAUAAUAGGUUUUAAUUUUUCACUUUGGCCUAAUAAUGUAGUUUAUUUCAUUUUAGUAAUGUUAAACUUAUUAAUUAUCUUUAUAUGUGUUGUCUCAACCACACUCAAGCUGCAAUUCCUUCUAAAAUCCCAUUUUUAGUUAAAACAGUUCACCUAGGACUUUUAACAAACAGGUGGUGUGCACAGUUCCAAUUUCUUCUUUUCAUAGCCAUUUAUUUGAGUUAUAAAUCCAUUUUUAUCCUCCUUAUUAUUCCUCAGCCCAACCUAGCUCCUUAUGCCUAAAUCCAGCUCAUAACAGUUAAAUACACGAUUUAAUAUGUGUAUAAUCAAGUAAUUGACAACUAUCUAGUUAUAACUUAGUUAGCUCACUAAUUUUCUUACUUUCAACCUUAUUAACAAUACAUUUCCAGCCCCAACAGUAGGCACAAUCCAUAACAGUUCUAGGCAUAGCAAUAUAUUGUACAAUCAUAAGCAUGUGCAAUCACUUAUUACAAUUAUAGGCAUAAGCAGUCACUUAUUACAACCUAACAAUUUCAAUUCUUGACAUACAAACUUAGUAAACAAUGGUUUUAUUACUCUACAUAAACAAGGUUCACAACUUAUAACUUUAAGCAUGAUAACUAGAAACAACCUCUAUCUUGAUUAAGGUGAAUAUUAAAGCACUUGGAAUAUGUAGUCUCUAAAAGAUAUUUGCAUACAUAGCUUCAAUUGGAUAAAUUCUUAGCUUACAUGUGAUUCUCACAACACAGUUUUUUUAUUAGUUAGUAAUAUAACCAAAUCAAGUCAUGACUUUGAAAUUAUAGGUAGCUAGGGGUUGUUUUGAAUCCUAAUCCAAAACAGGCCCAGAUUUGCCCUACUCUAGGCUCUUUUGAAAACUUCCAUAAACCUUCAUGGUUAGGUUCUUUAGACCCCAUGUUAUAAAGUAUAACCCACUUCAUUUUCAAGGACAGAUAAGUUCUUAUAUAAGUUUAUCAAUCUAGUUAAAAGUGGUUUCAUUUUGCUUAUGUAUAUGAUUGUCAUGGUAUGUAAGUUAUACCAAUACAUGUUAUACUUAGGCAUAGAGGGUACUUGAAGCAUAGCUACCCUUUAAAUGAGAACUUAAACAUAAUUUUGGACUCCAUUCCCAGCCAGCCUAUUUUGACACUAUAACAGUUUUAGAGUAGCAUUUUAGGCAUGGUUUAUUACACCAAAACAGUAGCAAGCACUAACGUAUAUGCCUUUCUAACACAUGAACCUUUUAUGUACCAUAUUUUCAUGAUUUAAAGCAUCUAAAGUCAAGGUCUUUAUGCUUUAGGCCAACACAACCCUCUUUAGUAUUUAAAUUCAAAAACAAACAUGGUUUACCAACAUGUUUACGAAGAUAGCAUAAGUGUGCAACAUAGAAGCUUAUACUAUCUUUUUAUAUAGUAUUUAACAUGCAUAAUAUAUGUUUGGAUGACAUGGAAUAUGUAAGACCCCAACUUAUUAUAAAUAAAAUUGAAUUUCUCUAUUUAUUAUCUUGAAAUAAUAAGGUGAUAAUUUGAUAUAAUACUUUAGUUAUGGGUGAAAUGUGCAAAUUUUGCAAAAUAAGCAAGUGGUUAUAAAAUAUUCAUUUUUGUCGAGGAAUAUUCGUUUGGUCAUGGAAUUUUCUUGUUGUCGGGGAAUAUUCGUAUGACGACGCAGCCAUUUGUUGGACCCAUAACAGAAUAAUUGUCGGAUGAAGAAAACAAUAAGCUUGAGUUUUUAUAAAUAACGGCGUAGUUGUUACCGUUAACACUGUUGGAAUACCCGGUGGUUAAAAUACAGUAAUACGCGUGAUUGCACAGUAGCACAUGGUAUUACACAGUAUUUUUGAAUUAUUAAUUCUUACAUAAGAAGACACUACUUAAUAAUUGUUACAGUAAUUACUGUUCAAUAUUUUAUUUUAUUUAUUCAAUAAUUGUUGCGUUGAUAUUUUAUAGUAUUGUUGUUUCAAUAAUUGUCAUUGCACAGUAUUUCCCAUUAUCAGAUCAAUAAUUCAUAAUAUUUGAAUAAUAUUAUUAGAUAGCAUUAUUGGCAAUGUCUAGAAAGUUUUGUCAAGGAGAGGUUUGGUCACUUAAUUGCGCGCUAGUAAGGAGAAAUUCUUAUCGAAAAGCCCCCUCUUUCCUGGGAACGGCCUGAUUGUCAUUAUUGUGAUUCUGUAAUAUUAUUUGUGAAUAAUUAUUUAUUGAUUUAUAUGAUAAGGAAAUAAUUAUUUUAUAUGGACAUAAAUGAUAUGAGACCCCAGAUUUUAUGAAUAAAUAUUUAUUUUUCUCGAAAUAAUUUUUUAAUAUUAUGGCGUGGAUUUGAUAUAAUGUUAUAGUUGUGGGUAGUAUUUAUAAAUUUUGCAAAGUAUGCAAGUUGUCAUAUUAUAUUCGAUUGGUCGGGAAAUAUUCUUUUUGUCGGAGAAUAUCCGUACGACGGCACAAUCAUUGAUGGACCCCACAACGGAAUAAUUGUUGGAUUGAGAAAACGAUAAAAAUAUUUUAUUAAAAAUAUCGGCGGAAGUUUUACCGUUAAUACUGUUGAACUACUCGGUAGUAAAAGUACAGUAAUACACGUGAUUGCAUAGUAGCACACGGUAUUGAUUAUUGAUGUUUACGUGAGAAGUCACUCAGUUUUGUUCAAUUAUUACUACAUUAGUUGCUGCAUAAUAUCUCACGUUAUUUGAUUCAAUUAUUGUUGAUUGUUAUAUAUAUAUAUAUAUAUAUAUAUAUAAGUUUUGUUUUAUUAGUAUUAUUAAUGUAAUAAAACAGAAAAACUUUUUAUAUAAAACAGAAUACUUUUAUAAAGUUAUUCGUUUUAUUAGGCUAAUAGUAAAAUCUUUUUAUAUAAAANNNNNNNNNNNNNNNNNNNNNNNNNNNNNNNNNNNNNNNNNNNNNNNNNNNNNNNNNNNNNNNNNNNNNNNNNNNNNNNNNNNNNNNNNNNNNNNNNNNNNNNNNNNNNNNNNNNNNNNNNNNNNNNNNNNNNNNNNNNNNNNNNNNNNNNNNNNNNNNNNNNNNNNNNNNNNNNNNNNNNNNNNNNNNNNNNNNNNNNNNNNNNNNNNNNNNNNNNNNNNNNNNNNNNNNNNNNNNNNNNNNNNNNNNNNNNNNNNNNNNNNNNNNNNNNNNNNNNNNNNNNNNNNNNNNNNNNNNNNNNNNNNNNNNNNNNNNNNNNNNNNNNNNNNNNNNNNNNNNNNNNNNNNNNNNNNNNNNNNNNNNNNNNNNNNNNNNNNNNNNNNNNNNNNNNNNNNNNNNNNNNNNNNNNNNNNNNNNNNNNNNNNNNNNNNNNNNNNNNNNNNNNNNNNNNNNNNNNNNNNNNNNNNNNNNNNNNNNNNNNNNNNNNNNNNNNNNNNNNNNNNNNNNNNNNNNNNNNNNNNNNNNNNNNNNNNNNNNNNNNNNNNNNNNNNNNNNNNNNNNNNNNNNNNNNNNNNNNNNNNNNNNNNNNNNNNNNNNNNNNNNNNNNNNNNNNNNNNNNNNNNNNNNNNNNNNNNNNNNNNNNNNNNNNNNNNNNNNNNNNNNNNNNNNNNNNNNNNNNNNNNNNNNNNNNNNNNNNNNNNNNNNNNNNNNNNNNNNNNNNNNNNNNNNNNNNNNNNNNNNNNNNNNNNNNNNNNNNNNNNNNNNNNNNNNNNNNNNNNNNNNNNNNNNNNNNNNNNNNNNNNNNNNNNNNNNNNNNNNNNNNNNNNNNNNNNNNNNNNNNNNNNNNNNNNNNNNNNNNNNNNNNNNNNNNNNNNNNNNNNNNNNNNNNNNNNNNNNNNNNNNNNNNNNNNNNNNNNNNNNNNNNNNNNNNNNNNNNNNNNNNNNNNNNNNNNNNNNNNNNNNNNNNNNNNNNNNNNNNNNNNNNNNNNNNNNNNNNNNNNNNNNNNNNNNNNNNNNNNNNNNNNNNNNNNNNNNNNNNNNNNNNNNNNNNNNNNNNNNNNNNNNNNNNNNNNNNNNNNNNNNNNNNNNNNNNNNNNNNNNNNNNNNNNNNNNNNNNNNNNNNNNNNNNNNNNNNNNNNNNNNNNNNNNNNNNNNNNNNNNNNNNNNNNNNNNNNNNNNNNNNNNNNNNNNNNNNNNNNNNNNNNNNNNNNNNNNNNNNNNNNNNNNNNNNNNNNNNNNNNNNNNNNNNNNNNNNNNNNNNNNNNNNNNNNNNNNNNNNNNNNNNNNNNNNNNNNNNNNNNNNNNNNNNNNNNNNNNNNNNNNNNNNNNNNNNNNNNNNNNNNNNNNNNNNNNNNNNNNNNNNNNNNNNNNNNNNNNNNNNNNNNNNNNNNNNNNNNNNNNNNNNNNNNNNNNNNNNNNNNNNNNNNNNNNNNNNNNNNNNNNNNNNNNNNNNNNNNNNNNNNNNNNNNNNNNNNNNNNNNNNNNNNNNNNNNNNNNNNNNNNNGAUAUUGUUUAGAAGACAAUAUUUGUAUUAAAACUCACAGCUCUCUUGUUGUAUAUUAAAGAUUGUAUUUGUAUUCUGUACCAUGUAUUUGGCGACUCAGAAUAGGUGAUGUAUACCUAUUUUGGGGGCGUCACAGUUGGUAUCAAAGCUUAGGGAUAUGAUCCCUGGCUGAGAUGUGAGAUAAGAACUAGGAGGGGAGAGACGGGGAAUUCCUUCGCUAGUAUGAACUACCUAAGUUUAUUUGGUAUUUAAUUGGUCGGUUAGAGUAUAGGGAUAAUAUGUGUUAUGUUAAUUAACCCUUAUUUUGUGGCAGUAUUUAAAAAUGGCAUCCGAUAAUGUUGAGAAUAGCAAUGGAGCACAGGAGACCGUUGAGUCUCCACAGAUUAAUAAUCAGGACAAUGUGCAACCGGAUGACGAUAAUCCUCCUGUAAACAACAACACUAAUCAAUUGACGAACGACGGUACGUUUAAGAGCUUUUUAGAAUUCAUGCAACACCAAACGAGAGAGACUCCUGUUCAUAAUGCUGGAGGAAACAAUGGCAACCCACGGUUGGUCACCGCUAAGUAGUUCAAGGAGCUGGGACCACCAGAGUUUUUGGAAAAGCCAGAACCACUUAAGGCAGAGACGUGGUUAAAGCAGAUCACCAAGAUAUUUGAUGUCUUGGGAUGCUUGAAAGAGCAAAAAGUUCCAUUCGCCACCUUUAUGUUUCGUGAAGAAGCAGAUCACUGGUGGGAAUCUAUAAAACGUACCCAGCCUGACGCACUCAAGAUAUCUUGGGAGAAGUUCCAAGAGCUGUUCAACGACAAGUACUUUCCUGAAAGUAUUCGUCACAUGAAGGAGGUGGAGUUCAUCAAGCUGGAGCAAAACAAUAUGACCGUGUCGCAGUACGAGGCUAAGUUUGCCGAGUUGUUCCGAUUUGCGUUCCAUUUGGUUGAUAAUGAGGAAAGAAUGACGCGAAUGUUUCUAAGAGGUUUGAAAUCCAAUAUACGUCAAUACCUCAUUUCUCACAAACUUUAUUUAUAGUCAGAUGUUGUGAAUAGGGCUCAGUUAUUGGAGCACGAUAAUGAGUUAGCACAACCAAAAGGCAAUGACCAACAACACGAUAAUAAUUAUAUCAGUGGCAACGGUCAUCGGAACAAUGAUAACCAUCGUGGGGGAAAUUAUCAUGCCAAGAAUGGUAACCACUUCGCUGGUAAUCAUGGACAAGAUAAUAGAAGUGGAAAUUUCAAGAAGAGAAGGUUCAAUAAUGAUGGAAAGACAGUAGCACCAGCACCCGUUUCAAAGGAAGAAGAACGACCACCGAUCGUAUGUUUCAAAUGCGGACAGGAGGGACACAUCCGUCCAAACUGUAUGCAGCAAUCCAAAACGUGUUUUAAUUGCGAAAGAGAAGGUCACCUAGCUCGAUUUUAUCGUAUGGUAAAGUCAAGUCCAGCUGGGAUAGUGAUGCCAAAGGAUGUCCCAGACAAGCCAAAGCUGAUAAUUUAAGAGAGAACGUUUUUUUUCUCGUGACGAGGAACCUGAAUAAAAUUAUCAUGGGUAAGUUAAUCAUAAACUCUUGCGAAGUCUAUACCAUGUUAGAUACCGGUUUUACUCACUCUUUUAUUUCACCUAGUUGUGUUCAAUGUUUGUACUUAACUCCGGAGAAGUUAGAAUCUGAUUUAUCUAUUAAAACUCCGUUGGGAGAAACCUUCGUUACAUCUAUUAUUUAUAAAUCUUGUUUGAUUCAAAUCGACACUUUCAUGUUACCUGUCGAUCUUAUCUCUUUGAAAAUACUUAUCUUUGAUGUGAUUUUAGAAAUCGAUUGGUUAACUACUCAUCAUGCUUUUCGUAAGGUUGUUAGAUUUCAUAUUCCUAACCAACCUGUUAUGCAAAUUCAAGCAACCAAACCACUAAAUUCAAUCAUUGUCAUAUCAAGCCAUAAGUAAAGAGCCCCGAUCCUUUUGUUGUUGACUUCCUUGUGUGGAAUGCACUGAAGCCAGACUUUCUGUAUGCGACAUCAUGAAUGACGAUGGCAAGUUGAUAGGUAUUAAUAUGACGUACUAUCCAAGUCUUGGAUGAGAGUAACAGUUUUGAAUGAUAUUUCUAUCGUUAAUAAAUUUCCUGACGUAUUCCUGAAGACUUCAUAGCCUACCCCUAGAGCAUGAAAUCGAAUUUUAUAUUGACCCCAGUACAAAACCCAUUUCUUACACCCUCGAAUAUUUCUUCAACUAAAAUGAACGUAACAUACGCCAAAGACGUUGAAUCGAGCUGUUGAAGAUUACGAACGUACCAUUCAAUACCAUCGUAGGAAAAGCUAACAUGGUUGCUAACGCGUUGAGUAGAAGAUCGUAUGCGGUUACAAGUGCGAAUAUAAGAACCCACGUGAAGAUAAUGAAUAUACGAGUAGAAUUGACUUUAAUCAAUAAAGUUAAAGCCGCUCAAGCUAAAUACUCAGAGCUGAUGAAUGUGAAAAAGAAGGUUUAAGAGGGUGUUAUUCUAGAAGCAAGAAUCGAUGAAGAGAGGAAAUCUCAACCCUCGAUUUAAUUGGCCCAUUUGAAAUCCUCGAUUGAGUAGGAACUGUGGCUUACAGACUCAUUUUACCGCCAAGUAUGUCGCGUGCUCAUAACGUUUUUAACGUAUCGAUGUUACGUAAAUAUGUGGACGACCCAAACCACAUUAUUAAUUUAGAACCAGAUGAGAUAGCAGAUGAUUUAACGUAUGAGGAGAUACGUGUUAAAAUCUUGGAUAAGAAGGAUUAUAUUCGACACUCAAAGGUUAUAUCUCAAGAGUUAGAAUCUGAAAUGAAGUCAAGGUAUCCUCACCUGUUCGGCAUACCAGGUACGUACGUAAAUUUUGAGGGCGAAAUUCCAUAAGGAGGGGAGAUUGUGAGACCCCAGAUUUUAUGAAUAAAUAUUUAAUUUUCUCAAAAUAAUUUUUUAAUAUUAUGGUGUGGAUUUGAUAUAAUGUUAUAGUUGUGGGUAGUAUUUAUAAAUUUUACAAAGUAUGCAAGUUGUCAUAUUAUAUUCGAUUGGUUGGGGAAUAUUCUUUUUGUUGAGGAAUAUCCGUACGACGGCACAAUCAUUGGUGGACCCCACAACGGAAUUAUUGUCGGAUUGAGAAAACGACAAAAAUAUUUUAUUAAAAAUAACGGCGGAAGUUUUACUGUUAAUACUGUUGAACUACUCGGUAGUAAAAGUACAGUAAUACGCGUGGUUGCAUAGUAGCACACGGUAUUGAUUAUUGAUGCUUACGUGAUAAGUCACUCAGUUUUGUUAUUGGUAUUAUUAAUGUAAUAAAACAUAAAAUCUUUUUAUAUAAAACAGAAUACUUUUAUAAAGUUAUUCUAUAAAUAGAAUAUAUUAUAUUCUAUUAUGCAUAGUGUUUUGCAUAGUAAAAUCUUUUUAUAUAAAACAGAAUACUUUUAUAAAGUUAUUCUAUAAAUAGAAUAUAUUAUAUUCUAUUAUGCAUAGUGUUUUGCAUAGUAAAAUCUUUUUAUAUAAAACAGAAUACUUUUAUAAAGUUAUUCUAUAAAUAGAAUAUAUUAUAUUCUAUUAUGCAUAGUGUUUUGCAUAGUAAAAUCUUUUUAUAUAAAACAGAAUACUUUUAUAAAGUUAUUCUAUAAAUAGAAUAUAUUAUAUUCUAUUAUGCAUAGUGUUUUGCAUAGUAAAAUCUUUUUAUAUAAAACAGAAUACUUUUAUAAAGUUAUUCUAUAAAUAGAAUAUAUUAUAUUCUAUUAUGCAUAGUGUUUUGCAUAGUAAAAUCUUUUUAUAUAAAACAGAAUACUUUUAUAAAGUUAUUCUAUAAAUAGAAUAUAUUAUAUUCUAUUAUGCAUAGUGUUGCAUAGUGUCUGCAUAGUGAUUUGCAUAGUAAAAUCUUUUUAUAUAAAACAGAAUAUUUUUAUAAAGUUAUUCGUUUUAUUAGAUUAUAAAUAGAAUAUAUUAUAUUUUAUUUAAAAGAUUUUGCUUUAAAUAUGGACCGUCCGAUUAAAGUAAAUCAAUCUGGACCGUUCAUGAGUUAGUUACUAUGUAGUCCAUUCUUCUAUAAAUAGAAGCUCAUUCCUUCAUUAUUUUCUUACGAAUUCACUGAAACCCUAGAGAGAGAAAUUAUAGAGAAAAAAAAGAAAAGUAUUCUGCUACUUUACUACUCCGAUAUCAAGUUUCUUUUACGGUAAGAGAUAUUAUUUGUUGUACUCGUAAGGGGUAUUAUUUCUUUUGUAAUCAUGAAGAGAACUUCUGUUAUUCCAUUCUUUAUUAUUCUGUUGGAAUAACCUGUAUACGUGGUCUACCCUAUACUUGGUGAAAUUCUUCUGUUAUUCAAUUCUUUAUUAUUCUAUUGGAAUAUCCUGUCUGUGCGUUUUAUGCCAGACCUGGUUCCGUCUUUAUUAUUCUGUUGGAAUAUCCUGUCUGUGCGUUUUACGCCGGACCUGGUUCCGUCUUUAUUAUUCUGUUGGAAUAUCCUGUCUGUGCGUUUUACGCCGGACCUGGUUCCGUUAUUUAUUAUUCUGUUGGAAUAACCUGUCUAUUCGAAGUACCGCAUGCAUGGUGAUUUUUGUUGUUAUUCCAUUCUUUAUUAUUCUAUUGGAAUAUCAUGUCUGUGCGUUUUACGCCAGACCUAGUUCUAUCUUUAUUAUUUUGUUGGAAUAACCUGUCUAUGUGAAGUAUCGCAUGCAUGGUAAUUUCUGUUGUUAUUCCAUUCUUUAUUAUUCUGUUGGAAUAUCCUGUCGGUGUGUAUUACGCCUGACCUGGUUCCGUUAUUUAUUAUUCUAUUAGAAUAACUUGUCUAUGCGAAGUACCGUAUGUAUGGUGAUUUCUUUUCUUAUUCCAUUCUUUAUUAUACUCAGUUAGUUAAAGUUUUGACUUCUAUACUCCAUGAAAUUAGUGGAAUAUCCUUGAUAUUUAUACUUCAUCCAGUAUCUUUUCAUGAAAAUAUUCUUCUGAGCAUUCUUGAAUUUUACUCUACAAAGAAGUAUCAUGUUGAAAAUUUGGACGUUAUUGAUUCCUGGAUAAAUUAAUUCGUGAACUUGUUUUAUUGAAUUAUUAUGUCAUUGUCAUCAUCCUCAUGUUUAUUUUUUUUGAAAGUCAUCUGUGGCCUGUAGUGCAUAGAUGGACUUGGUAUGAUUAUGACCAGGGAUUAUUCGGUAUAAUCAUGACCGUAAUAUUACAAAUGAUGUGGAAAAAGUCCUCAUUGGCCCGUAAUGCAUUAAUGGACAGUUUUCGGUAUGAUUAUGGCUAUGGAUUCUCUUCGGCCAAGGGUGCAAAAAUGAAUUGUUUUAUGUCAUGAUCAGGACCGUUGAUGAAAACACGAUUUUCUUUGGCCCGUAGUGCAUGGAUAAUUCGUGGUCGUGAUACUAAAGAAUAUCCUUGGCCUGUAGUGCAGGGAUGAUUUGAUGAUGUGGAUUAUUUAUUGGGCUGAGUCUCAGCAAUAAAAGUGAUGAAAAAACUUUUUAAAUCAUAAAACAUAGUAGAUUCUAUUCUCUACUUGACUCUUUUAAUGGAUUGCUUGUUCCGCUGCAGUUAAACUUGAUGUCUAUUGUAUUUUAUCAGUUUAACAUUGUUGAAGACUAAUGAUAAUUUAUUCUGCACUAUCUUAGUCAUAAUAUUUCUUACUGGGCUAGUUGAGCUCACCCUUUCUUUCACUGUUCUAUUCAGGAAAUGAGAAUAUAGCUGGGGCGAGUCGGGGAACGGAGUGAUGGACCAGAUGAUAGUAUUAGUAGUCCUCACUAUUCUGUUAAAUAGUGUGAUAAUAAAUGUAAUGAGGACAUAUUCUGAGAGUGGAUAUUGUUUAGAAGACAGUAUUUGUAUUAAAACUCACAGCUCUCUUGUUGUAUAUUAAAGAUUGUAUUUGUAUUAUGUACCAUGUAUUUGGCGACUCAGAAUAGGUGAUGUAUACCUAUUUUGGGGGCGUCAAAAAUGAUGGGUAGAAAAAUAUUUAUUUUGUGUGGUUAUAAAUGAAGAAAUUAAUUUUGAGGUAUUUUAUAAUUAUUUUGUCAGAAUGGAUGUAUUAAAAAUCAUCCGUAUGUGGAUUUCGGACAUUUUUUGUUUAGAAUUUGGAAAAACUUUCUUCUCUAAAGUUGUAGAGAAUUUGAUUUCCUAUGGAAUGGACAUAAAAUUCAUAUUUUUCUGAUAAAAGAGCUAUUUAUUGUGAAUUAAAUGGAGUAAAGAUAAUCAAAUUGAAUUAGUUUUCAAAUUGAAUUUGAAUUCUUUUAUUUAUUUAUUUUUCAAAAAUAUGUGAUAAAUUAUUGGGGUGGGUGAGCAAAGUUGGACAAUCUUGAUUCAAGUAAGGUGUGCGUAGAAGAGAAGGAAAUAAGAAUAUUAUUUUAUUAUUUUAGUCUCCUUUGGCGUUCUAGCAUUUUUCUAUAAAUAGGUGCUUAAGUUAGAAUUGAAAAUCACACCAGAAACAUAAGCUUUCUCUCUCUAGAUUAUCGAGCGUAUUAUUGUGAGUAUUUUUCUUGAGUAUAGGAAUACUUUGAGCGUAGUUUUCUGCAAGAUUUUCUCAGAAUAAUAUCCAAUAUUCCAGGCAAAUCCAGUUUCUACUAAGGUAAAGGAUAUUAUUUUAUUGCUUUUAUAAUUCCUGAAAUGAUUAGAAAUUUCACUUCAUCUAAUAUCCUUUUAUAGGAAUAUUGGUCUGAACUUUUUAUCAAAUUUAGAACUUUUCAUGACGGGUACUGUUCACCGGUACUGUUCACGGGUACUGUUCAAAAAAGAAAAAAAAAUUUCUCCUUCCCAGUUAUCUGUUGUGACCUUUAAUCCUGAAAUUGAAUCCAUGUUUUUGAUCUUUAUUCUUGAAUUUUACUCCAUUAUGGUUUAUUAUGGAGUAUUUUUAAACUUGAGUUAUCUAAAGUACAAAUCUCUAAACUUUAUCCUUUUAUCUCACUUGAUUCGUUCUCUAAAAUGUUUUUCAUCAUCCUCAGUCCUUAAUGGUGAUACUUGAUAAAUAUCUUUGGCCUGUAGUGCAAAGAUGUAUGAUUACCUGAUGAAUAUCUUUGGCCUGUAGUGCAAAGAUGAACAGGUGUUGAGAUGAACAUGACCAACUGGUGAUACAAAUGAAUAUCUUUGGCCCGUAGUGUAAAGAUGAAUAUUUGAUUCAAGAUGUAUAUUGAUUGAUGUUACAGGGAUAAAAUAUUGAUGAUGGACUUUUAAAUUCAUAGAUGAUAGUAGAUUUCAUUCUCUACUUAACUCUUCUAAUGAAUUGUUGUUUCCGCUGCAGUUGUUGAUCUAAAACUUGUUGUCUAUUGUAUUCUAUCAGAUUUUUCCCUGUUGAAGACUAAGGAUAAUUUGUUGUAUAUUAUCUUAGUCAUAAUAUUCUUUACUGGGCUAGUUGAGCUCACCCUUUUCCUUUUUGUUCCAUUUUUCUUCUCAGGAAGCGAGAACAUAGCAGGAACCAGUCGGGGUAUAGAGUGAUGGUCCUAGACAGUUGUUUUAGAAGUCCUCACUAUUUUUGUAAAAUAGUGCAUCAAUAAUUGUAAUGAAGACUUUAUUUGAGUGUGGAUAUUGUCUAGAAGACAAUAUUUGUAUUUAAACUCACAGUAUGUGUUGUCGUAUUUUGCACGACAAUUGUAAUAAUAAAGUUGUAGUUAUUUUCUGUACCAUAUAUUUGGCGACUCAGAAUGGGUGAUGUAUACCUAUUUUAGGGGCGUCGCAGAAUAGCUUAUACCAUAUCAGUCAUUAUCAAAUCCUCUAGUCUAGCAUACAAAAUCCUUAAAACGGUGGCUAAGUCUUAGUUAAAUGCUUAGCUCAUAUAUAGACCGGUAUACACCAAGUUAUAAUCAUCUUAUGCUCAUGCAAAACUAACCUUUUAAGCACAUUUGCAUCUUUAGAAUUUUAAUAUAGAAUAUUGGCAUAGGAUUAGACUUGGCUGUACUCAUUUUCAACACAGUUGACUCCAAUAGUCUAUUAACAGACAUUUUACCAAACAGUUGGGAUGCGGUUCAUAUCUAUCCAUACAAUACAUAUAUUCUUAGCUUAGUGAUCCCAGCCUUAUGGCUUAAACAAUAACAAGCAUAAGAUGAUACAUAACAACUCCAAUCACGGUAAUCCAAAUAGCAUUGAAACAGGCAUCCUAUUGUACCAAUUCCAAUAUAACAGCCAUACAUGUUACCUAAACUCUAACAGUCCAGUUGCUAUCAUUUAAAGAAACAGGAACGAAUGGAAAAGGAUUGGAAAGGUCAGAAUUGGCUUACCUUGUUGAUUUGAAGGUUACAAGUGGGUUGAGCUGCCCAGUUUCUCCUCCUUCUCUAGCCGAAGCUUUUCCUCUCUUACUCUAUAUGACUGAUACCGUUACUUCUUCCCUUUUUCUUUUAACUUUGCUAAGUGGUGAGCUAAUCGGUUCUAGGCCAUAAGCUUGGCCUUUUAUGGUUGAGUUUAUCUCCUCUUUUCUGGCAGUACUAUCACCUUUAGUUGGCCUCUACACAACCACCCUAUCAAGCUCCCAUCCAUCAUUCCUAUUCUAGUUCACUUGGCCCCUAUAGGGCCUGUCAGACCAUAGCUAUUCUGCUUCCUCUUAUCCACUGCAAGUUUAUCCCACCUGCUAGCUGACUGUUAACUGAACUAACAUGCUAACUAGAAACCAACUUAGAAUUCGUAUAACUUGCUACUUGACUUGGUGCUCAAGCCAUGUUAUUGUUUUUCUUAAUUGGUUUGAAGCAGUUAUCUUGCUAUACAUCACUGGGUUUACAGGAUUGGGCUGGGGGAACAAUGUGACAAUUUUAAUUUGGGUUUAAACUAACCCUCCCUCUUUAACCAUGUAGCUGCCAAAUUGCACUAAGAAAAUAGGUUAAAAUUGGCCCUUUUAAUUUUGUUAUAGACCUAAUACAACAACCCAUACCCUAAAAUAGUUGAAAGGGGCAUACAAGCAUACAUAGCAAAAUUUAAUAUGGCCCAAUGUUUUAGAAUGGACUCAUUUUAAACACAAAAUUUUUUCUAUCUUAUUAAAUUCCUUUUAGGCUAGCAACAAUAGUUGGUACAUAUAUCAUUAACUCUUUUUUUUUACCAUUCAUGAUCUAAGAUACUUAAUAAAAUAUUAAGUAACAAAUAAUUAUAAGGUCAGGAUACAAAAAUAAAAUAAAAUUUAUACACAAAAUUGACAUUAUAACAACUGAAUAUUUUAUAGAAUUUCUGAGUCAUUACAUUUACUUUGUUAAGGACUAAUGAUAAUUUAUUUUACAUUAUCUUAGUCAUAAUAUUCUUUACUAGGCUAGUUGAGCUCACCAUUUUCUUUCAUUGUUCUUUUCAGGAAAUGAGAAUAUAGUUGUGACUAGUCGGAGAAUGGAGUGAUGGUCCAAGAUGGUUGCUAUAGUAGUCCUCACUAUUCUAUAAAAUAGUGUGAUAAUAAUUGUAAUGAGAACUUCAUUUGAGUUUGGAUAUUGUCUACGAAAUAAUAUUUGUAUUAAAACUCACAACUUACGUUUUGUCGUAUUUUACACGACAAUUAAUAAUUGUAUAAAUGCAGUUUGUAUUUGAAUUUUGUACCAUGUAUUUGGUGACUCAGAAUGAGUUGUAUGGACCUAUUUUGGGGGAGUCACGAAUAGGACCCAAGAAGAUUUGGGUACGAAAAAGGUAGACUAUUUGUUCAUUUUGUCAAUGUCUUAAGUUCAAAAAGGAGACGAAUAGUACUUAUAAAUUAUUUGGCAAAAUCUGUAAGUACCUUAUAUUUUUUUCUAAAAUAGUGUUUUAAUUAGAUAUAUUAUGAAAAAUCUAUGGAUUUCGUAUUACAUGGGUUCAUAACAUCAUUUAUUAUAAAGUAUAUAUUGUGCUAAAUGCUCCAUAUUUAAUACAAAUGACAAUCUUGAUGAGGAAUAAGUGAAUAUUAUUUUUGAUUAACUUAACCAUGAUCUGCUAAAGGAAGAGAAUGAGGUUUCUGUUGGAAAUGACUAUUUGAAUUGUGGAACCCAAACAGUUCAAUCCGGACAGUCUAAGAUGUGAGACCCCGAAUUUUAUGAAAUAAAAGUAUUAAAUUUUUCUAUUUUGGUAAAUAGUUAAAUUGAUAAAAGUUUAAAGUUAAGGGUCAUAUUUGAAAAUUUUGCAAAGUAUGCAAGUUGUUAUAAAUAUUCGAUUGGUCGGAGAAUAUUCUUUUUGUCGGGGAAUAUUCGUACGACGGCACAAUCUUUGGUGAACCCACAACGGAAGUACUGUCGUAGUUAGAAAAAGACAAAAAUAUUUUAUGAAAAUAACGACGAAGGUUUUACCGUUAAAAUUGUUGAACUACCCGGUAGUAAAAGUACAAUAAUACUCGUGGUUGCAUAGUAGCACACGGUAUUGAUUAUUGAUACUUAUGUGAGAAGUCACUGAGUUAUACUCAAUUAUUGCUACAGUAAUUGUUGCAUCAUAUCUCUCAUAUUAUUGAUUCGAUUAUUGUCAGUAUCAUCUGCAUUAUAUGUUAUUUUAUUAAAUCAAUAAUUGAGACGACAAAGUUAUUCAUAUUAUUAAAUUGCAAUAUUUAUAAUGUCUAGAAGUUCUGUCAAGGAGAGGUUAGAUAAUCUAAUUACGCGCCAAUAGGGAGAAAUCUUUAUCGGAAAGCCCCCUCUUUCCUGGGAACAACCUGGUUGUUAAAUAUUGUGAGUUAUGAUAUUAAUGAUGGAUAAGUUCGUGUUGAUUAAAGAUGAAUUUUAUAGUUUUAUUGUGUUGGGAUUAUUUGUGUUAGUAGAAAUUGACAUCUAUUCCGAUGAUUAUUGAUGUCUGGAGGUUAUAUUGUUCAAUCGGGUAUUCGGGACACUUUUCAUGUCAGAGUUAUUAUUCAUGAGUUACUAUUCACGAGUUACUAUUCAUGAGUUACUAUUCACUAGUUACUAUUCACAAGUUACUAUUCACCUAAUUACUAUUCACUCUAGUAUUGUGCAUUCGGGUAUUUGGGUACAAUAUUAUUCCAUGAGGAGAUGUGUUAAUUUUUCUGACCGUUGGUUGAAAUUAUAAUAGUAAAUCAAUAUGGAUCGUUGAUUUAAAGUCUUAAUAGUAACUUGUCCCUUCAAUAUUACCAAGAGUUAAUUGCCCCUUCGUAAAUAGUAGUUGUCCCUUCAAUAUUACCAAGAGUUAUUUGCCUCUUCGGUGUUCCAAGAGUUAAUUACCCCUUCGCAAACAGUAGUUGUCUCUUCAAUAUUACCAAGAGUCAUUUUGACCCUUCGUUAAGACCAAGAGCCACUCUCAGUUUUUCUAUAAAUAGAAGCUCAUUCCUUCAUUAUUUCUUACGAAUUCACUGAAACUCUAGAGAGAGAAAUUAUAGAGAGAAAGAAGAAGAGUAUUCUGUUACUUCACUACUUCGAUAUCCAGUGUCUUUUACGGUAAGGGAUAUUAUUUGUUGUACCCGUAAGGGGUGUUAUUCUUUCUUAGUCAUGAAGAGAACUUCUGUUAUUCCAUUCUUUAUUAUUCUGUUGGAAUAACCUGUAUAAGCGGCAUACCCUAUACAUAACCUGUAUAUGCGGCAUACCCUAUACUUGGUGAAAUCCCUUUGUUAUUCCAUUCUAUAUUAUUAUGUUGGAAUAACCUGUUUAUGCCAAGUACCGUAUGCAUAGUGAAAUUCUUCUAUUAUUUCAUUCUAUAUUAUUAUGUUGGAAUAACCUGUUUAUGCGAAGUACCGCAUACAUGGUGAAAUUCUUCUAUUAUUCCAUUCUUUAAUAUUCUGUCAGAAUAUCCUGUCGGUGUGAAUUUCGGCUGACCUGGUUCCAUUUAUUAUUCUGUUGGAAUAACCUGUAUACGCGUAUUACCGUAUACUUGGUGAUGUCUGUUGUUCUUCCAUUCUUUACUAUUCUGCUGGAAUAUCCUGUCUGUGCGUUUUACGCCAGACCUGGUUCCGUCUUUAUUAUUCUGUUGGGAAUAACUUGUCUGUGUGGUCUCUAUCGCAUGCAUGAUGAAUCCUUCUGUUAUUCCAUUCUUUAUUAUUCUGUUAGAAUAACCUGUCUAUGUGGAUUACCACAUGCAUGGUGAAUGAUCCUUUAUAUUCAUUCCUUAUUAAAUUGUGGAAAUGAUCCGGUUACGUUGAUUAUGAUGAGAGUCAUAAUAAAAGUAUUGGACUAAUGAAAAUCAUGGGUAUAUGUGGUAUUAGUAAGUGUUAUGAUGAGUUAUGUUGGUUAUUAUGUGAAAACAUGAAAGUUUCUUAGAAAUCACAAAGGGUUGAAAAUCAGAUUUUGGUGAAAAUAGAACAUGAAAUUCAAUUGACCAUAUCUCCUAUUAUAUUUCAAAUUUUUGGGUGUGGUUAAGUUCUAGAGUUAGGUCUAUGAGUUAUGUAACUUAUCCAAGUGGAAUCACUGGAAAAGGUGUUGUAGAUUUUCGUGUGGACUGAUUUUAGCAAAGGAGUGCAAAGCUGCAAAAACCCAAAACUCUACUGCCCAGAAACUUUAAGGGGCUGUUUCGGCUACUUAAUUUGUGAGAACAAUUCUGGCCUUUUGGGACAUGAAAUUAUAUGAUAUAAAGUACCUCCUGUCCAAAAAUGAGCUCAUUCUGACUUAAAAUGAGCAAGUUAUGACCAUUUCAAUAUUUAGGUUUUUCCGACGAAAAACGCUAUAACCGGAGUUCUAUAACUCCGAUGACCAUGAAAUUUAAAUUGGAAGCUCAUGUUAACAUGUGUAAGAUUAUGCCAAGAUUUGGGAAUUUUUGGAGUUAACCUUGAGGUAGCUAACUUCUUAAGGAAUUAAUUAGAAAUUGAUUUUUGAAAAAUAGUAAAUGAAUUUUAAAAAUUCCGAGAAAAAUAUAUGUUCAUUAUGGGACUAUAUUCUGCUAAAUACCAGAAAAGAAAUAUUUUUGGGACUGAUUUGGUAUUUUUCAUGAAAAUAGUUUAGUUACGAACUUAUGAGUUAAAUAUGUUAUGUGAAGUAACAAAAUUGGAAAAAUAGGAUUUAUGGUUUGGAAGGUAUAUGCAGAUUUUUGAUAAAGAAUUUGAUUAUUGGUGAUGAGAUCUUAUGAGUAUGGCAUUUUGAAUGAUUAAAUACAUUAUAUGGUAAAGUGUAAGCAAUUGAAAUAAAUUAUUUAUAAGUUUGAGAAGCGAUUAAAAUAUUGUUAUAAUAUUAAUAAUAUUAGAUUAUGAGUUAUUGAUAAUAUUUGGAUAAGUUUAAAGUCUUUAGUAUUUAUCCUUGUUUUCGUAUGAUUAAUGCUUAUAUCAUUGUCAUCAUCCUCAUGCUUAUAUGGUGAUGAAAGUUAUCUUUGGCUUACGUGCAAAAAUGGACUUUUGAUUAUUGAAUUGUAUAUCUUUGGCUCACGUGCAGAGCUAGUUUGUUGAUUAUUGGUUUUAUUGUUGUAUAUCUUUGGCUUACGUGCAGAGAUGAAUUUGGUAUGAUUAUGACCAAGGAUUAUUCGGUAUAGUCAUGACUAUUGAUGAUUUAAUGAAUAUCCUUGGCCCGUAGUGUAGGGGUGAUUCGAUGAUGUGGUUUAUUUAUUAAGCUGAGUCUCAAUGAUAAAAAUGGAUGAAAACAUUUUUAAAUCAUAGAAGAUAGUAGAUUUUAUUCUCUACUUGACUCUUUUAAUGGAUUGCUUGUUCCGCUGCAGUUAAACUUGAUGUCUAUUGUAUUUUAUCAGUUUAACAUUGUUGAAGACUAUUGAUAAUUUAUUCUGCAUUAUCUAGUCAUAAUAUUUCUUACUGGGCUAGUUGAGCUCACCCUUUCUUCACUGUUCUCUUCAAGAAAUGAGAAUAUAGCUGGGACGAGUCGGGGAACAGAUUGACAGUCCAGAUGAUAGCAUUAGUAGUCCUCACCAUUCUGUUAAAUAAUGUGAUAAUAAAUGUAAUGAGGACUGAAUUUGAGUUUGUAUACUGUCUAUGAGGACUCCAUUGAGAAUUGAUAUUGUCUAGAAGGCAAUAUUCUUGUUUAAACUCUCAGUUUAUGUUUUACACGACAGUUGUAUAAUUAUGUUGUAUUUGAUUUAUGUACCAUGUAUUUGGCGACUCAAGAUGGGUGAUGUAUACCUAUUUUGGGGGCGUCACAUAAGACGUCUGCAUCAGAAGGAAAUAUAGAUGAAAUCAGACAGUUUGACCUGUCUGUUUUAGAAGAAAACUCAAAUUUACAAACACCUAAAUCUAGAAAAAUCGAGAGGUCUGCUUUAGAAUAAAAAACAUAUGAAUAUUCGGAUGCAGUAACUUAUAUUCCAGAGGAUGAAUCUGAAAAGCAAAUGACUUCUUCCAGGCUUCCUAAAUCUUCUAGAACUAUGGGAAAUCAUCCUCCAAGUCUGAUCAUCAGAAAUUUCAACAUUAGGAUGUCCACAAGAAGAGGUUUUGAAGAAAUUUGUUUGCUACACUAAAGGAGCUCAUCUAUCAAGCUUAUUGUUGGUAACAAAAUUGUGGAUAUAUAGGUAACAAAUCACAAAGGUAUGGUUAUUUUAUUUAAGUGCUAUAUGUGAUAUUGUUACAAGCUUGAUGUCGUGUCUUUAUUUUAUGAAUUAUUUUUUGUUAGUGACAAAUGGGGAGAGAUAUAGCUAAAUUGAUGAUUUAUUUCUUUUUGAUAAUGAUAAGGGGAGAAAUGUUUAAAAAUAUUGAUGAUUAUGAUAUUUGAUGGUUAUAUUGAUUAUAAUAUGUUUGGAUUUUUUGGAUAUCAUAUUGAUGAUAAUGGUUGGAUAUUUUGAUUCAUUAUCUGUUAUAUACAGCUUAUCAUUAUGCAUUAUUUAUCAUAACAGUUAUGUGAUCUUUAUAUCUCCUAUAGGCAAAAUUUAGGGGGAGCCAUAUAGUUAGGGAGAGCAUGAUUGUAAGGAAUAAUAUAUUGUCAUCAUCAAAAGGUGGAGAUUAUUAGUUUUAUUAUUUGUAAUUUUAAUAAUGACAAUAUAUUUGCAAAUAUAAGUUAUUUAAUGGUCUGAAUAUAUUUGCAAAUAUAAGUUUGGUUCAUGAUAAUUUAAUUUGGUUAUAAGUCAAAUUGAUAUUACGUGCAGGAUUGAAUUGGAAUAUUUUCUUUCAGGUCUAAUUUGGAGUCUCUAAAUUAACUGGUUUAGAUAUUUGUGUAGAGUAUGGACUCUAUCUAUAAUAUAUUGUUACUCCUUAAUUUUAGCCAUUGUUAGAUUACAUAUCUUUGACUUUCUAAUUUUGAGAAUAUUUUAUAGCUGUUAGCUAUAUCUAUGUGCUGAAAUCUCUAAUUCUCGAAAUCCAAGACCAAGUCAUUGACGAGCCUACUAAGUUUACACAGCAACCACGAUUUGUUUGUAGACUUGUAGUUAUUCAUUUUAUACCCGAAGUUAACAAAUUGUAUGAAAGGUUCAUCCUUUCAAUUAUCUACAUAAUUUAUUUUUUCCUACUCUAUGCAUUCCUAAGUAUCAGAUCGGAUCAGAUCAUAAACAUCACAAUAAACCAUCUAGUGGUAAUUGUUUUAUUUAUAAUACGGUAAUAACAACCACCUAGUGGUAGUUGAUUUAUUUAUUACAUGCUAAUAACAACCAUGAGCUGAUUGUUGAUUUAUUUAUUAAAUGCUAAUAACAGCUAUCAGCUAGUGGUUGAUUUAUUUAUUAUAUUCUAAUAACAGCCAUCAACUAGUAUAUAGUUUCUUGAUCAACUGUUCAUAGGAAGAUUACUGAUCGUUCAUUUAGGCGCUGGGGGGACUAAUUUGAACACCAUAGAUAACUAAACCCGUCUUCAUAGUCGCGCUUUCACUCCCGUCAAGAGCAAAUUUUAAAUCUCCAGAGUCAAAGCUAUUCAAGAAUUCCCCAGCUUUGAGCGAAAAUGGUGUGUUUCUCGGAUAAUUCAUCAAUCCAUAUCCGUUCACUUGCGAGGAUCCAUUCGGAAGAGUAAGUGUAAGACUCACCGGACUUGCUAUGUUAAAGUUGUCUUUCAGCAACACCACAAAAGAUACCUCAUAAGAUAAUUUUUCAAGCUUUUCUGUCAUAUAGUUUCCGUCAACAUGUAGGACUAAGCUACCAAUUAAUUCAGCACUGGCAUCACUGAAAAAAAAUGAUAGUAGAAUUAAAGUCAGAAACUUUUGAUAUAAGGAGCUUAAAUUCAUUAAGGUGAUUUUAUUGAUUUUUUUUUUCUGGAACAUUUUUAAUGUAAGUCCUUCUAUCUACCUAGAGUCUAGACUUCAAUAAAAUUUCUAUAGUCCUUCUAUCACUUUAAUUUAAUGACAUAGUUGCUUAUAUAUCCCUAUUUUUAACUGAAUAAAAUUCAGGUGUUUAAACACAAAUCUUAACCUUUGACGUCAAUUAAGUUAACUAAAUCUUAUUUCUACUUACGUAAACUUCCAGCCUGAAGGGUUGGCAUAAUUGAGUUCCUUUGCAUACACAAAAGCCCAACUGCUCUGAAUAAGUCAACAGAAAUUUACAUUAUUAUAAGGAUAGAUAAGGCAAACCAGCGGUGACCGAUCGAAUGAUAUGUCGAUGCCUUUAUAUAUAUAUAUAUAUAUAUAUAUAUAUAUAUAUAUAUAUAUAUAUAUAUAUAUAUAUAUAUAUAUAUAUAUAUAUAUAUAUAUAUAUAUAUAUAUAUAUAUAUAUAUAUAUAUAUAUAUAUAUUGACGGUUGACAUUUCAAAAUAACAAUUAUAAAAGUGUUGCCAAAUGUAUAUUUACUCUGAUAGCGAUGACAUUAUCAAUCACCUAUAUAUAAAUAGCAAAUGUUUCAUCGCAAAAGUUUAUUACGGAAUAUGUAUCACUCAAUCCAUCUUAUAUCAUCCAUACAUUACAACAUCAGAUAGAUGUGAUCUUAAAAUUUUUGAACACUCGGCGACAUUAUGUUGCAAAUGGUACCAAAUUUUAAAAAUCCCAAAGGUGUAAGAUGGUCUAAAUUUUGCAAAAAUGUAUCACUUGCAAAAUUUACAAAUAUUAAGGAUUAUUUUUGUUCUGUAGACAACUUUAGUGUGUAUAUAUAUUUGAUGUUUGUUUCCAAUUUCAGUGGACUUACCUUCUGGCCCGGGUCCUUUUUGAGCAACGCAUUUUCCUUAGCUUGAGACAACAAUGUCUUGAGGUCAACCUUGUGAUACCUCACUACUUGUGCCAUUUCGCCUUUAAUUCUGCUAUAUAUAUUUUUUGUUUUUGUUCUUGAUGUCUAUAUAUCUCUCUUCCAAAGGCUAGCUCUAUUUAUAGAAAGCACAAAAGAGGGUAUAUUCAAUAAUAACCUAUCUUCAAAUAUUCCUUCCUUUUUCACAGUGGGGAUCCUGAUAAGUUUAACAUCAUCAUCAUCAUCGCCAAGGAUAUAGAGCAUCAGAUUCUGUUUAAUAAUUUUGUUGGAAUAUUUCUUUUCCAUUUCUCAGUUAAAUAAUUCUUUCUUUAGCUUGUUGCGCUGGCAAAAUUCGAUGAAGGCGAAAGGUACGUAGGCAUUCAAGUAAGUGAUGAUUUUCUUCUAACCAGAAGUAUGAGCAGGUUGAUGAUACAUAUGUCAUGCCAACAUAACAAACUUUAGAGGAGCCGAGUUCGAAAAAGAGAGGGUACUGGUUUAAUUGCCUUAAUUCGAUCUUAUCACCCAAGCAUGGGUGCCAUCUAUUUUGGUUCAAUAUAAUGGAGUAUAUAUUCAAAUCAACAAAACAAGGCAAGAACAAAAAAUAAAUUUAAAGUGCAUAUUUUAAUAGGAAUAUCUAUUAAUAUAUAUAGGUAUGUUACUCAAAUAUCUAUACCAUCUAUACCAAUUUAUAGCAAGAUAAAUACGAGUUAUUUUAGUUGGUCUUGAGUCAAUUUAGUAAUCCAGUUUUGGUGACUCGGUAGUUCAAAAUGUUGUUUUUUUGUUUUCUUUGUUUGAUUUUUAUGUAUUCUUGGUCAUAAAUUUUGAUAUUCCUAAAAGUCAACUAAAACACUCAAAAGUUAUAUUUUUUCACAAAAUUUUAGUACACAUUUAUUAUUCAAGAUGCAAUAUAUUAUUUAUCAUUAAGAAUUAAGUAAAGAUAUAAAAAUAAAAUAAAAAUAAGGAAAUAACUUUUGAGCUUUCAAGUCACCAAAUUUGGAGAGCUGAGUCGACUCGAGAUAUAUUAAAAUGUCAUUCAAAAAUAUUAUAUAUAUAAUUUACCAAAUAAAUCGUUUUUAAACUUAUCUGUAGUUUGCACGGAUUAUUAAUUUUGUUUGUAUUAAAAGUAUAAGUAUAAGCAUCUCGCAGGCCAAAAAUAAAAAGAAAAAAGAAAAUGAAAAGAAGAGCUAGACUACUUCUUUUUCUCUCUAUAGCUUCUCUCUCUAUAAUUACUCUUGUGUGAGUCUUAGUGAAUUGGUGAGAAUGAAAGAAGAAUGAGCUUCUAUUUAUAGAAAAAUAUAGUUUCGAUAAUUGCACGUUUUGGGCUCGAAAUAUUACAGUAUAAUACCUUCAUCUUUUCCUUUAUUUUAAAUUUAGUCCUGCAAGUAUUAUCAAACUUGCACCACCUCCCCUAAUAGUACAUCAUGUGAAUCAACAAUACAUUCAUGAUAAUCAAUAGUUCUAUACAUGUGAAAAAAUAUAGUUACAGUAUAGUACCUUCAUCUAUACCUCCAUUUUUAAUUUAGUCAUGCAAGUAUUAUCAAUCUUGCACCACCUCCCCUAAUAGUACAUGCAUGUGAAUCAAUAGUACACACAUAUGAACAAAUAGUUAUAAGCAUGUGAAUUAAUAACAAUUAAUUGCUCAUUUAUCUAAUUAAUUAUCCGAUUGGUCAAUAUAACCUCCAGACAUCAAUUAUCAUCGAAAUAAAUGUCGAUUUCCACUAACACUAAUAAUCCCAAUACAAUGGAACUAUCAAUUUUAUCUUUAAUCAACACGAACUUAUUCAUCAUUAAUAUUAUAACUCACAAUAUUUAAAAACCAGAUCAUUCCCAAGAAAGAGGGGGCUUUCCGAUAAAGAUUUCUCUCUAUUGGCGUGCAAUUAGGUGACCAAACAUCUCCUCGACAGAACUUUCUAGACGUCGUCAAUAUUGCAAAUAAUAAUAUGAAUAACUUUGUCGUCUCAAUUAUUGAUUUAAUAAUAUAAAAUAUUAUGCAGAUGAUACUGUGACAAUAAUUGAAUCAAUAAUAUAUGAGAAAUAUUAUGUAAUAAUUACUGUAGUAAUAAUUGAGUAUAACUGAGUGACUUCUCAUGUAAGCAUCAAUAAUUAAUAUCGUGUGCUACUAUGCGACCACGCAUAUUACUGUACUUUUACUACCGGGUAGAUCAACAGUUUAACGGUAACACUUUCGUCGUUAUUUUUUAUAAAAAGAUAUUUCUGUCAUUUUCUAACUACGACAAUACUUCCGUUGUGGGGUCCACCAAUGAUUGUGUCGUCGUUCGAAUAUUCCCCGAUAAAAAUAAUAUUCUCCGACUAAACGAAUAUUUUAUGACAACUUACUUACUUUACAAAAUUUUCACAUAUCACUCUUAAUUAACUUUAACCUUUUAUCAAUUUAACCAUUUACUAAAUAAAAUAAUAAUUAUAAGAAAAUUGAAUGCUUUCAUUUCAUAAAAUUCGGGGUCUUACAAUCUCCCCUUCUUAUGAAAUUUCGCCCUCGAAAUUUACGUACGUACCUUGUAUGCCGAAGAGGUGAGGAUACCUCGUUUAGAUUCUAACUCUUGAGGUAUAACCUUUGAGUGUCGAAUAUGAUCCUUCUUAUCCAAGAUUUUAACACGUAUCUUCUCAUACGUUAAAUCUUCUGCUAUCUCGUCUAGUUCUAAUUCAAUAAUGUGGUUCGGGUCAUCCACAUAUUUACGUAACAUCGAUACGUGAAAAAUAUUUUGAACACGCAACAUACUUGGCAGUAAAACGAGUCUAUAGGCCACUGUUCCUACUCGAUCGAGAAUUUCAAAUAGACUAAUAAAAUCGAGGGUUAAGAUUUCCUCUCUUCAUCGACUCUUGCUUCUAGAAUAACGCCUUCUUGAACCUUCUUCUUUGUAUUCAUCAGUUCCGGGUCUGUAGCUUGAACAACUUUAAAUAUAUCGAUUAAAGUCGAUUCUACUCGUAUAUGUGAUAUCACCACGUGGCUCCCUGUCUUUAACUAUAUCUUCAUCAUUUGUAAGUUAUACGAAAUGGGUUUUUAUGCUAACAACAUCAUACUCGUAAACGCAUACGAUCUUCUACUCAAUGCGUUAGCUACCAGGUUCGCUCUUCCACGAUGAUAUUGAAUGGUAUAGUCGUAACCUUCAAUAGCUCGAGCCAACGUCUUUGGCGCAUGUUACGUUCAUUUUGGGUGAAGAAAAAUAUUUGAGGGUUUUAAAAAUGAGUUUUGUACUGGGGUCAAUACAAAAUUCGAUUUCACACUCUAGGGAGGCUAGGAAGUCUUCAGGAAUACGUCAGAAAAUUUAUUAACAAUAGAAAUAUCAUUCAAAUCUGACGUAUUUUUGUUUAAAUAUGUGAUAUGAGCUAAGAAAGCUUGACAUCCUUUUUUCAAUAAACGAAUAGCUUUAUGGCUUGAUAUGACAAUGAUUGACUUUAGUGGUUUGGUUGCUUGAAUUCGCAUAAUAGGUUGGUUAGGAAUAUGAAAGCUAACAACCUUACGAAAAUAAUUAAUUUUUGCAUGAUGAGUAGUUAACCAGUCGAUUUCUAAAAUCACAUCAAAGGCAAGUAUUUUCAAAUAGAUAUGAACUACAGGUAACGUGCGGUUACCAAUUUGAAUCAAACAAGACUUAUAAAUAGUGGAUGUAACAAAGGUUUCUCCAAACGGAGUUUCAACAGAUAAGUCAAAGUCUAAUUUCUCCGAAGUUAAAUUUAAACGUUGAGCGCAAGUAGGAAAAAUAAAAGAAUGGGUAGAACCGGUAUCUAAUAAGGUAUAGACUUCACAAGAAUUUAUAAUUAACUAACCCGUGCUAACUUUAUUAGGGUUACUCUCUUUUUGAGAAGUCACAAAAAAUGCUCUUCCUGAAACCACAUACUUUGUUUUGUCCGUAUCCGCCUUUGGUGCAACCGUCCCAGCUGGACUUGAUUUCGCUACAGGAUAAAAUCAAGCUAUGUGACCGUCUUUUCCACAACUAAAACAUACCUUGGAAGACUGUGGACAGUUUGGACUUAUAUGUCCCUCUUCUCCGCAUCUGUAGCAUCUAACUGGCCGCCGUUCUCCUCCCCUAGAAUUUGUUGCUGGUGCUGGUGCUGCUGCCGACGUCUUUCCGUCAUCAUUAAAUCUUCUCUUCUUGAAAUUUUCACUUGAAUCAUUUCUUCUAUUAUCUUAGCCAUGAUUACCACCGAAGUGGUUACCAUUUCUGGCAUGAUAAUUUCCUCUACGUUUGUUGUCACCGCUUCAAUGACUUCUACCACUGGUAUUAUCGGCUUGCCGGCUGCUCUCUCUUGGUUGGGUUGACUCAUUAUCGCGCUCCAAUAACUGAGCCCUAUUUACAACAUCUGGAUACAAACACAAUUUGUGAGAAAUGAGGUAUUGACGUAUUUCGGGUCUCAAACCUCGCAGAAAUAUUCGCGUCAUUCUCUCCUCAUUAUCAACCAAAUGGGAUGCGAACCGGGAUAACUCGGCAAACUUAGCCUCGCACUGCGACAGGGUCAUAUUGUUUUGCUCCAACUUGAUAAACUUCACCUCCUUCAUGUGACGAAUACUUUCAGAAAAGUACUUGUCGUUGAACAGCUCUUGGAAGUUCUUCCAAGACAUUUUGAGUGUGGUAAGCUGAGUACGUUUUACUGAUUCCCACUAGUAAUCUGCCUUCCUUCUCAACAUGAAGGUGGCAAAGGGAACCUUUUGCUCCUCGGAGCAUCCCAAGACAUCAAAUAUCUUUGUGAUCUGCUUUAUCCACGUCUCUGCCUUUAGUGGUUCUAGCCUUCCCAAAAACUCCAGUGGUCCCAACUCCUUAAACUGCUUAAUAGUGACCAUCUGAGAGUUGCCAGUGUUUUUACCUGUAUUUUGAACAGGAGCCGCUCUCGCCUGAUGUUGUAUGAAUUGCAUAAAGCCUCUGAACAUCCCAUCAUUCAUCAUUUGAUCGGUGUUGUUGUUUACCUGAGGAUUAUUGUCUUCAUAUUACAGAUUAUCAUGGGUAUUGAUUAUUGGUGACUCAACGGUCUUCAUUGUUGAUCUCAACAUUCUCAGACGUCAUUUUCAAACACUGCCACAAAACAAGGGUUAAUUGACAUGUCACAUAUUAUCCCUAUACUCUGACCGACCAAUUAAAUACCAAAUAAACUUAGGUAGGUCAUACUAGUGAAGAAAUUCCCCAUCUCUCCCCUCUUAGUUCUUGUCUCACAUCUCAGCUAGGGAUCAUAUCCCUAAGCUUUGAUACCAACUGUGACUCGUAUCCCUUUACUUGGAUAGCACCUCACAAUGAUACCAAUCAACUUUCCACCGCAGAACGGCUUCCCCUACGGAAAUUCUGGCUUCGGUGCAUUCCAAGACUUGGAAGUCACCAGAUAAAGGCUCGGGGCUCUUUACUAUGGCUUAGAUACCAACUAUGAUGCCCCCCAAAAUAGGUAUAUAUCACCCAUCUUGGGUCGCCAAAUACAUGGUACUGAAUACAAAUACAAACUUAAUUAUACAACAUGAGCUGAGUGUUUUUACACGAAUAUUAUCUUCUAGACAAUAUCCAAAUUCAAAUGAAGUCCUCAUUACAUUUAUUGUCACACUAUUUUAUAGAAUAGUGAGGAAUACUAUAACACCAUCUCGGACCAUCACUCCGUUCCCCGACUAGUCUCAGCUACGUUCUCAUUUCCUGAAGAGAACAAUGAAAGCAAAAGGGUGAGCUCAACUAGCAGUACGAAAUAUUAUGACCAAGAUAAUGCAAAAUAAGUUAUCGUUAGCCUUCAACAAUGUUAAACUGAUAGAAUAUAAUAGACAACAAGUUUAACUGCAGCGGAACAAGUAAUCCAUUAGAAGAGUCAAGUAGAGCAUGAUAUCUACUAUCUUCUAUGAUUUAAAAAGUUUUUCAUCAACUUUAUCGCUGAGACUCAUCUUAAUAAAUAAACCACAUCAUCCAAUCAUCCCUACACCACGGCCAAGAAUAUUCAUGUAAUCAUCAAUGGUUAUGAUUAUACCGAUAAUCCCUGGUCAUAAUCAUACCAACAACUGUCCAUCAAUGUACUACAGGUCAAUGAGAACUUUUACCACAUCAUUUGUAACAUUACGGGUCAUGAUUAUACCGAAUGAUCCCUGGUCAUAAUCAUACCAAUCAACAGUCCAUCUAUGCACGUAAGCCAAAGAUGACUUUCAUCACAAUUUAAGCAUGAGGAUGAUGACAAUGAUAUAAGAAUUCAAUUAAAAGAAAUAAAGGAUAAAUUUUUAAAGAUUUAUAAUUUAAUUUAUCCAGGAUUCAAUAAUGUUUAAAUUGCCAAUAUGAUACUGCUUUGUGGAGUAAAAUUCAAGAAUGAUGUUGUAUCAAAAAUGAUUUGGACCGAAAAGGAAUUAAUUUUUGUCAUGAAUAGUACUCCGGGUGAAUAAUACUCCGUGAAUAGUACUUCAGGAAUAGUACCCCAUGAAUAGUACUUUGUGAAUAGUACUCAUAAAUAGUACUUUAUGAAUAGUACUUUAUGAACAGUACUUUAUGAAUAAUACUUUUGUGAAUAGUACCGUAUAAAUGAAUAGUACUCAUGGACAGUACUCCAGCAUGAAAAGCUUAAAAUUUAACAAGAAUGUGCAGAAAAUAUCCUUGUGAAAUGAUACUAGAUGAAUCGCAAAUUUUAAGGAUAUUCUACUAAUUUCACGGAGUAUAGAAACAAUACUUUAACAAAAUGAGGGUAUAAUCAGGAAUACGAGACGAAUUAAUAUUACUCACAUACUAUAGAUUAUGGAAAAAAAUAUUAUUCCUUAUGAAUACUGAACAAAAAUAAUAUCCCUUACCACUGUUGAACAAAAAUAAUAUUCCAACGAAUAUUGAACGAAAAUAAUAUUCCUUACGAAUAUUGAACGAAAAUAAUAUUCUUUACGAAUAUUGAACGAAAAUAAUAUUCUUUAUGAAUAUUGAACAAAAAUAAUAUUCAUACGAAUACGAAAAAUAAUAUCUCUUCUGAAUAUGAAAUAAAUAAUACCCCUUACCUCAGAAGAAGACUGGAUAUUGGAAUAGUGAAGUAGCAGACUUCUCUUCUUCUUUCUCUCUAUAGCUUCUCUCUCUAUAAUUGCUCUUGUGAGUCUUAGUGAAUUGGUGAGAAUGAAAGAAGAAUGAGCUUCUAUUUAUAAGAAAAUAUAGUUUCGAUAAUUGCACGUUUUGGGGCUCGAAAUAUUACAAUAUAAUACCUUCAUCUUUUCCUUCAUUUUUAAUUUAGUCCUGCAAGUAUUAUCUGUAAGACCCCAAAUUAUUAAUAAAUAAAAUUUAAUUUCCUCUAUUUAUUAUUUUGAAAUAGUAAGAGUUGAUUUGAUUAAUGUGGUUAGUUAUGGGUAAAAUGCGCAAAUAUUUCAAAUAAACAGGUGGUUAUAAAAUAUUCAUAUUUUGUCAGGGAAUAUUCGUACGAUGGCGCAGCCUUGUGUGGGCCCCAUAACGGAAAGUGAUUGGAUAAAGAAAAAGACAAAUAUAAGUUGUUUAUAAAUAACGGCGUAGUUGUUACCGUUAAUACUGUUGAAAUACUCGGUGGUUAAAAAACAAUAGCACACGGUAUUGCACCAAUUAUUGAUUCUUAAGUAAGAAGGCAUUACUCAAUAAUUGUUACAGUAGUUAUUGUUCAGUAUUUUAUUUAUUGAUUCAAUAAUUGAUGCAUUGAUAUUUUAUAUUAUUGUUGUUUCAAUAAUUGUCAUUACACAGUAUUUUCCAUUAUCAGACCAAUAAUUCAUAUUAUUUGAAUAAUAUUAUUAGAUAGAAAUAUUGGCAAUGUCUAGAAAGUUCUGUCUAAGGAGAGGUUAGGUCAUCUAAUUGGGCGCCAAUAAAGAGAAAUCCUUAUUGGAAAGCCCCCUCUUUCCUGGGAACUGCCUGGUUGUCAGUAUUGUGAUUCUGUAAUAUUAUUUGUGAAUAAUUAAUUAUUGAUUUAUAUGAUGAGAAAAAUAUUCAUUUUAUGUGGAUAUAGAUGGAGAAAAUUUUUAAAGUGACAAUUGUUGAAAAUUGAUAUUUUAUCUUUUCUGAUAAAAUAAUAUUUUAUUAUAUUAUUAUAAUAUAAUAAUGGUGAAAUUUUUACAAUGAAUGUGGGAUAUAUGAGUAUAUGAGGAGGAAGAGUAUUUUUGUUGUAAUAAAUGUUAAAAACAUGUUAAACAUGUCGGUGGACCCCAUUUCUUGACUGAAAUUUGAUUAUAGCCUGUAAAAUCGUCCGUUUGUGGAUUUUGGUCAAUUUCUGUUUGGAAUUUGGAAAAACGUUCUUCUGCACAGUUGUAGAUAAUGGAAUUUCCUAUGGAAAGGACAUGAGGUUUGAAUUUUUCUGAUAAAGGGGCUAUUUAUUAUGAAUUAUUGAAGUUCUGAAGUUCCGAAAUAAUUGAUUUUUGGAAGUUUUAGUUAUUUUUUUUAAGAAAAAUGUUUUUUUGUUUCAAAUGAGUGAGCUCACAUGUGUUAUAAAUGGGUUGAAUUCAGUUGGUCUAAGGUGGGCUUGAAAAUUUUUAAUUAUAUUAAUAUUUUAUUAAAUUUUCUGCUUUGGUGUUCUAAUCAUUUUCCUAUAAAUAGGGUGCUUAGGUUAGAAUUGAAAAUCACACCAGAAAUUGAAGUUUUCUCUCUCUUUCUCUCUCGAUAUAUUGAGCGUAUUCUUGUGAGUAUUUUAAUACUUUGAGUGUUGCUAUACGGUGCAAGUUCAAGUCAUAGCCUAUAUCCGGUGUUUCAACUAGAAGUAUUAUAUUCUUUCGAGGUAAGUGAUGUUAUUUUUUUAAAAAAUGAUAUUAUUUCUUCUAAUAUCAUUAUGCCAGAAUAUUGGUAAUAUUUUUUUUGUGAAGUUCUUGUCUUUUGGUGUCGGGGUUACUAUUCACGUAUACGACACUAUUCACUAAUACAACACAAUUCACAGAAAAAUUAAAUUUUUGUUUUUUGUCCAAAAUAUCGUUUAUGGAUACUAGCUUUGAUUGUAUCCAUGUUUUGAUCAUUCUUGAAUUUUACUCCACUAUGAUUAUUUAUGAGGUAUUUUUGGACAUGGAUAAACCGAAACACGAAUCCUUAAUAUUUAUUCUUUUGUUUCACUGGAUUCGUUUUCUUUAAAAUAUUUUUCAUCAUCUUCAGUCCUAAAUGAUGAUAUAAUUGAAUAUCCUUGGCCUGUAGUGAAAAGAUUAAUAAUUUUGUGAUGAAUAUCUUUGGCCCGUAGUGCAAAGACCUGUUGAGAUAAACAUGACCGACUGAUGAAUAUCUUUGGCCUGUAGUGCAAAGAUGAAAAUUUUAUUCAAGAUGAAUAUUGAUUGAUAUUAUAGGGAUAAAAUAUUGAUGAUGGACUUUUAAAUUCAUAGAUUAUAGUAGAUUUCAUUCUCUACGUAACUCUUCUAUGAAUUAUUAUUUUUCGCUGCGAAUAUUGAUCUAAAACUGGUUGUUUAUUAUAUUCACUCAGAUUUUUCCCCUUUGAAGACUAACGAUAAUUUGUUUUAUAUUAUCUUAGUCAUAAUAUUCUUUACUGGGCUAGUUGAGCUCACCCUUUUCAUUUUUGUUCCAUUUUUCUUCUAAUGAGGCGAGAAUAUAGCAAGUACUAGUCGGGGUAUGGAUUGAUGGUUCUAGAAGUUGUUUUAGUAGUCCUCACCAUUUUUGGAAAAUAAUGUAUCAAUAAUUGUAAUGAGGACUCAUUUGGGUGUGGAUAUUGUCUAGAAGACAAUAUUUGUAUUUAAACUCACAGUUUUUAUGUUGUAUUAAUAAAGUUGUAGUUGUUUCUGUACCAUGUUAUUGACGACUCAAAAUGGGUGAUGUAUACCUAUUUUGGGGGCGUCACAGUUGGUAUCAGAGCUUAGGGAUAUGAUCUCUGGCGGAGAUCGGAGAAUAGAACUAGGAGGGGAGAGACGAGUAAAUUCUUCGCUAGUGUGUCCUACCUAAGCUUAUUUGUUGGUGGGUCAUAAUAUAGGGGUAUUAUGUGAUCUGUUAAUUUGUUUAAUUAACCCUUGUUUUAUGGCAGUGUUUAAGAAUGUCGACUGAGAAUGUUAACAGUGGAGUACAUGAGACUGUGGAGACGUCUGUACUCACCAAUGAGGAGAACGUGCAACAGGCUGGCAAUGUUCCUCCUGUGAACAACACCACUGAGCAGAUGAUGAAUGACGGGAUGUUUAGAAGCUUUUUGCAGUUCAUGCAAAAUUAGUUGAGGGAGACUCGUGUUCAAAACACUGGUGGAAAUGAUAACAACGCACGGUUUAUCACAACCAAGCAGUUCAAAGAGUUGGGACCACCAGAAUUCUUGGGAAAGCCGGAUCCGAUUAAGGCAGAGACGUGGGUCAAACAAAUUACCAAGAUAUUCGAUGUCUUGGGAUGCUCAGAAGAACAGAAGGUUCCAUUCGCCACCUUUAUGUUUCUUAAUGAGGCAGAUUACUGGUGGGAAUCUGUGAAGCGUACCCAUCUUGCCGCACUUAGCAUGUCUUGGGAAACGUUUCAGAAACUGUUCAAUGACAAGUACUUUCCUGAAAGUAUUCGUCAUAUGAAGGAGGUGGAAUUUAUUAGACUGGAGCAAAACAACAUGACGGUGUCCCAGUACGAGGCGAAGUUUGCAGAGUUAUCCAGGUUUGCACCUCAUUUGGUGGAGAAUGAGGAACGUAUGACGCGGAUGUUUCUGAGAGGUUUGAAACCCGGCAUACGUCAAUAUCUCAUUUCUCAUAAAUUUUCCCUCUAUUCAGAUGUUGUCAACAUGGCUCAAUUAUUAGAGCGAGAUAACAAGUACGUUCAACCGAGGGACAACAACUAGGAUCAUACUGGUGGUAGCAGUCAUUAGAACAACGAUAACCAGCGGAGAAAGAAGAAUACGAACAAAGGCGGUAACCACUCUGGUGGUAAUCAUGACCAUGAUAAUAGAAGAAGCGAAUCGGGGGGAGAUUUUAAAAAGAGGAGAUUCAACAAUGACAAUGCGAAGACUUCAGAACCAGCAGCAACUGGUUCUAAGGGAGGAGAACGACCACCGGUCGUAUGCUAUAAGUGUGGGAAAGAAGGACAUAUCAGUCCAAACUGUCCACAACAGUUUAAGGUAUGCUAUAAUUGUGGAAAGGAAGGACAUAUCGCUCGAGAUUUUACAGUAGCGAAACCAAGUUCAGCAGGGACGGUGACUCAAAAGGCUGUCCCAAAAAAGUCAAAGUCAACGGUUCCUGGAAGAGCAUUUGUCGUAACUGGUCAAAAUGCGAGGAACCCAAACGAGGUAAUCACGGGUAAGCUAAUCAUAAAUUCUUGCGAAGUUUAUACAUUACUAGAUACCGGUGCUACCCAUUCAUUUAUCUCUCCUGCUUGAACUUAACGUUUAAAUUUGACUCCGUAGAAAUUAGACUUUGACUUAUCUGUGGAGACUCAGUUAAGAGAAACUUUCAUCACAUCCACUGUUUAUAAAUCUUUUUUGAUCCAAGUUGGCACCAUCACAUUACCAGUUGACCUUAUCUCUUUAAAGAUACUUACUUUUGAUGUGAUCUUAGGGAUUGAUUGGUUAACUACUCAUCAUGCCAAAAUUGAUUAUUUUCAUAAGGUUGUUAGUUUUCAUAUUCCUAAUCAACCUUUUGUUCGAAUUCAAAUAACUAAACCACUAAAAUCAAUCACUGUUAUAUCAAGCUAUAAAGCCAUUCGUUUAUUAAAAAAUAGAUGUCAAGCUUUCUUAGCCCAUGUUAUGGAUUUGAAUAAAGACACGUCAGAUUUGAAUAAUAUUCCUGUUGUUAAUAACUUUCCUGACGUAUUUCCUGAAGAACUUUCUGGUCUACCCCCAGAACGUGAGGUUGAAUUCUUUAUUGAUCUUGAACCUGGUACAAAGCCCAUUUCUAAAACCCCAUAUCGAAUGGCUCCUAUUGAACUUCAGGAGUUAAAGGUUCAACUACAGGAGUUGUUGGACAUCGGUUUUAUUCGUCCUAGUACAUCUCUUUGGGGUGCUCUUAUUUUAUUCGUAAAGAAGAAAGAUGGGAGUAUGCGACUUUGUAUUGACUACCAGGAGUUAAACCAUGUCACUAUCAAGAAUAGGUAUCCGCUACCUCGUAUCGAUGACCUGUUUGACCAGUUACAAGGAGCACAAUUCUUUUUAAAAAUCGAUCUUUGUUCUGGAUAACAUCAGCUGAAGAUUAGAACUGAGGAUAUUCCAAAGACUGCCUUCAAAACUCGGUAUGGGCAUUAUGAAUUCUUAGUCAUGUCUUUUGGAUUGACUAAUGCUCCUGCGGCUUUCAUGGAUAUGAUGAACCGAGUAUUCAAGGAUUAUUUGGAUCAGUUCGUUGUUGUCUUUAUUGAUGACAUCCUCAUAUAUUCUAAAAGCAGUGAAGAUCAUGAGCACCAUUUGAAGCUGGUACUCCAAAGGCUUCGUGAAAACAAGAUUUAUGCUAAGUUGAAGAAAUGCGAGUUCUGGCUUGAGGAAGUAGCAUUCCUUGGGCACGUGGUGUCAAAACAUGGAGUAUUUAUUGAUCCGGCGAAGAUUGAAGCAAUACAAAGUUGGUAGCAACCGAAGAUGGUGACUGAAGUACGCAGCUUUCUGGGCUUAGCUGGUUAUUAUCGGAGAUUCGUGGAAGGGUUUUCUCGAAUCGCUACUCCAUUAACUCAGCUAACUCGGAAGGAUACAAAAUUCGUAUGGAGCGAAGAAUGCAAGAAGAGUUUCCAAGAACUUAAGAGGAGACUCAUUUCGGCACCUGUUCUGACAAUACCAUCUGGUUCGGAUGGAUUUGUUAUCUACAGUGAUGCUUCGGACAAAGGGUUAGGGUGUGUUCUCAUGCAACAUAGGAAAGUCAUAGCCUAUGCCUCGCGACAACUUAAAGAAUAUGAGAGGAAUUAUUCUACUCAUGAUCUAGAGUUGGCAGCAGUCGUUUUCGCGCUAAAGAUCUGGAGGCAUUAUCUAUAUGGGGAGAAAGUGGAGAUAUAUUCAGACCAUAAAAGCCUCAAAUAUUUCUUCACCCAAAAGAAACUCAACAUGCGGCAACGACGUUGGCUCGAGCUAUUGAAAGACUACGACCAUACCAUUCAAUACCAUCCUGGAAAAGCGAACGUGGUAGCUGACACGUUGAGUAGAAGAUCAUAUUCGGGAGUGCGAUGUUUACAACACAAAGGCCCAUUUUGUGUGAUUUACAAAAGAUGAAGAUAGAAUUCAAGACUCCGAGGACCCAUGAAAUGAUGUCAAGUAUACGUAUAGAACCAACUUUAAUCGAAAAAGUUAAAGUUGCUCAAGCCACAGACCCGAAGCUGAUGCGGAUGAAGAAGAAAGUGCAAGAAGGUGCUAUUCCAGAAGCAAGAAUCGAUGAAGAAGGAAUACUUCGAGUCCACUCCAGACUUUAUGUUCCUAACGACUUUGUUUUGAAAUACAAGAUCAUGACGGAGGCACAUAAUACACCAUUUGCAAUCCAUCCUGGAAGUACCAAAAUAUAUCGUGAUCUUCGACAUACAUUUUGGUGGAACAAUAUGAAGAGAGAGAUUCCAAAGUUUAUCUCGAGGUGUUUAACUUGUCAACGUGUAAAGGCGGAGCAUCAAGUACCUAAGGGUCCGUUGCAACCACUUGAGAUUCUGAAAUGGAAGUGGGUACACAUUACCAUGGAUUUCGUUACGGGUCUUCCCACAGUUUCUCAAGGCAUAAAUGCUAUUUGGGUUAUUGUUGAUAGAUUAACCAAGUCUGCACAUUUCUUGCCGAUACGGGAGACUUAUUCCCUUGAACGUCUUGCUCAUAUGUAUGUAAAUGAGAUUGUGAGAUUGCAUGACAUGACAGUAUCCAUAGUUUCGGAUCGCGACCCAAGAUUCACUUCAAAAUUUUGGGUUAGCUUGCAAAAAGCUAUGGGCACGGAUUUACGAUUCAGUUCGGCAUACCAUCCUCAAACAGAUGGACAAUCAGAGAUGACUAUUCAAACUCUUGAAGAUCUAUUAAGACUCUGUGUCCUAGACUUCAAAGGAAGUUGGAAUAAGUAUUUACCAUUGGUGGAAUUCUCCUACAACAACAGUUAUCAGGCAAGUAUAGGUGUGGCCUCAUUCGAAGCAUUGUAUGGACGAAAGUGUCGCUCUCCAAUAUAUUGGGAUGAGGUGGGUGAAGCAACUUUGUUGGGACCCGAGUUGGUACGUAUGACGACGGAAAAGAUCCAAAUGAUUCGACAACGUAUACAAACGGUACAGGAUCGACAAAAGAGUUAUGCGGAUCUUCAUCGAAAGGACGUGGAAUUUAGUAUUGGGGAUCAUGUAUUGUUGCGAGUUGCUCCAUGGAAGGGAGUUACAAGAUUUGGGAAAAGAGGAAAGCUCAAUCCACGAUUUAUUGGUCCAUUUCAGAUUAUUGACCGAGUAGGAAAUGUGGCCUAUAGACUCGCGUUACCUCUAAGUAUGUCUCGUGUUCAUAAUGUUUUUCAUAUAUCUGUGCUUCGUAAAUAUGUGAAAGACCCGAACCACGUCAUUGAGUUAGAACCAGAUGAAAUAGCCGAAGACGUAACAUACGAGGAGGUACCUGUCAAGAUCUUGGAUAGGAAGGUACAUGUCCUACGCACAAAGGUCAUACCACAAGUUAAAGUUUUAUGGAGGAAACAUGCUAUUGAAGAAAUGACCUGGGAAUUAGAAACAGAAAUGAAAACGAGGUAUCCUCACCUUUUCGAAACACCAGGUAUGCACGUCAAUUUCGAGGACAAAAUUUUAUAAGGAGGGGAGGUUGUAAGACCCCAAAUUAUUAAUAAAUGAAAUUUAAUUUCCUCUAUUUAUUAUUUUGAAAUAGUAAGGGUUGAUNNNNNNNNNNNNNNNNNNNNNNNNNNNNNNNNNNNNNNNNNNNNNNNNNNNNNNNNNNNNNNNNNNNNNNNNNNNNNNNNNNNNNNNNNNNNNNNNNNNNUAUUAAAUUUUCUGCUUUGGUGUUCUAAGCAUUUUCCUAUAAAUAGGGUGCUUAGGUUAGAAUUGAAAAUCACACCAGAAACUGAAGUUUUCUCUCUCUUUCUCUCUUGAUAUAUUGAGCGUAUUCUUGUGAGUAUUUUAAUACUUUGAGUGUUGUUAUACGGUACAAGUUCAAGUCAUAGCCUAUAUCCGGUGUUUCAACUAGAAGUACUAUUCUUUCGAGGUAAGGGAUGUUAUUUUUUUUUUAAAUGAUAUUAUUUCUUCUAAUAUCAUUAUGCCGGAAUAUUGGUAAUAUUUUUUUUGUGAAAUUCUUGUCUUUUGGUGUCGAGGUUACUAUUCACGUAUACGGCACUAUUCACAGAAAAAUUAAAUUUUCAUUUUUUGUCCAAAAUAUCGUUUAUGGAUACUAGCUUUGAUUGUAUUCAUGUUUUGAUCAUUCUUGAAUUUUACUCCACUAUGAUUAUUUAUGAGGUAUUUUUGGACAUGAAUAAACCGAAACACGAAUCCUUAAUAUUUAUUCUUUUGUUUUACUAGAUUCGUUUUCUUUAAAAUAUUUUUCAUCAUCCUCAGUCCUAAAUGAUGAUAUAAUUGAAUAUAUUUGGCCUAUAGUGCAAAGAUUAAUGAUUUUAUGAUGAAUAUCUUUGGCCCGUAGUGCAAAGAUAAACAUGUGUUGAGAUGAACAUGACCGACUGAUGAAUAUCUUUGGCCUGUAGUGCAAAGAUGAAAAUUUAAUUCAAGAUGAAUAUUGAUUGAUAUUACAGGAAUAAAAUAUUGAUGAUGGACUUUUAAAUUCCUAGAUUAUAGUAGAUUUCAUUCUCUACGUAACUCUUCUAUGAAUUAUUAUUUUCCGCUGCGAAUAUUGAUCUAAAACUGGUUGUUUAUUAUAUUCACUCAGAUUUUUUCCCGUUGAAGACUAACGAUAAUUUGUUUUAUAUUAUCUUAGUCAUAAUAUUCUUUACUGGGCUAGUUGAGCUCACCCUUUUCCUUUUUAUUCCAUUUUUCUUCUCAGGAGGCGAGAAUGUAGCAAGUACUAGUCGGGGUAUGGAUUGAUGGUUCUAGAAGUUGUUUUAGUAGUCCUCACCAUUUUUGGAAAAUAAUGUAUCAAUAAUUGUAAUGAGGACUCAUUUGGGUGUGGAUAUUGUCUAGAAGACAAUAUUUGUAUUUAAACUCACAGUUUUUAUGUUGUAUUAAUAAAGUUGUAGUUGUUUCUGUACCAUGUUAUUGACGACUCAAAAUGGGUGAUGUAUACCUAUUUUGGGGGCGUCACAUUAUCAAAUUUGCACCACCUCCCUUAAUAGUACAUUAUGUGAAUCAAUAGUACAUUCAUGUGAAUUAAUAGUUCUAUACAUGUGAAAAAAAAUAGUUACAGUAUAAUACCUUCAUUUAUACCUCCAUUUUUAAUUUAGUCAUGCAAGUAUUAUCAAUCUUGCACCACCUCCCCUAAUAGUACAUGCAUGUGAAUCAACAGUACACACAUGUGAACAAAUAGUUAUAAGCAUAUGAAUUAAUAACAAUUAAUUGCUUAUUUAUCCGAUUAAUUAUCCGAUUGGUCAAUAUAACCUCCAGACAUCAAUUAUCAUCGAAAUAAAUAUCGAUUUCCACUAACACUAAUAAUCCCAACACAAUAGAACUAUCAAUUUCAUCUUUAAUCAACACAAACUUAUUCAUCAUUAAUAUUAUGACUCAUAAUAUUUAACAACCAGGUCAUUCCCAAGAAAGAGGGGGCUUUUCGAUAAGGAUUUCUCCCUAUUGGCGCACAAUUAGAUGGCCUAACCUCUCCUCAACAGAACUUUCUAGACAUUGUCAAUAUUACAAAUAAUAAUAUGAAUAACUUUGUCGUCUCAAUUAUUGAUUUAAUAAUAUAAAAUAUUAUGCAGAUGAUACUGUGACAAUAAUUAAAUCAAUAAUAUGAGAGAUAUAGAUAUUAUGCAACAAUUACUGUAAUAAUAAUUGAGUAUAACUGAGUGACUUCUCACGUAAGCAUCAAUACACUACACCAAAAAUGGCCUCUAGUGAAGGACAAAUCCUUCACUACAGGUCAUAUAUCUCUCACAAGUGAUUUAUUGUAAAGAAAUAUUUUCUUCACAUGAGUGCUCGCAUUAGACCUCCUCGCAAUUGGGUAUCCUUCGCAAAGUAGUAACUAAAUAUUUUUUGUGAAGGAUAUAUUGUGAAUAACUUAUUCCUUCACAAAUUAUAUUUAGUAAUGGAAUAUUUUUAUUUAGUGAAAGAUUGGUUUCCUUCACAAAUAAUAUUUUAAGAAGGACUAUUUGAAAUUAGUGAAUAACUUGAUUCCCUCACAAAUAAUAUAUUGUGAAGAACAAAUUUAUUUAACGAGAGAAUAUUUUCCUUCACUAAUUAUAAAUUGAGAAUCUUUUUUCAAAUUAGUGAAAGAAAAAUUCCUUUACAAAUUAUAAAUUUGUAAAUAAAAAAUUAAUUGCUAAAUAAUCAAAAUUCAUUCAAAAUUAUAAUUAAUUUUCAAAUCAAUGAUUUCAUAUUUAUUAUUAUUACUAUUAUUUUUAGUAAUUGCUAUAAUAAAUAUUAAAUUUAAUAUUUUAAGUUAAUAUAAAUAUCAUACCUAUUUCAAACAAAUUGAUAAACUAAUGCAUAAAGAGCCAAUAAUUAAAACUAAUACUCCAUAUAUAAAUAGAUAAUACUCAAGUCACGAUAAGUACAAAUUUUGUUAUUAUGUCUUUAUCUCCUAAAGAUCAUAGUACUUACAAUAUUUAAUAACUAACACAAGAAAACUGAAAGAAUAACAUCGAACUAGAUAGAAUGAAGUGUACAUCAUGUUAGGUCCACUUCAUCAUCAUUUUUUUCAAGGAAAUCAAGGUUGGACAUGUAAAUUUUCUGUUGCAAAAGAAACACCAAAAUUCAAUUUCAAUAAGAUGAGGAAUAAGAAAAAAUGAGCCUGGUGAACUUAUGCUCUAAUGUGUUGAAUGUGUACUGAUCAAUUUGUACGUUACCUGCUUCAGGAAAAGAGCUGCAGUAAUGGAACCACCCUGACGACCACCGGUGUUGACCAUAUCAACUAACUCCAGAUUCAUGGAGUCCCAACAACUUUCUUCUAAAGGCAACCUCCAAAGUUUUUCUCCAGCAACUUAAAAGGAAAUACAAACAAGUUAUGUUACACAAACUCUUCCCUUUGUCCUAAAGUACCCGUGUCCGACACUCGAUAAUUAGACAAGGACAUGGGCACGGGACACUUUACUUAAGUGUAAAAAAUUUAUAAAACUAAGGAAUACUUGUGUCAAACUCUUCAAAUACCGUAUCCAACCGAACACUCUAUCCAAGUCCGUGUAACAUAGCAAACAAGGGUUGGUAUGAUAAAAUAUUUUUCUUAUAACGGUCAAUAAAAUAUGAUACUAAACUUCAACUCAAGUUGAUUGGAUAUUAUCAAAUUUGAAGGAAUCCGUUCAUGUAAAUUGANNNNNNNNNNNNNNNNNNNNNNNNNNNNNNNNNNNNNNNNNNNNNNNNNNNNNNNNNNNNNNNNNNNNNNNNNNNNNNNNNNNNNNNNNNNNNNNNNNNNNNNNNNNNNNNNNNNNNNNNNNNNNNNNNNNNNNNNNNNNNNNNNNNNNNNNNNNNNNNNNNNNNNNNNNNNNNNNNNNNNNNNNNNNNNNNNNNNNNNNNNNNNNNNNNNNNNNNNNNNNNNNNNNNNNNNNNNNNNNNNNNNNNNNNNNNNNNNNNNNNNNNNNNNNNNNNNNNNNNNNNNNNNNNNNNNNNNNNNNNNNNNNNNNNNNNNNNNNNNNNNNNNNNNNNNNNNNNNNNNNNNNNNNNNNNNNNNNNNNNNNNNNNNNNNNNNNNNNNNNNNNNNNNAUAUAUAUAUAUAUAUAUAUAUAUAUAUAUAUAUAUAUAUAUAUAUAUAUAUAUAUAUAUAAGAAGUCAAUAUCACGAAUUCUGCCUAAAAAAGAAGGAUCAUAGCUUGUUAUUAGACAAUUAUUUCAUGUAUAGUGUGAAGCCAUCAAUAUCAAUGCAUAGUCCCAGAAAUAGUACUUUUUACUAACUGAAGGAAUUAUUGCAACAUUCCUUUGUAUUUUCUUUUAUUUUCCCAUAGCGCAAUAUAUUUAGGGGCUCCAAGCUCCAUAGAGGUUCUGCAAUUCUGCAUAUAGUGGGGACAAACUUGAAGCAUUUUCAUUCCCAAAAGAUAUUUUAGCUAGGGAACCCCAAAAAUCGAAUAUUUACAACAAAAAAAUCACAUGGAACAUCAGGUUUACAAAUUUAGAAGAAUAACUUAAGACAAAACCUUUGUGUCAAUGAUAUGUUACCUUACGUGUGGCCUGUUGUAUGUCCCCAUGCAAAGCAUGUGCUCCAGGUAAUAUCCCAGCUAGUUGAGAAGCAGAAUCUUUUGUCUUCGUGAAAAUGAUUGUACGACCCCCACUGAAACAACACAGCCCAUUAGAUAAGAAAUUGAGAGAAUUAUUAACUUUGUACAAAAUGUCAGAAGAUCAUAAUUCACAAGUUUCAAGCUCUAAAAAGAUUAACCUGCUAUAACAGCAAAUAAUGUCAGGAAUAAACUGUGCUCUGGCAGAAAAAAAAUUGGGCACCACAGCAGUAGCCUUAAUACAAAAAAGAACUGCAAACUAGUGCAUAAGUAACAUUAUUCUCUAGCCAUAGCAUCAGGCAUAGCAGUAACUAUAUUGGCAACACAGAUUCAAGUGGAAGCAGAAUGGAAUUUUCUUGCCUGUAAUAAAAGAGAUUGCACAUUUAGAAGUGAACCAAUUAAAAAACUCUCAUGGAAAAGUAAACUUAUUGCAAUAUAUGCAUAAAUUGAUAUUUCCAGACAAAAAAAUAAUCAUGAUUAAGAGAGAAGUAAACCUUAAAAAGAUCACCCAUCAAAGAAAAGUGUACUGUUGCAGCCUCUUUCCCCAAGCUGUGAACGUCAUGUCACCUAUUGUAAAAUUUUCAGUUCAAAAGAAGAUUUGAAUGUGAUAGCGUCUGCCAGCCACUACCUACUGCUGAUCAUGUCCAUUAAAUAGCAUACAUGUCACCUUUACUAGUUGAAAGAACAGUGUCUGGAGCUAUAAUGCUGCCAGAAGAACCUCCCCUCUUUGUAUGAGGAUGUGUAACCAUGCCCUCCAAGAAUCUUCCAUUCAUCUCCAAGUCAGGUUUUCCAACUAAAUUAUUUUCAAAUUGAUUUUCAUUAUGCGGAGAAGAACCCUACGAGAUUUGUUGUUCAUGGGAUGAACUCGCUAUGCUCAUGUCAUCAUUGGAUUUCUCAUAUUUAGCUCUAGAAAAUAAAAUAGGACAACUCAACCAAUAUUUUUUUUCACAACAAGGUCAGAAGAAAAAUAUCAAAUGGACAACUUCAAGAUUUUGUUUAUGCACUGACACUAAUCCUUUAUAUCCUUGUAAGUGAAUUCCAAAUAAAUGUAAUUAAAAAAUGGUAUACUACAUCUCACUAAAAGGUGAAUUAUUGACUUAGACUAACGUACAUGUUAAAAGUUCCAGUAGAGUCGGUUGAUGAAAGAGGAGCAACUUGAUUCCGUAUUAGGUUAUUUUCUUCCUGUGAAGUAUAUUAUCAGUAUGCAAAUAAAGGACUCCAAACCAUGAACACUUAUAUGCCACCAGCAAAAGAAAAUUGACAUACUAUAUCUGCAGCUUCAAAAGAUUGGCUCAGAGAAUAAUAUUGAUACUGAUGUUGCUUCUCUUGCCUAUCUGACCCAGAAAGAGAACUUGAGCCAUCUCCUAGAUCUUUGUCAGAUAUAGUAUAUGUGUUUCCGAGGAAAGGAAUAGAAGAGAAGUACUAAUUGCUAUACCAAGGGUGUUUGGGCCUUCACAUCUUCAAGGUUGAAAUUCCACCCACUAAUCCCUCGUUUAUAUUCAUUAUGCGCAAAAGUUGUAAGCACGCUAAAUAUCAUUAACUAAUAGCAUAAUAAGAACCAUCAUAUUCAUGCCCAUUGAAAAACAAUUCCACCUAAGGAAAAUCCUAGAAGCAAUGCUCAAGAAUUAAAUUAGUACAGAAAAAAAUGGUUUGCUUGGGAAAAAACCUGUAAGAUGGUUCUAUCAAGUCAUUGAAUAACUUGUCAUCUGUAGGGAAAGUAUAGCAUCACAAAACAUAGUUUUGUAAUGAUCCAUAAUUGAAUAAGAUAUCUUAGGAAAGCAUGAUAGUAGAAAAGAGUUUCAUAUCAUGAUAUCAAGCAUAUAAGUAACAUAAAACUGCUUUUGUUCUUAAUUCUCGAAGAUAUGAUAUUGCAGCUCUGCAUGAAUUAUAGCAUAUUUUAAAAGUUGUAAUCUCCCUGGCAAUAUUUAGUAUAAGGUUAAUCAAUAUAAGGUUUUUACUUACUUACCAUAUUUGACCAAAUCAAGUGUCAAGAGGGUCUUCAUGCCUCUAGAAACCAUAUCCAACAACUUAAAUCUCAUCAUAAUUUUACCAACCCUCUUUUUAUAUGCUGCUUUUAUAACAUACUUUACUUCAAACAAAUGAAGUACCAAUUUUCAACAUGCUGGUGUACACAGAAGAUCACAUUACUCUAGAAUAAAGGCAACCCAAGAGCAGAGUCAAACUGUGAGACCCCAGAUUUUAUGAAAAAAUAUUUAAUUUUCUCGAAAUAAUUUUUUAAAUAUUAUGGUGUGGAUUUGAUAUAAUGUUAUAGUUGUGGGUAGUAUUUAUAAAUUUUGCAAAGUAUGCAACUUGUCAUAUUAUAUUCGUUUGGUCGGGGAAUAUUCUUUUUGUCGAGAAUAUCCGUACGACGACACAAUCAUUGGUGAACCCAUAACGGAAGUACUGUUGUAGUUAGAAAACAACAAAAAUAUUUUAUGAAAAUAACGGCGGAGGUUUUACCGUUAAAACUGUUGAACUACCCGGUAGUAAAAGUAUAGUAAUACGCGUGGUUGCAUAGUAGCACACGGUAUUAAUUAUUGAUGCUUACGUGAUAAGUCACUCAGUUAUACUCCAUUAUUGCUACAGUAAUUGCUGCAUCAUAUCUCUCAUAUUAUUGAUCGAUUAUUGUCACAGUAUCAUGUGCAUAAUAUGUUAUAUUAUUAAAUCAAUAAUUGAGACGACAAAGUUAUUCAUAUUAUUAAAUUGCAAUAUUUACAAUGUCUAGAAGUUCUGUCAAUGAGAGGUUUGGUCAUCUAAUUGCGCGCCAAUAAGGAGAAAUCCUUAUCGGAAAGCCCCCUCUUUCCUGGGAACGACCUGGUUGUUAAAUAUUGUGAGUUAUGAUAUUAAUGAUGAAUAAGUUCGUGUUGAUUAAAGAUGAAUUUGAUAGUUCCAUUGUGUUGGGAUUAUUAGUGUUAGUGNNNNNNNNNNNNNNNNNNNNNNNNNNNNNNNNNNNNNNNNNNNNNNNNNNNNNNNNNNNNNNNNNNNNNNNNNNNNNNNNNNNNNNNNNNNNNNNNNNNNNNNNNNNNNNNNNNNNNNNNNNNNNNNNNNNNNNNNNNNNNNNNNNNNNNNNNNNNNNNNNNNNNNNNNNNNNNNNNNNNNNNNNNNNNNNNNNNNNNNNNNNNNNNNNNNNNNNNNNNNNNNNNNNNNNNNNNNNNNNNNNNNNNNNNNNNNNNNNNNNNNNNNNNNNNNNNNNNNNNNNNNNNNNNNNNNNNNNNNNNNNNNNNNNNNNNNNNNNNNNNNNNNNNNNNNNNNNNNNNNNNNNNNNNNNNNNNNNNNNNNNNNNNNNNNNNNNNNNNNNNNNNNNNNNNNNNNNNNNNNNNNNNNNNNNNNNNNNNNNNNNNNNNNNNUACUAUUCAUGAGUUACUAUUUAUGAGUUACUAUUCACGAGUUACUAUUCAUGAGUUACUAUUCAUAAGUACUAUUCAUGGGAUACUAUUCACCCGAACAAUAUAUUUAUUUUCGGUCCAAAUCAUUUUUGGGUACAAUAUUAUUCCAUGAGGAAAUGUGCUAAUUUUUCAUACCGUUGGUUGAAAUUAUAAUAGUAAAUCAAUAUGGAUCGUUGAUUUAAAGUUUUAAUAGUAACUUGCCCUUUCAGUUUUCCAAUAGUUACUUGUCUCUUCGGUGUUGUAAGGGUUAAUUUCCCCUUCGUAAAUAGUAGUUGUUUCUUCAAUAUUACCAAGAGUUAUUUGCCUCUUCGGUGUUCCAAGAGUUAAUUGCCCCUUCGCAAAUAGUAGUUGUCACUUCAAUAUUACCAAGAGUCAUUUUGACCCUUCGUUAAGACCAAGAGCCACUCUCAGUUUUUCUAUAAAUAGAAGCUCAUUCCUUCAUUAUUUCUUACGAGUUCACUAAAACUCUUGAGAGAGAAACUAUAGAGAGAAAGAAGAAAAGUAUUCUGCUACUUCACUACUCCAGUAUCCAACUUCUUUCUAAGGUAAGGGAUAUUAUUUGUUAUACCUGUAAGGGGUAUUAUUUCUUUCUUAUUCAUAAAGAGAACUUCUGUUAUUCCAUUCUUUAUUAUUCUGUUGGAAUAACCUGUAUACGUGGAAUACCCUAUACUUGGUGAAAUCCUUCUGUUAUUCCAUUCUUUAUUAUUAUGUUGGAAUAACAUGUUUAUGCGAAGUACUGCAUACAUGGUGAAGUUCUUCUAUUAUUCCAUUCUAUAUUAUUAUGUUGGAAUAACCUGUCUAUGCGAAGUACCGCAUACAUGGUAAAAUUCUUCUAUUAUUCCAUUCUAUAUUAUUAUGUUGGAAUAACCAGUUUAUGCGAAGUACCACAUACAUGGUGAAAUUCUUCUAUUAUUCCAUUCUUUAUUAUUCUGUCGGAAUAUCCUGUCGGUGCGAAUUUCGCCUGACUUGGUUCCAUUUAUUAUUCUGUUGGAAUAAUCUGUAUACGUGGAUUACCGUAUACCUGGUGAUUUCUGUUGUUAUUUCAUUCUUUAUUAUUCUGUUGGAAUAACCUGUAUAUGCGGAUUACCGUAUACCUGGUGAUUUCUGUUGUUAUUCCAUUCUUUAUUAUUCUGUCGGAAUAUCCUGUCUGUACGUUUACGCCGAACCUGGUUCCAUUAUUUAUUAUUCUGUUGAGAAUAACCUGUCGGUGCGAUCUAUCGCAUGCAUGGUGAUUUCUUCUGUUAUUCCAUUCUUUAUUAUUCUGUUGGAAUAACAUGUCUAUGUGGAUUACCACAUGCAUGGUGAAUGAUCCUUUGUAUUCAUUCCUUAUUAAAUUAUGGAAAUGAUCUAUAUACGUGGAUUACCGCAUGGCGGACGAAAAUCCAUUUGCAGUUUCAUAUAUUCUCUUAUAUUCAGUUCGUUAAAUCUUUGACUUCUAUACUCCGUGAAAUUAGUGGAAUAUCCUUGAUAUUUGCGCUUCAUCCAGUAUCUUUUCAUGGAAAUAUUCUUCUGAGCAUUCUUGAAUUUUACUCUAUAAAGAAGUAUUCCGUUGACAAUUUGGACAUUAUUGAGUUCAGGAUAAAUUAACUUAUAAAUCUUUAGAAUUUGUUCUUGAACUUGUUUUAUUGAAUUAUUAUGUCAUUGUCAUGAUGAGUUAUGUUGGUUAUUAUGUGAAAACAUGAAAGUUUUUUAGAAAUCACAAAGGGUUGAAAAAUCAGAUUUUGGUGAAAAUGGAACAUGAAAUUCAAUUGACCAUAUCUCCUAUUAUAUUUCGAGUUUUGGUCAAGUUCUAGAGUUAGUUCUAUGAAUUUUGUAACUUAUCCAAGUGGAAUCACUGGAAAAGAUGUUGUAGAUUUUCAUGUGGACAGAUUUUAGCAAAGGAGUCAAAAGCUAUAAAAAACCAAAAAGUUGCUGUCCAAAAUUUUGCAAGGGCUGUUUCGGCCACUUAAUUUGUGAGAAAAUUUCUGACCUUUUGGGACAUGAAAGUAUGUGGUAUAAAGUACCUCCUGUCCAAAAAUGAGCUCAUUCCGACUUAAAAUGAGCAAGUUAUGACCAUUUCAAUAUUUAGAUUUUUCCGACGAAAAACGCUAUAACCGGAGUUCUAUAACUCCGAUGACUAUGAAAUUUAAACUGGAAGCUCAUGUUAACCUGUGUAAGAUCCUGCCAAGAUUUGGGUAUUUCUGGAUUUAACCUUGAGGUAGCUAAUUUCUUAAGAAAUUAAUUAGAAAUUGAUUUUUGAAAAAUAGUAAAUGAAUUUUAAAAAUGUCGAGAAAAAUAUAUGUUCAAUAUGGGACUAUAUUAUGCUUAAUCCCAGAAAAGAAUAAUUUUUGAGACUGAUUAGGUAUUUUUCAUAAAAAUAGUUUAGUUACGAACAUGUGAGUUAAAUAUGUUAUGUAGAGUUGAAGAAUUGGUAAAUAGGAUUUUAGGGCUUGAAAAUCCUAAAUAAGAUAUAUGCAUAUUUUUGAUGAGUGAUUUGAUCAUUAGUGAUGAAAUCUUAUGAGUAUAGCAUUUUUGAAUGAUUAAAUGCAUUAUUUGGUAAAGUGUAAAUAAUUAGAAUAAAUUGUUCAUAAGUUUAAGAAGUGAUUAAAUUAUUGUUGUUAUAUUAACAAUAUUAGAUUAUAAUUUUAUUAAGUGAUUGAUAAUGUUUGGAUAAAUUUAAAGUCUUUAAUAUUUAUCCUUGAUUUAGUUUGAUUAUUGCUUAUGAUGUUGUCAUCAUCCUCAUAAUUAUAUUAUUUUGAAAGUCAUCUGUGGCCUAUAGUGCAUAGAUGGACAUGGUAUGAUUAUGACCGGGGAUUAUUCAGUAUAAUCAUGACGGUAAUGUUACAAAUGAUGUGGUAAAAGUCCUCAUUGGCCCGUAGUGCAUUGAUCGACAGUUUUUGGUAUAAUUAUGGCUAUGGAUUCUCUUCGGCCAAGGUUGCAAAGAUGAAUUAUUUUAUAACAUGAUCAGGACCGUUGAUAAAAACACGAUUAUCUUUGGCCCGUAGUGCAUGGAUAAUUUGUGGUUGUGAUACUAAUGAAAAAGUCCUCAUUGGCUCGUAGUGCAUUGAUGGACAGUUUUUGGUAUGAUUAUGGCUAUGGAUUCUCUUCGGCCAAGGAUGCAAAGAUGAAUUAUUUUAUGGCAUGAUCAAGACCGUUGAUGAAAACACUAUUAUCUUUGGCUUGUAGUGCAUGGAUAAUUCGUGGUCGUGAUACUAAAGAAUAACAUUGGCCUGUAGUGCAGGGAUGAUUUGAUGAUGUGAAUUAUUUAUUGAGCUGAGUCUCAGCGAUUAAAGUGAUGAAAAACCUUUUAAAUCAUAGAAGAUAGUAUAUUUUAUUCUGUAUUUGACUUUUCUAAUGGAUUACUUGUUCCGCUGCAGUUAAACUUGAUGUUUGUUAUAUUGUAUCAGUUUAACACUGUUGAAGGCUAACGAUAAUUUAUUUUGCAUUAUCUUAGUCAUAAUAUUUCUUACUGGGCUAGUUGAGCUCACCCUUUCUUUCAUUGUUCUCUUCAGGAAAUGAGAAUGUAGCUGGGACUAGUCCGGAAACAAAGUGAUGGUCCUAGAUGGUGCAUUAGUAGUCUUCACUAUUAUGUGAAAUAGUGUAAUAAUAAAUGCAAUGAGGGCGCCAUUGGGUGUGGAUAUUGUCUAGAAGGCAAUAUUUUUGUAUAAACUCCCAGCUUAUGUUUUGUCGUAUUAUACACGACAGUUGUAUUAUUAAGUUGUAUUUGAAUUUAUGUACCAUAUAUCUGGCGACUCAAGAUGGGUGAUGUAUACCUAAUUUUGGGGGCGUCACAGUUGGUAUCAAAGCUUAGGGAUAUGAUCCCUAGCUAAGAUGUGAGACAAGAACUAGGAGGGGAGAGACGGGGAAUUCCUUUGCUAGUAUGACCUACCUAAGUUUAUUUGGUAUUUAAUUGGUCGGUCAGAGUAUAGGGAUAAUAUGUGAUAUGUUAAUUAACACUUAUUUUGAAACUAUGUUCUAGAAUGAUAUUUGAAAUAUAGGAGAUGAGAAAUGGGAAAAUCAUGAUAAAACGGAAUUAACUAGGAUGGUACAAUCUGAAAAGAAGUCAAAAGUUGUAAAUUGGGAUUUUCCUGUACAAUCAUGAUAGAACGGAAUUAACUGGGAUUUUCGUGUGGACUGAUUUUAGCAAAGGAGUCAAAAGUUGUAAAUUACAAAAAUGCUACUGCCCAUAUUUUUAAAAGGGCUGUUUUGGCCACUUAAUUUAUAAGAAAAAUUCUGGCCUUUUGGGACAUGAAAGUAUAUGGUAUAAAGUACCUCCUGUCCAAAAAUGAGCUCAUUUCGACUUAAAAUGAGCAAGUUAUGACCAUUUCAAUAUUUAGGUUUUUCCAACGAAAAACGCUAUAGCGGGAGUUCUAUAACUCCGAUGACCAUGAAAUUUAAACUGGAAGCUCACGUUAACAUGUGUAAGAUCCUGCCAAGAUUUGGGAAUUUUUGGAGUUAACCUUGAGGUAGCUAAUUUCUUAAGGAAUUAAUUAGAAAUUGAUUUUUAAAAAAUAGUAAAUGAAUUUUAAAAAUUCUGAGAAAAAUAUAUGUUCAUUAUGGGACUAUAUUAUGCUUAAUUCCAGAAAAGAAUAAUUUUUGGGACUAAUUUGGUAUUUUUCAUAAAAAUAGUUUAGUUACGAACAUAUGAGUUAAAUAUGUUAUGUGAAGUUCAAGAAUUGGUAAAUAGGAUUUUAGGGCUUGAAAAUCCUAUAUAAGGUAUAUGUAGAUUUUUGAUGAGUUAUUUGAUCAUUGGUGAUGAAAUCUUAUGAAUAUGACAUUUUUGAAUGAUUAAAUGCAUUAUUUGGUAAAGUGUAAACAAUUAGAUUAAAUUGUUUAUAAGUUUAAGAAGUGAUUAAAAUAUUGUUAUUGCGACGACCCCAAAAUUAGGUAUACAUCACCCAUCUUGAGUCGUCAGAUACAUGGUACAUAAAUUCAAAUACAACUUAAUAAUACAACUGUCGUGUAUAAUACGACAAAACAUAAGCUGGGAGUUUAUACAAAAAUAUUGCCUUCUAGACAAUAUCCACACCCAAUGGCGCCUUCAUUGCAUUUAUUAUUACACUAUUUCACAGAAUAGUGACGAAUACUAAUACACCAUCUAGGACCAUCACUCUGUUCCCCGACUAGUCCCAGCUACAUUCUCAUUUCCUGAAGAGAACAAUGAAAGAAAGGGUAAGCUCAACUAGCCCAAUAAGAAAUAUUAUGACUAAGAUAAUGCAGAAUAAAUUAUCGUUAGCCUUCAACAGUGUUAAACUGAUACAAUAUAACAAACAUCAAGUUUAAUUGCAGCGGAACAAGCAAUCCAUUAGAAGAGUCAAAUAUGGAAUAAAAUCUACUAUCUUCUAUGAUUUAAAAGGUUUUUCAUCACUUUAAUCGCUGAGACUCAGCUCAAUAAAUAAUCCACAUCAUCAAAUCAUCCCUGCACUAUAGGCCAAGGAUAUUCUUUAGUAUCACGACCACGAAUUAUCCAUGCACUACGAGCCAAAGAUAAUAGUGUUUUCAUCAACGGUCUUGAUCAUACUAUAAAAUUAUUCAUCUUUUCACCCUUGGCCGAAGAGAAUCCAUAGCCAUAAUCAUACUAAAAAUUGUCCAUCAAUGCACUAUGGGCCAAUGAGGACAUUUUCAUUAGUAUCACAACCACAAAUUAUCCAUGCACUAUGGGCCAAAGAUAAUCGUGUUUUUAUCAACGGUCCUGAUCAUGUUAUAAAAUAAUUCAUCUUUGCAACCUUGGCCGAAGAGAAUCCAUAGCCAUAAUUAUACCAAAAACUGUCGAUCAAUACACUACGGGCCAAUGAGGACUUUUACCACAUCAUUUGUAACAUUACGGUCAUGAUUAUACCGAAUAAUCCCUGGUCAUAACCAUACCAUGUCCAUCUAUGCACUACAGGCCACAGAUGACUUUCAACAUAAUAUAAUUAUGAGGAUGAUGACAACAUUAUAAGCAAUAAUCAAACUAAAUCAAGGAUAAAUAUUAAAGACUUUAAAUUUAUCCAAACAUUAUCAAUCACUUAAUAAAAUUAUAAUCUAAUAUUGUUAAUAUUACAACAAUAUUUUAAUCACUUCUUAAACUUAUGAAUAAUUUAUUCUAAUUGUUUACACUUUACCAAAUAAUGCAUUUAAUCAUUCAAAAAUGCCAUACUCAUAAAAUUUUAUCACCAAUGAUCAAAUCACUCAUCAAAAAUAUGCAUAUACCUUAUUUAGGAUUUUCAAGCCCUAAAAUCCUAUUUACCAAUUCUUCAACUCUACAUAACAUAUUUAACUUAUAUGUUCGUAACAAAACUAUUUUUAUGAAAAAUACCAAAUCAGUCCCAAAAAUUAUUCUUUUCUGAGAUUAAGCAUAAUAUAGUCCCAUAUUGAACAUAUAUUUUUCUCGACAUUUUUAAAAUUCAUUUACUAUUUUUCAAAAAUCAAUUUCUAAUUAAUUUCUUAAGAAAUUAGCUACCUCAAGGUUAAAUCCAGAAAUUCCCAAAUCUUGGCAGGAUCUUACACAUGUUAACGUGAGCUUCCAGUUUAAAUUUCAUAGUCAUCGGAGUUAUAGAACUCCCGUUAUAGCGUUUUUCGUUGGAAAAACCUAAAUGUUGAAAUGGUCAUAACUUGCUCAUUUUAAGUCGGAAUGAGCUCAUUUUUGGACAGGAGGUACUUUAUACCAUAUACUUUCAUGUCCCAAAAGGCCAGAAUUUUUCUCACAAAUUAAGUGGUCGAAACAUCCCUUUUAAAAAUAUGGGCAGUAGCAUUUUUGUAAUUUACAACUUUUGACUCAUUUGCUAAAAUCAGUCCACACGAAAAUCUAUAACACCUUUUACAGUGAUUCCACUUGGAUAAGUUAAUAAACUCAUAGAUCUAACUCUAGAACUUGACCUCACUCAAAAAUUUAAAAUAUACUAGGAGAUAUGGUCAAUUGAAUUUUAUGUUCUAUUUUCACCAAAAUCUAAUUUUUCAACCCUUUGUGAUUUCUAAGAAACUUUCAUGUUUUACAUAAUAACCAACAUAACUCAUCAUAACACUUAUUAAUACCAUAUAUACCCAUGAUUUUCAUCAGUCCAAUACUUUUAUUAUGACUUUCAUCAUAAUCCAUGUAAACAAAUCAUUUCCACAAUUUAAUAAGGAAUGAAAUACAAAGGAUCAUUCACCAUGCAUGUGGUAAUCCACAUAGACAGGUUAUUCCAACAGAAUAAUAAAGAAUAGAAUAACAGAAGGAUUUACCAUGCAUGCGAUAGAGACCGCACAGACAGGUUAUUCCCAACAGAAUAAUAAAGACGGAACCAGGUCCGGCGUAAAACGCACAGACAGGAUAUUCCAACAGAAUAAUAAAGAAUGAAAUAAAAAUAGAAAUCACCAUGCAUGCGAUAGACCGCAGAGACAGGUUAUUCCAACAGAAUAAUUAAUGGAACCAGGUCAGGCAUAAUACGCACCGACAUCAUAUUCCGACAGAAUAAUAAAGAACGGAAUAAUAGAAGAAUUUCACCAUGUAUGCGGUACUUCGCAUAAACAGGUUAUUCCAACAUAAUAAUAAAGAAUGGAAUAACAGAAGAAUUUCACCAAGUAUAGGGUAGUCCACGUAUACAGGUUAUUCCAACAGAAUAAUAAAGAAUGGAAUAACAGAAGUUCUCUUCAUGAAUACGAAAGAAAUAAUACCCCUUACGAGUACAACAAAUAAUAUCCCUUACCUUUGAAAGAAGAGUAUUCCGACUGGUAGGGCGAGGAUAUACUCGAAGAAAACUUGUACUACGCUCAAAGCUUUCUUAAACUCUAAAGAAAUACGCUCAAGAUUAUAGAAGAAGAAUUCUCUCUAUAGUUUCUCUCUCUAGAGUUUCAGUGAAUUCGUAAGAAAUAAUGAAUGAAUGAGCUUCUAUUUAUAGAAGAAUGGACUGCAUAGUAACUAAUUCAUGAACGGUCCAGAUUGAUUUACUUUAAUCGGACGGUCCAGAUUUAAAGAAAAAUCUUUACAAUAAAAUAUAAUAUAUUCUAUUUAUAAUCUAAUAAAAUGAAUAACUUUAUAAAAGUAUUAUGUUUUAUAUAAAAAGAUUUUACUAUCCAAAACACUAUACAGGCACUAUGCAAACACUAUGCAUAAUAAAAUAUAAUAUAAUCUAAUUAUUGUCUAAUAAAAUGAAUAACUUUAUAAAAGUAUUCUGUUUUAUAUAAAAAGAUUUUAUUAUUAGCCUAAUAAAAUGAAUAACUUUAUAAAAGUAUUCUGUUUUAUGUAAAAAGCUUUUCUGUUUUAUUACACUAAUAAAACAAAACUGAGUGACUUAUCAUAUAAACAUUAAUAAUCAAUUCCGUUGCGGGAUCCACCAAUGAUUGUGUCGUCGUACGAAUAUUCCCCGACAAAAAUAAUAUUCCCCGACCAAUCGAACAACUUGCAUACUUUGAAAAUUUAUAAAUAUUACCCACAACUAUUAUAUCAAAUCCACACCAUAAUAUUUAAAAAAAAAAUUUAUUUUGAGAAAAUUAAAUAUUUAUUCAUAAAAUCCGGGGACUCACAAUCUCUCCUCCUUAUGGAAUUUCGCACUUGAAAUUUACGUACGUACCUGAUAUUCGAAGAGAUGACCUUGCUUUCUUUUCGGAUUGUACCAUCCCAGUUAAUUCCGUUCCAUCAUAAUUUUCCCAUUUCUCAUCUCCUAUAUUUCAAAUAUCAUUCUAGAACAUAGUUUCAAAAUAAGGGUUAAUUAACAUAUCACAUAUUAUCCCUAUACUCUGACCGACCAAUUAAAUACCAAAUAAACUUAGGUAGGUCAUACUAGCGAAGGAAUUCCCCGUCUCUCCCCUCCUAGUUCUUGUCUCACAUCUUAGCUAGGGAUCAUAUCCCUAAGCUUUGAUAGCAACUGUGACGCCCCCAAAAUUAGGUAUACAUCACUCAUCUUGAGUCGCCAGAUAUAUGGUACAUAAAUUCAAAUACAACUUCAUAAUACAACUGUCGUGUAUAAUACGACAAAACAUAAGCUGGGAGUUUAUACAAAAAUAUUGCCUUAUAGACAAUAUUCACACCCAAUGGCGCCCUCAUUGCAUUUAUUAUUACACUAUUUCACAGAAUAGUGAGGACUACUAAUGCACCAUCUAGGACCAUCACUCUGUUUCCAGACUAGUCCCAGCUACAUUCUCAUUUUCUGAAGAGAACAAUGAAAGAAAGAGUGAGCUCAACUAGCCCAGUAAGAAAUAUCAUGACUAAGAUAAUGCAGAAUAAAUUAUCGUUAGCCUUCAACAGUGUUAAACUGAUACAAUAUAACAAACAUCAAGUUUAACUGCAGCGGAACAAGUAAUCCAUUAGAAGAGUCAAAUAUAGAAUAAAAUAUACUAUCUUCUAUGAUUUAAAAGGUUUUUCAUCACUUUAAUCGCUGAGACUCAGCUCAAUAAAUAAUCCACAUCAUCAAAUCAUCCCUGCACUACAGGCCAAGGAUAUUCUUUAGUAUCACGACCACGAAUUAUCCAUGCACUACGGGCCAAAGAUAAUCGUGUUUUCAUCAACAGUCUCAUGCCAUAAAACAAUUCAUCUUUGCACCAUUGGCCGAAGAGAAUCCAUAGCCAUAAUCAUACCAAAAAUUGUCCAUCAAUGCACUACGGGACAAUGAGGACUUUUUCAUUAGUAUCACAACCACAAAUUAUCCAUGCACUACGGGCCAAAGAUAAUCGUGAUUUUAUCAAUGGUCCUGAUCAUGUUAUAAAAUAAUUCAUCUUUGCAACCUUGGCCGAAGAGAAUCCAUAGCCAUAAUUAUACCAAAAACUGUCGAUUAAUGCACUACGGGCCAAUGAGGACUUUUACCACAUCAUUUGUAACAUUACGGUCAUAAUUAUACCGAAUAAUCCCUGGUCAUAAUCAUACCAUGUCCAUCUAUACACUAAAUGCCACAAAUGACUUUCAACAUAAUAUAAUUAUGAGGAUGAUGACAACAUUAUAAACAAUAAUCAAACUAAAUCAAGGAUAAAUAUUAAAGACUUUAAAUUUAUCCAAACAUUAUCAAUCACUUAAUAAAAUCAUAAUCUAAUAUUGUUAAUAUUACAACAAUAUUUUAAUCACUUCUUAAAUUUAUGAAUAAUUUAUUCCAAUUGUUUAUACUUUACUAAAUAAUGCAUUUAAUCAUUCAAAAAUGCCAUACUCAUAAGAUUUCAUCACCAAUGAUCAAACCACUCAUCAAAAAUAUGCAUAUACCUUAUUUAGGAUUUUCAAGCCCUAAAAUCCUAUUUACCAAUUCUUCAACUCCACAUAACAUAUUUAACUCAUAUGUUCGUAACUAAACUAUUUUUAUGAAAAAUACCAAAUCAGUCCCAAAAAUUAUUCUUUUCUGGGCUUAAGCAUAAUAUAGUCCCAUAUUGAACAUAUAUUUUUCUCGACAUUUUUAAAAUUCAUUUACUAUUUUUCAAAAAUCAAUUUCUAUUUAAUUCCUUAAGAAAUUAGCUACUUCAAGGUUAACUCCAGAAAUUUCUAAAUCUUGGCAAGAUCUUACACAUGUUAACAUGAGCUUCCAGUUUAAAUUUCAUGGUCAUCGGAGUAAUAGAACUCCGGUUAUAGCGUUUUUCGUCAGAAAAACCUAAAUAUUAAAAUGGUCAUUACUUGCUCAUUUUAAGUCGGAAUGAGCUCAUUUUUGGACAGGAGGUACUUUAUACCAUAUACGUUCAUGUCCCAAAAGGCUAGAAUUUUUCUCAAAAAUUAAGUGGCCGAAAUAGCCCUUUUAAAAAUAUGGGCAGUAGCAUUUUUGUAAUUUACAACUUUUGACUCCUUUGCUAAAAUCAGUCCACACGAAAAUUUACAACACCUUUUACAGUGAUUCCACUUGGAUAAGUUAAUAAACUCAUAGAUAUAACUCUUGAACUUAACCUCACUCAAAAAUUCAAAAUAUAUUAGUAGAUAUGGUCAAUUGAAUUUCGUGUUCCAUUUUCACCAAAAUCUGAUUUUUCAACCCUUUGUGAUUUCUAAGAAACUUUCAUGUUUUCACAUAAUAACCAACAUAACUCAUCAUAACACUUACUAAUACCACAUAUACCCAUGAUUUUUAUCAGUCCAAUGCUUUUAUUAUGACUUUCAUCAUAAUCCACGUAAACAGAUCAUUUCCACAAUUUAAUAAGGAAUGAAAUACAAAGGAUCAUUCACCAUGCAUGUGGUAAUUCACAUAGACAAGAUAUUCCAAUAGAAUAAUAAAGAAUGGAAUAAAAGAAGGUUUCACCAAGCAUGCGAUAGAGACCGCACAUACAGGUUAUUCCCAACAGAAUAAUAAAGACGGAACCAGGUCUGGCGUAAAACACACAUACAGGAUAUUCCAACAGAAUAAUGAAGACGGAACCAGGUCCGGCGUAAAACGUACAGACAGGAUAUUCCAACAGAAUAAUAAAGAAUUGAAUAACAACAGAAAUCACCAUGCAUGCGAUAGACCGCACAGACAGGUUAUUCUAACAGAAUAAUUAAUGGAACCAGGUCAGACGUAAUACGCACCGACAGGAUAUUCCGACAGAAUAAUAAAGAACGAAAUAAUAGAAGAAUUUUACCAUGUAUGCGGUACUUCGCAUAAACAGGUUAUUCCAACAUAAUAAUAAAGAAUGGAAUAACAGAAGUUCUCUUCAUGAAUACAAAAGAAUAAUACCCCUUACGAGUACAACAAAUAAUAUCCCUUACCUUUGAAAGAAGAGUAUCCCGACUGGUAUGGCGAGGAUAUACUCGAAGAAAACUUGUACUACGCUUAAAGCUUUCUUAAACUCUAAAGAAAUACGCUCAAGAUUAUAGAAGAAGAAUUCUCUCUAUAGUUUCUCUCUCUAGAGUUCAGUAAAUUCGUAAGAAAUAAUGAAUGAAUGAGCUUCUAUUUAUAGAAGAAUGGACUGCAUAGUAACUAAUUCAUGAACGGUCCAGGUUGAUUUACUUUAAUCGGAUGGUCCAGAUUUAAAGGAAAAUCUUUUAAAUAAAAUAUAAUAUAUUCUAUUUAUAAUCUAAUAAAACGAAUAACUUUAUAAAAGUAUUCUGUUUUAUAUAAAAAGAUUUUACUAUUAGCCUAAUAAAACGAAUAACUUUAUAAAAGUAUUCUGUUUUAUAUAAAAAGUUUUUCUGUUUUAUUACACUAAUAAUACUAAUAAAACAAAACUGAGUGACUUAUCACAUAAGCAUUAAUAAUCAAUACCGUGUGCUACUAUGCAACCGCGCGUAUUACUGUACUUUUAACACCGAGUGUUUCAACAGUUAACGGUACAACUUCCGCCGUUAUUUUCAUAAAAAUAUUUUUUUGUUUUCUCAAUCCGAUAAUAAUUCCGUUGCAGGGUCCACCAAUGAUGUGCCAUCGUACGAAUAUUCCCCGACCAAUCGAACAACUUGCAUACUUUGAAAAUUUAUAAAUAUUACCCACAACUAUUAUAUCAAAUCCACACCAUAAUAUUCAAAAAAAAAAAAAUUAUUUUGAGAAAAUUAAAUAUUUAUUCAUAAAAUCUAGGGUCUCACAGUUAUAAUAUUAACAAUAUUAGAUUAUGAGUUUAUUAAGUGAUUGAUAAUAUUUUGAUAAAUUUAAAGUCUUUAAUAUUUAUCCUUGUUUUCGUUUGAUUAAUGCUUAUAUCAUUGUCAUCACUCUCAUGUUUAUAUUGUGAUUAAAGUCAUCUUUGGCGUACGUGCAUAGAUGAACUUGGUAUGAUUGUGACUAGGGAUUAUUCGGUAUAGUCAUGACCGUAAUGUGACGAAUGAUGUGGUAAAAGUCCUCAUUGGCCUAUAAUGCAUUGAUGGACAGUUUUUGGUAUGAUUAUGACCAGGGAUUGUUCGGUAUAGUCAUGACCAUUGAUGAUUUAAUGAAUAUCCUUGGCCCGUAGUACAAGGAUGAUUAGAUGAUGUGAUUUAUUUAUUAAGCUGAGUCUCAGCGAUAACAAUAAAAAAAACUGAUGAAAAUAUUUUAAAACCAUAGAAGAUAGUAGAUUUUAUUCCUUACUUGACUCUUCUAAUGGAUUGCUUAUUCCGCUGCAGUUAAACUUGAUGUCUAUUGUAUUUUAUCAGUUUAACAUUGUUGAAGACUAAUGAUAAUUUAUUCUGCAUUAUCUUAGUCAUAAUAUUUCUUACUGGGCUAGUUGAGCUCAUCCUUUCUUUCACAGUUCUCUUCAGGAAAUGAGAAUAUAGCUGGGACGAGUCAGGGAACGGAGUGACAAUCUAGAUGAUAGCAUUAGUAGUCCUCCCUAUGGCAUGACAUGCAAUAUAUAAUUGUAAUUAGGACUCAAUUGAGAGUGGAUAUUGUCUAGAAGGCAAUAUUAUUGUUUAAACUCCCAGUUUAUCUUUUGUCGUAUUUUACACGACAGUUGUAUAAUUAAGAUGUAUUUGAAUUUAUGUACCAUGUUGACUCAAGAUGGGUGAUAAAUACCUAUUUUUGGGGGCGUCACACAAACAUUCGGGAAUUCACAAAUUACAAGUUAAUCAAUAUAAGAUUUUUAAUCAAAAAAUACAAAUUUUUUUACCCAAUGUUAUACAAACAUUUGCGAUUUUCUAACAAAAAACACAAAAUCUAAGUCAAAUCUCUCUUAAUUGCAAAGAGGUAAUUAGCAACUAAAAAUUAAGUAAAAAUAUAACUCAAUAACAGCUAAUAGUGGAAUCCGUGACUUGGAAUGGCCAAGUUAAAUACACUUAAACUCAAACACACCAUUCAUUGCAAUGAAUUCACAAGAUUCACAAAUUAGAAGAAAUAAAUGAAUUAAAGUAACAAUUCCAUAAACCCCAAUUGCUAUAAUAGGCGAGAGAGCUAGAGAGGCAAGAUGUAGAUUAAUAGAUUAUCAUUACCAAUUGGAAGAGCCGAAGAUGAGACUGGAAAUUAAUAAAAUUACCCAAAAAAACCUGUAGUCUGAAGAUUAGAGGAACAAUAUUUGUUCCUACAAUUAAAAAUAAUUAAGAAUAUUUAGAAAUGAACUGUUUGUUUUGUUGUGACUUACAAUCCGACCGGAACUGUCGAGAUGAGAAGCGAUAGUCCGAUGCCUAGGGUUUUGCGAUUCGAGAAAUUGUGGCCAAUCCGAGUCAUCAGCGCCGCGUCCGCUGGCGUCGCCACCCCACCUGCCAUGAAGUGCACCACCGAAAACCUCCCCAGCUGCUUUUUCUGCAUCACCAAAUCAUAUGGAGCUGCGAUUUUCUUGGCGAACGUAAAAACCUCAUCGUCGUCCAUGUUCCUCAACACCCUAAUAUCCCCCAUUACAGACCGAACAUGGGGAACAGAUUAUAACUUUAACUUUAUUUAAUUAUGAUUAUAAUAAAUUAUGAUUAUAAAAAUAAACUUUUAUGGAGAAAUUUUAAAGUUUAACAUAGUGUAAAGUUAUUUACUUCAUAGUUUAUUAAAAUAAAUAGUUGAUAUUGUAAGUUACUUAAAAAGUGUUAUUAAAAUUAAAUUUACUAUUGUAAAAAAUUUAAGGUAUUUAUAUUCACCACAAUUAAUUCAAAAAAAAUAUUUAGAACAAGAUAGUGACCAAUUUUAUUCCUCGUAAAAAACUUCUGAAUAAUGAUAUAUAGUGAAUAAUAAUUCAUUCACUAAAUAGAUUUUUUCCUCGCAAAUUUUCAUCAUAAAUUGGCUCCAAAAAUCUUUCCAUCGCCCCAAUUUUGCGAGGAAAAAAUAAUAAAUUGUGAAGGAUGUUUCUUUCGCUAAUAACUAUAUUGUCACUAUACUUUUUUCCGUCACUGUUCCUUCGCUAAACAACUCCUCAUGUGAAGGAAUAAAUUCCUUCACAAAAUUUCCUUCGCUAUAGGCCAUUUUUGGUGUAGUGAUAAUCAAUACCGUGUGCUACUAUGCAACCACACGUAUUACUGUACUUUUACUACUGGGUAGGUCAACAGUUUAACAGUAACACUUUCGCCAUUAUUUUUUUAAAAAAGAUAUUUCUGUCAUUUUUUAACUACGAAAAUACUUCUGUUGUGGGGUUCACUAAUGAUUGUGUCGUCUUACAGAUAUUCCCCAAUAAAAAAUAUUCCCCGACCAAACGAGCUUACUUUGCAAAAUUUUCACAUAUCACCCUUAACUUUAACCUUUUAUCAAUUUAACCAUUUACUAAAUAAAAUAAUAAUUAUAAGAAAAUUGAAUACUUUCAUUUCAUAAAAUUCGGGGUCUUACAAUUUCAUUUCAGAUUUUGAAUUUUAAACUCAUUUUAUUAAAUUUUUGGCUUCUAUACUCCAUGAAAUUAGUAGAAUAUCCUUAAAAUUUGUGUUUCGUCCAGUAUAUUUUCAUGAAAAAUAUUAUUCUGAACAUUCUUGAUAAGUUUUAACUUUUUCAUGCCGGAGUACUAUUCACUCGGGUACUAUUCACCCAAAUUACUAUUCACGAGGUACUAUUCACUCGGGUACUAUUCACCCGGGGUACUAUUCAUGACAAAAAUUGAUUUCUUUUCGGUCCAAAUCAUUUUUGAUACAAUAUUAUUCUUGAAUUUUACUCCACAAAGCAGUAUCAUGUUGAUAAUUUGGACAUUAUUGAAUUCUAGAUAAAUUAAAUUAUAAAAUUUUAAAAAUGUAUCCUUUAUUAUCUUUUAAUUGAAUUCUUAUAUUAUUGUCAUCAUCUUCAUGCUUAUAUUGUGAUGAAAGUCAUCUUUGGCUUACGUGCAUAGAUGGACUAUUGAUUGGUAUGAUUAUGACCAGGGAUUAUUCGGUAUAAUCAUGACCGUAAUGUUACAAAUGAUGUGGUAAAAGUCCUCAUUGGCCCGUAGUGCAUUGAUGGACAGUUCUUGACAUGAUCAUAACCAUUGGUGAAAACACGAAUAUCCUUGGCCCGUAGUGCAUAGAUAAUUCAUGGUCGUGAUACUAAUAAAUAUCCUUGGCCGUAGUGCAUUGAUGAUUCGAUGAUGUGGAUUAUUUAUUAAGCUGAGUCUCAACGAUAAAAUUGAUGAUAAACGUUUUAAAUCAUAGAAGAUAGCAGAUAUCAUGCUCUACUUGACUCUUCUAAUGGAUUGAUUAUUUCGUUGCAGUUAAACUUGUUGUCUAUUAUAUUCUAUCAGUUUAACACUGCAGUUAAACUUCUAAUGGAUUGUGUUCAUAAUGUUUUUCACGUAUCGAUGUUACGUAAAUAUGUGGACGACCAGAUCCAUAUUAUUGAAUUAGAACCAGACGAGAUAACAGAAGAUUUAACGUAUGAGGAGAUACCUGUUAAAAUCUUGGAUAAGAAGGAAUAUAUUCUACGCCCAAAGGUUAUACCUCAAGAGUUAGAAUCUGAUCAAAUGAAAUCAAUGUAUCCUCACCUCUUCGGCAUACCAGGUACGUACGUAAAUUUUGAGGUCAAAAUUUCAUCAAGAGGGGAGAUUGUAAGACCCCGAAUUUUAUGAAAUGAAAGUAUUCAAUUUUCUUAUAAUUAUUAUUCUAUUUAGUAAAUGGUUAAAUUGAUAGAAAGGUUAAAGUUAAGGGGGAUAUGUGAAAAUUUUGCAAAGUAAGCAAGUUGUUAUAAAAUAUUCGAUUGGUCAGGGAAUAUUCGUACGACGGCACAAUCAUUGGUGGAUCCCACAACGAAAGUAUUGUCGGAAUUAGAAAAUAACAGAAAUAUCUUUUUCUAAAAAUAACGACGAAAGUGUUACCGUUAAACUGUUAAAAUAACUGAUGGUAAAAGUACAGUAAUACGCAUGGUUGGUAGCACAUUGUAUUGUACAGUAUCUUUGAUUAUUGAUGCUUACGUGAGAAUACUCAAUUAUUUCUACAGUAAUUGCUGCAUAAUAUCUCUCAUAUUAUUGAUUCAAUCAUUGUCACAAUAUCAUCUAUAUAGUAUUUUAUAUUAUUAAAUCAAUAAUUGAGACGACAAAGUUAUUCAUAUUAUUAUUUGUAUUAUUGACGAUGUCUAGAAAGUUCUGUCGAGGAAAGGGGUUUGGUCACCUAAUUACACGCCAAUAGAGAGAAAUCCUUAUCGGAAAGCCCCCUCUUUCCUGGGAAUGAUCUGGUUGUUAAAUAUUGUGAGUUAUAAUAUUAAUGAUGAAUAAUUUCGUGUUGAUUAAAGAUGAAAUUGAUAUUUCUAUUGUGUUGGGAUUAUUAGUGUUGGUAGAAAUCAACAAUUAUUUUGAUAAUAAUUGAUUUCUGGAGGUUAAAUUGACCAAUCGGGUAAUUAAUCUGAUAAAUGAGCAAUUAAUUGCUAUUAGUUCACAUGCAUAUAACUAUUUGUUCACAUGAAUUGAGCUAUUGAUUCACAUGCAUGUACUAUUAGGAAGGUGGUGCAAGUUUGAUAAUACUUGUAGGACUAAAUUAAAAAUGGAGGAAAAGGUGAAGGUACUAUACUGUAAUAAUUCAAGCCCCAAAAUGUGCAAUUAUCGAAAUUAUGUUUUCCUAUAAAUAGAAGCUCAUUCUUCUUUCAUUCUCAUCAAUUCACUAAAACUCACAAGAGCAAUUAUAGAGAGAGAAGCUAUAGAGAGAAAGAAGAAGAGUAUUAUGCUACUUCACUAUUCCAAUAUCCAGUCUUCUUCUAAGGUAAAGGAUAUUAUUUUUGUUCAGUAUUCGUAAGAAAUAAUAUUUUUUUUCAUACUCUAUAGUAUGUAAGUAAUAUUAUUUCGUUUCAAAUUCUGAAUUCUACACUCAAUUUGUUAAAGUUUUGGCUUCUAUACUCCAUAAAAUUAGUAGAAUAUCCUUAAAAUUUGCGUUUCAUCCAAUAUCUUUUUAUGGAAAUAUUAUUCUGAACAUUCUUAAUAAGUUUUAACCUUUUCAUGCCAGAGUACUAUUCAUGGGGUAUUAUUCUUGAAUUACUAUUCGUGGGAUACUAUUCACUCGGGGUACUAUUCAUGACAAAAAUUAAUUUCUUUUCGGUCCAAAUCAUUUUUAGUACAAAAUUAUUCUUGAAUUUUACUCCACAAAGCAGUCUCAUGUUGACAAUUUGGAUAUUAUUAAAUUCUAGAUAAAUUAAAUUAUAAAUCUUUAAAAAUUUAUCCUUUGCCUUCUUUUAAUUGAAUUUUUAUAUCAUUGUCAUCAUCUUUAUGCUUAUAUUGUAAUGAAAGUCAUCUUUGGCUUACGUGCAUAGAUGGACUGUUGAUUGGUAUGAUUAUGACCAGGGAUUAUUCGGUAUAAUCAUGACCGUAAUGUUAUAAAUGAUGUGGUAAAAGUUCUCAUUGUCCGGUAGUGCAUUGAUGGACAGUUGUUGGCAUGAUCAUGACCAUUGGUGAAAACACGAAUAUCCUUGGCCCGUAGUGCAUGGAUAAUUCGUGGUCGUGAUACUAAUGAAUAUCCUUGGCUCGUAGUGCAGGGAUGAUGUGGAUUAUUUAUUAAGUUGAGUCUCAGCGAUAAAAUUGUUGAUAAACUUUUAAAUCAUAGAAGAUAGUAGAUAUCAUGCUCUACUUGACUCUUCUAAUGGAUUGCUUAUUCCGCUGUAGUUAAACUUGAUGUUUAUUAUAUUUAAUCAAUUUAACACUGUUGAAGGCUAACGAUAAUUUAUUCUGCAUUAUCUUAGUCAUAAUAUUUCUUACUGGGCUAGUUGAGCUCACCCUUUUGCUUUCAUUGGUCUCUUCAGGAAAUGAGAACGUAGCCGGGACUAGUCGGGGAACGGAGUGACGGUCCAAGAUGGUGGCUAUAGUAGUCCUCACUAUUCUAUAAAAUAGUGUAAUAAUAAAUGUAAUGAGGGCUCCAUUGAGUUUGAAUACUAUCUAGAAGACAAUAUUCGUGUAAAAACUCUCAGCUAUGCUUUUGGUCGUAUUGUAUAAUUAAGUUGAAUUUAAAUUUUGUACCAUGUAUUUGACGACUCAGAAUGAGUGAUGUAUACCUAUUUUGGGGGCGUCACAUAUAAUGAAUAUAUAUAUAUAUAUAUAUAUAUAUAUAUAUAUUAAGCAAAGGUACGUAAUUAAAAAGAAAGCUUAUAACCUAAUAUUAUAUAUAUUAGGAAUGAGAACUAAAUAACCCAAGGGUUAUAGUAAUUGAUAAAUGCUAGUAUUUAAAAAUUUAUACUAGUAUACUAACCCCAAGAGAUUUAUUUUAUACAUCUCAAUUAAUUAAUUUAUAUAACUUAAUUAAAGCAAGUCUAAUUGGGUUAUAAAAUUAAAGGUACAUGAGUAAUUAUUUAAAUUCCAAAUGUGAUGCCCCCAAAAUAGGUAUACAUCACUCAUCUUGAGUCGCCAAAUACAUGGUAUAAAAUACAAAUAAAAACUUAAUUAUAUAACUAUCGUGUAAAAUACGAAAAAAUAAUUGUUAUGAGUUUUAAUACAAAUAUUGUCAUCUAGACAAUAUCCAUACUCAAUGGAGUCCUCAUUACAUUUAUUGUCACACUAUUUAACAGAAUAGUGAGGACUACCUAAUGCUAUCAUCUGAAUCGUCACUUCGUUCCCCGACUAGUUCCGGCUACGUUCUCAUUUCCUGAAGAGAACAGUGAAAGAAAGGGUGAGCUCAACUAGCCCAGUAAAAAAUAUUAUGACUAAGAUAAUGCAGAAUAAAUUAUCAUUAGUAUUUAACAGUGUUAAACUGAUACAAUAUAACAAACAUCAAGUUUAUCUAUAGCAGAACAAGCAAUCCAUUAAAAGAGUCAAGUAGAGAAUAAAAGCUACUAUCUUUUAUGAUUUAAAAGGUUUUUCAUCACUUUUAUCGCUGGGACUCAGCUUAAUAUAUAAUCCACAUCAUCCCUGCACUACGGCCAAUGAUAUUCAUUAGUAUCACAACCGCAAAUUAUCCAUACACUACAGGCCAAGGAUAUUCAUUAGUAUCGCAACCACAAAUUAUCCAUGCACUACGGGCCAAGGAUAUUCGUGUAUUCAUCAAUGGUCAUGAUCAUGCCAACAACUGUCCAUCAACGCACUACGGGCCAAUGAGGACUUUUACCACAUCAUUUGUAACAUUACGGUCAUGAUUAUACCGAAUAAUCCCUGGUCAUAAUCAUACCAAGUCCAUCUAUGCACUACAGGCUACAGAUGACUUUCAACAUAAUAAAAACAUGAGGAUGAUGACAAUGAUAUAAGAAUUCAAUAAAACAAGUUCAAGAAUUAAUUUAUCCAGGAACCAAUAACGUCCAAAAUGUCAACAUGAUACUUCUUUGUGUGGUAAAAUUCAAGAAUGCUCAGAAGAAUAUUUCCAUGAAAAGAUACUGGAUGAAGCGUAAAUAUCAAGGAUAUUCCACUAAUUUCAUGGAGUAUAAAAACCAAAACUUUAACCAACUGAGUAUAAUAAAGAAUGGAAUAACAAAAGAAAUCACCAGGCAUGCGAUAGACCGCACAGACGGGUUAUUCCAACAAAAUAAUAAAUAACGGAACCAGGUUAUGCGUAAACGCACAGACAGGAUAUUCCAACAUAAUAAUAAGUAAUUGAACCAGGUCAUGCGUAAAGCACAGACAGGAUGUUCCAACAGAAUGAUAAAUAAUGGAACCAGGUCAUGCGUAAAGCACAGACAGGAUGUUCCAACAGAAUGAUAAAUAAUGGAACCAGGUCAUGCGUAAAGCACAGACAGGAUGUUCCAACAGAAUGAGAAAGAAUGGAAUAAUAGAAUAAUUUCACCAUAUAUGCAGUAAUUCACAUAGACAGGUUAUUCCAACAUAAUAAUAAAGAAUGGAAUAACAGAAGAAUUUCACCAAGUAUAUGGUAGUCCGUGUAUACAGGUUAUUCCAACAGAAUAAUAAAGAAUGGAAUAACAAAAGUUAUCUUCAUGAAUACAAAAGAAAUAAUACCCAUUACCUUUGAAAGAAGAGUAAUGGAUAUAGGAGUAGUGAAGUAGCAGAAUACUUUUCUUCUUUCUCUCUAUAGUUUCUCUCUCUAGAGUUUCAGUGAAUUCGUAAAAAAUAAUAAAGGAAUGAGCUUCUAUUUAUAGAAGAAUGGACUGAAUAGUAACUAAUUCAUGAACGGUUCAGAUUGAUUUACUUUUAAAUGGACGGUCCAGAUUUAAAACAAAAUCUUUUAAAUAAAAUAUUAUAUAUUCUAUUUAUAAUCUAAUAAAACGAAUAACUUUAUAAAAGUAUUCUGUUUUAUAUAAAAAGAUUUUACUAUGCAAAACACUAUGCAGGCACUAUGCAACUCUAUGCAUAAUAAAAUAUAAUAUAUUCUAUUUAUAGUCUAAUAAAAUGAAUAACUUUAUAAAAGUAUUCUGUUUUAUAUAAAAAACUUUUCUGUUUUAUUACAUUAAUAAUACUAAUAAAACAAAACUUAUCAUCAUUAUUAUAAUUCACAAUAUUAAUCGACCAGAUUGUUCCCAAGAAAGAGGGGGCUUCCCAAUAAGGAUUUCUCCCUAUUGGCGCGCAAUUAGGUGACCAAACCUCUCCUUGGCAGAACUUCUAGACAUCGUUAAUAUUGCAAAUAAUAAUAUUAAUAACUUUGUCAUCUCAAUUAUUGAUUUAAUAAUAUAUAAAAUAUCGACAAUAAUUGAAUCAAAUAACGUGAGAUACUAUGCAACAAUUACUAUAGCAAUAAUUGAACAAAACUGAGUGACUUCUCACGUAAGCAUCAAUACCGUGCUACUAUGCAACCACGCGUAUUACUGUACUUUUAACACCGGGUGUUUCAACAGUUAACGGUAAAACUUCCGCCGUUAUUUUUAUAAAAAGAUAUUUUUGUCGUUUUCUUAAUCCGAUAAUAAUUUCGUUGCGGGGUCCACCAAUGAUUGUGCCGUUGUAUGAAUAUUCCCUAUUAAAACGAAUAUUCCCCGACCAAUCGAAUAUUAUAUAACAACUUGCAUACUUUGAAAAUUUUAUAAAUAUUACUCACAAUUAUAACAUUAUAUCAAAUUCAUUCUAUAAUAUUCACAAAUGAUAUUCAUAGAAAAAUCAUCUUUAUUCAUAAAAGUUGGGGUCUUACACCAAAUGAGUGGGAUAAAAACUCUAAAUAAAUAAUUAGGAUAAGAUAAAAAUUAAGGCAUUGGACCAUGUCAAUUUAUAUAGCCCAAACAAUUUAUUAGUACGCCCAAACAUUAAAUUAAGUGGCCCAAAUUUUUAGCCCAAUUAUUUAGGGUCAUUUUGGUCAUUUCAAGUAGCUAAUUAAGCCAUAAAAAUAAAUCAAAACUUGGGCAAAAUAAGUCUUGAGAAUCUAGCCAAAGAAGGGAUAAAGGAGCAUGUGGGUUAAUUUUUAUUUUGUCAAAAAUGUUACUAACUUCCACCAUGCAACUCCCCAUAUGUGUCAAGCUAAGAAUUAAACACCCACUUUUCACUAGUAUUGCAAGCAACUUUGAGAUGAUGAGUGAGAGAGAGAAGAUUGUUGGGAGAUAGCAUUAGAUAUACAUAAUAUUUUUACAUAUUUACUAAUACACAAAAUCAUUUUCUAAUUUCUCUUUCAUCUUUCAUUCUAAACUAGCUAUCAAAGCAAAACAAGAAAGAGAGAGGGAGAGCAUAGAUUCGAUAACCUCAAGGAGGUAAAGGGGAAGAGUUUUAAUCUUCAUGCACCCUAAGUUCAUCAAUUACUUUGGUAAAAGAAGAAGAACAUCCCAAAGAACAACGUAAAGACCCUAAAAAAUUUCAAGUUUUGUUACUUUCUUUUGAUAAGUUUUGAUGAAAUAAAGAGCUUGUGUUCUUGAACUUUAAAACACUUGAUCUACAUGUGUAUGAUUGUUUCACAUGUAGAUCUAGUUAUUUUUGAAGAUAAAAGUUUUAAAAAAAGAGAAAAAAAGAAGAAGAAAUGAAAGUAUAUUCAAAAAGGGCUAAAAACCCUAAACUAACUAUUUUUUUAUUUAGUUUUUUUUUUUGAUGAAAUGUAAAGAUGAUGUUUCUAAGUUCUAAAAUUUUUGAUCUUUAUGUUUUAUAGUGUUUCAUAUAAAGAUCUAACCAUUUUUUAUGUUAAAGGUUUGAUCAAAGGUAAGGAAAGGAAACUAGUUUUUUUUUAAGGAAUAAAAACCCUAAAACUUUUUAUUCACUUUGAAAUGCUACCAUUUAAAAUCUACACCUCAUAUUUAUGAUUCGUCAAAGAUGGGUGCUAGAUAUGGGAGUUAGCUUUCAAACCUAAGUGGUAGCACUCAAAUAUGUUGAAUUUACAAGCUUUGGUAACUAUUUUAACAAAGUUGUCCAGAUUUUUAAAAGAGAAAAAUGGAAUUAUUUUGAGCAGUUUUCUGGCAGGGGCAGUUUCGUCCAAAUUUUUUGUUCUAAAAAUUCUGAAAAACUUUGGGGUGAUAAUAUGAUGAGGUAACUGACUCCAGUAAAAAGAUGGAGAUUUUUGGAUGUGUAGAACUCAAGAUAUGAAUGUUACGAAAUGACUAUAUUUUAAAUUAAAACAUGAAUAACUCUUUAUGGGUAACUCCAAAAAUUGUAAAAGUUUUAUUGGAAGUAGAUGUAUAUAUAUCAGUGAGUAACCUGGAAAAUUUAAGAAGUUUUGGACAAAAGGAUGAUUUAUGAUAAUUGUUGCAAUUUCGGAUUGUUUUUAACAAUUUAAAAAUAGUAAAUAAAAUAUAAAAUUCCAGAUAAAUUAUAUGUUCAUAAGGGAACCAUUCUGUUAGUUUCUAGCUAGAAAAGUAGAAUUUUCGGAUCUGUUUUAGUAUUAUUUAUGUAAUUGUUUGAGUUGUGGUUUAAUGGAUAAAUUAAGUUAUGUAAUGUUAAAAAUUGUGAAAAAGAUAAUUGUAGGGCUUAAAGACCCUUAAUAUGGUAUAUGCAGAUUUUUGGAGGGUACUUUGGUCAUUUUUUGUGCAAUAUUAUAUUUAUCGCAUUUUAGGAUUAUUAAAUAAAUGAAUUUGUAAAGGGUAAACAAUUAAAAUAAAUUGAUUAAUUAUUUAAUAAAUGAUUAAAAAAAUAUUAAGAUAUUAUUAAUGUAAUUAAUAAUAUUAGAUUAAAAUUUGAAUUAAAAUAUUAUUAAAUAAUUAAUAAUAUUAGAUUAAAAUAUUAUUAAAGGAUUAAUAAUAUUCGAAAUUAAUUAAAAUAUUAUUAAGAGAUUAAUAAUAGAUAAGGAUUAAAAUAUUAUUAAGAGAUUAAUAAUAUUAGAUGAUGAAUAAAAUAUUAUUAAAUGAUUAAAUAUUAGAAGAUGAUUAAAAUAUUAGUAAUUAAUUAAUAAUAUUAGUAAGUGGGUAAAGUAUUAUUAGUUGAAUAAUAUUACUAAGAAGUAAAUAAAAUAUUAUAGAGAGUAAUAAUAUUAAAUGAGUAAUUAAGAUGAUGUUUAUAUUAUCAAGAAGUGAUAAUAUUACUAAAGAUUUAAUGUAAUGUCUAAUAUUUAAUUGUAUGAUUAAAUAUUAGAUAAUGUAUUAUAAAUAAUGUUAUGAGUAAAUAUAUGUUAUGCUAAUUGAAGGAUCCAUGUUAGGUCUUUCAAAAGAGGAUAAUUUAAAUUGCUUAAGCGGAUAGUAGAAUUACGUAGCAAUAGACCGCGAUUGAGGCAACUUCUCUAACUCAAACUUGAAUUAUUAUUUUCAAAUCAUGAUAGUGGAUAAUUAUUGUUGAUUACUCCACAUCCUUAAUGAUUAUUGUUAAUCGCAUUUUGUGCAAUUGAAUUCCUGUUCUAUUAUUAUUGAACUGUGAAUUAGUUAAAGUUCUUUCAUUCUUGAACUAUUUAUGAGAUAGAUCUAUGCUAGUUGUAUUAGCUAGAUCGAAUAUGUUAAAUUUGAUAAAUCAAAUAUCUAUUAAAAGUUAUUCUUAAUCAAUUGAUUUGGUAAGGACUCAAGACUAAGAAAAAGAACAAAUUUAUUAAAGCAUUAUAUUAGAAAACAAUUGUGCUCGAUUAUUUAAGUUUUUAUGCAUAAUACAUCGGGUAUAAAAGGCUGAUCCCCUUAAUUACCAAAACUUAUUAAAAAGACUCGUUUAAAUAUUGACAACCUUAGUAUAUGUUCAUGGUUAUUUCAAACCACUCUGCAUCUAUUAUACAAUUAUUCGAAUAUUCAAUUAUUGAAACUUAAUUCAUGUUCUUUCACAAUCGAUUCUAUUGUUGAACAUUGAAAGUUAAAUUCCUUUCUAAUCAUGAUAUAUGUCCUUUGUAUCUAAACUUGCUAAGCAAAUUAGUUGCUUACUCUUGCUAUAUCAUGACAUUUAUUUCAACUAAGCCCGAAGGAUCAAAUAAGAAAGAAAGUCCAAGAAUAAUUUAAUAUGAAUGUUAAUUAUUAUAUUACCUGAUGGAAUUAUUUAUGUAAACCUUUUGUAAUAUUAAAGGUGUGUUUAAGUUAAGGUUAAGAAGACCUUGGGAUAUUGUUGUAAAACUUUAUUAUAAUAAACAAUAUAUGUUUAUUAUUUCGCAAUAGUUAUAGAAUGCUUAUGAUGUUGAUGGAUCGUGAACACUGAAUUCGAGGUUAGAGAAUUAGGAUUUGGGGGCGUCACAAUAUCUCUGAAUGUAUCUGAAUUGUAUAUGAAUGUAUCUGAAUUGUAUGUUCUCCAAAAUUCUAGUACCCAUAUUUAUAGGACAUAGGAAAAUCCAUAACCAAAUAGGAUUAGAAAUACUAAAUUGAGUAUAGGUAGAAAAGAUAAAUUUUCUAAACCAAAAUGGAUUCUAGGUAAUACCUAAAUCCAAAUCCAAUAAGGAUUCAUAUUAUAAUCAACAAUAUUAUAUGCAUAUGUAUAAAUAAGGUACUAAUGUAUAAAAAUGGAGAGUAAUAACAGAUUUUAUAAGUCAUUCGAGAUCAAUUGGAAUUUAUUCAGAUUUAUCUUGUGAAUCUAAUGCAAUUGGUAAUUAAUCUUAUAUUGCUAUAAAUUAUAAUUGUUAAAUAAUUUAUAACUUAUUAUUUUUGUCUAAUUAGAUCGAAUGAAGGGAGUCUAACGAGUUAAAGAUGAAAUAAUAUUUUUACUAAUUUACUUACAUUUAUUAUGAUUUUGUUUAAUUAGCUUGGACAAAAGAAAUUUAAAGAGUUUUAUUUGGAAUAUAAAUUUUGGAGUAUUAAUAAUUGAUCUAAGGCGAUGAUUAAAAGGCAUAUUGAAUAGAUUACGAAUUAUUUUAGAAUUAUUAGUUUGGAUUAUUUUUAAUUUGAGUGAAUAUGUUUAGGUGAUGAAUAAUAUUUCACAUUGAUAUAUGUCGUUAGCAUUUCAGGGUAAGAUUUUGUGGAGUGUGCUAUAAGUGGUUUGAAAGUAUCAGGUAUGGAUUUCGUAUUCCUUCAGUGAUCAUCCUUUUAAUUUUGAUUUGUUCGUUUUUCUCUUCGUUUAGAAGUUAGUUAUUGUUUCACCUGAUUGUUCAUUUUCAUAUUCAUGUGAUAAUUUUGUCUUGACAUUGAUACUUAGAACUCAUAUUUGUACUCUUUGAACUUUAUUUGAUUUGUAUCAUUCUUUGUAUAUUUUUGUUCACAUUCGGGAGUUAUUUUGAUCAUUGAUAUCUUGUAUCAAUUAAGAAUGUUGGUAUUUGAUAAUUCGAUGUCAUUUGAAGAUGGUCAUUUAAGCCUUGUGAUUUGAACCCUUUUGGCUUACAUUUUGUAGUUUGAUCCUUAGGGUAUACUUGAGCUAACUAACUAUAGGGGGUACUACAAGUAUGUCCUCUUGACACAAGGGCAUGACACCUUCCGUGGCGGUGUGAUCAGUCUAUGAUGUAUCCUUUUGUUUUGUAUGUUGCUUUGGAUGUGAGCUUUGACCAUUUGAUAUAUUUGUUCAGGAUAUAUGGGUCGACCCAAUAUUUGAUAUGAUUUGGUUUGUUUGGCGGAUUAGUGACAUAUGUGUCGUGCGUACUAUCCAAUUUAAUUUGCAUACAUCAUGAUACUGAUGUAUUUUGUUAGCCUUUGGCUAUUUGUAUUUGAGAUCAGUAUGAAAUUAUUACCUUAUAACCAUUUGAUUCGACCUUAUUUUGUUUGAAAUUCUUUUGAAUAUGGUUGUUAGUUUGACAAUGUUAAUCAUUUGUACCAAUCUCACCAAUUUCGUUAUAUUUAUAUUUGGUUCGUAGUCUGUAUUUGUUCAUUCAUUCAAUUCUUUUGGUACACACACACACACACAAUAUAUAUAUAUAUAUAUAUAUAUAUACUGGGCAAUUGGCGUUAUUUUCUUUCUCCGGCAGGUAAGCAGGGGUGAUCAGUAUUUGUGGGAUCAGAGCUACCUUUGAUCAAAAUAAUUAGACUAGUUUGAGAUUAUUAUUAGACAUGGAUAUUUUUAAUAUAUUUUUUAGAUGGAUGUUUGAGCUAUUUUGAGGUUUAUUAGAACUUUGUAUAUUUUUUUAUGUUUGUGCGUGACUUCUUUUUUUUUUUUUGGGAAGGGGGUGUUAUACCCAAUCUUUUAUUAUAAUGGGACAUUUAAUGAAAGAGUUAUCAUUUAAAGCCCAAUAAUUUAAUAGUAAAUGAAAGGCCCAAACUUCGGGCAAACAUCUUCGGGUCACACCCACCCCACGAGCCUCAUCAUUACGGUCUAAUUAAUGCGCCACUCUCGGGAAUGUGCACGAAGACAAAAAGUCAGGCCCCCCUUUAAAACCCUUCACCCCUAAAUACUAACUGCCACAUUUCAGAUCUAAAAUUUUCAAAAUCAUCGUGCUCUUUCCCUUUGCAAGCUCCCUCCCUUACUGCAACCUCUAGAACAACCACAACCACAUUUGUAAAUAGCUCCAUCUCCUUUGCUUCUAUCCUCACCAACUCCACCACCGUUGUUCCUAACUCCAUCUCCAGCGAUCUCAUUCCUGUCGAUAUCCCACAAGCAACUAACACCAUCACCAAAACCCCAGCUACUUCAUCAUCGUCGUAAUCUCCCGCACCACCACUAGCCCCUGUCGAACUCACCGAAAUAAGUAUCUGAAUAUAUUCAUCCGACAAAGCUUACACCUAUAUAAACACCCACACUCUACCGUUCAGAGCUACCAAAUAGAAAUAAUCUGAAAGCAACUUCAAAUUCCAAACAAAUACGACCUUCGAGCUCCCAACCUAUCCGAAAGGAUGUAUUAGUGGCCAAAAAGAGCUAGAAUGGGUCGUCAUCCCCCUUUGGGCCCUAACAUACGACAUUCAAUUUCCUCUACAUGAAUUCAUUACUUCAUUCCUUGGAUUCAUAGGGAUCGAGUUCGCACAAUUGUUGCCGAACUCGUACAUCCAUCUAAUCAGCUUCAUAGCUUUCUGCUAAGAAUAUAAGAUUUCCCCAGGAUUGGAUUUCUUCUUUGUCCUAUUCAGUGUCGACCGAUCAAGGAGCUUAGCCUCCACCAACUGAACCUCCGACUAGGAAAAUCUACUUACAUAAAGACCCCCUCCAACAACAAAGGGUGACCCUGCCAAUGGAUAUACACCAAAGGUAUCGAUCUCUCUCUUCUGCCAAAUUGGGCCAUCCCCGAAGACCCUAUCACCAAAUUUACUCGUUUCCUAAAGAAUAGGGUAGACGACUUCCGAACAUUCUACACUAAGAUGAAGACAAUUGAUUGGCCCGUCGAAAGUCUGUCCAACCCCGCUUGGCUCUACGAACACGACUGAAAUCCCAAUUCAACCCCUUCAUUUCUUUAAUUCAUGAAAAAAUGAUACAUUAAGUCAUCUCGUAAGUAUAUUACAUUCAUGUAACAUUAUGCUUUAAGUCAUUACAUAUAUUACAUUUAUAUAUUUAAUUAAGUUACUCAUUUCCUUCACACAAAAUACAUAUUUUAAUUCACUAUUUUAAUUAAAUAAAUUAAUUACUUCAUUUAUGAAAUUUUAAUUCAUAACAACACCCUCGCCAUUCAAGGCUUAUUAUUCAAAUUAUAUUUUUUAUAAUAUACUCUUUAACUUUAAUCUCAAUUAAUUAAUAUUAAUUGAUUUUCUUUACUUGCAUCCUUCAUUUCGUAAUUAGCUUAAUCUAAUUAACAUAAUAAUUUAAUCAAAUAUUAAAUCUUACUUUCCACACUAACGCAUAUAUUUCACUCUUAUAUAUACAUAUUAAAUCCACCACAUAAUCACGUUAAUAUAUAUAACACACAUACACAUACACACACCUAGCAUGAGUCAUAAUAAAAGUUUUAUUUAUUAAAUUAUUAUUUUAAUAAUUUCCAAAAAAAUUGGGUUAUCAUACUUCCUCAUUCAGAACUUGUCCACGCCGACCACGAUUUUGCGUCAUUAGACGCCAGGUUAACUCUGUAAUUUGUCUCUAUAAAUUCUCAAUUAUCAUGUCCUGAAUGUUAUGACCAUAGUUCGGGACUUACUCAAUCGGAGCCUGCCCUCGACGACCAUAAGCCAUUGAAUUGGUGAAAUCUAUUCUCAAGAAGAUGUUAGAGCUUUGAUACCAAUUAAUUGACGCCGUACAGAAUAGUGAUUAUCAUGCAGACUAGGGUAACAAGAAAUUCAAAUGUAAAAGAAGCAAGAAAUUUACCCUAAACACAAAGAAAUCUCUCUAAUGUGUAAAUUAUUAUUAUCAAAAAAAAAAAGCACUCCCAAAUUCAACUCACACGUCGGGUUUUAUAGCUUAAAGGUUUUCUUUUCAAAAUGAAAUAAAAUUCCUACAAGUAUGGAAACAAACUUCCAAUAGGUAACAAAUAACUAUGAUAACAAAGUUUUAAUAGGUAACAACUCCUAAUAAUUAUAUCUUAAUAAAUUACGUAACAAUAUAAAAGAUUUACGUACCUAAUAAAACACUAUUACCAUAAAAGAAUUAAAUAAUAAUAAAAAUCAAGUCAAUCUGAUCUUCCCGAAGCCAUGACGUCAUUUCUAAAAAAGUUUGCCACACUCGAAGUCAUGACACCAUUCCCGAAGGACCCAAAGUUGAACCCGAAGCCAACUUCGAUCCCGACUCCUAAAGAGAUUCCUGAAGAAAAGUCCCGAAGCUGAAAGCUGAACUCCCGACCACCGAAGACGUCAGUACCCAUCAUCUUUGCGUUGAUCCUCUACUUAAGAAUCAUCGGACAACUCAUAAUCAUCAUGUUCAAAUCCUCCUGCAUCAAGAACUCUAACGUGUAACUUGUAGUUCUUUAUUUCAUUGAUGAGCCUACUAAGUUUACAUAGCAAGCACGAGUUGUUUGUAGUUAUUCAUUUUAUACCCGAAGUUAACAAAUUGUAUGAAAGGUUCAUUCUUUCAUUUAUCUACAUAAUUUAUUUUUUCCUACUCUAUGGGUUCCUAAGUAUCAGAUCAUAUCAGAUCAGAAGAUCAGAGAGACCUCUUUCUCUCUAUCUUUUCUUUUCUUUCUCCCCCAUUUCUCAUUUUAUUGACUGAAAGAGAAUAAGUGCCAUUGAGUAAAGAGCAUAAGUUCCCAAGUAUCAGAUCAGAAAGAGCUCUUUCUCUCUUUUUUUUUUCUUUUCUUUCUCCCCAUUUUCUCAUUUUAUUGACUGAAAGAGAAUAAAUGCCAUUGAGUAAAGAGAAUAAGUUCCAUUUCUCAUUUUAUUAUUAUUAGUUUACAUAAACAAAUAAUUUUAUAUUUUGAAACGGAUGGAACAUGCAUAUUAUAUGUUUGGAUGUGAUAAUACAUGACAAAUGGAUGAUAUGAAUCAACAAUGCACAAUAUUUGAAGAUAAUUCUGUUUUGUUAGAAAUAGAAUGGAAGAACAAUUAGUAAUCUAUGUUUUUCUAACUACUCCAAAUCCUUUUAUAUUCUUGCUCCUUGCUGUACUGUAAAGUAUGAAGAGAAUAAAUUAGCAUGGCUUGUAAAAUUAAUAUUUUAUAUCAUUUAAUAAUAACAUGCCGUGUAGUGAAAUUUAAUAUAAUUAAUUAUAUAGUUUUACUAUAGUAAAUAAUAAAUAAAUAAUUAGUUAAUACAAUUUAAAUUUUACAAUUUUCACCUAAAUUCUCCAUGUGGCAUGUUAUUAUAUAUUGAAUGGUAUAAAACACUAAUUUUGCAUGUUAUCCGUAUAUAAUUUAUUCUCAAAUAUGAUAUAAUUCAUUUUGUUGGAUCGGUACAAUUAAUAUUUCAUUAAAAAACAUAGAAGUACAUCAAGUGACAAUUCCAAGAGAUUUGGAAAGGGCCACAAUUGAAAUACAAUACAUAAAUCUAAAAACCAAAAAAAGUUAUCAGAACGUAAAAGCCAUUCCCUUACAUAUUAUUCCAGCCAAAACUUAGACUAAAUAACAAAAAUUAUGAAUACUCGACCUCAAUCCAAAUCUCCGAAAAGAACUACUAAUCUGAAAUUUUAAUUCCACUAUCUCAACCAUUGUAGUAAAGAGCUUGAACAAGAUGUUCUCUCUAUUAUUAAUCAACCAUCCAGUUUUUGAUGACUCCGUUCCUUCCGUAAAAACUCUUUAGAAUCCAUGCAGAUAUCCAAAUUCCUAAACUACCAAUUACUAAAAAUUGAAAGCAGUCAACUUAAUCGGCCGUCCACAUUAUAUGACUGAUUUCUUGCUCAUCCUAUUUAAUUACACUUGGUCUCUUUUUUUGUCUCUUUUUCCGGUUCCUUAUUCCUUUCAAAAAUGUCAAGUUCUCAUUUGCUUCAAUAUAUAUAUAUAUGUAAGAUCAUUAUUAACUUUUUGAAAUUAAUUUAAGAGUUUAUAAAACUUAAACUGUAAUGAAUUUUUUUAAUUUUAGUCAAUAAAUGAAUGAAUUUCACAAUUAGGCAUAUGAUUUUCACAACUAUACCGCCCCCGAACAUACACACAAGUAUGGGGAAAAAAUCUAUAGUUUUCUAAUGAAAGGACAUAGUUCAAACAGUACCAUCUUGUAAUAAACCACCUAGUGGUAGUUGUUUUAUUUAUAAUAUGAUAAUAACAACCACCUAAUGGUUGUUGAUUUAUUUAUUACAUGCUAAUAACAACCAUAAGCUGAUAGUUGAUUUAUUUAAUAUAUGCUAAUAACAACCAUAAGCUUAGUUGAUUUAUUUAUAUAUCAUUCUAAUAACAACCAUCAACUAGCUAGUAGAUAGAUUCUAGAUCAAUUGUUCAUCGGAAGAUUACUUAUCGUUCAUUUUUGGAUGGGCUUUGGUGGGUGCAAUGUUAUUACCAUAGAUAACUAAACCUUUCUUCCAAGUCUCGAUUUCACUCCCGUCAAGAGCAAAUUUGAUAUCUCCAGAGUCAAACCUAUUGAAGAAUUCCCCAGCUUUGAGCAAAAUCGGUGUGUUCCUCGGAUAAUCCAUCAACUUAUAUGCAAUCAGUUGCGUGGAUCCAUCCGGAAGAGCAAGUGUAAGAAUCACCGGACUUUUUAUGUUAAAGUUGUCUUUCAGCAGCACCACAAAAGAUACCUCAUAAGAUAAUUUUUCAAGCUUUUCUGUUUGAUAUUUUCUAUCAACAUGUAGGACGAAGCUACCAAUUAAUUCAGCACUUUCCUCACUGUAAAAAAAUGAUAGUAGAAUUAAAGUCAGAAACUUUUGAUAUAAGGAGACUAAAUUCAUUAGGUGAUUUUAUUGAUUUUUUUUUCUGAAACAUUUUUAAUGUAGGUCCUUCUAUCUAAGUAGACUUCAAUAAAAUUUCUCCCGUCCUUCUAGCACUUUAAUUUAAUGACAUAGUUACUUACAUAUCCUAUUUUUAACUCAAUAAAAUUAAGGUGUUUAAACAGAAAUCUUGACCUUUGACUUUGACGUCAAUUAAGUUAACUAAACCUUAUUUCUACUUACGUAAACAUCCAGCCUUCAGGGUUGGCAAAAUUGAGUGCCCAAAUGCCAAACUCCUCUGAAUAAGUCAACAGAAAUUCACAUUAUUAUAAGGAUAAAUAAGGCAAAUCGAAUGAUAUGUCGAUGCCUUUAUCAAUAUACAUAUACAUACAUAAAUAUAGACGGUUGAUCGAUAUUGUCAAAGUAAUAAUUAUAAAAGUGUCGUCAAAUGUAUAUUUACUUUAAUAACGACAAUAUCAACCACUUAUAUAUAAAUAGCAAAUGUUUCAUAGAAAAAGUUUAUUACGGAGUAUGUACCACGUGUUGAAUUUUUUUUGCUUUGUAGUAAGAUAUAGAACAACAAUAUUUAUGCCUGAAUCGAAAUUAUUGAGAUAUGACGUAUCCUAUAAAUUGGGUCGUAUCCCAUUUAUGGCAUCCUAUAAAUUGGGUCUUAUGAGAUAUGUCGUUCUGUAAUUUUUGAUACGUAUCCCAAUUCCCAAUUUUUGAUGUUGUAUUCCAAUACUCCCACUCCAAAUAUUACCGUUGCGUAUUUUUGCCCCAACUCAAUUUUGGCUUUCGCCAAAUAUUACCGUUGGCUCCAACUUUCAAUACCGACGCACAAAUAUUAUAACAUAUAAUAUAUUUAUUAUAUACUUUAGAUAAUGAAAAUAUCCAAUAAUCCUCCCCUAUUUUCAUAAUCUUCCAAUCUUUUUCCUUUGACAUUCCUCUUUCUCUUAUUAAAUAUAGUAUACAUAAGUAAUAUGUGUCUUUCGACUUGAACCUUUACAUAGUCUAUUUCACAAAAUAUCUGAAUUUUUAGUAGCGUUAGCUUUGAACUAAAAAAUCUUAAAGUGAUAUCUUGCUCUAUAGACAUAUACUAUAUCUCUUAUAGUUUAAGGAGACCCAACACAUUUAUGGCCAUGUGUUUACCUCUUGGGUUCGUAAGUGACUUAGAGAUAAGCCUUAUGUCUCACAGAAGCGGCCCACUUCCUUCACUUACAUAGGUGAAUCUAAUUAGAUGCACUUGUAUGACCUUCAUCCUCCAAAUCGGACAUAGAUUCAUUAAAGGUUUACCCUACCCUCUUUGUUCUCCAUACAAGCAUACACUAUCUUUGAGAUGGUUUUGAAGAAUUUCUUCUUCAUACUUGUCUAGUGUAUAACUGGUUAUUACUAUAAGUAUUUUUCCAUUGAACUAAUAUACCAGAUGUUACUCUAGUAUUUAGUUGGGUUCCACUUAUAGAUUACCUCUCAUUUAAAGGCUUUAAACCCAUCUCCCUGGAAGUCUUACAUAUUACAUCCUUGCCUAGGCCUUUUGUAAAAGGAUCUGCCAAAUUUCCCUUUGACUUAACAUAGUUAAAGGUAACAACCCCUUUAUUGAUUUGCUCCCUUACAUAACUAUGUCUUAAACUUAUAUGUCUAGACUUUCCGUUAUAAACCUUGUUAUAAGACCGUGAUAAUGCUGCCUCAUUAUCACAAUAUAUUGAGAUAGCUGUCAUUGGUUUGGGCCAAAGUGGUAUCUCAAAUAAUAAAUCCUUAAGCCAUUCGGCUUCUUUUACAGCAGUUGAUAAUGCAACAAACUCAGAUUCCAUAGUUGAAUGUGUAAUCAAGAUUUAUUUCUUGGAACCCCAAGAAAUUUCCCCUCCUCCUAAAGUGAAUAUCCAUCCACUUGUAGACUUUAUUUCAUCUGAAUCUGUUAUCCAGUUUGCAUCCGUGUACCCUUCUACCACAGCUGGGUAUCAUGUAUAGCAUAAUCCAUAGUUUAUUGUGUCUUUAAGAUAUUUAAGUAUCCUUGAUACUGCAUCCCAAUGAACCUGACCUGGAUUAUGAGUAAACCUACUUAAAACUCCUACUGCAAAUGCUAUAUCAGGUCUAGUACAUUGCAUUGCAUACAUUAGACUACCAAUUACACUUGCAUACUCUAAUUGAGAUAUGUUAUCUCCUUUAUUUGGAAAUAACUUAACAGAAUGAUCAUAUGGUGUGACGCCCCCAAAAUAGGUAUACAUCACCCAUCUUGAGUCGCCAAAUAUAUGGUACAAAAUUCAAAUACAAACUAAUAAUACAGCAGUCGUGUAAAAUACGACAAAAUAUAUGUUGUGAGUUUUAAUACAAAUAUUGUCUUCUAGACAAUAUCCACUCUCAGAAAAAGUCUUCAUUACAUUUAUUGUCACACUAUUUAACAGAAUAAUGAGGACUACUAGCUAAUACUAUCAUCCGGACCAUCACUCCGUUCCCCGACUCGUCCCAGCUACGUUCUCAUUUCCUGAAGAGAACAGUGAAAGAAAGGGUGAGCUCAACUAGCCCAGUAANNNNNNNNNNNNNNNNNNNNNNNNNNNNNNNNNNNNNNNNNNNNNNNNNNNNNNNNNNNNNNNNNNNNNNNNNNNNNNNNNNNNNNNNNNNNNNNNNNNNNNNNNNNNNNNNNNNNNNNNNNNNNNNNNNNNNNNNNNNNNNNNNNNNNNNNNNNNNNNNNNNNNNNNNNNNNNNNNNNNNNNNNNNNNNNNNNNNNNNNNNNNNNNNNNNNNNNNNNNNNNNNNNNNNNNNNNNNNNNNNNNNNNNNNNNNNNNNNNNNNNNNNNNNNNNNNNNNNNNNNNNNNNNNNNNNNNNNNNNNNNNNNNNNNNNNNNNNNNNNNNNNNNNNNNNNNNNNNNNNNNNNNNNNNNNNNNNNNNNNNNNNNNNNNNNNNNNNNNNNNNNNNNNNNNNNNNNNNNNNNNNNNNNNNNNNNNNNNNNNNNNNNNNNNNNNNNNNNNNNNNNNNNNNNNNNNNNNNNNNNNNNNNNNNNNNNNNNNNNNNNNNNNNNNNNNNNNNNNNNNNNNNNNNNNNNNNNNNNNNNNNNNNNNNNNNNNNNNNNNNNNNNNNNNNNNNNNNNNNNNNNNNNNNNNNNNNNNNNNNNNNNNNNNNNNNNNNNNNNNNNNNNNNNNNNNNNNNNNNNNNNNNNNNNNNNNNNNNNNNNNNNNNNNNNNNNNNNNNNNNNNNNNNNNNNNNNNNGAAUGGAAUAACAACAGAAAUCACCAUGCAUGCGGUACUUCGCAUAGACAGGUUAUUCCAACAGAAUAAUAAAUAACGGAACCAGGUUAGGUGAAAUUCACACCGACAGGAUGUUCUAACAGAAUAAUAAGUGCGGAAUAAUAAAUAAUGGAACCAGGUCCGGCAUAAAACGCACAGACAGGAUAUUCCGACAGAAUAAUAAAGACGGAAUAAUAAAUAAUGAAACUAGGUCCGGUGUAAAACACACAGACAGGAUAUUCCAAGAGAAUAAUAAAGACAGAAUAAUAGAAGAAUGUCACCAAGUAUAGGGUAGACCGCGUAUACAGGUUAUUCCAACAGAACAAUAAAGAAAUAGAAUAACAGAAGUUCUCUUCUUGAAUACAAAAGAAAUAACAUCCCUUACCGUAAAAGAACUGGAUAUAAGAGUAGGGAAGUAGCAGAAUACUUUUCUAUAGUUUCUCUAUAAUUUCUUUCUCUGGAGUUUCAGUGAAUUCGUAAGAAAUAAUAAAGGAAUGAGCUUCUAUUUAUAGGAGAAUGGAAGUGCACUGUUCAUGGAUGAAAUAAUUCUGCAGAUAUACGUAUCAAUGUUUUGAUAUCACACUAAUGCAAAAAUUCAAUCAACCAACCAAUAGGAUGCAAGCAAAAUAAAAAUAUAAGACAUAUAUAUAUAUAUAUAUAUAUAUAAACACUUGCUAAAUAAAUAAAUAUAUAUAUAAUAUAUCUACCACUUAAUUUUUCUCCCUCAUAACCAACAUCAAUCCUCCACCCACCAAAAAAAUCAAUUCCACUACACUCUUACACAUCACUAUCACACUACCACUUUCCCACCAUUUUCCACUCACACACACAUCACCCACCUAUCACUUUCACAUAUCAUUUUCUCCCACCAUUUUCCACUCACACACAUAUUAUAUUAUAUAUACACACUCACACAUAACAACCUUAUAUACAUAAACUCCCUCCCCUAUACGUAUCUUUCUCCCACCCCCAAUUCCAAAAGUAGUUUUUCAACACAUAUGGGCCCCACAUGUGGCCCCCAUAUGUGGGCCCCACUUUUAAAUAUUUUUUAUCGAUUAUUUUGAAAAAUGGGUAAAUGGAGAUUCAUAAAAUAAGCAAAACUUACACAAAUACCUCAUAAAAAUCACAUUAAUAAUUUUAACAACAUUUAUNNNNNNNNNNNNNNNNNNNNNNNNNNNNNNNNNNNNNNNNNNNNNNNNNNNNNNNNNNNNNNNNNNNNNNNNNNNNNNNNNNNNNNNNNNNNNNNNNNNNNNNNNNNNNNNNNNNNNNNNNNNNNNNNNNNNNNNNNNNNNNNNNNNNNNNNNNNNNNNNNNNNNNNNNNNNNNNNNNNNNNNNNNNNNNNNNNNNNNNNNNNNNNNNNNNNNNNNNNNNNNNNNNNNNNNNNNNNNNNNNNNNNNNNNNNNNNNNNNNNNNNNNNNNNNNNNNNNNNNNNNNNNNNNNNNNNNNNNNNNNNNNNNNNNNNNNNNNNNNNNNNNNNNNNNNNNNNNNNNNNNNNNNNNNNNNNNNNNNNNNNNNNNNNNNNNNNNNNNNNNNNNNNNNNNNNNNNNNNNNNNNNNNNNNNNNNNNNNNNNNNNNNNNNNNNNNNNNNNNNNNNNNNNNNNNNNNNNNNNNNNNNNNNNNNNNNNNNNNNNNNNNNNNNNNNNNNNNNNNNNNNNNNNNNNNNNNNNNNNNNNNNNNNNNNNNNNNNNNNNNNNNNNNNNNNNNNNNNNNNNNNNNNNNNNNNNNNNNNNNNNNNNNNNNNNNNNNNNNNNNNNNNNNNNNNNNNNNNNNNNNNNNNNNNNNNNNNNNNNNNNNNNNNNNNNNNNNNNNNNNNNNNNNNNNNNNNNNNNNNNNNNNNNNNNNNNNNNNNNNNNNNNNNNNNNNNNNNNNNNNNNNNNNNNNNNNNNNNNNNNNNNNNNNNNNNNNNNNNNNNNNNNNNNNNNNNNNNNNNNNNNNNNNNNNNNNNNNNNNNNNNNNNNNNNNNNNNNNNNNNNNNNNNNNNNNNNNNNNNNNNNNNNNNNNNNNNNNNNNNNNNNNNNNNNNNNNNNNNNNNNNNNNNNNNNNNNNNNNNNNNNNNNNNNNNNNNNNNNNNNNNNNNNNNNNNNNNNNNNNNNNNNNNNNNNNNNNNNNNNNNNNNNNNNNNNNNNNNNNNNNNNNNNNNNNNNNNNNNNNNNNNNNNNNNNNNNNNNNNNNNNNNNNNNNNNNNNNNNNNNNNNNNNNNNNNNNNNNNNNNNNNNNNNNNNNNNNNNNNNNNNNNNNNNNNNNNNNNNAGUGUCUUCUCUUGACCUUUUCCUAAAGAAAGAAUUCUCAAAGAACUCAACAUCUCUAGAUUCCAAAAUUAUAUUUUUGCUAACAAAAUAUGUGGAUUCUAUGGUCAAGAAUUUAUAGGCUUUGCUAUUUUGUGCAUAGCCUAUAAAAGCACACUCGAUUGCUUUAGCACCAAGUUUAGGCCUUUUAGGAUCAGUUAACCUUACUAAUGUUCUACAUCCCCGCACCCUUAAAUGGUCAAGAGAGGGUUUUCUCUUUUUCCACAAUUCAUAAGGUGUAAUAUUAGUUUUCUUAUGGGGUAUACGAUUAAGUAUAUAACAAGCAGUCAUUAAUGCUUCCCCCCAUAAAUUUUUAGGCAAACUAGAAGUAAGAAGUAAUGUAUUAAUCAUUUCUCCAAGUGUUCUAUUUUUUCGUUCUGCCACUCCAUUUUAUUGAGGACUAUAAGGGGCUGUAGUUUGAUGAAUUAUACCAUAAUUCUCACAAAAAUCAUUAUAAGAGAAGUAUUCCCCUCCUCUAUUCGAUUUAAGAAUUUUAAUUCUUUGAUCUAAUUGAUUUUCAACUUCAGCCUUAUAGAUUUUAAAUUUUUCUAAAGCCUCAUCUUUAGUCCUUAACAAAUAAACUUGAGUGUAUCUAGAACAAUUAUCUAUAAAUGUUAUAAAAUAUCUUUUACCUCCCCUAGUUAAUAUGCCCUCAAAUUCACAAAUAUCAGAAUGAAUUAAUUCUAAUAAUUGUGAAUUUCUUUCUACUUUUUUAAAAGGCUUCUUGGCAAUUUUAGAUUUAACACAUAUAACACAUUUUUCUAAGUCAGAAAAAUUAAUCUUAGGAAUUAAACUAAGAUUACUCAUGCUACACAUACUUUUAUAAUUUACAUGUCCUAAUCUAGCAUGUCAAACAUUAAAAGUAGAAAUCAUAUAAGCAAAAGAUGAAUUUUCAUUAAUAACAUUUAGUUUGUACAUGCCAUUAGAUUCAUAUCAUUUUUCGACAUACAUACCACCCUUAGACAAUACAAUAUAAUUAGCGUCAAACAAGACAUUUAUGCCAUGUUUGUUUAAAAGACUAACAGAUAUAAGGUUUUUCCUAAUUUCUGAAACAUGAAGAACAUCAUUAAGAGUAAUUGUCUUCUCGGAUGACAACUUGAGAACCACCUUGCCUUUGUCCAUCACUUUUGCAGUUGAUGAAUUUCCAAUGAAUAGUUCUUGACCAUCCUUCAUAGGUUCAUAGGCUUUAAAUAUUGCUUUAUUCUUGGCAAUAUGUUUGGUUGCUCCAGAAUCGAUCCACCAUUCCAUGUCAUUUCCAACCAUGUUAGUCUCCAUGAUCAUAAUAGCAAUAUCCUCAUUGUCUACCAUAUUUGCUUGGUCAUUCUUUUGUUGUCUUUGUUUCAAGUACAAAGUACAUUGUUUCUUGAAAUGUCCUGGCUUACCACACUUCCAACAAGUACCUUUCGGUUUUUUAUUUCCAGAAGUGUUUUGUUGACCACCACGCUUUCUUUUAUUGUUUCCCCUUAGUUUAAAUGCAUUUUCUAUGACAAGAGCUUUAGCACUUUUAUUUUCUAUUUCCAAUUUAUCCAAGUUUCGAGAAUUUUCUUCAACUUGGAGAAAUUUAAUAAGUUUUUGCAUAGUCAUUGCAUCUUUCUUUUGUUUCAAUUCCUUUCGACAAUCUUUCCAUGAAUAUGGUAACUUUGAAAUAAUUGUUGAUACUUGAAACCCUUCGUCAAGGCUAUGGCCUUCCGACACAAUUUGAUUCAUGAUAAUUUGAAGUUCAUGUACUUGUAGCAUAACAGAUUUAUUAUCUAUCAUUUGAUAAUCAAAUAAUGAACUUACUAGAAAUUUUUUAUUUUCAGUGUCCUCAAUUUUGUAUUUGUUGUCGAGAUCUUCCCAUAAUUCUCUUGUCGUCUUUUCCAUGAAUUUGGCUUCAUAUACAUCAUACAACGAAUUUGAUAGGGCAUUUAGUAUGUACCCUUUACACAUGAAGUCAUCUUGUUCCCAUUUUAUUUGAUUUUUCAUUUCUGUCGGUGUCUCAUUUUCCUUUUCUUCAAUUUUUUCCUCAUUUAGCACAUGAGAGAUUUUUAAUGCUGUUAAGCAAAAAUACAUUUUGCUUUUCCAACAUCUGAAGAAUAAUCCAUCAAACUUUUCAAGUUUAUUAAUUUGAUUCAAGCUAUUUUUUGAAUUGUUGUCCUCCAUGGUGUAUUAUAGUCUUAAGAUUGUUGAAAUUUUUUUGCUUUGUAGUAAGAUAUAGAACAACAAUAUUUCUGCCUGAAUCGAAUGGUUGACCACUCUUUCCUUAAGACUAUAUUUGCCCCUUACUUUUGCUACACAGGGUUACUGGGAAUUAGUCUCCCAAGAUAAGACAGGCCCAGAUUUUAUUUUGUACUAGAAUUUGUUGUGUAGGAACAAAUCUAGUGCUAAACUAUAAACUGAAAGAAGAAAAUUAUAAUAAGAAAAAUAUUUAGAAUGAUAAUUUUCUUAACUUGAGAAGGAUUGAAACUUGAGAAGGAUUGAAUGAUUUGAAGUGUGUUAAAUUUGGUGGAUUCCUGAUCUAUUUAUAGGUUUGUCGUAUCCCAAUUAUUGAGAUAUGACGUAUCUUAUAAAUUGGGUCGUAUCCCAUUUAUGGCAUCCUAUAAAUUGGGUCGUAUCCCAAUUAUGGGAUAUGUCGUUCUUUAAUUUUUGAUACGUAUCCCAUUUCUCAAUUUUUGAUGUCGUAUUCCAAUACUCCCGCUCCAAAUAUUACCGUUGCGUAUUUUUGACCCAACUCAAUUUUGGCUUCCGCCAAAUAAUUACCGUUGGCUCCAACUUCCAAUACCGACGCGUUAAUAUUAUAACAUAUAAUAUAUUUAUUAUAUACUUUAGAUAAUGAAAAUAUCCAACACCAUGUACUCAAUCCAUCUUAUAUCAUCCAUUACAACAUCAGAUAGAUGCAAUCUUAAAAUUUUUGAACACUCCGCAACAUUAUGUUGCAAAUGGUGCAAAAUUGUAAAAAUCGCAAAGGUGUAAGAUGGUCUAAAUUUUGCAAAAAUGUAUCACUUGAAAAAUUUACAAAUAUUAAGGAUUUUUUUUAUAGCAAACUUUAGCUAUAUAUAUGAUGUUUGUUUACAAUUUCAGUAGACUUACCUUCUCUCCUGUGCCGUCGUUUUGGAGCAACUCCAUUUCCUUGGCUUGAGAAUGACUUGAGGUCAACCGCAGCAUGCCUCACUAGUUGUGCCAUCUCCUCAAUCGAUCGAUAACUAUCCUUUAAUUCUGCUAUAUAUAUUUUCUGUUUUUGUUCUUGAUGUCUAUAUAUCUCUCUUCCAAAGGCUAACUCUAUUUAUAGAUAGCACAAAAGAGGGUAUAUUCAAUAAUAACCUAUCUUCAAAUAUUCCUUCCUUUUUCACAGUGGGGAUCCUGAUCAUAAGUUUAACAUCAUCGUCAUCAUCGCCAAGGAUAUAGAGCAUCAUAUUCUGUUUAAUAAUUUUGAUGGAAUAAUUCUUUUCCAUUUCUCAGUUCAAUAAUUCUUUCUUUAGCUUGUUGCCUGGCAAAAUUCGAUGAACGCGAAAGAUACGUAGGCAUCCAAGUAAAUGAUGAUUUUCUUCUAACCAGAAGUAUGUGCAGGUUGUACCAAUAUAUAUUAGUACUCAAUGUACAUUACAAAUUUUAGAGGAGCCAUCUUACCACAAUUCGAUUUUAUCACCCAAGCACGGGUGCCAUCUUUUUUCGUACAAUAUAAUGGAGUAUAUAUUCAAAAUUUCAAAUCAACAAAACAAGGCAAGAAAAAUAAAAUAAAAAUCAAAGUGCAUAUUUUAAUAGGAAUAUUUAUUAAUAUGAUAUAUAAUAUAAUAUAUAUAUAUGGGCUAUAUGUAUAAACACAGCUGUGUAUUACACAGUAGGCCUAUGGCGACAGAUUUUUUGGACUAUAGCAACGGUAAACUGUCGCUAUAGCCCAGAAUAGCUAUAACGACGGGUGAAACCGUCGCUAUAGCCUAAAAACCCGUCAUUAUAGCCUACUGUGUAAUACACAGCUGUGUACAUAUAUUUUUCUAUAUAUAUAUAUAUAUAUAUAUAUAUAUAUAUAUAUAUAUAUAUAUAUAUAUGGGUCUCAGAAACCAUAAUCUUAACCCUUGAUCUAGAUAUUGAAUGACCCAAUUUAAUCAUAAUUUCUAUCUGCCGCUAGAGGCUCUAGCGACAAUAAUAUUUCUUAAAUCGGCAUGACAAAUUACCAAAAAAAACCCUGAUAGUCCUCUUGUCACACUGCCUGCCGCUACAAGCUGUGGCGACAGUGUGGCUAGUGUGGCUAUCAGCCGAAUAAAUGAGAUUGAUUCAAAAGUAAAACCCACUUAUAUUAUGUAUACACGGUACACCUUCUAUCCCAAAAAUAAGAUAAGUUAGAAUUAUAAAAUUUAUAUAAAUUAUUUUUAAAUUUAAAAUUCAUGUAAUUUAUUUUUAAUUUUUAAAAAAUAUAAAUUUAUGAUUUAAUUAACAUUUGUCAAAUAAUUUAUAAUUUUCAUAAUUGAAUUGUAAAUUUGAUGAAUUCAUAUAAAUUUUAAACUCUAAAAAACAAAAAAUUAAUAAUAUCAAAUUAAGAUAAAAAAAGUCUUAGGUUGUUAAUUUGAGAUUAUUAAUACAAAUUAAUAAUCUCAAAUUGANNNNNNNNNNNNNNNNNNNNNNNNNNNNNNNNNNNNNNNNNNNNNNNNNNNNNNNNNNNNNNNNNNNNNNNNNNNNNNNNNNNNNNNNNNNNNNNNNNNNUGGCAAAUAGCAUUAUAGCCGUCCAUUCCAUAAAUGAAGGGCCCAAAUUAAAAAAGGAGUCUUCCCUUACGCCAGACGCCAGUUAGGAAAUUUAUCCCAUACGCUAGUUGAACUAGCGUAAGGUUUAAAUAUUUGCCCGUUGCCCACUUUACCCCCAACAAAGCAAGCCACUUCUUCUCUGCCAGCCAACAGUUUUAAUAUAAUAAGGCUUCUCUAGAAAUACGCCAGCCAACAGUUUUAAUAUAUUAAGGCAAGAGUACAAUAGGAAUCAAACUAGCCAAGAGUACAAUAGCUGAUAAGGCAACAUUCAAACACGAUAUUGUGUUUUAAUUUGAUAAGGCAACAGUCAAUGACACAUACAAUAGGAAUCGCUGGGGUCAUAAUCAUAAAAGGAAUCAAAUCUUAUUCAAGAAAAGUCAGGUGUUUGAAGUUAUCUUAUGGUUUAAUGAUUAUGUAAUGGGAAAAAUAUUUACUUUUGGUUAUAUAUUUAGAUUUAGCAGCAUGCUUUUUAGUUGCUUGCAAUCUGUUUAUUAUUUACUUGCAAUCUGUAGUUGCUUGCAAUCUGUUUAUUAUUUAGUUGGUAUAUGGCAACUAAGUCACUGGACAUAAAACACCCAAACUCCUCAACGUGACAAUGGGCUUAAAAGGAGGCAAAGAGUACCCUUCCUUUAAUAUUGAGUGGCACCAUUCUACAACACUUAAAAGACUCCAAAGUCAGAAAAGAAUUCUUCCAAGAUCAUUUUUUUGUAAGAAAUAAUAGGCCGCUAAAUAAUCUAACAGCACUGUCACCACACUUAAAUUAUGUGUGCAAUAAAGCCAAAUGGAGCUUCAAGGACCUCAUUUACUUGUAAGAAAUAAGAUUUGAGAUUUUUCUUAUUAGAUCACUUUUAAUACACUGCUCUCAUGGGAGACCAAAUUAGAAGAUAUUCAAUUUACAUUUUCAAGACAGUUACAAUUUCAUAAAAUUGGCAUAACAUGAUAAGAUGUCCUUGCAAUGUCCUUGCUGGGAGAAGCUAAGCUGAGCUUUCUUGGUCUUCAUGAUUUUAGUAUUUCCUUCUGCAAUGUCCUUGCAGAGUUGUCUAGCUGCCCAAAAAAUUUGAGAUGCCCAGGUCCCUGCACGAUAGAAUCAUGAUAAGACAUAUUAGACUCACAAGCAUCACAAAGCAAAAGUGAACUAAUAAAGCAAAAGCAGCAUCCAACAAAAAAAUAGAAAAACAAAAUAAGACUUUUAAAUACUAAACAACAGCUUGGUUAGCCAAACCAUGAUCCACAAACAUGUAUCAAAAGAAACUUAAACAGUUGAUUGAGUAUGUUGCAUUGCUGAGAACAGUUGAAUCAAAGAAUACCUGAGCUUAGCUUAAUAUUUUUCGCAGCCUAUAUUUCUGACACUGUAGUCAAGUGAAUCAGACAUGAAGCUGUCAUUAACUGGAGACAUACAAAGGGACACAACCCUACAGUAAACAAAACAAUACAAACCAAUGCAAAACAACAGAACAUCUAAUAGCCUGUAAACAAAAACAAUACAAACCAAUGCAAAAUUCUUUUACAUAAUUGAUCCCAACACACAAAACAACAGAUCCUGUAUCGCCAACUUCAAUCGGUCAGAAAUCGCAGCAGGGUUUUGGGGAUUUGACAGAUGCUUCGCACGAAAAAGAAGAGAGGCUCGCAAUCUGAAUAAAAUCGCAUAUGGGUGGUUUGAUUUUAAGGGUUUGCUCGAAAUCAAAAUCGAAAUCGAAAUCGAAAUCGCAGCAGGGUUUAGGGUUCGAAAUCGCAGCAGUUUGUAGGAAUCGAAUUCGCAGCAAUUUGUAGAUUUAGGAACUGAAAUCGUAUUAUUCGCAGGGAGGAAAACAGACGCAGGGCAGCCGCAGGGGAAUUAGGAUCUGAAAUCGCAGCAGCUGCGUUUAUUUGAAAUGGGCAGAAUGAUGAAUGGGUUUGAAUCGCUUGGGUUCCAUUACUGUGAUAUUAGAUAUCUGCCUUACGCCACUGCUUCUAGCGUAAGUGAGGGCAAUUUUGUCUGUAAAUUUCCUAUCCAGCGUACGCCAGUGCGUCCAACGUACGCCAGUGACGGCUAUGAUGCUAUUUGCCCAAUUUUUCUCCAUAACAAAUACAUGCUCUGGAUCAUAUCCCAUAUAUAUAUAUAUAAUAUCCAAAUAUAUGUUCUAAUUCUCUUGGGUUUUACUGCAAUAAUCUAUAUUGGCAAGAAAUUAAGUAUAAGGAUUGAAGAUUGCAUCAAUUAACAUAAAAGGAGGAUUGUGGUAGCAAGAAAAUCAAUUUAAAUAGCAAGCAAAAGAAGGUAAGUUCCUAUUUUGGUUUUAAUAUUAGCAAUUGAGAACUUUAUGCUAGAUUGUUAUAAUUGAGCUGUAAUUAGUGACUUGUAGUUAAGGGAGUUGGACUAAUAAUGGUUAAUUUUUUUUUGGCUAGACUUCAUCUAAAUCUCUAUGAAAUCUGGAUUCUAAAGCUAUGCAUAGUACAUGGUCGAUAAAAUGCCCCUAAGAGGCUGUUAUGUUUAAAAAUUAAGAAUUGGUCAAUGUUGUGACUUGUGAGUAAGAAUAAAAUUUCUAAUUAACCUGAAAUAAUUACGUUUUUCUUCCAAAUGUUAAGUUGUACUGCCUCAAAAUAAUUGGUGCAUUUAUUUGUGAUGUAUACAGUAGGAUUUACUCAUGACAAUUUUGAAGGAAUUUGAGGAGGUUUGUGGAAAUGAAGAGGGAUUAGCUAAAGAAAUUGCUUUCAGAGACUUGAGAAAUGUAGUAUCGAUCUAUUAUUUAGAUUUUUAGCCUCAGAUGGGUUAUGUUUGAAAAAUGAUGAGAAACAGAAUUUCUGAAAUAAAAGGAGGAUAUGGAGAUUAGAUUGCAAGUAUAAAGUUAUGAAAACACACUGCUUACUCUGUAAUAUUGGUGUUAAGCCUCUUGAAAACUAGUGAGCAUGCAAGUAAAAAAAAUAUAGAAAAGAAAGUACAAAAGGAAAUAGCUAGAAAUAUGUCAAAGUGUUGUUUUGACUAGAUACUGAAGCCUUGAUUGAUUAAUAAGUAGAAGUAUGAAUUAAAAAAAAAUAUUUUUUUUGUUGCUCUCUGAUUAAUUGGAUAUGAGAAUUAAUUGCUCUGAGCUGAAAGUUAUUUUCAGUAUUUACAAUUGCAACUUACAUAACCUUUAUAGAAUGUUCCAUGUCCAUGUUUAUAGUGAUUUGUCAAAGUAAUAUAAUGUUAAUCAAAGACACCAUUAAGAAGUAAAAAUGGACCAAGUUCAGAGUUAAAAAAAAAAACUCAAUACCAUUAUCAAUUCUAAUUGUUUUAAUGGAUGUACUAAAAUGGUUCUUAGCAUCGACAAAGAAAAACUGUAAACUAGAUGGCACAUGUUGUUUAGUAGAUAGCAGAGAAGUCCAUGUAAAUCUUGAGAAGUCAGCAAAUAAGGUUUUAAAAAAAUACUUGCAUUCAUUAGAAGUAGCAAUUCUAUAAGGCCCUCAAAUAUCCAAAUGAAUUAAAGCAAAAGGAGAUCUGCUUGAGAUGAACUAGUAAGAAAAGGCAAUUUACAUUGUUUUGUAAAGGAUAAACUAAACAAGUGGUAUUGUAAUCAUUUGUAGAAUGGAUUUUAACAGGCACAAUAGCCUUUAUUACUGAGAAAAGUGUAUAACCAAGACUAUGAAGACACAAAGAACUAGAAAUUUCACUCUUAUUGCAAGAAGAUUAUGCUGCAGAUUGAGAGCUUUUUAACUGAUACAACCCUCCUGAAGCUUCACCAAGUGUCAACACUUUCUUCUAGUGAGGAUCUUGAAAACAAAUAUUAAAAGAAAAGGUUACUAUAUAAUUGGAAUGAUUAAGAAGACUACUGAUAGAUAGUAGAUUGAAUGAAAAGAUGGAAUGAAAAAAAAACAUUAUAAAGUGGUAAGUCAUAUGGUGUGAUAGACACACAUUGAACUACAAAUGCAAUAAGGUAGCAUAUGUGGUAAUGAAAUUGGAUAUGGAACUGAGUUAUUCAUGUCCAUAAAGAUAAUAUAAGAAAUAAUAAGUUAAGGUAAGGUUUUAAAGUAAGAUUAACAGUUAGAGUGGGGCUUUAACUGAUAUUGUGCAUUGUUGAUCUCACCUACGGUGUAGGUCGUGCAAGGAACGCGAAAGGUUAGCAUAUUAGUAAAACCCGGGUACAGGAAAGUCUACAAGUUCCUAUUUGUUAUAUGAACUUGACAUGAUUACAUGAAUUACAUGUUAUACUUGUGGAAUGAUGAAGGUCAACUAUUGAUUAAAUUUGAUUCAGUUUUUAAAACUCAGUCUUGACUUGAUAUUUAAUAUGCAUGAGAUACAAAUGUUACUUAAAUUAUAAUAAUAUUCAGAUAUGAUUUAAGCAUGAUAUUAUGUGUUAUGUGAAGCAUGAAAACUGUUAGAUUUACUGGGUCGUUGUGCUCAGUCUUACAAAUAUUUUUGCAGAUUUGAUAUGCGAUGAAAUCUCUUGCUGACCAGAUCAGAAUAAAGACUAGGAGCAUGUUCAGGAAAAUUGUUUUCUUUAUUUAGAAAUUGUAUUACACUGUGUUGGCAGUUUGCGAAGUUAUAAAUGAAAGAUAUGUUAAUAUUGGAUUAUUUAAUAAAUAAAGAAAGUUUGUUUUGAGAAAAGAAUGUGUAGUAACGAUUACUAUUUAGUGAAAGUUAUUAUAGUGAUUAUACUAUAUAUACAGAAAGAUAUGUUUGAUGAUAAAAUAAAUCAUAAAUAAAUAUGAUAAUGAAAUAAGGGAAUCGUUAAUCAGGGAAUUAACGAAUGAAAGACAGAAAAAAAAAAGUUUUAAGUAUUCGCAUUUUCAGCUAUUAUUUCAUUAAAUUAUGAUAUAAAACUGAAACAAGAUAGUAUUUAACGCACAAGAUCGAAAAGAAAAAUAGUCCCGAUUUUGGGGGCGUCAUAGUUAGUAUCAAAGCUAUGGGUUAUAAAUCUUAGGUAAGCGUACCCUAGGUUAUAACCGUAAACAAGAUAGAUGAAAAGGAAGAAAAUGUUAAGUAUAAACUAAAAUGAGAUUUAAAUGAUCUUAAACGAAUUUAGAAAUUUCUAAAGAAUGGUUUAAGACAAUACGCAAAGAUUCAAAGAAGAAUCUUGAAAAGCUUAAGGAUCAGAGGACACCUGAUUCGGUUAAUCAUAAAAUAAUAUGAUUAAAGAAGGAAAUGAGAAGAGUAUGAAUCAAAACGAUCAUAAGAUAGAAAAGAGAUUCAAAGAAGAAUUUUAAAAAGGCAAGAAGAAGAGGAUCAGAGAACACCUAAUUCUAAUAAUCAUAUAAAAUAAUAUGAUUGGAAAGAAGAUAAGAAGAUCGUAAAAAUGGAACGAUCUUAAAAUGAGAAAGAAUCGUAAUAUAACACGAUUAUAAGAUAAGAUCACGACAUGAUCUGAUAAAGUCAAAGAAGAACAAGUAAUCAAUGGAAUGAUUGAAAAUUUAUAGUAGAACGGCUAUAUAUAUGAAAAUGGUACUAUGAGAUAGUACACAGAAAACUCAGAAAAAGUUAUAUAUGUUGAAAUACAAAUUAAAUAAAAUUUGUAUUAAACAAUGAACAAGAUAAGAUUUGUAGGGAUUAAGUUGGAUUUCAAUCGAGGACUCAUGUGAUAGCUAAGUUGUACAAACUUUUGUAUGGGCAGGGGUUUUGUGUUUGGUUUAAUGACCACUUAGUUUAUCACACUGAUAAUCGUUGAAAUGUUGGUGUCACACUAUGGAUAUACAUAUGGCGAGAAGGUGAUUCUUUUUUCAUAUUUAUAUUUGAUAGUUAGAGAAUGUUAAGAGUUGGUGCGAGUUCUUAAAACUCAUGCGUAUGAUAAGUUUGUGACUCAUAAUCAUAUGGUAUGGACAGUUCUUGAUUGGUUCUUGGACUACGUAUUGUUAGGACAAGUUCCUAAAUUCAUAUUUUAUGGUAAGUUCUGAAACACAUAAUGUGUGAAAAGUUUGAUGAACUAUAUCAGGGUAUAGAAAUAUUAUAGAAUAAGAGCUAAUAAAUUCUAGUAGAUUGAGGAUUGAUGGUGCUAGAGAUAGAUAGAAUUGUUUCAUAGUGAGACAAUAGAAGAAGUUGAAGUUGUUGAUGGGAGAAACGGAUAUUCUCAAAUCUUCUAGUUAUGCUAGAUUUCAAAAUUUUUGAAAUCAAGUUAAAUUUGCACUGAUGUGCCUUUAGAAAUACAAAUGAAUUUUUGUUAUCAACAACACACAGUGACAAGGGUGCAUGUGGAUGUGGACUUUGAUCCAUUAACACAUUGUUACCUAAUGCGGGAUGAUAACACCAAAAAUGAUUUUCAAUGGUUUUAAACCGUUAAAGAAGAGUCUACGCUAAUUGUUUCGGCUAUACAAAAGUUAAAAAUAUCAAAAGGUAUUUUAUAUAGUCAUCACUUGAUCAUUAAUAUGAUGUAGAUGUGACAAAUGAUGAAGUCAUCAAUGCAUCUUAAUCUAGUGUUGGAUGUGAUCUAUGGAUCGUCAGCCCACUAUGGUAUGAUGUAGUACGACAAAGUCAUAAAAUGAUUUUCAGUAUUUUAAUAAUUAAAAAGAUGUCGAUGCCAUUUGAAUCGGCUAGAAACAUAUUCAGAUAUUGCUUAGCUUUUAUAUUAAUCUUUUGAACUGUCCAACUAAAUUGAUUAAGUAUGGACUCAAGACUAGAUAUGAACAUCCCUAAAUUCGGACAAGAUGUUCUAUGUGCUAAAGACAGAUGAUGAAAGUAAAUGUCGUUCAAAUUUAUAUUGCGUCCUGGGGACGGCAAAGAGGAACUGAAAGAAUUGUUCCGUCAAGAUAGUGUUGAUCAACACAGAACAUCCCUGAAUUAGGAAAUUCUGUUUGUGCUAAAUAGCAGUAAUAAUGAACUCAAAUGUUGUUCAAAUUGUGCCAAAUGGCAGUGACGAGGAACGCAAAUGACGUUCUAAUAUGGAUCAACACAUGGCAUAAUAGGCUAAUCACCUAUAUGUUCGUAAGAUAUGUCGGUUUGCAGAUAAAUUUUUGUUGGAACCUUUUCAAAAACAAAGUUUAUGGUCUCUAUGACCUUUAUCAUGAUACAAAAAGCUCUUCUUAAGCGAUUCUUUUGAAUUCUUGAGUUAUUUAUAUUGCUUCACAAUUAUUAAUCAAUUGUGGGAAAUUUGUAUUCUGGAGAUUGGGUAUAGAAAGAAUGAUUCCUUAAGAGGAAGUAGGUCGUAGAAUACGACAAUGGUUCAUGAAUCCUUGGAGAAGAAGUAAUGGAGGGAUAUGAUGAAUAAAGUUUUUCGAAUAAAAGAAUGGAUGUAAAUAAUCUCAUGAAGAUAAAAAAUGCAUGUCUGAUAAUUUUAAGACUUUUGAUCAUUAGAGGAAUAAGUAUGAUAAAGUAGAAUGUUAUUAAUAUUUGGAGAUGUUUGCAUAUGUGUAUGUGUUGUAUGCUAUGUGAAAAUAAUAUAUUUUUAUUAUCACAUAAUAAGGUCGUCAAAAGCAUGGAAAUAGAACCAAGUAGGAAAGGUUUGCCGUUGUGAUUUCGGGAACGAAAUCCUUAUAAGGAGGAAAGAAUGUGACGAUUCGAAUUUUCGAAAAUAAUUAAAAUAAGAAUUUAAUUAAAUAAAAUUCUUAUUAUGUGAUACUUGAUGAAAUUAUGCUAUGAAAUAUGAUGAUUUGCAUAAUAAUAAAUAUAAAUUUAUUUAUUAUUCUAGGAAAAUAAAUUAUUGAGAUAAUUUAUUAGAAAGAAAGGAAUUUAGCAAAAAUAUAUAUUAUUAUAUACUCGUUUUGAUUAAAGAUAAAUUGUGAAAAACAAUCUAUUGAGAGGAGAAAGGAAUGAGUGUAUAUUAAAAUAAUUUAUAUAGUUAUUUUAAUAUGGUGAGUUUAGUAUAUUAAAUUUAAGUAUAUAAAAUAUUUUAUAUACAUUGAAAAGAAUGUAUUGAAAUAAUUUGCGAUAAUAUAUAUAUAUAUAUAUAUAUAUAUAGAUAUAGAGAGAGAGAGAGAGAGAGAGAGAGAGAGAGAGAGAGAGAGAGAGAGAGUCAUUGAGCUUAGGCUUGGAGGUGAAUAUUAUGUGUACUCAGUACUAUUUGGACAUGACGAGAGAGUUUUAGGCUUUGGGCUAUUAUGUUGCUUAUUCAAUUUGUAUUAAUAAUAUAUAAAUUAGUUUACAUUAUUUAAUAAGAAUAAUAUUAAUAAUAAUAUAUUUAUGACAUCACUGGUUUGAUAACACGCGGUUCGGUCUCCAUUCACUCAUUAAUUUUUUUGAUACAAUAUUGACCGAUUCGAAUCUAAAAACAUUGGUAAUAACAACCGUGGUAGUCGAUUUAUUUAUUACGUAGUAGUAAUAACAACCAUAUGUGGGUAGUUGAUUUAUUAUACAUCACGCUGAUAACAGUCAUGAUCAGUCGAUAGUUGAUUUAUUAAUUUAUAUGUCAUCAGUCGAUAGUUGCUAAUUACUUAAUCGUCAAGUUUUCACCGAAAGAUUACUGCUCGUUCAUUUAAUUUUGCGUCGGUCUUGGUGCUAAUAUGAACCCCACACAUGACUAAACCUUUCUUCAAAGUCUCGCAUUCAGUUCCUGAGAGAGCAAAUUUUAUAUCUCCAUACAUAACCUUAUUGAAGAAGUUCCCAGCUUUGAGCCAAAUCCUUACGUUCUUCGAAUAACUCUUCAAAUCUUUAUAGUCCGUUUGCACAGAUCCAUCCGGAAGAGCAAGUGUAAGUUUCACCGGAGAUGCUAUGUUAAAGUCGUCUUUCAGCAUCACAUCAAAAUACACGCCAUAAGAUCCUACUUCAAGUUUUUCUGUCGAAUAUUCUCCAUCAACUUGUACGACUUUGCCAUCAAUUAAUUCAGCUAUUCCCUCCUGGCUGUAUAUAAAAAAAAAUAUUGUAGAAUUAAAGUGAUCAAUAUUUUGUAUAAGGUGCUUAAAUUCCUUGGGUGAUUUUAUUGAAUUUUGUUUUUGUAACAUUUUUAAUGCAAGUCCUUCUAUCUAACUACACUUCAAUUUAAUGACAUAAUUGCUUAUAUAUCCCUAUUUUUAAUGAAAUACAGGUGUUUAAACAAAAAUAUUGACCUUAUUUCUAAAUAAGAAAAUUUCCAAUCUUCACGGUUGGCAUAUGUGAGUUGCCACGCAUGCAGAUAAGCCUCACCCGUCUGAAUAAGUCAAGAAAAAUUCACAUUAUUAUAAGGAGAGAUAAAACAAACUAGUUGUGUAGAGUGAUAUAUGAUACUAUAAGGAGAGUGUAAGAUGUACAAAUAUUAAAGAUUAUUUUUGCUUUGUAGGCAACUUUACCUAUAUAUAUGGGAUUCGGCUCCUAUCGAAAAUCCCAGGGUACUCUAAAUUUUGGAGUUCUCUCAGCAUUCCAUUUUGAAUUAUAUGGUCAAGAUAAAACCACCUAUUAACAAAAUAAUUUUUUUAAUUUCCAGCUCAACAGACACAUCACUUUUCCUCCCCUACAAUCUCCUUAAAAUUCGGAUUAUCUUGUAUUCCAUUAUUUACGGCCAAUUAAUUUUUUUAAUUUAUUUGGUUUUAGGAUCUACCGUCAAUUAUUUUCCAUCAUAAAAAAAAUCAUCAUAUUUUUCCAAAUAUAUCACCGCCAGUGCCAUUACCACCACCAUCGUCCUACCCAACCGUUUUACACCCUUCAUCCUUUGCAUUAAUUAAUAUAUAAACAAACUUGAAUCAAAUUACAAUUUACUGCAUAUUCCAAUCAAAUAUUGUCAUAUGGAGGUAUUAUAACAAUAAAAUUGAUAUUUUAUAAAGGGUUAAUUGCAUAUUAAACCCCAAAGCUACAUCUUUUUACCAUUCGUACCCCGAUAUUUAAACGAUCUAUUCCGCCACCCCAAGUACGUUAAAGAAAAAUAACUAACCCUUUUGGUAAAUUUGUUCGCCGGAAAAUGGCCACGUGUCACAAUUUAAAUGGCCAGAAAUUAUAAAAAGGUCAGUUAUGCUUACUUAACGGUAUUUGGGAUAGCGGAAUAAGAGCGUUUAAAUAUCGGAGUACGAAUAGUAAAAUAAUAUAUAUUUUGGGGUUCAAUACGCAAUUAAACCAUUUAUAAAUAACCAAGCCCAAAGAGAAAGAAACCCUGUAACAAUUCGCAGAUUGUAGUGUGUUCAAACUAUAGAGUUCGGAAUCUUUUUCUCCAGAAUGCAUUGUUCUUCCAAUUAAUUGUUUUAUUUUUUCUUGUAAUUUUCAGAAUGUUACAGCAGGUGAAGGUGAGUGGCUGUAAAUUUGUAAUAGCUUGGUUAAUGGAUGAAUUUUGGUAGCCGUCAAUUAUUAUGAGGAUGGAUAAGAUCAUUGGCUGUUUACAGUGGUAGAUGUGAUUAACAAAGGAUUUAAGGAUCCAAAAUAAUUUAAAGAGGUUGGAGAGGAGAGAGAAAAUAUGUGUCAGCUGAGUUAGAAUUAUUUUACUAAGAUAUUUAAUGUUAUAAUAUGUGGUUUUAUCUUGCCCAUUUAAUUCAAAUGGAAGGCUGAAAUGUUUAGAACUCUAAAAGUUAGAGUACCCUAGGAACUCGAUUUGCCUUCUUGCUGUUGUUUUGGAGCAACGCCUUUCGGUUAGCUUGAAACAACUUUAGCAAUAUAUUACUAGGAUAGAUAAGGCGAUUAGGCAAACUAGUGUGGAAGAAUGAUAUAUGCAUAUGCAUAUAUAAGUUAAUAUUGUCAAAGUAAAAACUAUCAAAGUGUUAUUAAAUGUAUAUUUUUUAAAAAUAUUUCACAGUAAAAGUUUUUUAGGAAGUGUGUACCAUGCAAUUAAUGGCGGAGACACACUUGGGCUGGGGUGAGCUGUAGCCCGGGCGAAGUUUUUGACAAAUAUCUAGUACUUAUAUAUCUUCAAUAGCUCAUGAAAGCUGCAAAUUGAAUUAGGAAGGAAUUGAACCUUAUUUUCGGCAAGAGGAAACUGAUUUUGGCUAACAUCAAAGCAUAUAACAAGAAUUUUCAUGAAAGGUACAACAUAAGUUUUAGUUCAUUGAUGAAAUUAAAGCCAGAGUUGAUUUUGCUAUGUUAGCUAUAAGCAUUUGUGAAUUGUUUGUGGAAAUGGGAAUAUAUAUGGUGGGUGGAGUAAUAAGAAAAAAGAAUUAAAAAAUUCUUGGGUUAAUUAUUUUUAAAUGGUUAUGAGAUCUGUCUUUUAAAGUUAUGCACUUCACAUGUUUGAUUAAAUUCCUCUUAGAGGCUGUGAAGUUUUAAAAGUGAAAACUUGAUGUUAUUGUAAGCAAGAAAGCUUAUGUUUAUAAAAUAUAUGUGUCUCAAGUGGAUUAACUGAAUUAGAAAUGGUUUAGAAGUAAGUUUAAGUAAAUUGAGUAAUUUUGGUUUUGUUAGAAAACUGAUGCGGCUUAGCAGUUUUGAGCCCAUAUAGAACCUGUGUGAAACAGUUAUUUGGACUGGUUUAUAUUUUUUUUAAAUAGUAUGUUCUACCUUCUAUAACAUGUUAAAAAUUGGUUCCAAUUGGAUGUGUAUAGGGUGAGUUAGAAAAUUAUAAAACGGCUAGGAAAAAAUGCGAAAUCUAAGAAUUCUGGGCAGAAGCCCAGCGCUGCAUCGCUGAGAUAGAGCGUUGCGGCUCUGGUCCCCUGCUGCACUGCUCCAGUUUUUAAUUCUUCUUCUGAUUUUGUAGCCCAGGACAGAAAAAAAAUUCCUGACUGCCCUUGCAUGCAACCCAUCUUAUAUCAACAUUAUAUUACAAACGGUCCAAAAUUUUAAAAGUCACGAAGAUGGUGUAAAUUUUGCAAAAAAGUUUCACUUAAAAAAUAUACAAAUACCAAGGAUUAUUUUUGUUCUGUAGACAACUUUAUUGUGUGUGUAUAUAUGUAAAUACACACACAUAUAUGAUGUUUGUUUCCAAUUUCAGUAGACUUGCCUUCUGGCCCGGGUCGUCCUUUUGGGGCAACGCCUUUUGGUUAGCUUGAAACAACUUUAGCUAUAUAUUACAAGGAUAGAUAAGGAGAUAAGGCAAACUAGCUAGUCUGGAAGAAUGAUAUAUGCCCUCAUCUGUAUACAUAUGCAUGUAUAAGUGGAUUUUGUCAAAGUAAAAACUAUUAAAGUGUUAUUAAAUGUAUAAUUUUUAAAAAUAUUUCACAGCAAAAGUUUAUUACAAAGUGUGUACCAUGCAACCCAUCUUAUAUUAACAUCAAAUAGAUGCAAUUUUAAAGUAUUUUGAACAGUCCGCCUCCGUUGACGUCUCUGAACUCCCUAAACAUUAUAUUACAAAAGGUCCAAAAUUUUAAAAGUCACGAAGAUAGUGUAAAUUUUGCAAAAAUGUUUCACUUACAAAAUAUACAAAUACCAAGGAUUAUUUUGUUCACGAAUAUGAUGUUUGUUUCCAAUUUCAGUAGACUUACCUUCUGGUCCGGGUCGUCCUUUUGGAGCAACGCCUUUUCCUUAGCUUGUUGUAACAAUGACUCAAGCUCAACCUCAUCAUGCCUCACUGGUUGUGCCAUCUCCUCGAUCGACGAUAGCUAUCCUUUAAUUCUGCUAUAUAUAUUUUCUAUUUUUGUUGUUGAUAUCUAUAUAUCUUUCUCCCAAAGGCUAGCUCUAUUUAUAGAUUAGCUCUAUUUACAACACAGGGUACUGAUGUUAUUCGUGGAUAAUCUUGUUUUAGUAUAUUAUACUAUAAUAUCCUAUCUUCAAAUAUUCCUUCCUUUUUUCGCAGUGGGGAUCCUGGAUAAGUUUGAAUUCAUGAUCACAUAUGCUUGUGCCAUCUCCUCGAUCUGUUUUUGUUCUUGAUGUCUAUAUAUCUACCUUCCAAAGGCGAGCUCUACUUAUAGAUGGCACGACAGAUAUUCCAUAAUAAUACCCUAUCUUCAAAUAUUCCAUAAUACCCUAUCUUCAAAUAUUCCUUCCUUUUUUCGCAGUGGGGAACCUGGAUAAGUUUAACAUCAUGAUCAUCGCGAAGAAGCAUAGAUCGGCAUAUUCUGUUUAAUAAUUUUGUAGAGUAAUUAUUUUUCAUUUCUAAGUUCAAUAAUUCUUUCUUCAGCUUGUUGCCUGGCAAAGUUUAAUUAAUGAAGGCGAAAGGUAUGUAGCCAUCCAAGCAAGUUAAUGAUGAAAUUCUUCUAACUAUAAUAUCAGAGCAAUAAGUUUGCUAUCAGAUCAAUAAGUGCUGCUGAAAAUUAAAAUUAUUGCUUAAACAAGAGUAAGUGUUGCAAAUGUAUAGUUGCUCUGACAGUAUAAUGUUAUCAACAACCAUUAGGUAAUCUAUAUAUAGGACAUUCAGAAAUGAUUAAAACAUUUUAAAAAAAUAUUAACUAUUAUAUUAAGUAAUAUUAAAUAAAUUUACAACAAUUUUGAAUUUUUUCAGAGAGGUAAAAUAAUAAAAUUUUGUCAUUCAGAUGUUUCAGACAUGUCAAUUAUCAAACAACUUUUUUCAUUCAGAUUCAGAUUCAGCUCAUUCAGAUUCAGAUUCAGAUUCAGAUUCAGAUUCAUUUUUUAUCAAACACCCCCUAAGGGCUAGAUUUAGAUGAAUUUUCCAUAUAUAUAUAUAUAGGAAUGAUCUACAGAGACCUUUGACUGUAGCCAAUAAUCUAUCCAACAGUUUGGCAAGUGAUAGUCUAUACUAGCACUCGUCAACAAUAACAGUUUGGUAGACCAUUAUUUACACCAAAAGAAAAAAUCGAUCUCCACCAUUUUCUCAUGGUUUAAUCUCUCCAAAAGAAAGCAGAUUCAAGGACUCCUUCUACAGUUCUUAGUUGUGCCCACGAUAUUCUCCACCAACUAUAUAAACUUAUCCAGAUUCUCCAUGCACUAAAUUGUCAAGCACUAAAAUGUGAUUCGUUUCCUCUUCUGCAGUCCCACACCAAAGACAAUCAGUGUUGUUAUUGUGUCCAAGAACUUUUCUCCUUUCUAAAAAACCUUUUGUUGGAAUGGCAUCUUGCAAAGCUGACCAUAGAAACACUUGAAUUUUUGCAGGAAAAUCCUUACCCCAUACCAGAUGUGACCAAAUAGCAUCUUGAGGACUGUUUUUUCUCUCUUCUAUAAACUCUGAACACUUUUUCGCAGAAUAUCUCCCAUCUUUAUUAUAUUUCCACAAGUGUUGAAAAAUGAACUUGUCCCGCAAAUAAUUAAGUAUUUAGCAUAUUUAUGUUUUAAUUAAUAUUUAUGUACUUGUUGGUUCAUGUAUUUGAAGGUUCAUAAACUAGUUGAAAAGGUGUCUAGGGAGUUGAUUUUUAUUAAGUACUCAUUCAUGUAUUUGAGUUUAUACAUAUUAGGAGAUUCCUAUAAAUACCAUGUACUCAAUUCAUUUCAAGCAAGAAAUAUAAGAUUUUCUUUGUGAUAACAUCUUCUCUAGCUAUUUUCUCUAGUGUGUGAGGAAAUUAGUGAUGUUCGAGUAAAUGAAAAAAUUAUUCGUUCUUUAAGUCCCAAGUAUGAGUAUAUUGUUGUAGCCAUUGAGGAGUCGAAAGACUUGAAAACCAUGAUUGUUGAUGAAUUUAUGGGUUCGCUGCAAAUCUAUGAAGAGAGGCUUGAAAAGCAAAAGAAGGAGCUUAUUGAGCAAGUGCUCCGAUCCAAGCAAACCUUUCUUUCAAGGAGAGGGAAGAAAAACAUAGAAAUAGUCAAUGAGGUCGAGAUCGUGGCCAAGCAAGAGGCCUUGGAAGAGGUGGAAGAGGAAGUCACUACUCUUCUCACAAAGAAGAAAGGGGUCAAGAGUCUCAUCACACAAGGAGACGUGGAAGAGGAAAUUAUUCAUGACCGUAUCAAAAGAGGUAUGAUAAAUCUCAAGUUUAAUGUUACAAUUGUCACGAUUAUGGGAACUAUACUUCGGAGUGUAAGAAUGAUUCAAAAGAUGUUGAAGGAAAGUCAAAUUAUGUGGAGAAAAAUGUUGAUGAAGUGGAGCCCACUUUACUUUUGACAUGCAAAGGAGAUGAGUGAAGAUAACAAUACAUGGUAUCUUAACACAGGUGCAAGCAAUCAUAUGUCUGGAAGGAAAAAUAUGUUCAUUGAGCUUGAUGAAUCUGCAUGCGGCAAUGUCACUUUUGGAGACUCAUCAAAAAUUUCGAUUAAAAGAAAAGGUAAAAUUUUGAUUCGCUUAAAGGAUGGGAGGCACCAAUUUAUUUUCAAUGUUUAUUAUAUGCCAAAUAUGAAGAACAAUCUUUUGAGUUUGGGUCAGCUCUUAGAGAAAAGUUAAUUAUGAACGAAUAAUCAAUAAGAGAUCAAUCCAGAAAUUUACUAGUGAAGGUGCCUAUGACAGGAAAUCGAAUGUUCUUAUUGAAUUUUCAAAAUGAUGUGGCAAACUAUUUAAAAUCUUGUUUUAAAGAUUCAUCUUUGCUUUGGCACUUUAGAUUUAGGCACUUGAAUUUUGGCGGUUUAGAAGCUUUGUCGAAGAAGAGGAUGGUGAAAGGGUUGCCUUCAAUUCACCACCCCGAUCAACUUUUUGAAGGGUGUCUUUUUUCCAAGCAAUCUCGGGAAAGUUUUCUAAAAAAUUAACAACUAGAGAAACCAUGCCGUUGGAACUUGUGCACUCGGAUGUGUAUGGUCCUGUUCAUCCGUCAUCAUUUGGUAAGAAUAAUUAUUUUCUCCUCUUUAUUGAUGAUUUUAGUAUGAAGAUAUGGGUUUAUUUUCUCAAAGAAAAAUCAGAGGUGUUUGGAGCUUUUAAAAAAUUGAAAACUUUUGUGGAGAAGCAUAGCGGGUAUAAUAUCAAGGCCAUUAGAUCCGAUAUAGGGGGCAAGUUCACGUUAAAUGAAUUUAAAUUAUUUUGUGAAGAAAAUAGAAUUGAUCAUCCUUUAACGGUUCCAAGAAUAUCGCCACAACAAAAUGGGGUGGCAGAGAGAAAAAAUAGAAGCAUCCUUAAUAUAACUCGAAGUAUGUUGAAAAGCAAGCAAAUAUAUGCCAAAAGAAUUUUGGACCGAAGCUAUUUAUUAUGCCAUCUAUUUGUCAAACUGUUGCCCGUCUAGAAGUGUUGAAGACAUGACACCACAAGAAGCUUGGAAUGGGAGAAAGCCAAAUGUUUAUCAUUUGCUUGUUUUUGGGAGUAUUGCUUAUAUGCAUGUACCGAAUGAGAAGUGGUCAAAGCUAGAUGAUAAAAGUGAGAAACAUAUUUUCAUCGGUUAUGAUGCAAGAUCCAAGGGCUAAAAAUUGUACAAUCCAAUCAACGAAAAAAUUGUGAUAAGUAGAUAUGUGAAAUUUGAUGAAGAAAGCUCGUGGGAUUGAAACAUUUCGGAGGAAAAUUAUAAUUUCUUUCCUUUCAUUGACGAGGAAGCGCAAGAAAGAGAAGGGGUCACGGGUGUAACGCCCCCAAAUCCGGGUCCCUUGAACCUCGAAACUAGUUUGUCUCGGUAAUACCUUCAUCUCAAUACAUACAAUCUUUAUUCAUAAAUAACUGAACACAACCUGACUUUUAUACCAAUCAAUACGGUGACAAUGAUGAAUUUGAAGUGUUUGCGGAUUCGAGUUGAGGGAGGAAUUGUUGGAAAAUUGUUCAAAUCCUAUUCAGAUAUGAAGUUGAAGUAUUUGGGGAUUCCAGACGAGGGAGGAAUUAUUGGGUUACUCCUCGAAUCAUAUUCAGAAAAGGAUUGCUAAUAUGAAAAGGAAGAAAUCCUAUUUUUAAUAGGAGCAUUAUUUUAUAAAGGAAUCUAUUAGUAGUAGGAGUUUUAUUUUAGAUAUGUCCUAUUUUGAAUAGGAAUAAAAUAAUUGUGAGGUACUUUAUAAAUAGAGUAUUAUGUUGAGUUGUUGAAGUGUAGCACAAUCAAAAGUCAUAUAGCAUCCUAAGAGUUGAGAGAGGGUGUGAGUGAGUUUUGUGUUUGUUUGAGGAAGAGGGUUUUUGCAGCUUUUAUAUUCCGUGCAAAAAAGUUGUAUUGUGGGUGAGAGGGUUUUGCAGCUUCUAGUCCGUGCAAAAAGUUGUGUCGCAGUAUUGUGGAACCUCAAAUUUUAGGGUGUAAAACUUAGGAUGAUUAUUAUAAGCCCAUUAUUUUGAUAUAAUGGAUAUUCAGAGUUUGGCCUGUGGUUUUUCCCUUUAAGGGUUUUCCACAUUAAAUCUUGUGUUUUUAUUUCUCUUUAUUUUAUUGUGUGGUUUGCGUUGACUUAAUUCCCAACAAAAUAGUCAUCGCAAAUAAUUGUAUUGUUGUUGUCGUUGAUAAUAACAAUAUUUGUGUCACUAAAUGUGUUUUGAAAAAAAUUGAUUAAUGGAGGAGAUUUCACGGGAUUGAGAUUUGCGGACUAAGAUCUCCUUCCAUUACACUUUUCACUCAGUUUUCUCAAUACACAGUUAACAUAAAAAUAUUAUUUUUAGUGACAGUAACAACAACACAAUUCUUUGUAACAAAUUUUAUCACGUUGCUAAAUGUAAUAUUUUGUCAUUAAAUGUGCAUUUGGGGAACAUGAGUGAAAAGCAUAAUGCAAGGAAUUCUGAUC
This 242005-nucleotide long non-coding RNA is filed under the name Panax ginseng (ginseng). RNAcentral describes it as "long non-coding RNA (PGIN_LNC007104)". Lineage: Eukaryota; Viridiplantae; Streptophyta; Magnoliopsida; Apiales; Araliaceae. The record is from RNAcentral.